This 194208-nucleotide long non-coding RNA is filed under the name Malus domestica (apple). RNAcentral describes it as "long non-coding RNA (MDOM_LNC015851)". Lineage: Eukaryota; Viridiplantae; Streptophyta; Magnoliopsida; Rosales; Rosaceae. The record is from RNAcentral.
AUGUCUCUCUGUUGUACUUGUUUAGAGGAGCAUUAAGCUCAAAUCUCUUUGGCAAAUCCGGAUUCGCCAAGAAAAUACGGCCAUAAGCAAUAAGAUCUGCACGGCCCUCGGCCACGCCAUUGUUCCCUUCUUCCUUGUCAUAACCACCAGCAGCAAUGAAGGUACCAUUAAAAGCCUUUCUCAUGGGUACAAGACUCUGGGGGCAAUCACUCUUUUCUCCAAUUGUCUUCAUCCUCGGCUCAACCAUAUGGCAGUACACAAUCCCGUACUUGUUCAAUGAAUUGGCCAGAUAAAGGCCCAACGCUUCAGGGUCUGAAUCCCCUGAUCCCAUAUAGUUGGCAAAUGGAGAUAAUCUAAUUCCAACUUUAUCCGCUCCUAUCUCGUUAGCAACAGUUUCAACAAUUUCCAGAGCAAAUCGACAACGAUUCUCCGUAGAUCCGCCAUAUUGGUCUGUUCUAUCAUUCACUUGAUCUUUCGUAAACUGAUCAAUAAGGUAUCCAUGGGCCCCAUGAAUUUCCACUCCAUCAAAGCCUGUAUAUCAGACAAAUAAUUUCAGCGCACCAAAUAUUAUUUGUAAUCUAACAUUUUAAAUGAGGCAUGCCGUUAUAAUGUAAGGUUAGUUAACAUGUAAUCUAACGUGAACUAUUGUCACACACCUCAAACUGCAAAUUAUAUUCAUGCCUUUUAACUACAUUUGUAAGAUUACACAUCGUGCUUAUGUUGAAAACAAUUUUUUUGUUAAACGAUAGAUUUAUUAGAUUAGAGAGACGACGGGGUUCGAACCCAUGCCGUAAUGCAAGGGCAACACUUUUCUCUACCACUGUGGUAGAGGGCCACUUGCCGUUGAAAACAAUUUUGAGUUCUCACAAAUUUUAUUUCAUACUUUAAGUAAAGACAAAUUACCAGCUUCCAUUGCAUUCCUUGCAGCAAGUCUAAAAUCAUUGACAAUUUGUGGAAUUUCAUCUGUCCUUAAUCGUCUUGGAGGCGUGAAUUCAGAAACAUCAAUGCCAUUUAAUGGUACCCGCUUCUCAGUAGAAGAGAUUGGAGCUUGCCCAUUUGGCUGAAAUCCUGUAAGAUAAGAAAAUGUAGAUAGAAUCACAAUCUGAAAGAUUUCUAUUACAGGAAUAUCAAGGCAGCUCUCUGAUGCUUCAAUGGGCUAACUUUUCGCUUAUGAUCCGGACGCUUUCAAUGACACAAACUGAAGUCAUAAAAGUGUGUUAGAAACGCACCGGUAUUUGAAACCCUCCCUACAUGCAAAAUCUGACAGAAGAAGAUGCCGCCUUUAGCAUGAACAGCAUCAACAAUGGGUUUCCAUGCUUCAACUUGCUCCUUUGUCCAUAUACCGGGAGUAUCUGUGUACCUUCGCAUAUUAAAGAAACAAAAAUGUUGUCAAACUUUGAAAUGAAGAAAGUACACAUUUAAAUGUAUGUUUUCCAUUUAAAAUUUGACAUAAAAGAAACUUGAAAGAAGCUAAUCUUGGUGAAGUUACCCUUGAGCUGUGUCAGAAACUCCAGUGGCUUCAGUUAUGAGAAGACCCCCGUUAGAUGUUCUCUGGGAGUAAUAUAAGAUCGCAUGCGGCCGAGGAACAUGUCCGUAUGAUCUUUGUCUACCCAUUGGUGCUAAGACAACUCUGCAGAAGGCAAGGAAGUAUUAUGACAAGUUUGAUAGGUGUUAAUAUAACUAGCCCCUUGAAGUAUUAUCAGAUCUUGAACAGAACAAAAUUUAAGUAAUACGACGAAAACGCCAGAAAGGAGAUGUACUUUUCCUAGCCAAGUGCCUCUAAUGAUGAAUUAGGUAAUUUCAGGUCAAGAUCAAGUACUAACUCAGGUGUGAUGAGUGCUUCAGAGUUCUAGGCAUCAUCUAUGCAUAUAUUUGCUUUCAAGAUCUGGGGCUUACAACGAAUUUCAGUAACACCUGUCCAAGUUUAUUUUCUUUAAGAAUUGACUAAUUUAGUUGCUAAAUAUGUUUCCAAAUGAACAAAACCCAACUGCCCAAAUCUCAGCUUCUCUAGCAGAAUACAAAUUAAAAAACGAAAAAAAAAAAAACAUAAAAAUCAAUGCAGAAUGUUGAAGAAUAUGUUGUAGAAAAGGUUGAGCGACUGAGUUUAAGGUACCUAUGAGAAAGAUUGAAGUUUCCAAGUUUGUAUGGGGUAAGGAGAGGGCUUAUGGGACCACCUACUUGAGUUUGAUUAGCCAUUUCAAUUCAACUGGGUUCAGAGCUAGAUGCUACUUUUGUGUUUGGUUUUUUAUUUGAUUUGAUUUAAUCUGCAUGGAUAUUUAUACGGAAUGAGGAUCCUCUUUGGAUUAUUUUUAUAGGGAUUUUAGAGAUCCUCCAAUCACGUAUGUUUAUCGUAUAUUGUGCAGUCAUAAAUUAUUGUAAAUUUUAUUAUUUAAAAUUAAAUAUAGAUAGUACCGAAAGAAAACUGAUCGUACGAUAUACAAUAAACUAACGUGAUUAAAAGAUAUCCGGUUCCUCAUAAAUAGAAUCCGGAGCCUCAUUCAUUUAUACGUUCGGGGAGAGGAGGAAGAGAAACUCAAAAGCAACACUAGCACCAGCACAGUCCCCUUCUCCUCCACCUUCCUCCUGGGAGGCAGAGGCAGUGGUGGGCGGGGGGCUCCUUUUUCAAGGGACACCACCAAUAAUGUCUGCCAAUUUGGACACCACCAACGACCAUUUGACCAGGAAGAAGUACCAAAGUAAAAUUGGCAGUUCUUUAACAAAAUACUCAAGUUUGUAAUAUUUUAAACUAGUGCAUUUUUAAUUGUAAUUAUUUUUGUUUAAGUUCAUUUAUUAUGCUCUAAAUCACAAAAAUAAUAAGCAUUUCAGGAACAUCCACAUGCAUAUGCAUUCAUAUAGUCUAGGUUUGUGUUCAGUGGGCUAUUUAAUUUUGACUUAAAUUUUGAGUUGUAUUGUUCAUUAAAAGAAGAUUAUUGGGUUUAUUUGUAUAAUUAAUGUUAGGAAUACUAAAUUUUUAAACAAAAUUUACAAACCAAAUGAUAUGUUAUUAAUAAAAAAAAAGCAUGUUAAUCAACACUUAAUUAAUAAUUCAAUCAUCAACAGCCACAUCAUUUGGUUUACAAAAUUUAUUUUAAAAAUUUGUCUCCCUAACAUUACCCUUUAUAUUUUGGGAGUUUUAACGAAACACUCCCGGUACUAUUCACUUUUAACGAAAAUGAUAUUUUUACUCUAAAAAGUCACUCCUUGUACUAUUUACUUACAACACAUUUUUGUCAUUUGAUUAAAAUUUAAAGUUUUCAAGCCAUUUUCAUUAGUUUUUUUUUUAUAUUUUAGCUAGCAUCGUAUUCGUGGUGCCGCAUAACCUACCUAACUUUUGUUUUCUACAAAUUCAAUAUGGUGAUAAUGUCCUUGUGGAUUUUCAUCUUUAUCCUCACUUAGUUAUCUAAUUAUAUCUUAAAUGAUAAGUGAUUAGGCCUUAUCAUUUUGUGGCUCACGUGUUUUCAAAGGGAGAAGAGAGUCUAGAAUUUUAUAAUGAGGGGAUCAUAAUUUUGGCCAAAUUUUUUUUUUGGAUUAUUUUGUUGAGUUCUUAAUUGGUACCUACCGGAUUAUGGUGUGUUCUGUCCAUUUUUGUUGAGGCCUUGUCAAGUGAGACAUUUUAUCAAACGUAACAUGCGAACCGUAGGGUCGCACACAAGAAAUAGGGGAUGAAAGACAAUAGAAAGAAAGAAGUAAAUUUACAAAUAACUACACAUAAAGUUGCAUGAAAGAAAUAGCAGAUUGUAAUUUAGUGUUUUUACUCAUUCUUUUAGUUUAUGUAUGUAUGAGUCAUAUACAAAUACAGAUUGAGACUAUAAAACUAUUAAGGUCAUGAGCAGCCAAUAACUCAUGUUGAAUCGGCGACUAAAUAGUGGGAAUCCCUUAUUCGAGCAAAUUUACAACCUACUGUAUAAAAUAUAUUUAUUCGUUGGCAAAUUCAACUAUGAACUAAUUAAUUCCAAAAGUCCUAGCUGGUGGGCGUCAAAAACUACCUGCUAUUUGUUUUGUUUUCUUCCCCCCAACCCACCCUAACCGGACAUCUGUAUCCAAUUAUACGAUAGCCCAGUGCACGUAAUUGACUGCUUAGCUUAGAUGUAGUGUUUCCUUUCCUCCGACCCUCACCGUCACGAGAAGGACUCGAGUGUGGCCACUGUUGGUGGUAGGUUUGGGCGUUGUGUGAGAGGGGGUGAGACGCAAAUAGGGCUGAGUAGACAUAGAAAAAUUAGAUUCGAAAAAAAAAAAAGAGUUUUUAAACAUUAAUCCUUGCAAAAGAUUAAAAUUUAAAAAAAAAUUUAGUGCUAGAUUACAUAUUCAAUUAAUUCCUUGAAGUGUACUUUUAUCAAAAUUUAUAUUCAAUUUUUGUUAUUUAAUGUGUAUUUUUAUUUAAUCUCUCCACAUUAAAUUUUAAUUAUAUUAAUAUGCACAUAUUUAGUUCUUUAAUUAUAAAUGAACAUAAAUGAGAAAGUAUUAAAAGAAAUUUGUGAUACAAAAAUAUAUAAAUACAUAAGUGUACAAAAAUGAUUGUGUCGAAAUAUAUAAAAUUGACUUUUUUGUACCGAAAUAAUUGUACCUACAUAAUUGUACCGAAAUAUAUUAUAAUGAACCUAAAUGUAUGUACUAAAAUGUAUUAUAUUGAAUUAAUGUACAUAAAUGUCAAUACCGAAAUGUAUGUACCAAAAUGUAUGUACAGAAAUGUAUAUGCCUAAAUAUAGUAUAUUGAAUUAAUGUACCUUAAAGUCAAUACUCAAAUUAGAGGUAUUAGGUUCGAAUCUUGUGGAUGGCGAAUUCGAUAUCAAAUUAAGUUGUCCAUUGUGUGGCUUAACCGAACCCCUCUCGCCUUAGUGUAAAAUAUAUCGUUGUACUAAAAAAAAAAAAAACUCAUAUGUGUGUACCAAAAUGUAUGUACCAAAAUGCAUGUAUAUGUUUCUAUCUAUGAGUGAAUGUACCUAUAUGUUUGUAUCGAUGGAUAUACCGAAAUAUUCAAAUGUAUUAAUGUACCUAAAUGAAGAAUAUACAAAAUUGUUAUCAGACUAUAUAUUAAAAAAAAAUAGUUGUUUAAAUGUAGACAUUAAAAUAUAUUAUAAUAAAUGAAAUGAAAAUUAAAUUUAAAUGUAAUUAAUACAUUAAAAUAGGAAUAAAAAGAUAAAUAAAACAUCAAAAUAUAACUAAUAAAUGAGAUGAUUAAAUGUACUAGGGAUUAAAAUUGGAUUUUAAUCUUACACAAGGUUAUAUUCUAAAACUCAUCUUUUUUAAGGAUUAAAAUGAAGUUUUCUAAAAAAAAAAUAGAAAAAUCAGAAGGUGUUGUAUAAUUAGUGGGUGAAUGCCCACUCAAAAGAAUAAAUACUUAGGAAUAGUGUUUGAUACUUUCAAAAGUAUCAUCAUUGUAUUUGGAUGGUUGUAGUUACGGGAGUUGCUCUAUAAAUAGAGCACUCUGUGUGUUAUCUAAAUGUACACUGCGAAAGUAAGCAAAAGAAAUAAUAUCAGUAUCUCCCACCUCCUCUGGAAUACUUUUGUGUUAUAGUUAUAGCGUGAUGUUUUGCACCUCUUUGCUCUUGCCCUUAGCAAAGGUUAUCUAACUUUUGCCAAUUUAUAACACAUUAUCAGCACGACUCUCUAAUCUUAACUAGUUCCCAUCUCCCUUCAUCGAAAAAAAAAAGCUUCCUCCAAGGGUUUUCAUGUUCUUCUUCCUCCUCUACCUCAUCUGCAUGAUAUACCCUUACGAAGAACUGCUACCACCAUGCCUGCUUCUCGUUCUCAAUUUAACAAUAACUUAUAUCUUUGAUUUCUUGUUUGGUGUAGUUCCUGAUUACUAACCCAGUAUUUAUUUAUGUUAAUUUUAUUGUAAUCAAAGAUGGUGCAGUAUAAUCACCCAUCUUGAACUGCAAAUUCAAUUUCACUGCAAUCAAAGAUGGUGCGAUACAAUCGCCCAUCUUGAACUGUAGAUUUAAAUUUUAUCGUAAUUUUAGGUGGUGCAGUAUAAUCGCCUACCCUACCUUGCAUAUUUAAACUACUCUGCAUAUUAAAAUUUUCCUUAUGUUGAAGUGGUGUGGUAUAAUCGCGCAUCUUAUGCUUACUUCAAUGAGAAUGGCGAGGUACAAUUGCCCUUCUCAUUAAUCAUGUAAAUCUUUAGCCUGAAGUUUCGAGUGCUUAUCAUUUUAGCCUGAAGAUCAAAAAUUAAAAAUCUGUAAGAACCAAAAGUUCUAACACUAUAUUCCUCCAGGAAUACAUAUUAUUGCAAGUUCUUACACAUCUCAUCUUUCUUUCAGAAAAGAAAAUGACGAACUUGGCAAAACUUGAUUUUUUGCCCUAAACAUUACUGGGAAGAACCACCUUACCUAGGUAGUGGAUACCAAGAUCCAUUUGGAGGCAGAGAAUCUAAAAGAAACAAAAAAAAGAGGAAAAUAGUGCAUCCUCUCAAGAUCGGGUGAAAGCCAUGAUCUUUAUCCGUCGCCACUUUGAUGAAGGACUAAAGAGCGAGUACCUACCAGUUGAAUAUCCAUUAGCUCUCUGGAAGGCAUUGAGAAACAGAUACAAUCACUAGAAAACGGUGAUUCUUCCAAGAGCUUGUUCUGAGUGGACUCACCUAAGGAUCCAGGAUUUCAAGUCAGUGGCUAAGUACAAUUCUGCAAUGUUUAGAAUUAGCUCCCAGAUGAAGCUCUGUGGGGAAACCAUCACUGAGGAGGAUAUACUGGAAAAGACGUUCAACACCUUUCAUGCCUCCAACAUGCUCCUGUAGUAACAGUAUAGAGAACGAGGCUUCACUGAAUACAACCAGCUGAUAUCUGUGCACCUGGUAGUCAAACAUUAUUCCUAGAAAUGAAUGAUGUUUCCCCCGAAAUGAAUGCCACAUCCUCUAGUGGCAAUAAUCAUAAACGAGGACAUGGCCACAAGCGAGGCCGGUGGAAUGGGGAAGGCAAGAAUCAUGGUAUCCAGUUUCACAACCAGAUUCAAAGGCAAAAUUUAGGCUCAAGCUUUAAAAAUGUAAAUCGUCACUAAGGCAAAGCUCAUGUGAACAAUGCUUCUAGAAACUCUGAAGGAGCUUGCCAUAGGUGUGGUGGCAAUGGACAUUGGGCCCGUACAUGUCGUACCCCAAAAUAUCUGGUGGAUCUAUAUCAAGCCUCUUUUAAGGAAAAGGGUGUCGAGACCAAUUUCCUCGACCAGGCUAGACCAAUGGAUUUACUUGAUCCAGUGCUCAACUUAUUAGGGCAGUUGAACACAACCCACCUAGAUGCUUUAUACUUCAUUGUGGAAAGAGGGAAUGAAGUGUACCGGUCUGAUUGAAUUUAUGUUUAAUGUAUUUUUAUUCUGAAUUUGUAGUUUAAAACUCGCAUUUCAAUUCAAUAAAAGUGGCAUUUCAAUUUCUUUUUAUUAUGAAUAAAUUGUGUUUUACUGUGAUCCCAUUUACUCAAAAAGUAUGGAUAAAAACUAUGGUUAUUCUCAAAACAUGAGAAAUGGUAGAGAUAUUUGUCUUGCAGACAGCGCAACCACGCAUACAAUACUGUGAUUGAAAAUAUUUCUCAAGCUUAAUGCUUACAAAAGUAAGGGUAACAACAAUAUCAGACCAAUCAGAUAUAAUUGAAGGCUCAGGGAAAGCCCAGAUUAUGAUACAAAAUGGAACAAUAUUGUCCAUACAAAAUGCGUUGUAUGCUACUCGAUCUACUCGAAAUUUGUUGAGUUUCAAAGGCAUACGAUUAAAUGGAUACCACAUUGAAAAGAAAAGUGCAGAAAAUGUGGAGUAUCUAUGCCUUACCUUUAAUGAUACCCAUAAAUGUAUAUUGGAGAAGUUGCGUGGUUUGUUGAGUAGAUUAUAUUAUACAUACAUAAAGACAAUUGAAUCACAUACUGUCAUGAACCAGAAGUUAAUUGAUUCAAAAGUUUACAUGCUUUAGCAUGACCGUUUAGGCCAUCCAGAAUCCACUAUAUGUGUAGGAUCAUUACCAACUCUAAUGGACAUCCAUUAUUGAGAAGACACAUUGCUAUCUCAAAUGAUAACCCUUGCAAAGCUUGUUCUCAAGGGAAGUUGGUAAGUAGACCAUCACAACUAAAGGUUGAUGCUGAAUCCCCAUCAUUUUUGCAAAGAAUUCAAGGGGAUAUUUGUGGGCCUAUUCAACCAUCUUGUGGACCAUUUUGAUAUUUUAUGGUUUUGGUUGAUGCAUCUACUUGAUGGUCAUAUGUUUGUCUCUUGUCUACUCAAAAUGUAGCUUUUGCGAGAGUUCUUGCUUAGAUAAUUAAGUUGCGAGCACAGUUCCCAGAUUACCCCAUUAAGUCAAUUCAACUUGACAACAUUGGUGAAUUUACAUCCCAAACCUUUGAUGAUUACUGCAUGACAUUGGGCAUUGAUGUUGAACACCUUGUUCCUCAUGUCUAUGCUCAAAAUGGUUUAGCAAAAGCAUUGAUCAAGCAGCUUCAAUUAAUAGCUCGCAUUCUGCUCAUGAAAACAAAGUUGCCAGUUUCUGCAUGGGGACAUGCCAAUACAGUUUGUCAAUAUAUGAGUGGUCCAACAAAUAUACAUUUUGGAAUGGUUGAGUGGUGCAACAUAUAUACAUUUUGGAAUGGUUAAACGAAUUUGGCGAUAUUUACAGGGAAAAUUCAAGUGUAGAUUGAAUUUUACUACAGCUUUUCCUUUGUCUUUAAUUGCAUAUAGUGACUCUGACUGGGCAGUAGAUUUGAACACUCGACGAUCUAUCACUGGCUAUGUAGUGUACUUUGGGGAUAAUCCUAUUUCUUGGCAAUCCAGAAAGCAAGCAUCGGUGUCUAGGAGCUCUACUGAGAUUGAAUAUCGAGCUUUGGCAAAUACAAUUGCUGAUGUUGCAUGGAUUCGCCUCAUACUCAAAGAUCUUCAUGAGUUCUUAUCUAUACCUCCUGCCAUCUAUUGUGAUAAUCAAUUUGCAAUUUCCUUGAGUUUAAAUCCUGUUCAACAUUCUCAGAUUAAGCACUUGGAAACAGAUGUUCACUUUAUUCGAGAAUGAGUUCGGAAGGGUGAUUUGGUUGUACAAUACAUUCCAACUUAAAAUCAAGUGGUUGAUGUUCUUACCAAAGGACUUCAUGGUCCUUACUUUCUUAAACAUUGUUUCAAUCUUAGACUCGGUUACCCUAACUAAGAUUAAAGGGGGGAGGGUAUUGGAUAAGCAUGCAAUAUUGGUAGAUUAAUUGCCAUUUCAGCAUUGCUAAAUGUGUUGUGUCCAGUAGACCUGGCAUUUUGGACCUGACCUAACUCGGCCCGUUAAUAUUAGUAUUUGGGUGGAUGCUUAAUGGGUCGGAUCGCUAACGGUUGAACCCAUUAACAACCCGUUAAAUAACAGGUCACUUUGGGUCAACCUGUUAGCACCCAUUAUAAAUUAUAACCACACCUUAUCUUUUUCCUAUUUUCCUAUCUUUUUUUUUUCUCAUCGAUAAAUAAUCUACUACUUCAUAGAUUCAUUCAUUUGAUUAGUUCAUGAAAAUAUCACCGCAAGCAUUUCCGCCGCCAAAACGCUAGCCCUUAACGGGGGCCUUCAUAUCGCCCAAGCUCUCCGACCAGACCCUCCUCCGUUCCCUCCACCAUUUCCCUAAGAAAUGUCCUCCCUCGAGCCGCUCCAAUUCCUCCUACGCCGCACCUCCCGCUCUGUGAUCUGCAGGUUAAUCUUUAUCUCCAUCCUCUUCGAAGGCAUCAUCUGCAGCUCCUUGUAUGCAGGAAGAGUUCCAGAACCAGACGGAGGAGAAAUCUAAGUCGCAGCUCUUUGUCUGUUUACUAUAUAUCCAAGUCAGUACCUUUUUCACUAUUAGCACCCUUUUAUACAUCCUUUCAGUUAAUAUGUGUAAUUGUAUUGGAAUGCCAAAAAAAAAAAACACCAUUGUUAACAAGUGUUAACGGGUGACCCAUUAGAUUAACAGGUUCGAGUUCGAAUGACCCGUUAGCUUAAUGGGUCGGAUUGAACUCGACUCAAACUCGAUAAACCUGACCCGUCAUUUGUAUAAAUAACAUUUUCCCUCUAUUUCUAAACUAAGUCGGUAUUGUAAUAUCUGUUUUCCAAGAGAGAGAAAUACAAUUGAGAAUAGUUUUCUUCUUCCUUAAGCUUUUUUGUGGUUCUUAUUUCUGGAAUUCUUGAGCUUUUCCAUGGAUGUUAAGAGAGGGGUGGUUAGUUGUACUAAAUUAAAGUAGAGUUUAUAUUUCGUAAUUUUUUAUUUAUUUUGUUUUAUUAGAUUUGUGAUUCCCCAAAAUCAUCCAAUUAUGCACAAGUUCUCUUUCAUGCUAAAUUGAUAAGUUUUUAACUUUCACAACAUGCCUUACUUAAGCAAGCCAUAAUUUGCCUUACUCACGGCAUCCUUGAGCCACCGAUCUAAUUGAGAUAUUUACUAAGAUACAUUAAUUGUUUCAAGGUAUCCUAGGACAUGGUGUUCGAACAAACUAGAAGAAGCAAGAGUUUCAUUGAGGCGCAAAAUCCAACUCGAUCAAAAGAUCCCCAAUGAAAACCAAUUCAAAUUCACCCAAAUCUUUUUCAAUUUAUUAGACAAAUUGCAAAAUUUCUCAAUCCGUAAAAAAAUACAUUAAGAAAUCACUCCAAGUUCACCAAUAUCGCUUAUUCCUAAAAAGAAUCACAAAAUUCCGACAAGAUCUGCACAAAAAGAAAAUUGGGAUAAUUUGGAGGGAGGAUGGUGCAAUUUUACUCGACCUGAGAAGACCUAGGAAAUUUGGAAAAAUAACCGAAUUUUAGACCCUAUAUAGAAUUAUAGCCAUUAUUUUAAUUUUAUGAUAACUAUAACUAAAACUUGAUGUAAAAGUAUUAAUAUACUCUUAUUUUAUUAGGUUUUCACAACAACCAAAACACACAUGACACACUUGAUCGAUAGGAUGAUCUGGUCUAGGCUCCCAUAUCGAUUGCCAGUCUUGCCCUGCCAUCCCAAUCACAACAUGAAUAGGUCCCAUGCUCCCACAAGUAUAGUUUUCCAACUAACAAAACCUUUCAUAUUUGUGUAUGUUACAUUGUUCUUCACAAGCAGAGGCUACAUUGUUCUUCACAAACAGAGGCUCUAAAUGUCCAAACGCUCCAGCAUUUUCGCCUUCGUUGGAGCAUCACCUCUCUUGUUUCUUCUUGUGUACAUCGGCCUAUGUCUUUGCACGACCACAAAUGGCGUCUUCCUCCUAUCCACCGCCUCCAAAUCCCACUUUAUUAAUUCCAAUUGCUUGCUUCCUUCAACAAAAUUGGCUUCCGUUGGAAUGUACACAACAUUUAUCGCCUCAACGUCAAACGGACGGUAAAGAUUUUGCGUAACUAGGGCACUUGUUCCAGUCAGUUUAGAUGAAUUUCCAGGCAUCUUGAACUUAAGACUGUAGGGCACCCACUCCGGUUUCCAUGGCUACAUUGGCCAAUCAUACUUGUUAUUGAGUUUUUAUCAAUAAUAACCAAAAUUUAACACCUAAUUUCAUAAAUAUCACAUUUUAUAACUUCUUUAAAAAAUAACAGAAACCCCACUUAAAUAGACUUAAAUACCCUCCCUUGCUAUUCAAACAACCAAAAGCUUAAAUGCCCUUAUUUGGAAAGCAAGAGAUAGCUUGGUAUGGGAAGGUUUUAGUGCAUAUCCUAUUGCUUUAAUUCACAACACCUUCAGUUGGAUGCAUGGUUUCCAGGGAGGCCAAUGAAGAACUAGCGGAGUUAGUAAAACUAAACAAUCAUGGUGGAUGCCUCCUAAUGAACACCUAAUAUUCUUCAUUGAAAUAUGUAGCAUUCAUGGUCAAGAGUGUUUAUCAAAUAUAGCCUAAUAUUAGCCCCUAAUUUCAAAAUGUCAGUUUUCUAUAAAAACUUUCAAAUAUAUUCAAAAUCUCCCUUAAAUAGACACAAAUACCCUUAAUUCAUACAAAUAACUAGUUGUUGAAUAAAAGAUUCUUGUGCAAUAAUCAAGUUGAGCUUUCCCUAAUAUUUUUCUCAUUUUCUUAUUAGUACAAUUAAUUGACAAUUUGUAGACCAAAAUAAGAAGAAUAAAAACACAAAGAAAGAAAAUUUUCUAUAUCGUAAACCCUAAUUUUUCUAAUAUGCACUAAAUGAAUUUCAUAUAGCUUUCCUCUAAUAGAUCAGCAAAUGGUAUUAGGUUUGUCAAUCUUCCCUUGACAAAAGAAACAAAAUUUUUGUAAUAUGCACCAAAAGAAUUUCUAUUCUGUAAACCUUAAAAAUAUGUUUUUGCACUUUCUAAGAACACAAUAGAUCUCUCGAUUCACUACCACAGUCCAUGAUAACUUUCAAAACAGAAUCUGGACAAGAACAACACCCUUAAUGUAACAUCCUGAAAUUUCUAAUUCGGAAGCCAAACACACAGGUAGGCCACAAUAAAAAUAAUGGUUAAUUAUAAUUCUAACUAACCACAAAAAAAAAAAAAAAUCAUUUUGUUUAGUUUAUGGCUGCAUCUAACAUCCCGGUUAGACUGCCUACGUACCCUAAACGAAGGGAUCAAGUCAUUUGUAGUUCACAUUACGCUUCUAAAACAACAUACUAAAAUUUCAUUAUGAUCCAACGGUCGGAUCUCCGCCAAUCACGAAAUCAAGUGGCGGUCGACGUUUUAUUUUACGAACUUACAAAUCCAAUUCAGGAAGAUCCAUACGUUAGAUUACUGAUCUGUAAGUUCCUAAGGUCCUCAAAUAUUACAUAUUAUAAUGUAUCAAAUUUUAGUGAUGAUCCAACGGCCGGAUCAUCGAUAUGUAUAUGGACCAAGCCACAUAUCGUAGUGAAUUUAGGUUCAAACGAUCAACCUACAUCAUACAAAUAUCAAAAUUGAAUUCAGGACAUCUAAUUUAGCCUAAAAAUAGCAUUGACAACCUUCUGGCCACACGCUGCUGUGGGUGGCGGUCGGCCGCCCCGACUCGCCGGAAAAUUUAACUAUUUCCAAACAUUACCAAAUUUUUUAGGAAUGUACAACUCAAGGAGAGGAACAUUUUUCAUACUUGGGCCAAAGUCCAAUUUGUCCUGUAAAUACCUGAAUUUGGCCACAAACUGUCGGAACCCUAGAAUUUGGGUGGCCUCGAUCCGCCACUUCCAGUGUUCUGCCGCCCCAACCAAGGCUUGGUGACACGCCCCGACCCGGAAUGUCCAUUAGGACUCCGAACCGAGCUGUGCUGGCCAACAUCUGGAAGAUGACAAAGUCAUAAAGUGUAGUGAUGUGGAAAAUGUGAAUAAAUUUAAACCUAAAAGUGCCUAAAGAUAAGAGUGCGUUGUGAGUGGGAAUGAACCCAUUUCACACGCGACGUCAGAGCAUAAGUAAAGUAUAGUAGGGUGGGUAAAGAUCAUACCCUCAAAGGUAGCCACCUAUACUAAGAUUCGCCAAGAAUCCUCGUCAAUACGAACUUUCAGCAGCUAAAACCUUGAGGGGCGAAAAACAAGGGUGAAUGGGCCUGAAAAUAAAGUUUUAAUAAAAACCUUUUGAAAAUGUUAUAACCCCUCAUUGUAAAAUCUGUAUAAUUUCCCAGAAAAUAACAUACGUAUAUAGAAAUCAGGCUUGAGAGCAAUGAAAACCAAAGUAUGUGCCAUGUCAAGUAUCUUAGUAACAAAUAUGUAAGCCAAGUGCUGUGAAUUAAUAUAAAAUAGUAUGUCAGCCGGAGUCACCUAACGUGACCUGUAUGAUUGAACCUAUAGCUCAAAAGCCAAUUCAUGCACACGAGUCGGAACCACCUAUUGUGGUCUGUACGAUAGGCUAGGUGUAAUAAGUACGCUCAAGUGCUACGAUCACAUAAAGGCUGUGCGAUGAAUCGCGGGUCACCUAUGAGUCGGAACCACCUAUUGUGGCCUGUAUGACAGGCUGGCACCAAACUUGGAUCCAAGAUGAGCAUGCGGUGCGGGAGGUGAACGAUCAUGUGAAGGAUGUGCCCUGGCCUCGAGCGGGAGCACUAACACCGGUGUGCAGGAUAAUGAGCUUUAAAUGUAUCUACGUAUAACCAUACACAAUUCAAAUAAGACCAUCAUAGUGCACUCACCUGAUACUUACCUGUGCCUCUACAGCAUCAUUCAAUAUAAAUAUAAUUCAUACUAAUGCAACAUUUAAAGUGCAUGAACCAAUUCAAAAGCAUUUGUGGGAAUUGUCAUUCAUUCAUAUAUACUAUAAAAAGCAAAAGACCCACUCACCUAGAGUCCACGCUAUCCCUAGCAUGAAUAUCGAGGCGUCACGAACGAUUUUCGUUAUAACUCCGUUAUCCAGCAAGGUUGGGAAUUGGACUCAUUCGUUAUAACUCCGUUUCAUGAACGAUUUUCGCCUACACGCUCGUGAGAUCGAGCUUUGUCCAAAUAUGUCAAGACACAUGAUAAAAUAUACGAGGAUAAAAUACGUCCUCAUAAAAUUACGUUUUGCCACGUAGGGCAAUUUUUCAUCAUUUCCACUUAUCGAUAAAAAUUUCCACAUAAUUACUAUAUUUUAAAAUUUUCCCAGGGUAUUACACUUAAUAAUGCAAAGGUGUGAAAAUUAAAUACGAAGCACGUAUAUCCCAAAGGAAAAACGUUACAAAAAAUUGACACUUCAUUAUUCCAUAAAUAUUCAAUUGAAGGAUGAAACUACAAAAACUAAAAGAAAACGUAGAGGAGGAAAAAUGUAGAAAAAACUAACCAUCUACUAGGUCUCCACCAACCGUGGAUGCUUUUGUUAGGUCUCCACCAUUUUUUAGGUUUAAUCGUGAGAACUCUUCAUCUAAUAGGGUUUUAGUAUUUUAAUUUAUUAUGUUUAAAGUUUAAGAGUACUUGUGUCUAUUUGAGUGAUAUUUUGGACUUAUUUGAAAUUUUUUAUAAAAACUAACAUUUUUUGAAUUAUGAGUUAAUACUUGGCUAUAUUUGAUAAAUACCGAUUGUUAUUGCCAAUACAAACAUGGUAUGAAGUCUUGAAUAUAUACAUAACAUGACAUGAAUAAUAUAUUAGUAAUUUUACAUCAAAUUUUGAUUAUAAUUAUCAUAAAAUUAAAACGGUAGCUAUAAUAGAGUACAAAUUUGAUUAUUUUUUCAAAGUUUCUAGAAGACCUCGCGGGAGACGAUGUUUUGGGGCACUAGUCCUCUUCAUCUUCUUCCCGCAACGGAGCUCUACUCGAUUGCAUUGCAGUGCAGGUUGCUCACCAAUUUGGGGAUUGCAUUUCGUUGUUGGAUCGCACUAAGGUUCAAGUUCGUGCUCUUUCGAAUGUGCCGAAGGCUACUCUGGUCACAAUUGAGCAUCCUACUGAGGAUGAUUGGGAGGUUGUGAAGCUAAUUCUGAGCUUGCAAGGGCUGCAAUUUUGAAUCAGGUGCUCCGAGUGUUGUCAAUUCGUGAUCUUUUUGGUUGUUUGUAAUCUGUACAUUUGUAUAUUAGUAUUACCGUGUUGUUCGGUUGAUGAAUGCAGGUGAGGAUUCUUCAUGAAGAAAUGAAGUUUCCCUUGUGGUUGAACGGCCGCACUACCAUUACAUUUCAUGCAGCUUCAACCUUCCCGAAAAAAGCGGUGGGUAAGAUGAUGUAUGCUUCGUCCGAAUUCAAUUAUUCAAUGAAUUCUCAGAUUAGAAAUCAAUGAGCCCCGCGGCUUAAUGCUUGUACUUUAUAAUGAUAUCUUGGUCUACUUGUGGAUAUUACCAGUGCAACUGGUGCCAGGGACUGAAGUUGCAGUUGUUUCAUAGAGAGGCAAGACAGUCGGCCCACAUGGAGAUCGUUCCAUUCUCUCUCCAAAUCGAUGGAAUCAUAUUUCAAGGAGGCAAGAUCUUUCUGAUUCAGUUGCUAUUCACUUCGUCUUUAUUUGAGAACUUGUCUGCAUUCAUAUGCGUAUAUUCUACCCAAUGUGAUUGGAUUACUGUUUAGCUAUAAUUCAUAUAGGAUUACAGGCUCGAAUGCUAUUCGUUGGAACUGACAAAUGCUUUUGGUUCUUGUUCCUAUAUUUGGAUUUAAUCUUCUAAUUAUACAUUCAUGAUGCCUUUUAUCACACUGUUUCUUUCACAAUUAAUCAAAAAAGUUGGUGUCUUCCUGUGGAUUUUCCAUCCCUUCCUGUAUUAAGUGGCUAAUGGGGUAUGCUAAGCUUGCCACUUAACAAGAAAAUGUUAAGCAAAAUCAUUUAUAACCUUUCGUUGACAAAACUGAUUGUUUUAAUGAGCCUGCUCUCAUACCUGCUGGGGUAUAUUUAAAUGGAUGCAAUGGUGUUUUGAAGAAUGACAUUCCAUUGCUUUCAGUUUCUCCCUGCUGCUUUAAAAUAUUGAAAGACAAAGCUGCUGAAAGAAAUGGUCUAGAUGUUCUCAAUAGGCACAAACUUUGUGAUAAGAAAAACAUGUUUCUGACGACUGGCACAAGCACCUAUGUAGUUGUUGCAGAUUGGCCCCCAUGAGAAAGUUGUUACUGCUUUUCCAUAUGAAUAUUCUCGACAAGAGGAUGAAGAGGCGGCUUAGCAGUCUGACGAGUUAAAGGGAGUCUCAGAUUGGAAGUGAAAGGGCAUAAGUCUCAGAUUGAGGAAAAGGUACUGGAAUCAUCACAUGGAUCCCACAAAAACAAAACUAAGAAUGCUGAUCAACCAAUUGAAAUCUUAUGUGCAUGGAAGUUUUCCAGUGAAUCUCAACAUGCUGCCAGAAAUGCAUAUGAGCUUGAAGGUGGUCGAUCCUAAGAUGGCUGAUCCUGUGACCAUUAAUUCAGUUAGGGAGAGAACAUUUGGAAAAGACAUCAGUUCUGAUGCAUCACCUUUGUGUUGGAUGGAAACAAUUCCUUCUGACGUUUCAAACAGUAGGUAUUUGGAUUUCCUUGUGAAGCUGUUUCCUGUUCUGGCACCUUUUUUAUGUUCACCAAUUCUUAUAUGAAAUUUUGAUGGUCUGUUGGAAGUUCAAUGAGGCCGCUAUGUUGUUACUUAAGCUGGGCACAAAGCACAGGUGAAUACACACACAGAUGGACAAUCUAACAAUGAGAACAUAAAAAUGUUCAAGCUUUUGUGAUGUAUGUUUUAUUGAUUUGUUGUUAUCAGUUAGAAUAUGGCAGUAUCUCAGGAUGGACAUUGGAGUUACAAAGAAAAAAAGGAACUUUUGAUUUUUGACUUUCUUAUCUUGCAAAUAAACGCCACUAAUUUAGUAUUGUAUCCGCUCUUAAUUAUGUGCAUUACAAUAAGUGUUCUGUAUCUUUUUAAUGAAGUUUCACAGUACUGUGCAUGAUAUCUGUCAUUGACAAAGUUCGUCGAUGAGGUUCUUAAAUUGACUUCCUACUUGUUUGCUAGUGUUAUUUGCUGCAUGUGUCUCUAUGAGAAUAAUUAAUUAUUUUUACCCUUAUCUCUAAAGGAUUCCGUAGUGUUCCCUAAUACAAGAUGUUUUCAAAUGUAGGAAUGUUGGUGUUGUUAACUCCUGCUUCUGGGGCUUGGUUCAGUUCAUGUGACCUUCCUCCCCCCGGACACGUUCUGCUAUAUGGAGCUCCUGUGAGUUCAUCAUAUUUUCACAUUUAAUUUUUCCACUGGUUCAUCAUAGCUCUCGAUACCAAUUGUUGAUUUUAAUCCCCCUUAGUUGAUCUUGUUUACCGAUGCAAACUUAUAAGAUGAUGCUAUGCGAAGUAUAUAACAAUAAAGAAAACACGCCACACACAAACGCAAAGAAUUAGCGAGUUUCGGCAAACUUCCCCUUGCUUGAGAUCUCUCGAUCACUCCUGUCUCUCUACUCUUGUAUUCUCUCUGUUGUUCGUGUUAAUAAACAACCCCCAACAAGCCUAUUUAUAGUACAUAGACCAAUGAUUACAUGCCUUACAAGUAUAGAAUUCCUAAAUCCUUUUAGAAUAGGGAAAACUAACGUAUUCCCUUUGAGGAGAGAAAUCACAACACUUUCAACCCCUUUAUUUUAAAUAAAAAGGGUAUGUGUUUGUUCAAACCAGAAUUGGAAGAAGUUGGAUAAAUGUGAGCCUAUGCUGUCGUGUUUGGUAUUAUAAUGCAUGAAUGACAUAGCUUUUAAUCUAUUGUACUAACGUGAUGAAGUGCGAUAACUCUACUGUUUAUGUCCUUUAGUCCAGCAAAGAAUUCUAUUGUUUCUUUGACGCUGUUUGCGAUGUUGUGAUGAUAUCUUAGAAGAUAUAGCUUCCAAAUGUGGUGGCUAUGAUUAAUAUGAUCUGGUAUUUUUCCUGUUUUUAAAAUUACUUCUUUGGGGGAGGGGAGUUGUGCAGCGCUAUGUAGAAGUCACUUUUAUAUGCUUUACAGGCUGUUAUAUUACUCCACUGUUGCAUCCUUAUAUUCCUACCUUCGAACUUUUAAUUCUUGAUAAAUGAAUGCUUAUGAAGGCGACACCACAUGAUAAUGUUUUGGCAAAAGAGAAUCCCUUUCAGUGCUUCAAGCAUGACAUUUUCUGCCUAUUUUUUGACUUCCAUAUUUAAAAUGUUUUUGUCAGUAUUCUGAUCAUCUAGAAUUAUUGUAGAGAUAUAGUUUUGAUAUUGAUUAGCUUAACAAUCUACCUUUUGAUGAAUAUUCUGUUGUAUGGACCUCCUGGUUGUGGAAAGACGCACAUAAUUGGUUCGGCUGCUGCAGCCUGUCCACUAAGAUUUAUAUGCAUAUAGUAGCGACACACACCAGAGAAUAUGCAUAUAGUAGCGAUUUACAACCAGGGUAGAAUUGGCGGUAAAGGGUGGGUGAGAACAGGUUUCCAAUAAAAUUUUAUUGGGACAAUUUUUAAUUUGUUAGAAUAACAACAGUCCAAUGAUUUUGUUCUUGACUUGAAUACAGCAUAAAGAUCCAUUACAGGCUUUGCAUGGUAGUCGUCAGUUCCUGUACGAUCAAGACCAUAUCCAUCUAAGGACUUGGUGAAUAAAUACAUUGGUGCUUCCGACCAAGCUGUAAGUGGUGGUUUAUGUCGAUCUUGGUCCUCCCAUGGAAUCGAAAGUCCUGUUUGUGGAUUGUUUCGAUCAUAUUUGCAUCGUCUUGAUUGAGUUCUGAGUAUAUGCCAUCUUUUCUAAUUAUAGGUUUUCCCAUUGUCUACUUAUCUAAUGUAAAAGAGACUUUAUUUUCAUGUUAAGCAGUAGAAAGUUAGAAACAAAUAUGCAUGCAUGCAUAAUGCAUUCAGGAUCAGUUCUCUCUCCUCCUUUGGCUCCUAGUUUCCUGCAUCAUUAUACCAUAAGAAACAUUGUUAUCAUACAAACAAACCUAAAGCAAACAAAAACAAACCAAAUAAUUUCUUUCAUUCCACUCACCAGCACCGCCUCCUCCUCGCGCUUUCUUCCCCGCCCCUUCACAGCAGCCAACGCCCUUUUUUGAAAAGAAAAAACGAGGGAACAAUUAGAUAAUGACUUCAAGUCUACAAGUACAUAUAUUGUAACUGCAAAAAUAGACAACAAACCAAUCCAACCCAGGAAGAUCCUCCUUCAAACAACUUGCAUCGACCAAGUCAUCAAGCUUGUUUGCAUAAUCACGCCUGCAAAAUAACAAGACGACCAUAAAUUCACCUUCGCAUAAAACUACAGCAAAAUGCAUCCCAUAUUACUCUACGUGUCACAACGUCUACGUGAUAAAUAAUUGCAAGAUUCCUUACAUGGCAAACACUUGGAAGAUUUUCUCGUCGGGAAUGACUUCAUCACUGAAAUAGUAUGUUGCUUCGGCUACAACAUCAGCACGAAUGGAUGGAUUCUCAGGAAAGCCCUCGAUCGACACCUUGAAGACUGCGACACGGCAACAGCAGAAACCCAGCUUGUCAAAGCCGGAGCACACGAUGCACAUAAGGUCUUCCUCGCCAAACUGGGUGAUGAAAGAAGUGCAGUUGUUUAUAUGGGGACGGAAUAUCUUCCGGAGCCCAUCCACCUCCUGAGAGUCGAAGGAAAGGCCACCGCAACCCGAUCGAUAACUACAGACACACCCUAGUUGGGGAAAAAGGAGAAAAUCCUUAUACUGUGCUAAACCUCCCCGGGCAUACAUUCCGCCCAUGAUGCCACAAUCUUCGUGCCAUUUUUCUGAACUAGUGUCAAACUGAUAGCGUUGGCCAGUCAUCCGGUCUCGAACAAUGAGAUUCUUAUCCCAUGUGUAGCAGCAAUCCAUGAAUACACCCUCAAUCUUAACAUCAACGAUGAAUGGAGGAUUCGGUAGAACUUUCCAAAGAAGAAGGGAAGGAUGGAAGACCUCAAACAGGGCGGGUGAGGUUUCUUGGACGUCCUUUCCUCUGUACUCUGUAGACAAGACAUAAAUCUUGUCGUCAAUGGUGGCCACGAAGGGUUGGAGCUUCGGACCACACAUGCGGGGAAGGUUAGACUUGCACAUAGGAUACAACAUCGAGGUUGGCCCAAUCGGGUGGGGCUUUAUAAGCCUUCUUCAACGCUUCGAAAUGAGGGCGGAUAUCAUCCAAAGCCGGAUGAUUGUAGAUAUGUGGAGAUUCCCACAGGGGUUUAGGAAAGGAAGGGGGUUGAAGACUAAAUUGUCCUCCAACAAUAUAAGGCUUGGAGUCGACCAUGACAUAUCUCAUGCCCCAUGGAAGAGAGCGUGGGCGGGUUGUGCUUGUGCGGCUGCCCUCGUUGUCGCUGUCAUGGUCGGGAUAAAAUCCGUUGUGCAACAGUUUGAACUCGGGCUUUGGUGGCCUGCGAGACUUGUGCAGUUUAGACCACUCCAUCAAUUUGACAAUAUCCAAAGCCAAUAGUUGCCUGCCCAUUUGCAUAUGCAAUAUCCAACUCUUCCCAUCCUCGGGCAUUGUCAUAUUCAAUAAUUUAGCCUGUUUGAACAAAAACCGGCAUCAAUCAGACACUGACAGUUUGUUUAGUCAUGAGUGUAAGUAAGUGAGUAACCACGCUAAAAAAGAAAACGACCCAUAACAAUAUCACAGGUACAUGCACCGAGUAAUCAAAGUAUUCCAGUUGCAUAAGGAAAGGGAGAUGGAAGCCGAAAGGUGAAGGGGGUUUGGGAUUCAAGAACCUUUAUGCGUUUAAUCUCGCUUUACAAGCAAAGCAAGGAUGGAGGUUAAUACAAAAUCCUACUUCGCUUGUAUCCCGAAUUUUCAAAGCCAAGUACCACCCUUAAACGGAGUCCGGGUUUGGAUCUGGGUUCCUACCAAAUUAUCAAUUUAUAUUUGAGUGAAGAGUUGUAUAAUAUUUGGUUUAAAACUGAAGUUAUAGAAGAAACUGUUUGAAGAUAUAACCCAAAAACUCAAGUAAUUCAAAUCACAAAAUUCCAAAAACUCUACCAGUACCCAAAUUGCAGAUACCCAUGUAAGUGAAAUAAAACAACCAUGUCAAGCAUCUCAGUAGAAAAAUUUACCUGUAUUUAGGAAGGAGGCAAGGAUUUGAGCGCGGGGAGGAGAAAGAGAAACAGAGAGAAACAGAGAGAAGAGAGAACGGCUGGUUGACAAUUAGGGUUGGGGUAUACUUUGUAUUUAUACGGGUCGGUAAGAGAGAGAGCUGGAGGAGGCGAUGCUUCCGUGCGAAAGAGAGUAAUGUGCGGUGUGGGUCGACUAAGGGGAGGAGAGAGAGAGGCGGUGAGGGUUAAAGCGGUUAAGGGGAGAAAGAGAGAGAAAGUGGGGUGUGGGUAGGGUUGGCUUCGAUUCAAAACGGUUCGGUUUUUUGUCAAAAUCGAAAUCAAAUCAAAAUUUUGGUUCGGUUUAUUUUUUUUUCGGUUUGGUUUUUUUCGGUUUCGGUUUAUUUUUUUUUCGGUUUGGUUUUUUUCGGUUUCGGUUUUAUUUUUAUUUUUUAAUGAUGUAAAUGGAAGAAACCUACCUAUCAACCUCCCAGUUCUCAUAUGUUCUCAUAUAUCAGAGAAUUGAGUGCCUUAAAAUCUGGAAUAUAUUCAAGUAAUUCAACUACUUAUGAUCAAGCAAAUCGAUUUCAAAUUUUCAAAACUUAAGCAAAUACAGAAACAUAUAUUCUUCAAGGAAAUGUACAUCGCCAAGAUUCAAAAUUCUAAAAAUUUAAAAUUUAAAAAAUCAUGAAAUAAUUCAACAAAUUAGUUGAUCGAUGCAGAUCGAAACAAAAAAAAUGCAAAUGGGUUCGUCUAAAUGCCAUAGUCGGACUCCAAUAUUGCAUGCCCAGUGCCCACAUUCAAAUUCAUAGUCAAGUCCACAAUAGAUCUAGAAAAUUCCAAAACAUAUUCAGAGAAAAAUACAAACUUUUUCACUUAAAAUUACAUAAAUUUCAAAUGGGUAACCAUAAAUUAAAAACCCAUGAACUGACAAAUAAAUAAAACCCACAACCUUUGAUGCAGUGAUAUUGCCAUGAUCGUCGCAAGCUCUUACAAUUCCUCUUUUCGUCGGGUCUUGUCGGGUCUCGAAAGGGGUGAGGGAAAAUCAUGGUUUGGAAGAAGGAACCCACGAGGAGGACAGGAGAAGACUGGAGAGAGAGUGAUUUGGAGGAAGAGAGGAAUGAGAGAGAGAGAGAGAGAGAGAUAGACUGAGGAAACAAAGGCAGAGAGCAACCGACGGAAUAGAGAGAAGUGUUUAGGAUCUGAAAUGAAAUGGGAGUGAGACGGCUAGGGUUUGUAAAGUUAAGAAAUUUUAUAAAGCAUUAAACAUAAGAAACCUAUAAAUAAAUUACUGGUACAAUUAUAAGAACACAAAGCCUACAGUCAAGUUGGCUUGCAGCAACUAACCCCAACAUGCAGGGAAAGGGUUCAAACCCCGACGCUAACAUGUUUUCUUUUAGUAUUUAUAUAUGAUUUUUUUUUCUAUCCGGUUUGGUUUCUGGACCUCAAAAACCGAAACCGAACCAGCCAGAUUCAGUUCUAUUCGGUUUGGCAGUUUCGGUUCGGUUUUUUUCUGCCUCAGUUCGGUUUGGUUUUCGGUUUUUUGAACCCACCCCUAGGUGUGGGUGGGUUAUGGGGAGAAAUUUAUAUAUACUAAAAGCCUGUAGAUUAUCACUGUUCAUAUUGUCAGAUAUAGCACUGUUCAUCAACAGUGAAAGAGCAAACUUGGCUUCACACCAAAUACACGUGAGCGUGAGCAUUGAACAAAGUCAAGAUGAGCCUAAACCCGCCCCUUGAACAUCAGUCUUGGAUAGGCUGAACUGUUCAAAACCCAGAAUUUCGGCACUCGAUCGCAUUGAUGGUCAUAACUGAACCUCCAUCUUCAAAAGGCUUAACACGCCAACACCCCAAAGCUUUGUUUUCGAAAGGUUGUCAAAACCUAAGAAACAAAGUAAUGCAGCUAGCUCUCCUCCGCAAUGAUCGGUUUUGGAAAUAUUUGAAUAAACCAAGAAGCCUUCUAGAAAGAGGAAGACAACGCCAAAGAAGGAAAAGCUCAACAAUCUAGCAAGGAUGAAACGCCAAGAAACCUUGGAAGUUAACACAAAAUGACCACUGAAGGUAAAGAGGCGCACCAUCAUCCAUAAUGGCCAAUCUUCACACUAACAAGCCCAACAGGACAACACCGAAGAGGAAGUCCAAGACGUCUUCCACAUCACAAUCCAAGAAGAUAAAGAAAAAGAAGUCCCCGAGGAAAACGUCACUGCUGCACCACCAUAGCUUGAGGAUGAGGGGCAAGCCAUGGUUGAUCAUCUCAAGGAUCUCAACUUAGGCAUAAGUGAGGAAGCAAAGCCUAUCUUUGUAAGUGCAUUACUAAGUGCGGACGAGAUCGAUGAGUAUUACCAACUAUUCUUGGAGUACAAAGACGUAUUUGCUUGGACCUACAAAGAAAUGCAUGAACUUGACCCUACCAUCAUCGUGCAUCGUCUUCCAGUCAAGGCUGGAACACGACCAGUAAAGCGAACUCAAAGACAAUAUCAAUCUGAACUCAUCCCACGAAUUGAGGUCGAGAUUGACAAGCUAAUCGAAGCAGGCUUCAUUCGAGAUGUACAAUACCCUAAGUGGAUCUCCAACAUCGUCAUUGUCCUUAAGAAAUCUAGACAAAUAUGUGUUUGCGUAGACUUCCAAGAUUUCAAUGAUGUUUGUCCAAAUGAUAACUUUCCCUUGCCAAUCAUCGAAAUCAUGGUGGAUGCGACCAUUGGCCACGAGGCAUUAUCAUUCAUGGAUGGCUCAUUUGGGUACAAUAAAAUCCACAUGGCUCUUGAAGAUGAGGAACUAACAGCCUUUCGCACUCUAAAAGGUAUCUACUACUACAAGGUAAUGCCCUUUGGCUUGAAGAACGCUGAAGCCACAUAUCAACGCGCCAUGAAGAAGAUCUUCAACGACAUGCUACACAAAAAUGUAGAGUGUUACGUACAUGACGUAGUUAUCAAGACUAAGAAAAUAUCCGAUCACUUGAAGGAUUUACGAAUGGUGUUCGACAAACUAUGACACUACAACCUCAAAAUGAACACAUUGAAAUGUGCAUUUAGCGUCACCUCUGGGAAGUUCCUCGGCUUCAUUGUCAAGCACUAUGGCAUUGAAGUAAACCAAUCAAAGAUUAAGGCCAUUAAAAGCAUGCCCGAGCCAAGGAAUCUACAUGAGCUGAAAAGUCUACAAAGAUGGCUUGCCUUCAUCAAACGCUUCAUCUCCAACCUCGCUGGACGCUGUCAACCCUUCAGUCGACUCUUGAAGAAGGAUGUUCCGUUCAUAUGGGCUGACGCUUGCUGCAAUGCCUUCGAAAGCAUAAAAAGGUACAGUGCUAGACCAAUGGAUUUACCUGAUCCAGUGCUCAACUUAUUAGGGCAGUUGAACACAGCCCACCUAGAUGCUUUAUACUUCAUUGUGGAAAGAGGGAAUGAAGUGUACCGGUCCGAUUGAAUCAUUUAUGUUUAAUGUAUUUUUAUUCUGAACUUGUAGUUUAAAACUCGCAUUUCAAUUCAAUAAAAGUGGCAUUUCAAUUUCCUUUUAUUAUGAAUAAAUUGUGUUUUACUGUGAUCCCAUUUACUCAGAAAGUAUGGAUAAAAACUAUGGUUAUUCUCAAAACAUGAGAAAUGGUGGAGAUAUUUGUCUUGCAGACAGCGCAACCACGCAUACAAUACUUUGUGAUUGAAAAUAUUUCUCAAGCUUAAUGCUUACAAAAGUAAGGGUAACAACAAUAUCAGACCAAUCAGAUGUAAUUGAAGGCUCAGGGAAAGCCCAGAUUAUGUUACAAAAUGGAACAAUAUUGUCCAUACAAAAUGCGUUGUAUGCUACUCGAUCUACUCGAAAUUUGUUGAGUUUCAAAGGCAUAUGAUUAAAUGGAUACCACAUUGAAAAGAAAAGUGCAGAAAAUGUGGAGUAUCUAUGCCUUACCUUUAAUGAUACCCAGAAAUGUAUAUUGGAGAAGUUGCGUGGUUUGUUGAGUAGAUUAUAUUAUACAUACAUAAAGACAAUUGAAUCACAUACUGUCAUGAACCAGAAGUUAAUUGAUUCAAAAGUUUACAUGCUUUAGCAUGACCGUUUAGGCCAUCCAGAAUCCACUAUAUGUGUAGGAUCAUUACCAACUCUAAUGGACAUCCAUUAUUGAGAAGACACAUUGUUAUCUCAAAUGAUAACCCUUGCAAAGCUUGUUCUCAAGGGAAGUUGGUAAUUAGACCAUCACAACUAAAGGUUGAUGCUGAAUCCCCAUCAUUUUUGCAAAGAAUUCAAGGGGAUAUUUGUGGGCCUAUUCAACCAUCUUGUCUUAAGAGCUCCCAUGCUUGGAAAGCCGUUUAUCCUAUACAUUGUUGCACAAGAAGGAUCCAUUGGAGCAUUUUUAGCACAAGAAAAUGAAGACCAAAAGGAAAAAGCACUCUACUACCUAAUUAGAACCAUCACUGAUGUCAAGCUCAACUACACACCAAUCGAGAAAAUGUGCAUUGCCUUAGUCUUUGCCAUCCAAAAGCUUAGACACUACAUGCAUGCUUACACCAUCCACUUGGUUGCCAAAGCUAACCUGGUCAAAUACAUCAUGUCCAAGCCAAUUUUGACAUGGCGACUAUCCAAAUGGGCAUUGCUUCUCAAUCAAUAUGAGAUCAUCUACAUUCCAGCUAAAGUCAUCAAGGGACAAGCGCUAGUAGACUUCCUUGCCAAUCAUUCAAUCCAGCCGAUUGGAAAAUCUCAGACGACUUGCCUAGUGAUGAGGUGUUUUACGUCGACAUCUUCCUGACAUAGACAAUGUUCUUCGACAGAUCCACACGAGCAGACGGAGCGGGGGCAGGAGUAGUAUAUAUUGUUGGAAAUGUGCCCUAAAACCAAUCAUAUAAUGAUACUUUAUGGACAUUUAACAUGUUAAACUAAUCUAGUUUAAUAUAAAGGGCAAAGAUUAUUGUUUUAAGCCGUCUCAUAUAAAUGUUAUAUGCUUAAACGAUAAGUCCAAAGAAUAUGCAAUUGGGAGAAUGUGAUCUAAAGAAGUUAGAUUCAUGAGACGAUUCUCUUUCGUAUACAUAUCCUAAACGUUCCUGAUCAUAGGAUUGCCAAUUGGGCAUUGACAGUCCGUUAAGAUCAGUACAUGUUAUGUCUUCUCUUAGGGAGAGUGACUGGUCUUGAGUCAUUGGUGGGACUGACACUAAGACAAGCAUGUAGGUGCUCAAUAGAGAAUGAGUCCACUGAACACGAUCAACAAGGAGUUCUCAUACUCAUGUCACAUGAGAACUCAUGGUUGGGACAAUGCAAAGUAGUCAUUUCACCUGAGGCAUCAUAGUUGUCUUGUGGUUAGGUCUUUGAUCUUUGACUAUGUCAAAGUCACUCCAUUAGAGGGGUUAAGCCAUUUAGCCAUAGAGGCAAGUGAAUGCGCAACAAGGGAUCUCUAACCUUCAAACCGUUUAAGGGAAAAUACUCUAUGAUAUGAUUAAGAAUCUCUGGCCAGAGUAUGAAUGAGAUUUAGGAAGUCGUUCCAAAUCACAUUCAAGGUAAUCAUAUAAGUAAGAGAAUCACAUUGGAUAGUAGACAUGAAUAAACUAUCAAACCAAACAAUGUGGUUAAGAGUAUUGUAUUAGAGAAAUACCGUAUUGCAUUGUAAUCUUAAACUAAAUAGGUUCUUCACCUCUUCUGAUUAGCUUGGGUAACCAUGACAUACUGCUAGGUGUCACUCAUGGUUUGUGGAAGCCCUGAACGUGUAUUACUAAAGGGUGAAUUGAAAGUAAGUUUCAAUUCACAAUCGAUUUGAAGAGUUCUAAUCGCCCACUGCCUCGCUAAAAGGAACCUAAUAGAUCGUACACUGAGUAAGGUAGAGAUUGAAGAAACAACGGAGAUGAUUAAGGAUAAUUAAAUGGUUUAAUUAUUUAUGGCUAGAAUUAAUUAAUAUGUUAAUUAAUCAAACGAAUAUGUUCGUUAUAGACCUUGGGUUAGUUUUGGGCCGCAAGGCCCAAUGGGAUUUGAAUAUCAAGCCCAUUAACUCAAGUUGUAUGACAAAUUGAAAAUACAAAGGGCUUGAAAGCCCAAUGAACCCUUAAUGGCCGGCUAUAUAGAGAGGGGUAGUGAACUUGGCUUAAUUGCAAGUUUGCCACUCCAUUGUAAGGUGGUAUAAAGGUAACCUUAUAGCCAUUUCAUCCUUAGGGUUUUCAUUUCAAGAAAAGAUGAGAACACAAGCUCCCUUUUCUCUCUAAGAACCCGGCCACCCUAGGAAGGUUUUACUAGCAUCUAAAUCUUCCUAGGUCACUCAUCUCCUCAUCACUGCUCUCAUUGGUGUGUAGAAUCCAUUUCACCAUCCUCCUCCAAGAAAUCCAUGGAGCAAAGAAGUAAGGAAUGAAGGCCCUAUCAUCAAGGGCAACUUUGUUUGCUAUAACUUUCCAACAACCUUGGUGGCUCCAGUGCUGCUAGGAAUGAUGUUGAAGGAAAAGGCACGUCUACCUUUUCGGUCAUUUUGUCGUUGAUAAACUUGGCAAAUGGAGCAAGGCAAUUGGUAGUGCAACCAGCAUUGGAAAGAAUGUUGUUGUUUGGCUUGUAUUCCUUUUUGUUGAUAAACAUGGAAACAUCCUUGCUGGUUGCAAAGAUGAUAAACUGGCAAAAUACCCGAAGUCGAGCAAACUGGAAAAGAAGGAUAAAAGAUAAACAAACUUGGACAACUAUUCUUUUUUUUUUUUGUCUUUUUCUUGUUGCCUCUUUUCAUAUAAUAUAAUAUAAUAAUAUAUAUAGCCAUUUCGGGCAAAGUGCCUUUUCUUUGUCUCUUUUAAUAUAAUAUAAUAUAGUAUAAUAUAUAUAGCCCUUUUCGGGCAAAGUGAAAGACAAGAUAGGGAGAAAGAGAAAGGAAGGAAAAGAAAUAAAAAAUAAAAAAAUAAAAGGAAGGAGGGAGAGACCCACCUUCGGGCAAAAGAAAAUAGAAGAGAUGAGAAAAAGAAAAAAGAGAGACAAAGAGAAAUAAUAAACUAAAAACAAGAAAGAAAGAGAAGUUCCUUUCAGCCAAAAAGGGGACAGAAGAGAUAAGAAAAAAAGAAAAGGGAAAAGGACAAGACAAAGAGAAAGAGAAAGAAAUAAGAAAAAGAAAGAAAGAGAGAUCCUCUUUCGGGCAAAAAGGGGAACAGAAGAGACCCUCUAGUCAUCUGUGCUUUUUUAUUGAUGCCACUUCCUUUAGCCGCCCUUUAACAUCACCAGUAGAUACAUCUUCUCCCUUAUAUGUCCCAAUGUUUUCAUAUGUUGCUGUACUUCCACCAUUUAUGCCAUCAAGCUAGUCUUGGGAUUCUGUUGGCUCAUUCGAUGAUUUUUCUUUCUUUUUCUUCCUUUUUGAAUUUUUACUCUCUCUAGUGGCAUCCUUCUUCUUGUCUACAUCUCCAUUUUGAUUAUCUACUUUCUUCUCUUGGGCAACACCACUGGGAUCAUCUUGGCCACUAGUCUUGGUUUUGGUAGGGUAUCCCAGCUCAGCAAGAAUUGCUUCAAGUUCUUCAAGCCCCUUUUUAGAAAGCUCCCUUUAUGUAUCCUUGGAGGCUGGAGAAGGUUCAGGGAGUUUACUGUGAGAAUUGGUAUGGGCCAUUCAGAGAUGGGGAUCAGUUAGGUGAAUGUGCUAUUCAUGAUUCUGCCUUUUGCUUCUACGGCUGUAUUGGAAGCUUCAGAAGUCCUCGGAACUUGGCGAGGUCCCAGUGCAGUUGCCAGUUUCUGUGGUACUCAAAUUAAUGUUCUUUAAGAACUUUUUAGACAACAGCGAGUAAAGCUCCGUAAAAAAUGAAAGUGGUCUCGUAUUGUUUCCCAAGCAGCUGUGGUGUUCAGUGAAGGAAAUUAAAGAUGGUGAUACAUACAACGAGGUAGGAUGGCUGUUAGAUCAUAGACGUGCCAUUACAUUAAGAUGCACCUUCUCAAGCAUAGCAACGCCAAAGGAAAUCCCGGUAGCAAACGAAACUUAAAAACAAACGAUAGCCUCAGAGCAGAUGGCACUAGAUGUGUGAAAUUGUAACAACCCGUCCCGGGAUUUAAUGUACAUAAAAGAUAUUUUCGUAUUUUCACCAAGUUUGGGAAUUUAUUUUCCUCUUAAAAUUUGUUUUUGGGUCUUAAAUGGUGAGCCAGGGACCCACCCUGAUUUCUGUCCCCCGCAUCCCAUCUCUCUCUUCUCUCUUUUCCCGUAUCUCUCUCCAUUUUCUUUGCAACUCUCUCCCUCUCACCCGUGUUCUCCUUCCUUGCACACCCUCAUCUCCCACAUCAUCAACACCACCAGUUUUCCCUCUCUAUCUCUCCCGCUGCUGCAAGUCACGACAUAAUCCUGAGGAAGAGCUCCAGCGAGUCUCCGUCACACUCGACAGGGGUAGGUCUUGAAAAAACACUCCAAAUACUUCUCUUUUCAUCCUUAUAGUUCUUUUCUGACCCCGUGGUUAUGUUUUUGGACGUCAAACCAUGAAGAAACACGUCGGGGAAACUUCCUGGAUUUCCGACGAGAAACCGACAGCUUUCGAGGCCAUUUCCGGCCAAACCAAGACGAAUUGGCAGGCGUGCAAGGUAUCAAUCUCUUCGUCUCUUUGAGUACUACAACUUUCCUUUUUGUUUCACUCAAUUGCGUUGAGUAUUGAAGAAGUUAUACUCAUUUGAAUCUUACCCAGUUUCCGGCAACCUCCGAGGCUUUCGAGGCAUUUUCCGGGCAAACCACGGUGAGUUAGAAUCGUACAAGGUAUCAUUUUCUUCGUCUCUUCGAGGGCUAGAACUUUCAUUUUUGAAUCACUUGAUUUCGUUGAGUCGUGAUAAAGUUAUGGCCGUUUAAAAGUUGUGCAUUUUCCGACCAAAUUUCCGACCUUCUUCUUCGGCAAAACCAGGCCUUUUAGGCCAUUAGAACCGCCUCGGGCCUUAGCCGUUUUAGGCCAGCCCAGUACCCUAGCUGCAUGAUUUUUAUUUUUAGUUUAGGUUUUAAAAACCCAAAAGAACACGGGCCUUAUACUGAAGGGCUUUGGGCCCGUAAUCAAAACCCAGUCCAUUCUUUUAAUUGUUUUAAAGGCCUUAUAGUCUUGGGCCAUUAUUAUUUAUUUGAGGAUUGAAGCCUAGCCCUUUUUGGCCUUAAGGCCUUCGGGCCAUUAGUGUGUGAAUGUGUGUUGUGGGGGUAUAUGGGCGUGCAGCCCUGUGUGUGUGUGUGUGUGCGUGUGUAUAUGCAUGCAUAUGCAUGUCGUGUGUGUGUGUGUGUAGUUGUGGUGCGUGUGUGUGUUUGGGCUUAGGCCCAAACCCCAUUUCUUCACCCUAAACCAUUUUAACCCAAAAACCUUAGAAUUCCAAAACCCAAUAGAUCCUAAUCCUAUUUAACCUAAACUUAAACUCUAAUCCGGAUUUCAAGCCUAAAACCCGUUAGACCUAAUUUGACCGUUGACCCCCGGUCAACGUUGACUUUAAGGUUGACUUUACGGGUUUUCGUCCAGGACCCUUUUUAGGGUAAUUCGACGUUCUGAAUCCGUGUCCGUUUUCCCAAAUUCAAUCGUUUAAGUAGAGUUUGACUAAAUGUGCUAUUUAUGUGCUUAGGGGCAAUUAUCGUGACGUUUUCGUCUUUGCUAGUGGCACAACUUUUGGCAACUAAGUACUAUGAGUGGACCCCUGCUAAAAUUACAUGAUUUUAUAGUUUAAUUGCAUAAAUGAUUAGCAUGCCUACGAGUUUAUGAUUUGAGUUAUGUGAAGCCUGUUGAUUUAAUAUGUUGAUUAUCGUCUCGUGUUUUGGUGAGGAAUUAAUUGUUAGCCUAUUUUGAGCUAUAUUUUGAUAUAUCGUAUUUUCUAUAAAAAUCAUGAACUGGUAGACUAUCUGAUGGAUGACGAUAGGAUGCUAGAACAUGUUUUUGAAACCCCUCUUUAUAGUAUAAACGAUUAUCGGUAUUUAUACUAUGAAGUGGUUAUUUAUGAGAGGUGUAACUAUUUGUGCGUACCUAGUGGACACCAUGCCGCCUGGGGCGAGGAUCUGGUGUUGGCAUUUAGGCCGGGAGAAAUAAUCCCUAGCGAAAGGCUGAGGGACACGGUGACAAGCAUUGGGCCGGAAGGGAGUUAUCUUUGGCUACGGGUACAGAGACUUAGGUGUAGGCAUUGGGCCGGGAGUUAUAUUUAUUCGGUGAUCCUUCUAGCAACACACCGCGCUUACGAGACGAUGCACGCGAUGAAUUAUAUGAUGUUUUUCCGCGAUAUGACUUUUGAGAUAUUUUUGGCAUGCUAGGAUUUUUAUUAAAUCCAUCACUUAUUAUGUUAGUAGUUUCUUUAUAUAUAUAAACUGUGGGGGUUAGUAUGUUGAUGACUGUUUUAUUAUUAUUAUAUAUAUGAACUUGGUCCACUCACCUUUGUUUUGAGCCCCCAUUCAGGACUUAGAAUCAAGGCACUUAAUCCCGGCGUCAAGGCACUUCCGCAACAACAUCUUUGGAUCCUCUCGAUGUAGGACCCACUUCUUUAUUCAUUCAAUUUUAUUUUAAAUCUUUGUAGUGAUUAGGUUUAGUUGUAUGCUCUGAGCACGUUCCUAAAAUUAUUAAUUCAUUGUAUUUUUAAAUUCAUAACUCUUAUUUACUUCUUAUUCUUAGCUUUUAUAUCAAUUAAUAGCUUUCGUCACCCUCGGGUGUCGGCCAGCACAUGUCUAUCCUGGUAUUCAGGGAAUACCAGGGUUGGGACGUGUCAGAAAUUAUUCUGGAUGUAUCAUACCCUUCUCAGCAUCUUUUUCAGUCACUCUCUUAGAUGUUUUCGUCCAUUCCUUUGUGGUUGUAAUUUUGGCUUCCACUAGGCAAAUGCAAACAAAGCCCCGUUGGCCAUUCGAGCGAACUGCACACUUUCUUCAGCCAGUGGCGAAUGCUCAAAGUGGUUGAGGAUGAUGGUUAAAGGGAAACGGCUGGCUCCGAAUCUGCAGCUGCUAUGUUGGCUGUCUGUUGGGAGGUAACGACGGGCAUCUGCUAUGUUGUUGGUUGAAUGCUACAAGUUGUAGCCAAUGGAGCCAAUGGGAUAGCAGAGGCAGAACGCAGUGGAGACCGUGGGGUGGUUCGGGGCUGUGGGACGAAGCACCUCAACUCCUCAGUCAUCUUCAUCGUUGACAAAGUCGCUGUCUUUACCAAUGACCUUGCCGAUAUCUACGUGCAAGCUUAAGCUCUCUUUCACGGCUACCAUUACCGACGUGCCCACCACCUCCUCAAUGCCUCCCAGGUCGUCUUCUGUAUCUUUUGAUUUUGUAACCUCGCUACCAAGUGCUUGGAUGAGUUGAUAUGUUGUGACAGCUCUCUUUUUGGGACAAGUAUCUCGGCCAUAGAUACAUUGUUAUUUGGAAUAAACACAACCUUCGAUUAACUAUUGACAUCAAGAUCAUUGUUGACCACAGCACCGACAUCGUUUCCCACUCCGGAGAGUAGUGGUCGAAAACAUGUUGAGAAAAAUCAUGAACAUAUGGAUUGUUCAUGAUCUAACUCCAUAUAAGGGUCCCACUGGGCAUGCCAAAAUGUUUGCUCCCUAAAUUCGCCAUGGGCCUCUCGGGCAUGUCGAGAAUUUACUCAAACAUGAAAUUGGUGGGUGUGAGCGUGCCACUACUAGAUGCCGCUAGUAGACGGGAUCUGAAUGAUUGAGGUUGCGCCUGAAUUCGACUUCAAACUAAGAGAUCGUGCCAUUAAGUGGGAGUGGCUCAAAUCAAUGUUCUUUCUUUGCCUUAAAGAUAAGGACUUUACUUAUAUGGAGAAAUGUAACAACAAUUAAAUCACAAGAUUGCUAAAAGUGUGAAUGACAAAGGAAAAUAAAUGACUAGUAUUGUAGAUUGCUUGUAAUUUAAAUGACUAAAAAGGAGUUUUACAUAAACUACAAAUGAGAUCGAUACUACUAGUGAGCAGCAGAGCUAAUAAACAAGGAAAGCAAUGGAUGCUUGGCUUAAGCUAAAUGUCUACAAGGAAGCUGAUGAGCUGAUUUGAGUAUAAUUGAUUGAUUGGUUGUUUGAGUGUCCAUAAUCCUUAUGCCUCUACUCCUUUAUAUAGCAAUCUGAAAGAGCCCUUUUGCUAAGAACCUUGAACUUGCCCAAAUGCAUUCAGUUUGCCAGCUUGCAUGUGGAAUAAUAUUAUAAAGGCCAACUUGCAUUCCCAACUAGGGGUGGGCAAACGGGUAGAGGAACCGCGGGUCGGGGCGGGUAAUGGAGGUUUGGGGUGGGUACGGGCCGGGUCCUAUUUUUUUUGGGAACAAACGAGGGGGGCCGGGCCGGGCCUUUGUUUUUUACGGGGCGGGCCGGUUCUUAAACCUUAGAAAAACGGGGUCCCGGACCGACCCGUUUCUAAUUAUAAUCAACGGUCGAGAUUGAAUGAUAACCUAUCAUGCAAUCUGAACCGAUAAUUUCUAACUAGGGCUCCAGAAUCAGUUUCAGAUUUUCAGUCUCUUUCUCACAGUCUCAAAAUCCCACCUCUCUACCAUCCCUCGAACCCCUACUCUGACGACAUUCCAGAGAACGCCCAUCACCGCCGCCGCGACCAACACAACGGCACCACCACCACCCAUCCAACCAUCCUCCGACCUCGACGACAUCCGUUACUUUGCCGGCUACCGUAAGUCUACUUCUCCGAAUUUUAUUUUUGUUGAUGCGGAGGAUUUGAUGAAUGCAUGAAUAAUAGGAUUUGAUUAGAGCCUAAAUCUUUAGGUGGGAGUAAUUUGAUGAAUGCAUGAACAUUUGGGUGAAGGAGUUAUGGAUCUGUUUGGAUAAUUUUUAUGUAUGGCUUUUCCCUGGAAUUAAGGGAAGAUCUAUGAUGAUUUCUCAAGUCCGAUGAAACACUUGUUGUUUCUCGUUCUCUCUGUUUUCGGUUUUAUUUGUCGUCCUCAGAACAUUUAGGUGAAGGACUUGAGAAGCUUCAAAUAAUCAAUGUGUUUUAGCGCUGAGUACCAUUUAUGUGUUUCGUAAGACUAGAGGUCAUUAGAUUAUCUUCAAUGUCAGUAAUAUGAUAUUUGAAAACGUAAUAGAUUGUCCCUCCCUGCGCUCUGAUCACUCUUCGCAAGAGAGGGCUUCUUUGUGAUGGUUGUAUAUAUGUAAAUUAUGCUUAUUCUAGUUUUCAGAUUUGACUAUGUGUGUGUGUUGUGUGUGUAUGACGCUUGUUGUUUUCCUGUGCACAACACUUAUAUCAGGAUCGCUUUUGUGUAUUACAUAUGCAGAUUCUGUUUUGUGGUCCUUAAAUGAGGUUGUGCUUUUCACUUUUCAGUCAAUGAGGAAGUUUCAGUAGUGUCGGCCAUUUUGUUAUAAAUAUAAUAAGUAGGUCGGACCAGAUUUUAGAACCUCAAUAGGCUAAGCUUAAUUUGUAUAUGAAUAUUGCAGAGGGAAAAGGAAGGAUAAGUUGUGGGUUUGGUAUGCCAUGGUCGGUUUAUAUAGAGGUCCUGAUGUGGUUGGAAUUGAACAGGUGUAUUACUUAAUCAUGCAGUAACUUUUCAACUUGCUCCAUUUCCUUUUUUGUUUUGUGGAAAUAGAAAGCAAGUUGCUUUCCUUGUCUGCAAACAAGUAGCUCACGAUUACCUGCCUACUUCAAUACCAUUAUCGAAUAAUUCCAAAUAUUUCUGAGUUUAUUUUUUAUUUGUUUCAUUGAAUUUUGGGUACGAUUGUUGGAAAAUAAGUUUUUGAAGAGUGUUGGAAAAUAAUUAAAUUAGGACACUGUUUUUUUUUUCCUAAGUUAGGAAGUUGGUUUGUUUUUACGUUUGGGCUUUUUUGAUAUUUUAUGUACAUGUGUUUAAGAGGUUGCAGUCUGUUGUAUACUUGCUCCUUAACUGUAUUUAAGCUUGCCUCAAUUGUAUCACUUUUUUUUUUCAAGGCACGAGUGCUCCUUAACAGCUCGGUACAAAGAUAUCAUAUCUCAAGUGCUAGACACAUAUCCGCUGGUGAUUCGUCAUAAAGAUAUCAUAUCUGUGAUUUUUUCCAUACUGGAAUCUGUGUAAAGUCUGUAAACUGGAAUGUGCAGUUUUUUUCAUCUUCAUUCCGCUUUUCAAACUGCAAUCUGUGCUACUGCAUUUUUUUUUUUGCACAGAUUCUGUGCAGCAAACAUGAAAAUAACUAUCUCAAGAAAAUAAUAGUAGUCAAGUAAUAAAAUUGAAAAGAAGCAAAGCAUCAAACUUAUUAGUAAUCAUUCUUACAGCAUGUACAUAAUCAAAUAUUUCUGCUACUGUAAACUCUGUUAUACCAUUCAUAGUGUACGUUUUCCCACUGCUUGUUUGACCAUAUGCAGUUUUUUCAUCUUCAUUCUGCUUUUCAAACUGCAAUUUGUGCUACUGCAGGCUUUUUUUUGCACAGAUUCUGUGCAGCAAACAUUUUUAAACAGCAAAAAAAAAAAAAAAAGGACUCGUGUACCCGGACCGAACCGGCCCGUUUCAAGCUGGCCGGGUAAGGUCCGGUUCCUAUUUUCAGAAUUGUAAUGCCCGGCCCGGCUCGCCCCGUCUCCUUUAAUUUAGGGUCCGGUCCGGUCCCUUCAAAAAUGGGACCGGCCCGGCCCGUGCCUAGCCCUAUUCCCAACACAUGUUUCUAGCACAUGUCUCCACCACUUGCAACUAAUAAUUAAAAGAAGCAAGGUGGCUUGUUUCCUCCAUUGUCCAUUUCCAUGUAUGCAUAUUAUCUUCCAAUCCAAAAGCAAGCAUUUGUUUUGAUUAAACAAAGCUCUUGGCAAACCUCCACCACUCAAACAAAAGGGAAAAACAAUAUUAUAAUGUCAAACUACCCCACUUGCAACCAAAUAUCCUUCCAAGUUAUUCUUCUUGCACAACAAUCCUCCAAAUACCAUAUUUAGACCAAAUGGCCCAAAUGAGUAAAAAUGGGUACAUUUUAGGUGCAAACAGUUUCCUCAUAUAAUAGGGAAUCAACUCCUCAUUCUAAUUGAAUCCUAGAACAACAUGGAUUGAUAAUCCGUACUCAUUAAGACUUUCUAUCAAACUUGAGACGAAUAACCGAUUCUCCAGACUCAUACUCAUGCUCAUAUUCUUAUUUUUCCAAGUUCCAAGGAAUUCAAAGAAGUUAUGAAAUGACACUUUUAUAACAAUUGCAGGUCUUACAAGUUAACCACAAAUGAUUGGUACAAGGUUAAGGCUCAUAUUCAUGCCCUUGGCAAGUGUAUGCUUCUAAUGACAAACACUUCUAAUGACCGAUCUGAUAGGCAAUCUUCUUUAUAUGUUAAAACAUUUGUUCCAAAUCAUACUAGUAGAAAAGAUGAAAACAAUACAAGUAGUGUGACCAGUAGUUAGUUGGCUGAGAGAUGAGCUUAUGAUUGGAGAUUAAUCCUAAAAUGGAUGUUAAGACAAUGAAAGUUACAGUGAGGGAUAAUCCGUUAUAAUCCCUUUCCAAAUGAGAGGAUUGUGAGGGAUAAGUUCGUUUCGUUCCAAUGCCCUUCUAAUCAAGGCAUUCUCUCUCACAACAAAGACAUAGUCCUCGUGUCAUCACUGGUCUAAUAGAUGUUUUAUGUGUGAAAAAGUGCAUCACCCAUUCUAAUCCUUUGAAGAUGAAAAAUCAUUGACCUCUAAGACGGGCAAGCUUGGAUCAAUAGCUGCAACAACUUGAGAUUAAAAGGCACAAAUAGGAUCAAUUGGUUGUACUUUAGAUAGGGAUAAGAAUUGAGUUUCUUCUUUCGCAAAUGUUACUUAUUUACCUUUUGACAACAGUUCAUUCCCGCUGUAAUACGGUACAACACUGAACCGAGAGUACAACUUUUCCGGCCUCCUAGUCCGGAACCCUCCCAAACAUUGGACACUACAUGAUGCAGCACGAGCUACCAAGGAAUACAAACGUAAACCCUCAAAGGACAAAGUUUUCCGGAAUCUACUGGAGUUCUGAGAAAACCGAAAGGUUUAUUUUAUAAUAAUUGAAUGAUGAUUACAUAGCAAUUGUAAGUCCAUAAGGCUUAAAUAGACAUAACUCGACCCUUGGGAAGCUCAAGGGUUUCUUAGGGAAAGUAAAAGAAGAUCGGACGAUAAACGAAAGGUUCGAAUUUUUAUUACAAACUUUAAAAUGCGGUUUUGGAAGUCUAAACGACCUAGAAAUGGCAAAAAUAAAUCAUACGUCACGGCAAAGUAGCGUGUUUGAACCGGGACAUCACGCUCUUUCUGAAAAAUAUCAUGAGCCCAAAAUGGAGCUCGGACGCCAAAUUUAUAAAUUCCCGCUGCAUCCUUUUUUAUCCUUCAGUCCAUUUCAUCUUCAAUCCACUCGAUCAUCUGUUCUACAUUGCUAUAAUACUAUAUAAUGCAAUAAAAUACAACGCCGUGCAAUACAAUAUAGUUGAAAAACAAUCUAUCUAAAAUAGUAGACUCAAUCGGAUGAAUCAGAGGAGCCCGUGUUCAAGCUUCCAUGUGUUGCGGUAAACUUAAGUAGUGGCUUCAAGAAAUGGAUAAUCAAUGUAACCAACGACGGGAUCAGCUAUGUAGAAUGUCUCUCUGUUGUACUUAUUUAGAGGAGCAUUAAGCUCAAAUCUCUUUGGCAAAUCCGGAUUCGCCAAGAAAAUACGGCCAUACGCAAUAAGAUCUGCACGGCCCUCAGCCACAGCAUCGUUCCCAUCUUCCUUCUCAUAACCACCAGCAGCAAUGAAGGUACCAUUAAAAGCCUUUCUCAUGGGUACAAGACUCUGGGGAAAUCACUCUUUUCUGCAUCUGUCUGCAUCCUCGGCUCAACCAUAUGGCAAUACAGGAUCCCAUAUUUGUUCAAUGAAUUGGCCAGAUAAAGGCCCAAUGCUUCCGGACCUGAAUCCCCUGAUUCCGAAUAGUUGGCAAAUGGAGAUAAUCUAAUUCCAACUUUAUCCCCUCCUAUCUCGUUAACAACAGCUUCAACGACUUCCAGAGCAAAUCGACAACGAUUCUCCAUAGAUCCGCCAUAUUGGUCUGUUCGGUCAUUCACUUCAUCUUUCAGAAACUGAUCAAUAAGGUAUCCAUGGGCCCCAUGAAUUUCCACUCCAUCAAAGCCUGUAUAUCAGACAAACAAUUUCAGUGCACCAAAUAUUAUUUGAAAUCUAGCAUGAACUAUUGUCACACAUCUAGAUCUAGUCAAACUGGAAAUUAAAUUAUGCCUUUAAUUACAUUCGGAUUCUGGAAGAGAUGGUUCGUUUGCAUAUGUUGAAAGCAAUUUUGAGUUCUCGCAAAUUUUAUUUCGCACUUAAGCAAAGACAAAUUACCCGCUUCCAUAGCAUUUCUUGAUGCAAGUCUGAAAUCAUUGACUAUUUGUGGGAUUUCAUCUGUCCUUAAUCGCCUUGGAGGAGUAUAUUCAAUAAUAUCAAUGCCACUAGAUGGUAGUUGGGGGCUUAGUGGCUCGUCAGUAGAAGAGAUUGGAGCUUGCCCAUUCGGCUGAGAUCCUGUAAGAAAAUAUAGAUAGAAUCACAAUGUGAAAGAUUUCUAGUACAGGAAUAUUAAGGCAGCGUUCUAAUGCUUCAAUGGGUUAACUUUUCACUUAUGAUCUGAACGCUUUCAACGACAAAGUGAAGUCAUAUAAGUGUAUGUUAGAAACGCACUGGUAUUUGAAACCCUUCCAACAUGCCAAAUCUGACAGAAGAAGAUGCCUCCUUUAGCAUGAACAGCAUCAACAAUGGGUUUCCAUGCUUCAACUUGCUCCUUUGUCCAUAUACCGGGAGUGUCUGGGUACCUUCUUGUAUUAAAGAAACAAAAUGUUAUCAAACUUUGAAAUGAAGGAAGUAUACAAUUAAAUGUAUGUUUUCCAUUUAAAAUUUAACAUAAAAGAAACUUGAAAAAAGCUAAUGUUUGUGAAGUUACCCUUGAGCGGUGUCAGAAAUUCCAGUGGCUUCAGAUAUGAGAAGACCCCCGUUAGAUGUUCUCUGAGAGUAAUAUAAGAUGGCAUGCGGCUGAGGAACAUUUCUGUAGGAUCUUUGUCUAGUCAAUGGUGCUAAGACAACUCAGAAGGCAAGGAAGAAGUAUAUUAUCAGAAUGCACCUAUACUGCAUAGCCUAUGACAAGUUUGACAGGAAGUAUUAUCAGAUCUUGCUAAACAGCAAGAUUUAAGUAAUACGACGAAAUAUCCAGAAAGGAGACAUACUUUUCCUAGUUUAUUUGGUUUCAACAUCUCGGGCUUACAGCGGAUUUCAGUAACACCUGUCCUAGUUACAACGUAAAUAUACAAUGAGCGUAUUCUGCACGAGCUCCUAGGAAUUCGACAUUCAAACAAUCUUGAACACAAAGCAAGUAAUUCAUAGCGGUCGACAUCAAUACAAACCAACGCAAAAGUUGCAGCAGAAACUCGCAAACGAAACCCUGGUUAUCCAACCAAUCAACUAAACCAAUUCCUUGCUUUACAAGUAACGUGAACAAGCAAAUGUUACAUAAUAAACCAUCCAAUGAAAGUUGCUGCUUUUAUUUCUGAAAAUUCAGGAUUCUUGCAUAGGCAAAAAAACAUUUGUCAAUCACAAAAACUGCCCAGUAACCUGCAAGUUGCCCAAAAAAUAAGCAGUAAUUUCAUUUUUCUUGUAAGAAAACCGGGAUUUUCUGCAACCCUGUUUCCAAAUGAACAAAACCCAACAGCCCAAAUCUCAACUACUCCAGCAGAAUAAGUCAACAAAAUCAAUGCAGAAUGUAGAAGAAUAUAAACUGUAGAAAAGGUUGAGCCCGUGAGUUAAGUUACCUAUGAGAAAGAUUGAAGUUUCCAAGUUUGUAAGGAGCAAGGAGAGGGCUUGUGGGACCACCUACUUGAGCUUGAUUAGUGGUAGCCAUUUCAAUUCAACUGGUUUCAGAGCUCGAUCCUUAUUUUUCACUUGAUUUGGUUUGAUAUUGUGCUUCAUUGGUUCUUUGAUAUGUUAAAUACUAUGAAUUGCGGUAUUAUGUGAAACAUAAUGAUUUAUAUGAUGGAUGAAAUAGAAACCUUGAUUGUCAUGCGGGUUGUUAUGUAGUUUGAAUCGAAUAAUUCAUGCUCUUCAAGUCCAAAUGUUUGAUUGAGGACUGUUAUGCAUUUUGGCUUGAACAGACUGUGUUAUAUGUCGAGUUAUAGCGAAAGUGAACUACGAAUGGCUUGAUCCCUUUUGAGGGUAUGUAGGCAGUCUAACGAGAAGGUUAGAUGCAGCCAUAAAGUAUAAGGAAAAAUUAUCAUGAAAUUCGAAUCUUGAGUUGUGCAUUGUCCAUAUCCCGGAGGCGGGGUAUGUGAGUGAUACGGGUAUUUGGUAACGUCACGUGUCGAUCCUGGAUGUAUUUCGGGAUCGGAGCAUGACAACAUUAAGAUCAAGUGAGUAUACUUCUGGAUACUUCCCCAGAGUUUGACAUAACUUCCAAAUGAGAACUACAAGCAUUGCAUAUGAAUAGUUAGGCAGAAUAAUUCCUCGGACAAGCUUAUGGAAGGUUGACUUUGGUAGUGAUGUCAUGUAGAGGUCGGCAAGGUUAUCUAGGAUUGGCUUGCAUGACUUCAAUCACCUGAUGCUUUACUGAUGUAGAUGUAGAUGAAAUAUGUCUUGGCGUUGACUUUGUUGAUGUAUCAUGUCUUGGACGGGUUGAUACAUGCGGCAUAGUCUUCAUGGAUCAUCAUCGAGACUAAACGAUGGAUGAUAACAACAAGUACUUUGAAUAUGCUCAACAACAACUCCUAACCAUGUCUUACGUGUGGCAUAGUGAAGUGAGAUAUAUGAUGCUUUAUUGCAGUGACGGAAAACAAUUAUGCUUAUGUACCUUUGUUCAGUUUCGAUCCUUGCAUAUUCGCUUCCUCCUAAACCCAAAACCACUUAGACUUUCUUAACUUUUGGAAUCUACUACAUAUGUUACCUUCCAUCUUUUUGCCGUAAAAACAUGCUGCCACUCACAUGGAGGGAUAUUUUUCGUCAAUCCACUUCCCAGAGCUCACUGCAAUUAAUUUGCACAAAGUCAAUAUGCAUUUUCAGCAAUGUUGGAGUCAAGUCAUGAAGAGACGAGUUUGAUUUUGACAAGGGUUGUUGAAGAAUUGAAGUAAAAAAUGAUUGCUGGCAUCUACAUUUGUAGUUUGGUGGAUGGUGGCUGCAUGUUUUUUUUGGGUUUUUGGUUCUUUAUUACAUAGACUUACUAAAAAUUCAAAUUAUUUAUUGUUUAACAUCGUAGUAUGUGUUUUGUGUCGGGUUUGUUGUGAUGACUGUAUAGGACAAUUGCUAAAGACAAAUCUUAGUCUAUUAGGUCCUUAUGCAUAGACACUGUUCUAAAAAUUCACGUCUAGCAUAGCACAGUCUAGGUGCUAGGCAAUUGACCACUAUCCCGAUUAAUUAAAAUAGGGCUCCUACACCUGCUUAGGCGCCCGCCCAGACCCAUCUAGGCACCUAGCUAGGUCGCAACUCUCAUUUAGACAGAAAAUGGAUAGAAUUCAUUUUGCAUUUUAUUUGUUUCAAUAUAUUAUAAGAGACUUGUUAGAUAAUUAGAUGGAUAUACAUUAUAUGCUUGUUCCUCAUGUUUUCAUUAUAUUCUAAUACUUUAUAAUCUAUGUCAUUCUAUUUUACAAUUUAUGUAUAUAAGUGAAAUUAUCUAUUUUUUAAGUAUAAAUAGACACCUAUUUAUACGAUGUAUAAUAAAUUUUAGUCAUAUUCACCUAGGCGUUAGACCACAACCGCUGCCUGACUAGCGCUAAACCCCAACCCGCCAUCCAACUAGUGCUUAAUAUCUUUUAGAACCUUGUGCAAAAAAUUUCAUGACCCCCAUUUUUUAGUAUCGUAGCUUCACUUUGGGAAGAAAUUUUUCAUUGUGACGAGAACACAAGUGGUACACCACGUGUUUUAAUAGAAGUGGUGGGAAAUUUUAUUUUUAAGUUAUUAACUUUUUAGCACACAUAUCCUACCAUUUGUAUAAUGACACGUGGUGUCCCAUCCCCUAUACUAGUCACACUGAAAAAUCUCUCCACUUUGGGAGGUUAAAGUGAAAGCAUGCCUUAAAUAACCAAAAAGAGAUUAAUGCAAUUUCAACAUUGAUUGUAAUAGAGGAGCAGUUAGCAUCAUACUAAUAUUGGAGUAGAGAGACUUGUAACAGAGAAAGCUCAACCAAAUAUCUUACAAACUAAUUUGGUGGAUGUGGAUGUGCCAGAACAUGAAGCAUAGAAAAGCCUGGCGAAGCUGAUCAUGUACGUAGAUUACGCGCAAAAUGUAGAAGUUGUCAACAAGAAAGAUGUACAGAAUGAAAUUGGAGUAGAAGAACUAGAGAGCCGGAUGGGUAGAACUUGGAAGAACUUAGAAGCCUAUAUGGGAACUCAUCUAGUGAUGAAGAACCGGAUUCAAUGAGAAGGAAUAGGAGGAUGAAGAAACGACCCAAGUUUAAACAUCAUAGAAAAGAAACUGAUGUCAGUACCAUAGAGUUUGAUUUGGGGAUGUCUUUUCUUGUUAGACUAAACAUAUAAACCAAGAUCAUGUAACAUGAAUCACAGCCAUCCAAACACGAACUGUAGUUCAUAACUAUUGUAUAGAGUAGAAAUCCUACCUGCAGAUGCACCAGAAGAAGAAGCCAUGGUCAAUCUCGACAGCAAAACUAGUAAACCUUCUCCUCUUUCCAGAUUCAAAAUGCUCAAACUAAUAAUAGGUUUUAGUCCGAGACACAGCGUAAUAUCUGUAAGAGUAGUUCACUAUAUAUAUAGAACAUAAUCCUAGCCAAAACCAAUAAGGAUUUUCCUAUUAAAAUCCAUACAGAAAACUGAAAUUGUUUACAAUAGGUGAAUCAGUUCCCCGUUCUAUUUGAAUCCUAGAACAACAUGGAUUAAUAAUCCAUACUCAUUAAGACUUUCUAUCAAACUUGAGACGAAUCACCAAUUCUCUAGACUCAUGCUCAUAUUCUUACAUUCCCAAGUUCCAAGGAAUUCAAAGAAGCUGUGAAUAGACACUUUUAUAAUAUGCAGGUCUUACAAGUUAACCACAAAUGGUUGGUACAAGGUUAAGGCUCAAAUUCAUGCCCUUGGCAAGUGAUGCUUCUAAUGACCAAUCUGAUAGACAUUCUCCUUUAUAUGUAAAAACAUUUGUUCCAAAUCACACUUGUGGAAAAGAUGAAAACAAUACAAGUGUGACCAGUACUUGGUUGGCUGAGAGAUAUGCGGAUGAUAUGAAGAUCAAUCCUUUUUUUUUUGAAUAAAGGACCGCAUAUAUAUAUAUAUAUAUAUAUAUAUUUGUAUAUAUAUGAAAAUAAAUACUACAAUGGAUGUUAAGACAAUGAAAGCAACAAUGAGGGAUUAUCCAUUCUUACCCUCUCCAAUCCCCUUUGAAUUUUAAGAGUUAUCUAUUCCAAUCUAAACCUAGAGACGAAACGAGGCCAUAUAUUACAAUGACAAAGAUUCUAAAACAGCAUUCGCUCAGAGAAGAAAAAAAGCCAUGCAGUGAGAACAUCUAAGGGAAACGAGUUGAUCCUCAAAAGCCGCAUCUGCUCCAAAUAUCUUAGGCAAACGGUCAGCUGACAAAUUGCGGUCAAUGGCUUCAACAUCUUGAGAAUAAAAGGCACAGCUAGGAUCAAUUGGUUGUAUUUUAUAUAGGGAUAAGAAUUGAGUUUCCUCUUUCACAAAUGUUACUUAUUCAUUACGGCCAUUAUACUGUCAGUAUAACUUUUCCGGCCUCUAAGUCCGGAACCCUCCCAAACAUUGGACACUACAAUACUAGAUAAUGCAAUAAGAUACAACAGUACAAUACAAUAUAGUUGAAAACAAUCCAUCUAAGAUAGUACAGACUCAAUCGGAUGAAUCAAAGGAGCCCUAGUGUUCAAGCUCCCGUCUUUGCGGUAAACUUAAGUGGUGGCUUCAAGAAAUGGAUAAUCAGUGUAACCAAUGACGGGAUCAGGUAUGUAGAAUGUCUCUUUGUUGUACUUGUUUAGAGGAGCAUAAUCUCUUUGGCAAAUCUGGAUUCGCCAAGAAAAUACGGCCAUAAGCAAUAAGAUCUGCACUGCCCUCGGCCACAGCACUGUUUCCAUCUUCCCCGUCAUAACCACCAGCAGCAAUGAAGGUACCAUGGAAAGACUUUCUCAUGGGAAGAAGACUGGUGGGUUUCAUCUUUUUCUCCCAUUGUCUUCAUCCUCGGCUCAACCAUGUGGCAGUACACAAUUCCAUAUUUGUUCAAGGCAUUGGCCAUAUAGAGGCCUAAUUCUUUUGGAUUUGAAUCCCCUGAGUCCAUAUAGUCAGCAAAUGGAGAUAAUCUAAUUCCAACUUUAUCUGCUCCUAUUUCGUUAGCGACAGCUUCAACAACUUCCAGAGGAAGGCGGCAACGAUUCUCUAGAGAUCCACCAUAUUGGUCUGUUCGAUCAUUCACAUGAUCUUUCAGAAACUGAUCAAGAAGGUAGCCAUGCGCCCCAUGAAUUUCAACUCCAUCGAAGCCUAUAUAGCAGAUUAACAAUUUCAACAUACUGACGGUAUUAGAUCCUAAAGCAUUGAAGCAAAUUGAGUUGUUGUAAAUUAUGUUUCAUAUGUAACGUAAAGACAAAUUACCAGCUUCAAUAGAAUUCCUUGCAGCAAGUCUAAAAUCAUUGACAAUUUGUGGAAUUUCAUCUGUCCUUAAUCGUCUUGGAGGCGUGAAUUCAGAAGCAUCGAUGCCAUUUAAUCGUAUCGGCUUGUCAGUAGAAGUUAUUGGAGCUUGCCCAUUUGGUUGAUAACCUGUAAGCAAGGAGAGAAAGAAUUAUAACCUGAAGUCUAACGACAGUAACUAACAUCCACAGCAGCACUCUUUUAAGUGGGAAUCCUUUGUUACAAAUUACUAUAACCACACGUGCUAUAUACUAGUUCUGAAUUCUGAGUUAUGUUAACAUCAAACUUCUUCCCAUCCAAUAAUAAUAAAGGAACUUUAACGAAAAACUCCCGGUAUUGUUCACUUUAAUGAAAAACUACAUUUUUACACUAAAAAGUUAAUCCUGGUAUUAUUCACUUUACCCUUUAUUUUUUCCUUAUCAUUAAAACUCAAAGUUUUCAAGCCAUUUUCAUUAGUUUUCCUUAAUAAUAAUACAAAUGCUUCCGAAACAGCAAGGUCAUAAGAGUGGUGUCUUCUUAUGGGUUAUGUUAAAAACACCAACUCGGAACUUAACAAGUCCAAGUUUUAUCGUCAUUUGAGCAACAAUGUUGUCAAUUAUAAUCACUCGCUCGUUCUGAUGCAUACACCAUUAUGUUAUACAUCAAACUUCUGAAUAGGUCUAAUUAUUCACUCAUGUUAACAAAGCAUUCUAUGGUAAAAGUGAGGUCAUAAAGGUGUAAGUCAGAAACGCACUGCUAUUAGAAACCCUUCCAACAUGCCAAAUCUGACAGAAGAAGACGCCACCUUUAGCAUGAACAGCAUCAACAAUGGGUUUCCAGGCUUCAACUUGCUCCAUUGUCCAUAUACCAGGUGUGUUCGGGUACCUUCGUAUAUUAAAGAACCAAAAAUUUCAUCAAACUUUGAAACGAAAUAAACGCCCUCAAAUGCUUGUUAGUCUAUGAAUCUACUGUUGUUGAAAUUACCCUUGAGCUGUGUCGGAAACUCCAGUGGCUUCAGCUAUGAGAAGACCCCCAUUCGAAGUUCUCUGAGAGUAAUAUAAGAUAGCAUGUGGUUGAGGAACAUUGUUGUAUGAUCUCUGUCUGGUCAAUGGUGCUAAAACAAUUCUGGAAAGGAAAAAGAAAUUGUAAAUUAUAAAUACAGAGUGAUCAAGACGGAAUGUGGGUGAGGAACAUUAUCGAAUGACCUGUAACUACUAAUUGUUGUAUGAUCUCUGUCCUAGUUACAAUGUAAAUAUACAAUAAGCGUAUUCUGCACGAGCUCCUAGGAAUUUGACAAUCAAACAAUCUUGAACACAAAGCAAGUAAUUCAUAGCGGUCGACAUCAAUACAAACCAACGAGCAGAAACUCGCAAACGAAACCCUGGUUAUCCAACCAAUCAACUAAACCAAUUCCUUGCUUUACAAGUAACGUGAACAAGCAAAUGUUACAUAAUAAACCAUCCAAUGAAAGUUGCUGCUUUUAUUUCUGAAAAUUCAGGAUUCUUGCAUAGGCAAAAAAACAUUUGACAAUCACAAAAACUGCCCAGUAACCUGCAAGUUGCCCAAAAAAUAAGCAGUAAUUUCAUUUUUCUUGUAAGAAAACCGGGAUUUUCUGCAACCCUGUUUCCAAAUGAACAAAACCCAACAGCCCAAAUCUCAACUGCUCCAGCAGAAUAAGUCAACAAAAUCAAUGCAGAAUGUAGAAGAAUAUAAACUGUAGAAAAGGUUGAGCCCGUGAGUUAAGUUACCUAUGAGAAAGAUUGAAGUUUCCAAGUUUGUAAGGAGCAAGGAGAGGGCUUGUGGGACCACCUACUUGAGCUUGAUUAGUGGUAGCCAUUUCAAUUCAACUGGUUUCAGAGCUUGAUCCUUAUUUUUUAUUUGAUUUGAUUUGAUAUGCUCUCAUAUUGGUGUAAGAAUCCUAUGUGAACUCAACUAGUUAUAGAUAAAGGAGAAAUAAUAUGUUGGUAAUACAAAUUAAUAAGAGUUUGGAUACGUGGAAAGCUACAUCAUAUAAUGAGGGGUAUACUUUCAUCGUGCAUUUGAAAAGAAAGCACUAAUCACAACCACCUCUACACUAUUGGGACUUGAAGCAACGGGAAAAUAACCGACCCUCCACGAUAGAUGGGAGUUGGCUGUCGUUGCUUCUAUAAGCGCAAGAGUUCCCUGCUCACAAGGAAGCACGUUCUGCAAUUAGGGUUCUAUCACCAUUGGAAUAUAAGGUCUUGAGUGAGUAGAAGAAUUCUUGAGUGUGUUAACAGUAAUCAUGGCUGCACCAGGUAAGUCUUUCUUGUCUAAUUUCAUAUCGUGACCUAGUAUGCAUGCGAAUAACUAAGGUUAUUCCAACAAUUGGGAUAUUUAUACCGUUCGGGGAGAGGAGGAAGAGGAACUAUAAAACAACACUAGCACUAGCUGGGGAGGCAGAGGCAGUGGUAGGCCGGGCGGCUCCUUUUGAAAUGUUUGAUGACGUUUGUAAUUACGUAAUCAUGUUUUUUUUUUUUUUUCUUUUCUAACGUAGGAAGUAUGGUAUUGGUAUCUGAUUGGACUAUCUCCAAAGAAAAUAUUAAAUUUUAGGCAUAAAAUUUCAAUUUAAAAGUUUAUGUGGCACUUUAAUCUUUUUUGAAAUUUUGUUAUUCACCGAUGUGUCAAAUUUAAAUUAUUAUUUAUCACAUUAAUUUACUUCUAAUAAUUGUAGUAAGUUUUUUAAAACAGAAAAUAAUAAUAAAAACGAGAAAAAGAAUUUAGUAAUCACUUAAAAUAGAUUUGAAGUUGUUGUCAGAUUUGAUAGCUACCACCUUUGUUAAUCCAUAUCAUAUCACAUAGGAAUUGGUAUUUCACUUGAAAAACACUAAUACAAUCUUUAUUAACUGUUAUUGCUAAUAUGGACUUUUCAUCUCUGAUACCACAUGAAAGGGUAGCACAUUUUUAGCAUUUUGAUCAAAUAAUCUAUCAAAGCAGAGCCGAUGGCCCAAAAAUAUAUCCUCAAAUUAAAAGGGUUAAAAUUUGUGCUCACUUUGCACUUGACAAAUCCCAAAAUAGAAAAAUUUCUUCCAACUGAAAGGAGAUGUCAAAUGUGAUGCGGAAUGCCAUGUGGGAUAGAAAAACAACACAAUUUCUUCCAACCGAAAUGUUAUUAGUUGACAUGGAUUGACUGCAUCGCCUUUGACUGUCUUUUUUGGUAGCAUAAGGCUUGAGGGUCAAAUGCUUUUAUUUUUAUUUUUUUUAACGAACGACAUUAUCUACACUAAGGGGGAGGAGAUGAGUUUAUCCUUAUAAUGGGUAGCAUUAAUAUGGUUCAAAUUAGUCUUUGGCAAGAAUCGAAUAUAAGAUUUCUCACUUACAAGUAAAAAAGAAUACCACUAGACCGUAUUACUAAGUGUCGCUUUUAAUUUUUUUUUUUAAUGCAUGAAUACCAUUGCCAACCAAUAAGAUGGAAAAAAAAAUCAUUUUUAAUAGUUAAUGCAGUGCCACUUAAUACAAGGAUCUCGUGGUAUUUCUCUUCAUUUGUAAGUGAGAGGUCUUAAGUUUGAUUCUUACCAAAUGCGAAGUUGAGCCAUAUUAUUGCUAGCCCAUUAUGAGGCUUAAGCCCACUUUCUCAUCUCCUUAGUGUAGAUAAUAUCGUUUGUUCAAAAAAAAAAAGACACAACCAUGUAGCCCAGUGUAUUAAGAGUGCUGAUAAACUUACUUCAUUGUCUUAUCUCUUACUCAUUUUUUAAUAUAAAAAAAAUUGGAUACUAAUCUAAUCUCUUGUAAAAUGACAUCUAAGGACCAAGCAAAAAUUAAAAAAAGAAAAUAGGACUCUCUUCUUUGUUCACCAUCUUUCUGCAACUACCUAAAUCCCUUCAAAUAAUUUUUUUUUUUUUUUUUUUUUUUUGUGUUCCACAAAAAAAAAAUUCUUUUUUGUUGCCCUAGCUUAAUUAUAUAUAAUAGUUGUUCAAAACACUUUACUAAUAUAAUAAUUAUUUAAAAUUUUGAAAAAUAAAAUGUGAGACCAGAAGAAGGAAUUGGGCUUGGAGAGAUGGAAUUGGGUGUCCCGAAUUUGAAAAUGGGGCAUGAGGAUGAAAUUUUGAGAAUGUUGCAUGCAGCUUGGUCGUGAGAAUUGGAAGGGGAGGAAAGGGGACUGCGUUGGGGGUCUGGAUAGAGGGAAGGAAGGAGAGUUGCAAUCAGCUGGAGAACUGGUAAGUGACCGAAUUAUGGGAUUCUUACUAGAAUUAAAAUCUGGAAGGGGAGGCUUUGAAAUUCGCGGUGGGUGGAGUCUACCUGGAAUUUCAACGCUCUAAUAUUUAUUUUUUUUCAAAAAUUAAAAAAUAACUUAGAUAUAUACAUUAGAGGUUAUUUUAAGAAUAAUAGUGGACAAAAUAGUAUUUUUAUUUUUUAACUUUUUUAGUGGAUGAAAUUAUAAUGUGAGUAAGAAAAUAAGACUUAGGGUGGAUCUUGCAACACUCUAUAUUAAUAAAGUAUAUAUUUAACAUAUUCAUUGUAAAGAAAAAAAAUUUAACAUCUCUAUUUGAUUGGCCACGUCAACCAGUAAAUUUAAUUUUGACAAUAAUUAUAUUACACGUUCAUUGAAGAUGCUGUUAUCAAAUCAUCAUACAAUGCGCUAGUUGAGAAUAGAUGGCUGCCAAUGUGGACGGCACCAACGACCAACGACCAUUUGACAAUAAUUUGGAUGCCUUACUUUUAUCCAAAUAAUUGCAUCCUAUUGUAAAAUCGACGGCGUGUUCAGUGAAAUAAAUAAACAAGACACAAAAUUUACGAGGUUCCUCUGCAGUCAGUGUGACUGGAGUACAUCCUCGGGACAGCAGUGGUGCUUUCAUUAUAAUCUGAAAUAAUAAGAGUACAAAGAUAACUCUCUCUAUUAUCUCCUCUCCUCUUCCUUUCUUUUCUCUCUUCCUCUUCCUCUCUUUUCUCUCUUCCUUUCUUCCUUCCUAUCUCUCCCGUGAGUCUCCCACAUUCAUCUCCCAAUCUUUUUUUUUUGUGUUCCAUAAGACUUGCUUUUAUAGAAGCAAAUCACAAGCAACAUAGUGAAAGGCUUACUAUAUGCAUGUGAGUAUUUACUAUACACAUUACUAUACACAUGUGGUACUUUACUAUACACAUUACUAUACACAUGUGGGCAAACAUACCCACUAUUUACAACACUCCCCCUUAGAUGCCCACAUAUCAAUAUCAGUUUUUGGAUGCUCCCCCUGACGAGUAUCUCCCCCUGAUUUCAACUUCUUUAGGCUAAUCAUUGAUCAUUAUGCUUCAGUCUCUUAGCAAAAAGAGUUGCCGAAAUAGUUACUUUACUUGUUGUUAACUUUCCACAGGCUUGUUCUUGAACUGGGCUGGAGGGCCUCAAAGGUCUGAAUUUACUUCUUUUAUCUGGAGCUAAAUUUAAUUCAAGGGUGAUGGACACUUGAUCUUGAAUCAAACUUGUGAUUUCUUCAAAGACCUUCGAGGCUUGAUCUUGAAUGAAGUUGUACCGUGAGGAGUUUCACGUGACAAGUGAUCUUCGACUUUGUCGGGGAUGAAUCAGCACGUGUUUGUUGCGCUUGUCUCCACAUGCUUCAAUAUAUCAUUUUCACUUGCCUUACUUGUUACCCUUGCAUAAGUGGUAUUUUACCUGGGUUUCCCCCUACAUGUGUGGCAUCUUCUCUUGUAGGAUUUGUCCCCUGAUGCAGGAGUGGAAUGCAAACCCUUGCAUUUGAAUGGUUCAUCACUUCUUGGUGACUGGAGACCCAGCUCCAACAACAGUUGAAGAUGACUACUCUUGCUCUCGUCCCUGAAGAUAUGAGAUAAUCUUGCUCUGGUGUGACUUGUUUGAAGAUGUAUUCUCGGAGAGGAAGAAAACUGAGUAUUUCGAGAUGCUGUGUUGAAGAUGCAUUCUCGGAGAUGAGGAAGAGUUGGACAUGCUUGCAGGUCUGCCUUGUUAUGGAGAACGGAGGUCGACAUAUAUAGAGAUUUCCCAAUAGCAAGUGGUGGUGCUGUGCCUUUACUCUUGUCAGCAACUGUGGUGUAAUUAGAACAAUAAGAUUUACGCGUUUUCAACUUUGUCAGAGAUCUUUGACAAAGUUGCAUGCAAUAUCCGAAAAAGCUGAGAUUGCGUCUGAAAAAUGCCAACGAACUUUAUUCAGGAAAUCUGGCUUUUGAAAUUCGAAGAACGGUGCCUCUUUGAUCUCUGAACAAGUGGCUAUGUUGCCUCUUUUUUUAUAGAGACAUCAGUUCAAGAGUAUGCUCAGAAAGUUGCUGCCUGUAGAAAUUUCGCCCAUCUUGCACUUCUGAAAUUUUAUUUGACCUCUUUUUUCCUUCAUCAUUUUUGAAAAUGACUUGCUCAUCUAACAUUUGCUUAAAUUUGAAUCUUAGGAGUGAUACAGACGAGCAGCGUCAGGAUAAAAUAUGGCGCCCGUCCUUCUUAUCUUCUAAUGGUUCUCUUACGGUUGGGGACUCUGUGAUGAAGAAUAACAUAACCGCUACUGUGGUAGUUAGGAAUCUUCUCACUCCAAAGGAUAACAGGAUCCUUUCAAAACGAUCUAAUGAGUCGACCGUUCAAGACUCAUUGGCUCUUAGUGUUCAGUGUGCUAGCUCUGUUUCCAAUAUGGGCCAACACCUACUUGCUCAAACUCACCAAGUUGAAUCAUUGAUGGCUGAGGUGGCAAGUCUUAAACAAGAGAUUAGAUGGCUCAAGCACGAGAAUAGACUGUUACACGUGCUUGCAAAUAAUAACUCGACGAGCAUGAAAAGAAAGCUCGAUCAGCUGCGAGAAUCCGAAAGUCGGAUUCAAAGUGAUUACCAGAGGUUCGUUGCUAGAUUCCGAAAGCAACUGAUGUCUUCCCCUUCUGGUGUUUUGCCAAGUACUGGGAUGCCACAUGAUCAAUCUCCAGUGCCUCCCCCUUCUGGGGUACUUUCGAGUACUGAAGCUUCACAUGAGCAAUCUUUGUGAAGGCUCAAUCCUGUUUGUUUGUUUUAACUCAUGUGUAUGUACAUAUCUGUAAUUUCUUGGAGAUAUUAAUAGAUAAGCUUUAUUUCAUUCAAUGUAUUGUGCCAAAUACAAUAAAGCAUAUACUUCACUAAGAUGUGGUACUUCUGGACCAAAUAUUAAUUUAUCUUUACCCUUAUGAAAAUAAAUGAUUAUUCUUAGUGUCUUCAUCAUUUGAGUAUUCAACUCAUAAUCUUCAAUCCAUACGGUUCUUUUAAUAUCAUAAACAUCAUGGAUAAGAUUCGUGUUGGUAGAUUGUUCGAUCUGCAACCCGUGACAAUAAUUCUCUCAACACUUUAUAAUCUUUCUUGACUCUUCAGGAGUCUCAAUUUAAUAUCAUCAAGUCUUCAAGAGUUCUAAUUUAAUGUCAUUGACUCUUGCAAGAGAUUUUCGUAUGUUGCAACAAUAUCAUAAUGAUAGUACUCACUAAGACAAUUUAUACCAUCCAUUGAUAUUGAGUACAUAUUUUAUGAUUUACCCUUCGGGGGCUUACUUCAAGCAAUUUGAAUCCUUCAGGGAUUUUCUACACUUCAUGACACAUUUUUCUUUGGAAUUUAUACAGAGCAAUUUGCUCCCAUGUAUACUUGAGGGAUUUACUUAUGGAGAUAUGAUGUGGGCGACUCACAACCCUUCGUAUAUAAUUCUCUAUUUAUAUGAACUCGUUUACAAGAGUAUAAUUUCAGGUUUCAAUUAGUAACCUUGUGUCAUAUCAUGUGAGUGUAUUACACUGUAUUACAAAUGCCCAUAUGUAACCUCCUUGGUUCAACAUCUUCUGGCUAUUUGUAUUGUAUUCAAAUAUAUAGGUCCAUUUUUCCACGUUCUUACAAAAUUGUAAUGGAAUUGCCUUUCUCCAUUUUUGGCCAAUAAUUUUCCUUUUGUCGACGAACAAAAGAACGUAAUUCAAUAUUAACACAGCUCAUUGAUGAAUUUAGUAGCUACUUGUAAAAACCAAAAUUACCAUUGGUUAUCAUCAAUCCGUGAUCCCAUAUUCUCAUGUGCAUGCACAUGCAUAAAAGCUUUUCAUUUCUUUGGAUAUCCAUUACCUCUUCAAGGGCAUGACACUAUCUAUUCCAGGAUAGUCAUAAUUUAGAGAAUGUGGAUCAUAACCUCCUCUUGAGCAUUAUUGAGCUUGGAUUUUAAUCUCCACUUCCGGGGAGUUGAGUCAUUGGAACCUAUACGUUUAUCAUGCUACAUGCAUGAGACAUCAAUAUUCCCAUGUCCGUGGAUUGUCCUAUCUGGGACGUGUAUCCAUGCGGCGACUGUCAUGCUUCUGGCAUGCAACAGUUAUGCUUCAGGAAUGUAAUAGUUCAGUAGUGCCAUAUUUCUUCUUUCGAAUAACUGAACCUUUUGAGUCUAAAGGUUUGUCACGCUUCAGGCGUGCAACAGAGAAAUUAUUUACUAGCUCACUAUAUUGUCCAACAGGGACAUUAAUUCUUGUAGGCACAUUUGCAACAAAUAUAUGUCAUUUCAUCACUUUCUUGCAUCAUUAAAUGCAUCUAGCAUUUGAUUGAUAUAUCGUUGCAUCAUUCAAUUAUUCUUACUUCAUUUUUAUGUUGAUUGCUUCGUGAAUCAAAAUAAGACAAAUUCUCUUCAUUCUUCUGGAACGGUCUUUUCUUAUCAUUCUUUUGAAAUGAUAUUUUCUCAUCGUUCUUCUGGAACAAUGUUAUUUUCUCCCCCUAACGGUGGGAAAUUGUCUUAUCAAAAUGACGAUCCGCAAACCACGCGGUAAACAUAUCCUCAAUCAAGGGUUCCAAAUAUUGAAUGAUAGAUGGUGUUCAACAUCAAUGCCUAAUCCGCGAUGAUGCCUCAUUUCAGUACGUUGUGGCAAUGCAAUAGGCACAUAGAUAACAUAACCAAAAACUCGUAAAAGUAUAAUGCUUGGCUGGUUCCCAAACACGAGUUGUACUGAGAAGUAUUGAUGAUUGGUAACAUGUCUCAACCGAAUUAAUAAUGCAUCAUGUAAAGUUUACAUGUCCCCAUGUAGAAAACUGGCAAUUUCGUUUUAAUGAGCAGAGCGCGGGUAAUCAAUUUCAUUCACUUAAUAAAUGCUUCUGCUAAACCAUUUUGAGUAUGGACAUAAGCCUUAUUUAAUAGUCUAUAGACUGAGACUCUUAUGGCUUUUAUUACAAUUAAGUUAAGGCACUGCAGCACUUCAAACUUACGGUACUCAUCUAGGAACUUCAUGUCCUGAUCUUGAGGAUCAAGGGACUUCAUACCUGAUCUUUUUGCGUGAUGGAACUUCAGGUCUAAUCAUUUUUAUAUGAUGAGGAUCAAGAAACUGCAGGUUCUCAUCUGAUCAAUGAACUUUAGGUCCUAUAUAUACUCAUUGUAACAAAAGAUAAGUACAAUAAAUAAAUUAAAGCAAUAGGCGGUAAUUCCAGCCAUAAUGAAUAAAUUGCAUUUAAGUAAAUAAAGUUUGUGACAAGGGCUUUAAUUCAGCACCAUCAAAACUUAAAGCAAUAGGCGAUAAAACCGUCCAUGAUAAAUAAAUUGCUUUAAAGUAAAUAAAGCUUGUGACAAGGGCUUUGAUUCAACACCAUUCACAUAAAUAUCAAAACUUUAAAGCAAAGGGUAAUAAUUCUACCCACUAUAAAUAAAUUGCUUUAAAUAAAUAGAAUUUGUGACAUGGGCUUUAAACAAACACCAUACACAUAAAUAUCAAAGUUUUAAAGCAAAAGGUAAUAAUUCUGCCCACUGUAAAUAAAUUGCUUUAAAUAUAUAGAACUUGUGACAUGGGCUUGAAACCAACACCAUGCACAUAUAUAUCAAAGCUUUAAAGCAAAGGGUAAUAAUUCUACCCACUGUAAAUAAAUUGCUUUAAAUAAAUAGAACUUGUGACAUAGGCUUUAAACCAACACCAUGCACAUAAAUAUCAAAGCUUUAAAGCAAAGGGUAAUAAUUCUACCCACUGUAAAUAAAUUGCUUUAAAUAAAUAGAACUUGUGAUAUGGGCUUUAAACCAACACCAUGCACAUAAAUAUGCCAAAACAGAAAAUGCAAUGAUUAAGUCCUCAUCAUUUGCUUUUUCUUUUUCUUGGUCUACCACUUCUUUUGUUUGAUUCCUUUUAUUUUUAUUUUUAUUUCACAGUUCUGAAGUCAUUUUGGUUACUCAGUAAAUAAUAGUAACAAUAAGUUCCAAUUGGUGUUCCUCCUCCGAUGAGUUUCGAAAAAGUCGAAACGGUUCCCAUAAGUUUUGGAGUCAAGAGUGUUUGCAACUUAUGAGAAGAUCCAACCGUUAGAUUUAGUUCACAUUUUAGUAUGAUAUGGAUAAGAGGAUACCGAACAACUUUCGUGAAGAAACAAUUUCAAUCUGAGCUACCGAAAUGGAGUUUUGGUACUCAUAAGGUGGAUGUCCAGUUUUCUGCGGAAAUUGGAAACUAGUUUGGUAUUUCAGACAUCUGUGAUGAUCGCACCGUUAAAGUGUUUUGAAAAUUUGAUAUGUUCUAAAUACUGAGCAGACGAACAACUUUCAAGAAGAAAGUAUUUCAAUCCGAGGACCGCAAGUUGGAGUUCCAAGGUUGUUUACAUGGCUGUCAAAUUCUUUACGAAUUUUGAGUCUGAACUCUUUUGCUUCUGCAAAGGAUGAUAUACAGUUAUACAACAAUAUAUAUAGUUGCUUCAAGAAAAUCAAUUGUACUGAGAUUUGAAGAUGAAAUGAAAUUUUUUUUGUUAUCUGUGAUAUUCCAGCUGAAGGAGGUGAACAUGAUUUGUGACGCUGUGCUUUCCACUGACAUAAGAGCUUCUCGUGCUGAUAACGUGUUGUAAAAUCGACGGCGUGUGCAGUUGAAUAAAUAAACAAGACACAAAAUUUACAAGGUUCCUCUACAGUCAAUGUGCCUGGAGUACAUCCUCGGGGCAGCAGUGGUGCUUUCAUUAUAAUCUGAAAUAAUAAGAGUACAAAGAUAACUCUCUCUAUUAUCUCCUCUCAUCUUCCUCUCUUUUCUCUCUUCCUCUUCCUCUCUUUUCUCUCUUCCUUUCUUCCUUCCUAUCUCUCCCGUGAGUCUCCCACAUUCAUCUCCCAAUCUUUUUUUUUUUGUGUUCCAUAAGACUUGCUUUUAUAGAAGCAAAUCACAAGCAACAUAGUGAAAGGCUUACUAUAUGCAUGUGAGUAUUUACUAUACACAUUACUAUACACAUGUGGGAAAACAUACCCAUUAUUUACAUCACAUCCAUGCUUUUUGGUUCAAUUAUUUUCUUUUUCUGUUUCAUCCUUUCAUUUGAUUCAUCAUGCUCAACGGGACCGUCAUUGUUACCAAGGGCCAUCAUCACUUUUGGUAGGAUUUUCAUUUGAAACUUGCUUCACCUUGUUACUCUUUUUCAAUUAUUCCAAUUAAAGAGGUAGAUGAUGCUUUAUUGCAGUGAUGGAAAACAAUUAUGCUUAUGUACUCUUGUGCAGUUUCGAUCCUCAUAGAUUCGCUUCCUCCUAAACCCAAAACCACUUAGACUUUCUUAACUUUUGGAAUCUACUACAUAUGUUACCUUCCAUUUUUUUGCCAUAAAAACAUCUUACCACUCACGUGGAGGGAUAUUUUUCGUCAAUCCACUUCCUAAAGCUCGCUACAAUGAAUUUGCACAAAUUCAAAAUGCAUUUUUUUAGCAACGUUGGAGUCAGGUAAUGAAGAGACGGGUUUGAUUUUGAGAAGGGUUGUUGAAAAAUUGAAGUGAAAAAUGAUUAGUGGCAUUUACAUUUGUUGUUUGGUAGAUGGUGGCUGCAUGUGUUUUUUCUGGGUUUUUGGUUCUUUAUUACUUAGACUUACUAAAAAUUCAAAUUAUUUAUUGUUUUGUUGUAGGCAUAAUUUACUGACCAAUUAUGGAGGCCAGAAAGAGAGAGAAGGUGAGGCAUGGAGAGAGAAGAGAGGGAUGUGUAAUUGUGAGAUGGAGAGAAGGUUCUAUUCCACCCCAUUGUGCCUUUAUUUAUAGUAGUAGGGAAGGUUAAUUCCUUACACUUUUAGGAUUACAACUCUAAUAGGAUAUUAACUACUAAGGGAAUAUUCAAAGAUGGCCCUAGAUACACUAUGAUUUAUACAAUCGCAUUCCUAAUCUAAUAGGACUACAACACUCCCCCUUGAGUGUGUAAAUACUCAACUAAAUGGCGCAUUAGGUCUUCAACGAUGAAGUAAGUACAAUUGAUGAAGUUGUCAGCACAAUGAGCGAAUGAGAGUCUCAUAUCAAUGAAAGAAUGCAUAAAAAGUAAAACUCACAAAACCUCGCUAUGGUAAAACCUAAGGUGGGAGAAAAACCCAUAGACUAAGGAGAAAAGUGAGAAGUUGCAUUAAAUCAAAACUAUACGUCUUCUGGACGCAAGUAGAAGAGCUCACAAAGGUAUGAUCAGCCCAGGAUGGGUGCCUCGUCAAAACCUAGUUAGGUAGCAAAAACCCAGUAGGAAAAAUGCUCCUAAUCGUAGGAAAAAAAAAUACAUUAAGAUCAAGUGAGUAUACUUCUGGAUACUCCCUCAGAGUUUGACAGAACUUCCAAAUGAGAACUACAGGCAUUGCAUAUGAAUAGUUAGGCAGACCAGUUCCUUAGACAAGCUUAUGGAAGGUUGACUUCGGUAGUGACGUCAUGUAGAGGUCGGCAAGGUUGUCUAGGAUUGGCUUGCAUGACUUCAAUCACCUGAUGCUUUGCUGAUGUAGAUGUAGAUGCAAUAGGUCUUGGCGUUGACUUUGUUGAUGUAUCAUGUCUUGGUCGGGUUGAUACAUGCGGCAUAGUCUUCAUGGAUCAUCAUCGGGACUCAACGAUGGAUGAUAACAGCAAGUACUUUGAAUAUGCUCAACAAGAACUCCUAACCAUGUCUUACGUGUGGCAUAGUGAAGUGAGAUAUAUGAUGCUUUAUUGCAGUGACGGAAAACAAUUAUUCUUAUGUAGCUUUGUUCAAUUUCGAUCCUUGCAAAUUAGCUUCCUCCUAAACCCAAAACUACUUAGACUUUCUUAACUUUUGGAAUCUACUACAUAUGUUAGCUUCCAUCUUUUUGCAGUAAAAACAUGCUGCCACUCACGUGGAGGGAUAUUUUUCGUCAAUCCACUUCCUAGAGCUCACUGAAUUAAUUUGCAAAAAGUCAAUAUGCAUUUUCCUGCAGCGUUGGAGUCAAGUCAUGAAGAGACGAGUUUGAUUUUGACAAGGGUUGUUGAAGAAUUGAAGUAAAAAAUGAUUGCUGGCAUCUACAUUUGUAGUUUGGUGGAUGGUGGCUGCAUGUUUUUUUUUGGGUUUUUGGUUCUUUAUUACUUAGACUUACUAAAAAUUCAAAUUAUUUAUUGUUUAACAUCGUAAUAUGUGUUUUGUGUCGGGUUUGUUGUGAUGACUGUAUUGGACAAUUGCUAAAGACAAAUCUUAGUCUAUUAGGUCCUUAUGCAUAGACACUGUUCUAAAAAUUCAUGUCUAGCAUAGCGCAGUCUAGGCGCUAGGCAACUGACCACUAUCCCGAUUAGUUGAAAUAGGGCACCUACACCUGCUUAGGCACCCGCCCAGACUAGCCUAGGUACCUUCCUAGGUCGCAACUCUCAUUUAGACAGAAAAUGGAUAGAAUUCAUUUUGCAUUUUAUUUGUUUCAAUAUAUUAUAAGAGACUUGUUAGAUAAUUAAAUGGAUAUACUUUAUAUGCUUGUUCCUCAUGUUUUUAUUAUAUUCUAAUACUUUAUAAUCUAUGUCAUUCUAUUUUACAAUUUAUGUAUUUAAGUGAAAUUAUCUAUUUUUUAAGUAUAAAUAGACACCUAUUUAUAUGAUGUAUAAUAAAUUUCAUUGUGACGAGAACACAAGUGGUACACCACGUGUUUUAAUAGAAGUGGUGGGAAAUUUUAUUUUUUUUAAUUAUUAACUUUUUAGCACACAUAUCCUACCAUUUGUAUAAUGACACGUGGUGCCCCAUCCCCUAUACCGGUCACACUGAAAAAUCUCUCCACUCUGGGAGGUUAAAGUGAAAGCAUGCCUUAAAUAACCAAAAAGAGAUUAAUGCAAUUUCAACAUUGAUUGUAAUAGAGGAGCAGUUAGCAUCAUACUAAUAUUGGAGUAGAGAGACUUGUAACAGAGAAAGCUCAACCAAAUAUCUUACAGAAUGAAAUUGAAGAAGAAGAACCAGAGAGCCUGAUGGGUACAACUUGGGAGAACUUAGAAGCCUAUAUGGGAACUCAUCUAGUGAUGAAGAACCGGAUUCAAUGAGAAGGAAUAGGAGGUAGAAGAAACAACCCAAGUUUAAACAUCAUAGAAAAGAAACUGAUGUCAGUACCAUAGAGUUUGAUUUGGGGAUGUCUUUUCUUAUUAGACUAAACAUAUAAACCAAGAUCAUGUAACAUGAAUCACAGCCACCCAAACACAAACUGUAGUUCAUGACUAUUGUACAGAGUAGAAAUCUUACCUGCAGAUGCACCAGAAGAAGAAGCCACUAUAUAUAGGUCUUAGUCCGAGACAGAGCGUAAUAUCUGUGAGAGGAUAGACCACUAUAUAUAUAGAACAUAAUCCUAGCCAAAACCAAUAAGGAUUUUCCUAUUAAAAUCCAUACAGCAAACUGAAAUUGUUUACAAUAGGUGAAUCAGUUCCUUGUUCUAUUUGAAUCCUAGAACAACAUGGAUUAAUAAUCAGUACUCAUUAAGACUUUCUAUCAAACUUGAGACGAAUCACCAAUUCUCUAGACUCAUGCUCAUAUUCUUGCAUUCCCAAGUUCCAAGGAAUUCAAAGAAGUUGUGAAUAGACACUUUUAUAAUAUGCAGGUCUUACGAGUUAACCACAAAUGGUUGGUACAAGGUUAAGGCUCAAAUUCAUGCCCUUGGCAAGUGAUGCUUCUAAUGACCAAUCUGAUAGACAUUCUCCUUUAUAUGUAAAACAUUUGUUCCAAAUCACACUUGUGGAAAAGAUGAAAACAAUACGAGUGUGACCAGUACUUGGUUGGCUGAGAGAUAUGCUGAUGAUAUGAAGAUCAAUCCCUUUUUUUUUUUAAUAAAGGACGGCAUAUAUAUAUGAAAAUCAAUCCUAAAAUGGAUGUUAAGACAAUGAAAGCUACAAUGAGGGAUUAUCCAUUCUAAUCCCUCUCCAAAUGAUAGGAUUGUGAGUGAUAAGUUUAUUUCAUUCCAAUCCCCUUUGAAUUUUAAGAGUUGCCUAUUCCAAUCUAAACCUAGAGACGAAACGCGGCCAUAUAUUACAAAGACAAAGAUUCUAAAACGGCCUUCGCUCAGAGAAGAAAAAAAAGCCAUGCAGUGAGAACAUCUAAGGGAAACGAGUUGAUCCUCAAUAAACGCCUCAAUAGAAUGACGUAUCUUUGUUAAAGCAUCUGCCACAAAAUUAGCUUAAUCUAAAACAUGAUAGAAGCUGAUAUGAUCAAGCAUCCCAUGUUUGCUGAAAAGAUGAAAGAAGGAUCUUUCCAAGUUUAGGAAGGUGGGAGUUGCCAAAGAGAAACCGAUUUGAGCCGCAUCUGCUCCAAAUAUCUCAGGCAAACGGUCAGCUGACAAAAUGCGGUCAAUGGCUUCAACAUCUUGAGAAUAAAAGGCACAACUAGGAUCAAUUGGUUGUACUUUAUAUAGGGAUAAGAAUUGAGUUUCCUCUUUCACAAAUGUUACUUAUUCAUUACGGCCAUUAUACUGUCAGUAUAACUUUUCCGGCUUCUAAGUUCGGAACCCUCCCAAACAUUGGACACUACAAUACUAGAUAAUGCAAUAAGAUACAACAGUACAAUACAAUAUAGUUGAAAACAAUCCAUCUAAGAUAGUACAGACUCAAUCGGACGAAUCAGGAGCCCUAGUGUUCAAGCUUCCACCUUUGCGGUAAACUUAAGUGGUGGCUUCAAGAAAUGGAUAAUCAGUGUAACCAAUGACGGGAUCAGGUAUGUAGAAUGUCUCUCUGUUGUACUUGUUUAGAGGAGCAUUAAGUUCAAAUCUCUUUGGCAAAUCUGGAUUCGCCAAGAAAAUACGGCCAUAAGCAAUAAGAUCUGCACUGCCCUUGGCCACAGCACUGUUUCCAUCUUCCCUAUCAUAACCACCAGCAGCAAUGAAGGUACCAUGGAAAGACUUUCUCAUGGGAAGAAGACUCUGGUGGGUUUCAUCUUUUUCCCCCAUUGUCUUCAUCCUCGGCUCAACCAUGUGGCAGUACACGAUUCCAUAUUUGUUCAAGGCAUUGGCCAUAUAGAGGCCUAAUUCUUUUGGAUUUGAAUCCCCUGAGUCCAUAUAGUCAGCAAAUGGAGAUAAUCUAAUUCCAACUUUAUCUGCUCCUAUUUCGUUAGCGACAGCUUCAACAACUUCCAGAGGAAGGCGGCAACGAUUCUCUAGAGAUCCACCAUAUUGGUCUGUUCGAUCAUUCACAUGAUCUUUCAGAAACUGAUCAAGAAGGUAGCCAUGCGCCCCAUGAAUUUCAACUCCAUCGAAGCCUAUAUAGCAGAUUAACAAUUUCAACAUACUGACGGUAUUAGAACCUUAAGCAUUGUAGCUGAAUUACCAAACAAAUAAUAUAAAGACAAACUACCGGCUUCAAUAGAAUUCCUUGCAUAAGCUUUGAAGCAAAUUGAGUUGUUGUAAAUUUUCUUUCAUUUUAACGUAAAGACAAAUUACCAGCUUCAAUAGAAUUCCUUGCAGCAAGUCUAAAAUCAUUGACAAUUUGUGGAAUUUCAUCUGUCCUUAAUCGUCUUGGAGGCGUGAAUUCAGAGGCAUCGAUGCCAUUUAAUCGUAUCGGCUUGUCAGUAGAAGAUAUUGGAGCUUGCCCAUUUGGUUGAUAACCUGUAAGCAAGGAGAGAAAGAAUUACAACCUGAAGUCUAACGACAGUAACUAACAUCCACAGCAGCACUCUUUUAAGUGGGAAUCCUUUGUUACAAAUUACUAUAACCACACGUGCUAUAUACUAGUUCUGAAUUCUGAGUUAUGUUAACAUCAAACUUAUUCCCAUCCAAUAAUAAUAAUAACAAUGCUUCCGAAACAGCAAAGUCAUAACAAGUCCAACUCGGAACUUAACAAGUCCAAGUUUUAUCGUCAUUUUGAGCAACAAUGUUGUCAUUUAUAAUCACUCGCUCGUUCUGAUGCAUAUACCAUUAUGUUAUACAUCAAACUUCUUAAUCGGUCUAAUUAUUCACUCAUGUUAACAAAGCAUUCUAUGGUAAAAGUGAGGUCAUAAAGGUGUAAGUCAGAAACGCACCGCUAUUAGAAACCCUUCCAACAUGCCAAAUCUGACAGAAGAAGAGGCCACCUUUAGCAUGAACAGCAUCAACAAUGGGUUUCCAGGCUUCAACUUGCUCCUUUGUCCAUAUACCAGGUGUGUUCGGGUACCUUCGUAUAUUAAAGAACCAAAAAUUUCAUCAAACUUUGAAACGAAAGAAGCACCCUCAAAUGCUUGUUAGUCUAUGAAUCUACUGUUGUUGAAAUUACCCUUGAGCUGUGUUGGAAACUCCAGUGGCUUCAGCUAUGAGAAGACCCCCGUUCGAAGUUCUCUGAGAGUAAUAUAAGAUAGCAUGUGGUUGAGGAACAUUGUUGUAUGAUCUCUGUCUGGUCAAUGGUGCUAAAACAAUUCUGGAAAGGAAAAAGCAAUUGUAAAUUAUAAAUACAGAGUGAUCAAGAUGGAAUGUGGCUGAGGAACAUUAUCGAAUGAUCUGUAUCUAGUCAUCAACGGUGAAAAUACAAUUCUAAACAGGAAAAACAUAUAAUAAACCAUAAAUACAACCUUCAGACUUUGUAGGAAGCAUUAGUUUGCUAAGGCUCCUUCAUAACAAAUUCGUUUUUAGUUUUCUUGUUUUAGUUAAAAAGGAGAAACGAGGGAGGAAGAAGGAAUUUGGGGCGAAAAUGUAUGAAAUAAAAAGUCGAAUUGUAGAUUAUCUGAAUUUGCUAAGGCUCCUUCAUAACAAAUUCGCUUUUAGUUUUCUUGUUUUACUUAAAAAGGAGAAACGAGGGAGGAAUAAGGAAUUUGGGACGAAAAUGUGUGAAAUAAAAACUCUAAUUGUAGACUAUCUGAAUUUGCUUUAUGUUCUUCAUUUUCGGUAUCAUUCCAUGCACAUUUGGUCCCUCAUCCAUCCCUUCCCCUUCCCCUUCCUCCUCCUCCUCCUCUUCUAUCAUGCAUUUUCUCUUUUACUUAAAAUUAAAAACUAAAAAUCAAAUACGAAAUCGUUACCAAACACAACCUAAACAAAGCAAUGUCUUACGAAGUGACCAUGGCCGAAAGGACACAUACUUUUAACAAUCUAUUGCAUCUAUUUUCAACAAUUAAUCAAUGAAAUAACUCAAGUGUACUGUUGUUUUGAUUUAAUUUGUAACAUCUGUACUAUUUUAUAGACAAAGAUACAGUUACUCUUUUUUUUUUUUUAGGUAAACUGGAAUUACACCAGGGCAAAGCCAGAGUACAACAGGAAAACCCACACAGAGGACUAACAUAGCUAAAACCAUUGAAACGACAAACAACAGAAUGAUCCAGGGCCAAGGACCAACACUAGUUCCGACAUUAUGUCACCCUUAAUCAUUCCAACAUAGACUCAACUUAGUGUGGGCAAGGUAGACCAUCCUUGUUCAACUUCUUGUCUCCUUCCCAACAUCUGUACUAUUUUAUACCAACAUGAUUCUCUCCAGAUUCUUUUGGUGAGAAUCUUGUCUGUUCAUCAUAAAUCGUGCGAUCAGUUUUUGUCAACUACUGUUCGUGUUUUAUUUUAAAUAAAAAUAUUUAAAAUAAUUUUUGACCGCACGAUGUACGAUGAACAGACAGGAUAACGGAUUUCCAAGAUUCUCACAAAGAGAAUCCGACGAGUAUCCGGAAUCUAUUUUAUAGACAAAGAUACAGUUACAAACAGUCCUUGUCUCCUUCCCCAAAUCAUUCUUCGUUUUUGUAUAGCUAUAUUUGACACACACACAUAAUAAACCACACAGUACGCUAAACUUGAAUAUAGACAAGCAGUAAUUUCAUCUUCUAUUUUUCUUGUUAGCCAAUAGCCAUCUGCAGACCUAGCUACUCUCUGAAUCCAAGUUCGGAUCUCCUCUCAUAGUUUUUACAACAUUAUAUUAAAAUAACGCCCGAAUAAAAUAAAUUAAACAAUUACACGACAGAGAAAUUUAAGAAGUAAACAAAUAGGAACAAUGUAUGAAAGUUUUAAGUACCUAUGAGAAAGAUUGAAGUUUCCCAAUUUGUAGGGAGUGAGGAGAGGAAUUGUGGGAGGUUGAGCAGCAGCAGACAUCUCAGAAUUCGAGUCGGUCGUCUACCACCUGAUCUUGCACUUGGCGUUUUAUACUGGAUUCUGGGAUGAAGGAAGGAAGGAAUGAAUGAAAACAGGACCCAAUUGGGUCUUUUAUACGUUCGGUAGGAGCUUAAAAGUCCGCCCUGCAGCUUUCCUCCACAAAAGUCAGAGAAGGCCGGGUCCCACAUCUCCCCUCCCUUGUGUGGUGGUGGCGGCGGCGGACGUCGGUGGGUGGAUGAUGGAUCUCUCCAAAGCAUUAAUUAAAUCGAUUAGGUGAAGAGAGGUAGGAAGGUUUGAUGAGGUCUGUAAUUACGUUUACGUGGGUUGAAAAUAAACCAGUUUUAUGAGGUCUGUAAUUACGUUUGCGUGGGUUGAAAGUUCACCAGUUUUCCCCAUGAAAAAGGACGUCUACGCACGUUCAUUUCGAUUUUGCUUUUUCAUCCUGCAUUAUUAGGCCAUGGUUAGAAAAAAUAUAUUAUAAUUUUGUAAAAAAAUUAAUUUUAAAUUAAUAGUGUCAGAUCAUAUUUAUAUACUAUCGCUAACCAAAUGAGCUAAACAUAGCCUCAUCAAUUUCCGAUGGAUAGCUAGACUAAAAUUCUAUGGAGCUCAUCAAGCCAUCAUUUGGCUAAAGGGGCAUUGGGCUGGCCAAAUGUAGCCCCCCUUCUUAGCCCUUUUUGGAGCCCAGCUCCUCUACUGCACUAUUUGAGUCAAAUUCAAUAACUAUGUUUGAAAACAUUUAAUGGAAGUUUAAUUAAAUUAAUCAAUAAAUUUAAUAUAUAAACUUAAAACUAAGUAAUUAUUGAGAGGGUUAUGUUUAGCCACUUCAGUGACGGUAUAAGUAUGAUGCGAUAUUGUUCAGUCAUUUCGGUUAAUGAUGGCCUACGGUUAGAAUUUUGAGGAUAUGUGAGACUAAAUGCAUGUUAGUUACAAAAUUAUGUUUGUUUAGAUCACUUGAAAUAUUUGACAACUUAAUAAAGAAAAACCAACUUAAAAUCCAUGAAUUAGAAAACUCAUUUUCUUUUUUGGUUUUAUUAAGUUGUCAAAUAUUUAAGCUUUUGAAUACAAACUAAUAUAAUCUUGUGGCUAAUAUACAUUUGGUCCUCACAAAUCUUUAAAAUGAAGACCUUACUUGAUCAAUGAAUUUAUGACAAAUUAAAUAGUCUAAAAAUAAAAGGCUCGAAUUAGGGCUAGGUUCAGUUCAAAUCAGUUCAAUUUUUUUUUCAGUUUGGGUUUUUUUUGGUUCCAAUUCGGUUUUUUUCGUGAUUUUUUUUAAAUCUUUUUUUUUUUGUCAAAAAUAUAAAGAAGAGUAAUUUUACUUUUUUUUUUUUCCGAUGAACUAAGAAAUUAAAGAAGGAACUUGAAUUAAAACUAGGGCAACUCGCAAUGAUGGCUGCAUCAACAAAUCAUCCAUAUCUACAAUACGAACAGAAACCUUUGUAAAUCAUAAAGUCCUUAAUGCUGAAUCCUUUAAGAACCAAGACUUGAAAACCCUAAAUCUGCAAUACAAACCCACAAGUAACAAACAAACCCACAACACAAAAAUCGACCAAAUCUGCAAUACAAACCAAACUCCCUCCAUGGCGCCAUGUCGCUGCCUCCGUUUUCCGGCCAAACCAAGGCGAUUUAACAUAAAAAAAAAAGGUACCAUUCUCUUCGUCUCAUCUAGAAGUAUGAUUUUUGUUUUUGAAUCACUUGAUUUCGUUGAGUAUUCAAGAAGUUAUGAACGUUUAAAGUUUACUCAGUUUCUGGCGAGUUUUCAAGUUUUCUAUCUUAUUCUACACUUUCCUAUCUUCAUUUUGAUAUUUUAUGGGUCGAAUUUGGUUAAGAAACGAUUGAGUUAUAAAGCUUUGAAAAUUGCCCAAGAACUCCGGGACACUUAACGGAGUUUUUAACGGAAUGACCAAAAUGAUGGAUGGUGGACAAUCUCAAGGACCACUUUUAUCGAUUUGAAAUGUUAGGGACCAAGGUGAUGAGUUAUGCAAAUCUCAGGGACUAUUUUGACUAUUUAGCCUUUUUUUUUUCAUAAACGAAAAUAAUUUUUUUUAAUGAAGAUAGAAAAGUGUAGAAUAAGAUUAUACCUAUUUGGAAGCCCAAUGGCUGCCGGAGAUAGCCGGAAAAUAGCCUCAAAGUUGACUGGUCCGAGGGAAAAUUGGAAAACUCGCCGGAAACUGGGUAAACUUUAAACGUUCAACUUCUUCAAUACUCAACUAAAUCAAGUGAUUCAAAAACAAAAAUCAUACUUCUCGAUGAGACGAAGAGAAUGGUACCUUUUAAGACGGUUAAAUCGCGGUGGUUUGGCCAUAAAAAGGCUCAAAAGUGUCUAACUCGAGACCAAGACAGCCACUUUGGAACCGUUUUCCGGGCAAACCACGGUGAUUUAGCCGUCAAAAUAGGUACCAUUCUCUUAUUAUCGUUGAGAAGUAUGAUUUUAGUUUUGAAUAACUUGAUUUCGUUGAGUAUUGAAGAAGUUAUGAACAUUUAAAGUUUACUCAGUUUUUGGCGAGUUUUCCAGUUUUCCUUCGGACCAGUCAACUUUGAGGCUAUUUUCUUGCUAUCUCCGGCAGCCAUUGGGCCUCCAAAUAGGUAUAAUCUUAUUCUACACUUUCCUAUCUUCAUUUUGAUAUAUUAUGGGUCGAAUUUGGUUAAGAAACGUUUGAGUUAUGAAGCUUUAAAAAUUGUCCAAAUUUCCAGCCAAGAACUCCAGGACACUUAACGGAGUUUUUAACUAAAUGACCAAAAUGAUGGAUGGUGGACAAUCUCAAGGACUAAUUUUAUCGAUUUGAAAUGUUAGGGACCAAAGUGAUGAGUUAUGCAAAUCUUAGGGACCAUUUUGGCUAUUUAGCCCAAAAAAAAUUGCAAACUUUAAAUGAUAAUAGAACAAAGUAAUACUAAUUUAUAAUAAAGAAGUCAGGUUGUUAAUAGAUGAAUUUGAUUGAAUUUUUAUUGUGUUAGGAAGUGUUAGGAGGAGGAUACAAUUAUCUUACUAGACUACGACACUUGUACAUCAUUAGCAUCGCAAGUACUCAUUUUCCAAAUGUGCAUUACAUUUGAUUUUAAAAAUUUGGUAUUCCUACCAUUAUCCUGAAAACAUAUAUAUUCACAUAUAAACUUUGUUCUUAUUGUGAGGAAACUCCAAAUGUUGAAGCCAUAUUCUUUAAUUGGUCUAUGAUUGAGGAGUGACCGUUGAAAUGUGUAGACUUCAAAAGGAUGUCUAACCUAAUAAUAGUGGUAAUUGUGGUUGAAUCUGAAAUAUUUGACUGCAAAUUCACCGGUUCUUUAGACCUUUCUGAUUCUCUUCGUUAUCUUUACUGGCAUGAUAUCCACUGAAAUCUUUACCGUAAAAUUUUACUCUAGAAAAUCUGGUUGAGCUUCAUAUGCCCGUAUGCAAUUUUAACAUUGAUUGUAUCAACAAGAAAGAUGUAAGACAAUGAAAGCUACAAUGAGGGAUUAUCCAUUCUAUAUAUGAAAAUCAAUCUUAAAAUGGAUGUUAAAAAAUUGAAAGCUACAAUGAGGGAUUAUCCAUUCUAGUCCUUCUCCAAAUGAUAGGAUUGUGAGGGAUAAGUUUGUUUCAUUCCAAUCCCCUUUGAAUUUUAAGAGUUACCUAUUACUUUAGUCUAAAGUAGGGGGAGGUGGCAUUGUGCAAUUUUGGGGUACAUUUCAGUUUACUUACGAAAUUGCCAUUGAGUCUCUCUGUUCCCUCAUUUAACGUUAUUUGCAAAAUUGCCAUUGGGCUUCAGAAAGGGUUUUGGGUCUUUGGGCUGGAAUUUCCGUCCAGAUUGGAAUUUUCGAUUAUUCGAUCCACGCGUUGAUCAUCGCUGGAUCGCCAGCUGUGUGGUAUUUGGUGAGGGGAUGGGUUACGUGUCCAUCAUUGUCGGAAGGUUUCCUUCGACUGCAACUUCUCGACUUUUCGUUCUGUUUCAACUUCUCUCUCACAAGCCUCUGCUUCAGUCGCUCUUGAUCUUCGCCUUUUCUAAGGCGUUUGAGGGACAAAAACCGAAAGCCAAACCACCACCACAAACGAAGUCACAAAUAGGGAUGGGCAACGGUUAUGGCGGACGGGUAACCGCGAUUAUUUACCCAUAACCAUUUAUACUUAUAUCCGCAUAAUUGUUUACCCGUUGGGUAAUUGCCCAAACAGUUAUACCCAUACUCAUAACCAUUUAUAAACGGUUAACCAUACCCAUAACAGCAUACCCAUUUAACCAUAACCGUUUAAUACCAGUUUACUCAUUUACUCUUUUUAACCUGUUUAAUUUUUAUUUAUUUUUUAUCAUUACCUCUUUUUUCACCCUUCUACAUGUUUUUUAACAACUUGAAAAUUAAAAAAAAAAUGUCAUAAUUUUUUUUUGGCAAUUAAACACCGUUAUAAGCACAUUCAUCUUACAUUUCCGUAUUAAAAUUUUUUAAAUCCUUAUCUCAUUCUAAUAAUUGAAAUAAUUUCCGGCAAAGACACAACGGUGUGCACUCGUACGUGGAUUAUUUAUAUGCUCAGCAAGCACCCUUAUAUGCAAGAAAAGGUUGUAACGGAAGUUUGAGAAGCAGCAAAUCUGAAAGAUGACUCAAGCAUUGUUGAACUUGCAGACAAUCUUAAUGAAGAUGCCCUUAAUAAAAUGCAGUAUGUCUUAGUAGCUUUGACUGAGACACAAAGGCUCUACCCUGUAAUUCCACUGGAAAUUUGACUAACAUCUUAACUAAAUCUAAUGCAUGCAUACUGCAAGGGAAAUGAUUUCAGUGCGCUCCCAUUUAUUUUUCUCACUUAAAUUUCUUUUGAUUUAUUCAAUUUAAGAAUAGAAAUACUCCAUGGAUCAUCGUUUAUUACUUUUUAAUUAAUUAAAACACUGCUAUAUAAACCACAUUAUAGUCAAUAGUAUUGAUCUAAGUUUUGUUUGAUAGAGAACAUGAUUUGUGUUAAUUUUAUAUAUAUAAAAUAAAUAGAUAAACGGUUACUCAUUUAUAACCAUGAUUAAUACUCAUAAUCAACUAUUUAUAUUUUACGGAUGAACGAUUAUACCUAUAACCGUUUAUUUAUUUAAACGGUUACCCAAAUGAUCGUGUAACCGCGGAUCAUCCCUAGUUACGAACGCCACUCUCACUCACCCUCCACCGUUACACACGCACCCAAUCAUAAUUCUGAAAUCCAAACACAACCCAGAUGUUAAUCCUUCAGAGAAUGGCAAUGGCCACUUCUUCUUCCUUCCUCUUAAUCCCUCUCCUCAAUACUCUUCUUUGCUUUCCCCAGUUAAACACCAAGCUCCGAGUUCAGGUCUCUGUCCUUGUACGGCGGUAGAACUGGAGACUCCACCUCCUCGGCGAUGGCCACAGAGGCUCAGGUCUCGACCCAAGACGACAAAUUGAAGGAUGCCCAGAUGGAGGUAGCUGAUAAACCUGAGACAGUCGUGCUUCCAACCAACGAGUCCUCCGAAAGCCUCAUCAUAAUUCGACACACGGUAUUUAUUGAAAUUUCAUUGCUUUGGAUUGGAUUUAUGAUUGUUUUAUGUUAAAUUGAAGUAGGGUGCUUUCCUGUUGAAUUUUUUGAAUUUUUAGAUUCUUAGGAGCUUCCCCUUUUUGAAAGUUUGAUGCUUUUAAUUAACUAUUUUCAAUUCUGCGUUACUAAUUGUCACCUGAUUCUAUUGUGAAGAAUGAGGAAGUGAGGAUGAAGAAAAUAAGAACCUAACUUUUCGGUAAUUUGAAAUUUGAUCGAAUAGGACAUGGAAAAAUGGGUGUACAUCAGUAGAUAAGCUGGGAAAAUUUUCAAGACUUGGAUUGUCUGCCCUCUAAUUUUGGUGCCCUCCCAGUGCCCUCUUGUUUUUGUGGUCAUGGUUAAGCCACAUCAACAUUUUAUAGUACUAUUUCUUUUUGUUUUAUUAUUUUUAUAAAAAAAUGAUAUAAAAUAUUGACGUGGCUUAACCGUGACCACACAAAACAGGAGGGCACCGAAAUGGGAGGGCAGACAAUCCAAGUCCAAAUUUUCAUCCUGUUUUUGGGAAUGUGAGAAGAUACAUGGGUUUCUGUAUUUUGAUAAAGUGUUGAGGUCGAGCUAUGUUCAUUUUUUUCUAAAUUUCCAUGUAGUUUGGUAUUAAUGGCGUCUUUUCCGCUGUUAUGGUGAUGAACUAUUUAUGUGUUUGACUGCAGUGUGCACACGUGAUGGCCCUGGCUGUUCAAAAGCUCUUCCCGGAUGCAAAAGUGACAAUUGGUCAGUGGAUAGAAAAUGGGUUCUAUUAUGAUUUUGAUAUGGAGCCUUUGACAGACAAAGAGUUGAAGAGAAUCAAGAAGGAGAUGGUAAGUGGAAUUUCUUUAUAAGUUAUCAUGUUUGUAUCAAAGUUUUGGAACCAUGAAACUAUUGAAAACUAUUCAUGAUCAUUUCUUUUGUGAUUUGUAGGAUCUCAUCAUUGGUAGAAACUUACCACUCAUAAGAGAAGAAGUUUCAAGAUAUGCUCACAAAAGAAUAACUGCGCUCAACGAAGCAUACAAAUUGGAAAUUUUGGAUAGUAUUAAAGAAGAUCCCAUUACCAUAUAUCAUAUUGGUAAGGGUUUCACUAUUUUCAGGCUCAAUAUAGUUUGGAAGGUGAUGAUUUAAUGUGCAGGAACUGUGCGUAAAUGAUAUUUUUAUUAGCUACACAAGUGAAAUGUACAGUGUUUGUGUCGAGUCUUAAGAUGGAAAUUUAAGGGAAUAAAAAAGAGAGGGCGGGGGUGUGCUCAGGGAAAACAAUGUUGUUGGUGCUCUUUAAAAAUGAGUUAUUGAUAUGCAAAUUGAAAAGGAGACUAAUUUGAAGGUGGGAGGAACCUUUUGGUCAAGCUAACCAAUUAUACUUAUGUUUAUACAUAUGCAUGCUUGUACUGGGAUUUGAUUGUGUUUUGAACUAGCAUCCUGUCAUAUUAGACUGUCUUUAUGUCAUAAUUCCUCAUAGUAUGCCGAAUUCUUCUUAUGUGAUGAAUGGUAGGAAGCAUGUGCAGGGCCCCAUGUUGAAAAAACUGGAAAUAUUAACGGAAAAGCUGUCGAACUUGAGUCUAUUGCUGGUGCUUGCUGGAGAGGAGAUGAAAAAAACCAAUGCUGCAGAGGAUCUAUGGCACUGCAUGGGAGAGUGAAGAUCAAUUGAAGGCAUAUCUUCAUUUCAAAGAGGAAGCUAAACGUCGAGAUCACAGGGGCUUUGAUCAAGUUCUUGACCUGUUUUCUAUACAGGUACUCAGAAUUGCCCUGAAUCUCUUUCUGCUGCUUACGCAGAUUUAUCAGUUAGCAAUCCCAUUAUUUGUAAUUAUGAGGAUUCUUGCAUUAACUCUGCCUGUGUAAGUUUAUCUUACAUUGCCGGUCCCAAGUCCGGGUAAAGGAGGAGGGGGAGGGCGUCAGGUAGUCGACAGCCGGCACUCCACAGUUACGUCGAAUCCUUAUGAAAAUGAAUCCAGAACGAAAUCGCGCUAAAGCUAGGGCGUCACCCGUAAGUGGCGCGCUGUGUGGCCCGAGCACAGUGAUAAGUGAGCAAGGGUCGCUGUAUCUCCAUCGGCACCCGGAUGCAGUGUUAAAUGAGCAAGGGGGCCAUAGAAACUUCUUUUCGAACGACUCCACUCAAAGUUGUUUGGGAGCAUAUACUCCUAUCAACUUUACACAGGACACACAAAAGAAGUACUUUGAUCCUAUUGGACGGGGGAGGGUGAAGAAGCUAGGACAAAAGGGUAGAGUUCAAGAGAGUAGAAUGCGUUUAGGAACGUGGAAUAUAGAAACCUUAACGGGAAAAUCUAUAGAAGUAGUGGAAGUUAUGGUGAGGAGAAGGAUAAAUAUUAUGUGCCUACAAGAAACUAAGUGGGUUGGUCUUAAGGCAAAGGAUCUAGAAAACUUAGGGUUUAAACUUUGGUAUUCGGGCACAAGUAGAACGAGAAACGGUGUUGGCAUCAUCUGUGGACAAGACCUUGACACAAGAUGUUGUAGAUGUCAAGAGGGUAGGAGAUAGAAUCAUGGCAAUCAAGAUUGUAAUAGGACAAGAACUCAUCAAUGUCAUUAGUGCGUACGCACCUCAAGUAGGGUUGGAUACGAGUUCGAAGGAGAAAUUUUGGGAAUACCUUGGAGACUUGGUGCUGGGAAUACCUUGGAGACUUGGUGCAAGGAAUUGCCCAGACGGAGAAGUUAUUUAUAGAGGAGAUUUAAAUGGACACGUGGGCAGGGAGACAGGCAACUAUAGAGGUUUUCAUGGUGGCCAUGGUUUUGGGGAGAGAAACGAGGAUGGGGAAGCUAUCUUGGAUUUUGCAAUGGCAUAUGAUCUCUUCUUAGCCAACACAUUCUUUAAGAAGAGAGAAGAACAUGUGAUCACCUACAAGAGUGGGUUGUCAAAAACACAAAUAGAUUUUCUUCUAAUGAGGAUAUGAGAUCGUAUAACUUGUAAGGAUUGCAAAGUUAUACCGGGAGAGAGCUUGGCUAAUUAACAUCGCUUGUUGGUGAUGGAUGUACAUAUCAAAAGAGUGAGAAAAAAGAACAAGACUUGGAAGUGCCCAAGGCCUAGAUGGUGGAAUCUAAAAGGAGAAAAACAAGCCAUUUUCAAAGAGAAAGUAAUCACCCAGUGUGGGUGGGAUAGAGAGGGGGAAGCUAGCUAAAUGUGGGAUUCCAUGGCUAGUUGUAUCCGAAAAGUAGCAAAAGAGGUAUUAGGAGAGUCCAAGGGCUUUGCCCCACACCAAAAGGAAUCUUGGUGGUGGAAUGAGGAGGUACAAACAAAGGUGAAGGCUAAGAAGGAAUGUUGUAAAGCCUUAUACAAGGACAGGACCGAUGAAAAUAGUGAAAGGUAUAGAAGAGCGAAGCAAGAGGCUAAGAAAGCUGUGAGAGAAGCUAAGUUAGCGGCUUAUGACGACAUGUAUAAGCGACUAGAUACCAAAGAAGGAGAGUUGGAUAUCUAUAAACUAGCUAGAGCAAGGGAAAAGAAGAUAAGGGACCUAAACCAAGUGAGGUGCAUCAAGGAUGAGGAUGGAAAGGUUCUUGCUACAGAGAAUGCGGUCAAAGACAGAUGGAGAGGUUAUUUUCAUAAUCUUUUCAAUGAAGGACAUGAAAGGAGUACUUCUUUAGGGGAGUUGAGUAAUUCAGAAGAGUGUAGAAACUACUCAUUUUAUCGUCGAAUCAGGAAGGAAAAAGUGGUUGUAGCUUUGAAGAAAAUGAAGCAUAGAAAAACAGUGGGCCCAGAUGAUAUAUCGAUCGAAGUGUGGAAAGUCUUGGGAGAGACAAGUAUAGCAUGGCUCACUGACCUUUUCAAUAGGAUUUUGAAAACGAAGAAGAUGCCAACUGAGUGGUGAAAGAGCACUUUGGUGCCUAUAUACAAGAAUAAGGGCGACGUACAAAAUUGCAUGAAUUAUAGGGGUAUUAAGCUAAUGAGCCAUACAAUGAAGCUCUGGGAGAGAGUCAUUGAGCAUAGAUUGAGGUAAGAGACACGGGUUUCGGACAACCAAUUCGGGUUCAUGCCAGGGCGCUCAACCAUGGAGGCAAUCUAUCUCUUACGAAGAUUGAUGGAAAGAUAUAGAGAUGGGAAAAAGGAUUUACACAUGGUCUUUAUAGAUUUGGAAAAAGCUUAUGAUAGGGUCCCAAGAGACAUUCUUUGGAGGAUUUUAGAGAAGGAAGAAGUACGAGCAGCAUAUAUCCAAGCUAUAAAGGAUAUGUAUGAAGGAGCAAAGACUGCCGUAAGAACUCAUGAAUGACAAACCGAAAGCUUCUCCAUAACUGUAGGAUUACAUCAAGGCUCAUCCUUAAGUCCUUACCUUUUUGCGUUGGUAAUGGAUGAGUUAACAGGACAUAUUCAAGAUGAUAUUCCUUGGUGUAUGCUUUCCGCAGAUGAUAUAGUGUUGAUAGAUGAAACUCAGGAAGGGGUAAAUGCGAAGCUUAACCUUUGGAGAGAAAUGUUGGAAUCUAAAGGUCUUCGCCUAAGCCGAUCAAAGAAAGAAUAUAUGGAGUGCAAGUUCAGUGCAAAUGGAGGCCAAAAUGAGUUAGGGGUGAGGAUCGGAGAUCAGGAAAUACCAAAGAGCGAUCGUUUUCGCUACUUAGGAUCUAUCUUGCAAAAGAACGGAGAAUUAGAUGGAGAUCUCAACCAUAGAAUACAAGCUGGAUGGAUGAAGUGGAAGAGUGCAUCCGGCGUGUUGUGUGACCGUCGUAUGCCACUGAAGCUCAAGGAAAAAUUUUAUAGGACAACAAUAAGGUCGGCGAUGCUGUAUGGCACAGAAUGUUGGGCGGUGAAGCAUCAACACGUACACAAAAUGGGUGUAGCGGAGAUGAGGAUGCUUCGUUGGAUGUGUGGGCACACGAGAAAUGAUAAGAUUAGGAAUGAGGAUAUCCGAGGUAAAGUAGGAGUAGCCGAAAUUGUACGAAAAUUGAGAGAAAAUUGGUUACAGUGGUUUGGACAUGUGCAAAGAAGGCCUACUGACGCUCCGGUUAGAAUAUGCGACUACAGGACAGAGGUUUAGGGCCGAAGGGGUAGAGGAAGACCUAGGAAAACUUUGGAAGAGACUCUAAGAAAAGACUUAGAGUAUUUGGAUCUAACGGAGGACAUGACACAGGACUGAGCACAAUGGCAUUCUAAGAUUCAUAUAGCCGACCCCACUCAGUGAAGAAGGCUUUGGUGUAUUUAACACAAUACGUUGAAAUGAAGCAAAACUUAUUUAUUGAUAUCUCCGAUAAGUUACAAAUAUGUACAUAUACAUGAGUCAAAAUAAACAAACAAGAGGGAGCCUUCACAAAGGUUGCUUAGGAGAAGUCUCAGCAGUUGGUAGAGCCCCAGAAAGAGAAGGCACCGGAGGGGUAUCAUUCGAAGCCUCAGUACUGGACAGAACCCUAGAAGGAGGAGGCAUCGAAGGUUGAUCAUUUGGAGCUUCAGUACGCGGUACAGCCCCAGAAGACGAAGGCAAUAAAUGCCUUUGGAACAAACCCACAAACCGCUGAUGAUCAAGUAAAACCUGACCAUCAGAUUCCUUCAUCUGGUCAAGCUUCCUCUUCAUGUUUGUAGCAUAGUCAUGUGCGAGCCGGUGCAACUGUUUAUUCUCAUGCUUGAGCCCUCUAAUCUCUUAUUUGAAACUCAUCACUUCAGCCGCCAAUGAUUCAACUUGGCAGGUUCGAGCAAAUAGGCGCUGGGCCAUAUUAGACACAGAACCUGCACACUGAACACUUAGAGCCAGAUAAUCCUUAACAGCCAACUCAUCAGACCGUUUGCAAAGUAAUCUGUUAUAUUUGGGAGUGAGAAAGUUCCUGGCCACCACCGCAGCAGUCAUAUCAUUCUUCAUCACGGAAUCCCCAACGGUAAGCGGACCAGUAGGGGAUAAGAAAGAUGGACGCCAUAUGUUGUCUGGAGAAGGCGUGGCUGCCUCUUCAACGAGGUUCAAGUCAAAACGACGGUCGGAGGGGCCAGAAAUUUUCAAAGGUGUUGAAGAGAGAAGUGGUCGGACAAAUCAAGAUCUUAGAAGUGCAAGAAUGGAGCUUCUACUGGUGAAGAUUCAAGUGUGCUUUGGAACUUAAUGUCAGCCUCUAUAAAAAUCUGCACUCGACGGAGCUUCAGAAAUCGAAGAGGCGCCUGCCCAGAAAUCGAAGAGGCAUUUGCUUUCUCAAAAGUUGGGCUGCUCAAAGACCACGAGGGUCGAUCUCAGAAAUCGAAGAGGCGUUUGCUUUCUCAAAAGCUGGGCUGCUCAAAGACCACGAAGGCCGAUCUCAGAAAUCGAAGAGGCACUUGCUUUCUCAAAAGCUGGGUUGCUUAGAGACCACGAAGGCCGAUCUCAGAAAUCGAAGAGGCACCUGCUUUUUUCAGCCUUGUCAGCACCUGUCACAUGCACACUCAGCUUUGCUGAAAUUACGGGCAUUCUGUUGAAUAUUUCUGGUGAAGUAGAAAGCACGUGAAUCUUAUUGUUCAAUCAUCCACUUUCCACACGCACCAUCAGCUCAUGGGUACCAUAGAUAACUUUGCCAAAGAUCUCUGACAAAGUUUAGACACGUGAAGCUUGCAGCUCCCACUACAUCGCUAUGAUCAAGAAGGGUAAAAGAAUAGCAAAGAAACAGCACUAACAAAGUUUAGAUACAUAAAUUUUGAAGGUCUAGCUACCAUAUUAUUACCUACAAGGGUAAAGGAACAGCACCGCUGCUGGAUAAUCGGAAAGUCCUUGUAUGUCAACCUAUGUGCUCUGUGGCAAGGUAGACUAGCAAACAUGCCCAAACUUUACUUACAUUCGAGAAAACACUCCCAACAAGAUUGCUUGCUCCAAAAUCGAAGAGGCACCGUCCUCUGAAUCUCGAGAGCCAGACUCCCAACAUGAUUACUUUCUCAAAAUUGAAGAGACACCGCUCUCCGAAUCUCGAGAGCUAGACUCCCAGCAGGAUUGCUCUCUCAAAAAUCGAAGAGGCACCGUUUUCCGAAUCUCGAGAGCCAGAUCUCCGACAAGAUUACUUGUACGAAAACCGAAAAGGCACCGCUUUCUCAACUUCAAGAGCCAGAUCUCCUUGGAUAAAGCUUGUCUGUAAUCUUCACACGCAACAUCAGCUUUCCAGAUACCACAGACCACUUUUUCAAAGUGCUCUGACACACGUGAAGCUAGCAACUCCCACUACCGUGCUAUGACCAAGCAGGGUAAAGGAAUAGUAUUACUACUUGUUGUUAGGGAAACUCCUAUAUAUGUCGACCUCCAUCCUCAACGGACAGGCAGACCUGCAAAAAUGCUCAACACUUCCUCAUAUCCGAGAGGGCACUCCCAACGAAGCCUCUCGAAAUACUCAGCUUUCUUUCCCCCCGAUAAUACCUCUGCAAACAAGCUACACCAGAGCAAGAAUAUCUCAUAUCAUCAGGGUUAAAAGCAAGAGUAUCCCAUAUCAUGCUUUUUCCCUGUCUUUUCCUUUGGCCUUGUUCUUACCUGCAAGACAAGGAGAAAGAGAGCAAUCAGUCAGCACUUGGAAUCAAGCUUCCAGUCAGGAACUGACUGCCUGGAACCCCUUACCUGAUUACUUACCUGGCAUUGCUCUCGAGUACCCAUCUUCAAAAUCUUAUGCUUCCAGAGAAGAUACCACAUCUGCCUGAGGAACAGAUAGGGAAAGUGAGAAGGAUACAAGGAAGCAUGUGGAGACAAACGUAACAGAACACGUGCCGAUACAUCCACUACUUUGUCAACAGCAAAAGUAUCUCAUAUCAGCAGGGUCGAACGUACUCUAGAUUUGAUGGACGUGUUUUGACCCUCAAAUUCUUCAGUCGGCCUUAUACUCUGGAAGAAACCAGAAAAUCCUCCAGCCCAGUUCAAGAAUAAGCCUGUGUAAAGUUACUUAUUCAAAAGCAAAAGUAUCUCAUAUCAUCUAUUCUCCUUUUCUUCUCUUUAUCCUUCAUGCUGCCUGCAAGAUAGGGAGAAUGAGAACAAUCAGCCGGAACUCGAAAUCAAACUUCUGAUCUGGGACUAAUUGCUUGGAGCUCUGAUUGCUUACCUUGUCUGUCACCUUUUUCAGCAUAUCCCCUAGCUCGGUGACUUGGGGGACUCCUACUACAUGGUUUGUAUCGCGCUUGACCAAGCCUGAAACUACAAGUAAGCUUCAAGUGAAUUUGAUACAUUACCUUGUGCAUCUCCACCAGUUAAAGAUACCACCCCUUGAUGGAGGAAGCGUACUUCCAGAGAAGAUGCCACAUCUACCUAUGAGACAGUUAAGGCAAGUGAAGACGAGAGCAUGCACCUAUGUGAUUUGUACUAAAUCAUUCACUUGUACUCACUAAAGGAGAGCUUGAACCUAUGUACUUGCGUAAACUCUUCACAAUUAAUGAGAACUCCUCUACUCCGUGGACGUAGCCAAUCUGGGCGAACCACGUACAUCUUGUGUUUGCUUUCUUGUCUCUAUCCAUUUACAUACUUAUCCACAUUAAUGACCAGAGCAAUCUAGCGAAGAUCACAAACUUAAUACUCUCUGUUGUACCAAAGUCCUCACUGAUUUUGUGCAUCAACAAUCCUUAAGUCUUUACAUUUUUGCGUUGGUAAUGGAUGAGUUAAUAGGACAUAUUCAAGAUGAUAUUCCUUGGUGUAUGCUUUUCGCAGAUGAUAUAGUGUUGAUAGAUGAAACUCAUACGGGGUAAAUGCGAAACUUAACUUUUGGAGAGAAGUGUUGGAAUCUAAAGGUCUUCGCCUAAGCCGAUCAAAGACAGAAUAUAUGAAGUGCAUGUUCAUUACAAAUGGAGGCCAAAAUGAGUUAUGGGUGAGGAUCGGAGAUCAGGAAAUACCAAAGAGCGACCGUUUUCGCUACCUAGGAUCUAUAUUGCAAAAGAAUGGAGAAUUAGAUGGAGAUCUCAACCAUAGAAUACAAGCUGGAUGGAUGAAGUGGAAUAGUGCUUCUGGCGUGUUGUGUAACCGUCGUAGGCCACUAAAGCUCAAGGAAAAAUUUUAUAGGACGGUAAUAAGGCCGACGAUGCUGUAUGGCACAGAAUGUUGGGCAGUGAAGCAUCAACACGUACACAAAAUGGGUUUAGACAUGUACAAAGAAGGCCUACUGACGCUCCGGUUCGAAGAUGGGACUACGAGAUAGAGGUUCAGGGCCGAAGGGGUAGAGGUAAACCUAGGAAAACUUUGGAAGAGACCCUAAGAAAAGACUUAGAGUACUUUGAUCUAACGGAGGAUAUGACACAAAAUUGCGCACAAUGGCGUUCUAGGAUUCAUAUAGCCGACCUCACUUAGUGGGAAAAGGCUUUGUUGUUGUUGUUGUAUGAGGAUUCUUGCAUUGAACAUUUUCAUUGUUGAAUUUUCACAGAAUGAUGCUGGUGGUGGUUUAGUGUUCUGGCAUCCAAAGGGUGCUAUUGUGAGGCAUGUAAUGGAAGAUUUGUGGAAAAAGAUUCACAUAGAACGUGGUUACAAUCUGCUUAUACUCCACAUGUUGCAAAGGCGAACCUUUGGCAGAUAAGUGGUCAUCUGGAUUACUACAAGGAGAAUAUGUAUGAUCAAAUGAAUGUUGAGGAUGAACUUUAUCAGCUUCGACCGAUGAACUGCCCCUAUCAUAUCUUGGUUUACAGAAAGAAGCCUUACUCAUAUCAUGAAUUUCCUAUUCAAGUUGUUGAGUUGGGAACCGUUUAUAGAUACGAAUUAUCUGGAAGCUUGCAUGGUCUUUUUCGUGUAAGAGGUUUUACUCAGGUACAGUGUUAGUAUUUGCAAACUAUUAGUCUAUAAUCCUUGGUGUAUGAAGUGUUUUUUUUUUUUUUAACCUCAGGACUUGUUGCAGGAUGAUGCCCACAUAUUUUUUCAAGAAGAUCAGAUCAAAGAUGAAAUUAAGGGUGUCCUAGAUCUUACCGAAUAACUUUUGUUGCAAUUCGGCUUCAGCAAAUAUGAGGUCAAUCUCUCUUCGAGGCCAGAGAAAGCUGUUGGAGAUGGUGAUAUAUGGGUGAAAGGCAACAUCUGCCCUUACUCCUUAGAGAUGCUUUGGAUGAUAAAGGUUGGAGCUAUCAAAUUGAUGAAGGUGGUGGUGCCUUUUAUGGUCCAAAGAUUGAUCUUAAGAUUGAGGAUGCCCUUGGAAGGAGGUGGCAGUGCUCAACUAUACAAGUUAAUCCUGAACUCAUGACGGGAUAAUUCUAAUGUACGCUUUGUUUUUUAAUUGGUAGUCUCUAUGUCUAUCUCCGUAUCACUUUGUAAAAUGUUCAUUGGAGAUUUGAGCAUCUUUUUUUAAUUGAGCGAAUUACAUGGAUUUGUUUGCUAGAGUAAAGCCACUUAUUAUUGUUAUUUUAAAUUGUUUGAUCUUUUGUACUUCCCAAAUUGUACAAGUUGAUUUUCCAUUAUGGCUUUCGCCAAUACAAGCUCAUGUUUUACCAGUUACUGACUCUCAGGUUUGUAAAGCAGUUGCACGUUUAAUGUUUCAAUUAACUCAAGGACCCUCAACACACCUGCACGACGGUUACCUGGGCUAUGACCCCUGACUCUCCUCCCAGUGAUUCGACUCCUUUGUCGACUCCGAGUCGCUCAAGGACUCCACCACCGAUUCCCCAAUCUUCCACGGCUCCACCAUAGACGACGCUUUCGAACGGCCAGGGCUUUGAUGGAGGGUUUGGCGGGUCCGACGAUCCCAUUUUGCCGGUUCCGUCUGAGAUACUGCCUGAGGAGGGCUUCGCUCUCAGAAAAUGGAGGAGGUAGGAUCUCGAAUUCUAAUUGUUUUCAAUUGAACCGAUAGUUCUGUAUAGCAAUUAAAUUUUGACUCUUUUGUGCAAUUUAGUUGAAAGUUGUUGGUUUUGAUUUGGCUUGAUCUUUCUGUUGAUGAGAAAUUAGGUGGAAAUUGUUGUUUUGAUUUCGAUAGUUUUCAAGAAUUGCAUGCUUAGUGAUCAGCAAUCGUCUGGCUUUAUCGGGUAAGGAGAUAAAGCAAUUAAAUUUCAAAAUUUGGAUUUACAGUUCGUAUUUUGAGCCUGAAUUCAUGAAAACAAACAUAACCCAUUAUUUAUUAGCGAUUAAUGAUCUGAUUAAUUUAGUUUUUAAUCAUAAUCAAUAGCAUGUAGCUUUAAUGGAAGUGGGGUUUGGGAAAUUGGCUAGCACCCAUUUUGCUUUUUGUUUGUCUGCUUUCCAUUUCUCCUCUCUCUUGCCAUCUUCUUUGUAUUUUGGCUACUUCUCUCUCCCGCACUCCCUUUUUAACUCUUGGUUCUGUGGUUCUCCGGCUGCCGUUAGGUUUUUGUGGUCGAACAACGAUGGAAUCCGAGGAUGAUGACUACUACAGCAACGACAAUGACUCCUAGAAAUUUUUAUUUUGAAUUCGGAAUUGGUUUGAUUGAAGCCCCCUAAUUGAUUGUAUUUAGGUUGGAUUUUUAUGCAUCAGGAAUUUCAAUUGAAGCCUCCUAAUUGGAUAAUGUUUUUCCCAUGUUAGGCUUCUCUGAUUGAGGUGAUACAGAUACCAAAUUGGAGCGGUGCUGUUAGUGGAGGAAUCUGGUAGAAACGAUGAGUUUGUAGAUUGAAUUUGUAUAUGAUGAUAAUAAAAAAUGAUAUGUUGUUUUCGUAAUUCUUUUUGCUUUCAAAGUUUAUUGCUUGGUUGUGUUCGUAACCUCUGGGUUCUUACGGUUCUUUGUCUCUCUUACUUCAGAUUCUUUGUGUUUUUUAUCAUUCGUUUGUGAAGAAAUGGGUCGUACGUAGUGGUAAGGCUCUGAGGAAGGCACUUGCCACCAAGGUGCGUUUCGUUUGGGUUUCUGAUGUCUAGAAAAUUAGAAUUGAUAAUUGCAAGCAAUUUUUUCCGAGAAACAAUCAGAUUAUUGAAUCUAAGUUGCUAAUUGUUUUAAUUUUGUAUAUGCUGCAAUUAAAUCAGCACCCGCAACUGAAGGUGUCAAGAAGCCUGACUGCUACCGCCUUGGAAUCGUCAUUUUUCGGUAAGUUUUCAACACAAUAUAGUUCAAAUCCUCUGAAUCAUGUUCUUGAAUUUUACUAUAUGUAUCGUGUUCUUUGCAUUUCGUUAUCUGAAAUUUGUUCUUUGAAUUUGGUUACCAGAAUCGUGCCUAAUGUUUGAUGUGGCCAGUGGCUUUGUAUGGUUGGCUGGUGUGAUUUGGGAGUGUUUUUAGUUAAUGGCAGACAUAGGACAAAGGUGUGGGGCAGCGAAGUCAAGUGGGAUUAGGAAUUUAGGAUAGUAGACUGUUUGCUAAUUUAUGGGAUUAGAAGUCUUCCUUUAUUUUUUCUCUUCAUGUAACAACAACAACAACAACAAAGCCUUUUCCCACUAAGUGGGGUCGGCUAUAUGAAUCCUAGAACGCCAUUACGCUCGGUUUUGCACAUGUCCAAACCCAUUUUGUGUACGUGUUGAUGCUUCACCACCCAACAUUCUGUGCCAUACAUCAUCGCCGGCCUUAUUGCCGUCCUAUAAAAUUUUCCCUUGAACUUCAGUGGCCUACGACGGUCACACAACACGCCGGAUGCACUCUUCCACUUCAUCCAUCCAGCUUGUCUUCUAUGGUUGAGAUCUCCAUCUAAUUCUCCGUUCUUUUGCAAGAUAGAUCCUAGGUAGCGAAAACGGUCGCUCUUUGGUAUUACAUGAUUUUCGAUCCUCGCCCCUAACUCAUUUUGGCCUCCAUUUGCACUGAGCUUGCACUCCAUAUAUUCUAUCUUUGAUCGACUUAGGCGAAGACCUUUAGAUUCCAACACUUGUCUCCAAAGGUUAAGCUUCGCAUUGACCCCUCAUGAGUUUCAUCUAUCAACACUAUAUCAUUUGCGAGAAGCAUACACCAAGGAAUAUCAUCUUGAAUAUGUCCGGUUAACUCAUCCAUUACCAACGUAAAAGGGUAAGGACUUAAGGAUUGUUGAUGCACAAAAUCAGUGAGGACUUUGGUACAACAGAAAGUAUUAAGUUAUUGCUCUGGUCAUUAGUGUGGAUAAGUAUGUAAAAGGAUAGAGAUAGGAAAGCAAACAUAAAAUGUACGUAGUUCACCCAGAAAGUAACUUUCCACAGGCUUAUUCUUGAACUGGGCUGGAGGGAUUUCUGGUUUCCUCCAGAGUAUAAGGCCGAUUGAAGAAUUUGAGGGUCAAAACAAGUCCAUCAAAUCUAGAGUACGUUCGACCCUGCUGAUAUGAGAUACUUUUGCUGUUGACAAAGUAGUGGAUGUAUCGGCACGCGUUCUGUUACGCUUGUCUCCAUAUGCUUCCUUGUAUCCUUCUCACUGUCCUUAUCGGUUCCUCAGGCAGAUGUGGUAUCUUCUCUGGAAGCAUAAGAUGUUGAAGAUGAGUACUCGAGAGCAGUGCCAGGUAAGUAAUCAGGUAAGGGUUCCAGGCAGUCAGUUCCUGACUGGAAGCUUGAUUCCAAGUGCUGACUGAUUGCUCUCUUUCUCCUUGUCUUUUGCAGGUAAGAACAAGGCCAAAGGAAAAGACAGGGAAAAAACAUGAUAUGGGAUACUCUUGCUUUUAACCCUGAUGAUAUGAGAUAUUCUUGCUUUGGUGUAGCUUGUUUGCAGAGGUAUUAUCGGAGGGAAAGAAAGCUGAGUAUUUCGAGAGACUUCUUUGGGAGUGCCCUCUCAGAUAUGAGGAAGGGUUGAGCAUUUUUGCAGGUCUGCCUGUCCGUUGAAGAUGAAGGUCGACAUAUAUAGGAGUCUCCCUAACAACAAGUAGUAAUGCUAUUCCUUUACCUUGCUUGGUCAUAGCACGGUAGUGGGAGCUGCCAGCUUCAUGUGUGUCAGAGCACUUUGAAAAAGUGGUAUGUGGUAUCUGGAAAGCUGAUGUUGCGUGUGAAGAUUAGACACAAGCUUUAUCCAAGGAGAUCUGGCUCUCGAAGUUGAGAAAGCGGUGCCUCUUCGGUUUUCAAACAAGCAAUCCUGCGGGGAUCUGGCUCUCAAUAUUCGGAGAACGGUGCCUCUUCGAUUUUUGAGAGAGCAAUCCUGCUGGGAGUCUGGCUCUCGAGAUUCGGAGAGCGAUGUCUCUUCGAUUUUGAGAAAUUAAUCAUGUUGGGAGUCUGGCUCUCAAGAUUCGGAGAACAGUGCCUCUUCAAUUUUAGAGCAAGCAAUCUUGUUGGGAGUGUUUUCUCGAAUGUGAGUAAAGGCAGGGCAUGUUUGCUAGUCUACCUUGCCACGGAGCACAGAGGUUGACACACAGGGACUUUCUAAUUAUCCAGCAGUGGUGCUGUUCCUUUACCCUUGUGGAUAAUAAUAUGAUAGCUAGACAUUCAAAAUUUAUGUGUCUAAACUUUGUUAGUGCUGUUUCUUUGCUAUUCUUUUACCCUUCUUGAUCAUAGCGAUGUAGUGGGAGCUGCAAGCUUCACGUGUUUAAACUUUGUCAAAGAUCUUUGACAAAGUUAUCUGUGGUACCCCUGAGCUGAUGGUGCGUGUGAAAAGUGGAUGAUUGAAUAGUAAGAUUCAUGUGCUUUUUACUUCACCAGAAAUCUUCAACAGAAUGCCCGUAAUUUCAGCAAAGCUGAGUGUGCAUGUGACAGGUGCUGACAAGGCUGAAAAAAGUAGGUGCCUCUUCGAUUUCUAAGAUCGACCCUCGUGGUCUCUAAGCAACCUAGCUUUUGAGAAAGCAAGCCUCUUCGAUUUCUAAGAUCGGUCUUCGCGGUCUUUUAGCAGCUCAGCUUUUAAGAAAGCAAACGCCUCUUCGAUUUCUGAGAUCGGCCCUCAUGGUCUCUGAGCAGCCUAGCUUUUGAGAAAGCAAACGCCUCUUCGAUUUCUGGGCAGACGCCUCUUCGAUUUUUUAAGCUCCGUCGAGUGCAGAUUUUUAUAGCGGCUGGCAUUAAGUUUCAAAGCACACUUGAAUCUUCACCAGGAGAAGCUCCCUUCUUGCACUUCUAAAAUCUUGAUUUGUCCGACCUCUUCUCUCUUCAACACCUUUGAAAAUGUCUGGCCCAUCCGACCGUCGUUUUGACUUGAACCUUGUUGAAGAGGCAGCCACGCCUUCUCUAGACAACAUAUGGCGCCCAUCCUUCUUAUCCCCUACUGGUCAUCUUACCGUUGGGGAUUCCGUGAUGAAGAAUGAUAUGACCGCUACGGUGGUGACCAUGAACCUUCUCACUCCCAAAGAUAACAGACUAUUUUCCAAACGGUCUAAUGAAUUGGCUGUUAAGGAUUCUCUGGCUCUGAGUAUUCAGUGUGCAGGUUCUGUGUCUAAUAUGGCCCAACGCCUAUUUGCUCUAACCCGCCAAGUUGAAUCAUUGGCAGCUGAAAUGAUGAGUCUCAAACAAGAAAUUAGAGGGCUCAAGCAUGAGAAUAAACAGUUGCACCGGCUCGCACAUAACUAUGCUAUAAACAUGAAGUGGAAGCUUAACCAGAUGAAGGAAUCUGAUGGUCAGGUUUUACUUGAUCAUCAGCGGUUUGUGGGUUUGUUCCAAAGGCAUUUAUUGCCUUCGUCUUCUGGGGCUGUACCGCAUAAUGAAGCUCCAAAUGAUCAACCUCCGAUGCCUCCUCCUUCUAGGGUUCUGUCCAAUACUGAGGCUCCUAAUGAUCCCCCUCCGAUGCCUUCUCUUUCUAGAGCUCUACCAACUGCUGAGACUUCUCCUAAGCAACCUUUAUGAAGGCUCCCUCUUGUUUGUUUAUUUUGACUCAUGUAUAUGUACAUAUUUGUAACUUAUCGGAGAUAUCAAUAACUAAGCUUUGCUUCAUUUCCAACGUAUUGUGUUAAAUACACCAAAGCCUUCUUCAUUGAGUGGAGUCCGCUAUAUGAAUCUUAGAACGCCAUUGUGCUCGGUCCUGUGUCAUGUCCUCCGUUAGAUCCAAAUACUCUAAGUCUUUUCUUAGAGACUCUUCCAAAGUUUUCCUAGGUCUUCCUCUACCCCUUCGGCCCUGAACCUCUGUCCCGUAGUAACAUCUUCUAACCGGAGCGUCAGUAGGCCUUUUUUGCACAUGUCCAAACCACCGUAACCGAUUUUCUCUCAACUUUCCUACAAUUUCGGCUACUCCUACUUUACCUCGGAUAUCCUCAUUCCUAAUCUUAUCCUUUCUCGUGUGCCCACACAUCCAACGAAGCAUCCUCAUCUCCGCUACACCCAUUUUGUGUACGUGUUAAUGCUUCACCGCCCAACAUUCUGUGCCAUACAGCAUCGCCGACCUUAUUGUCGUCCUAUAAAAUUUUCCCUUGAGCUUCAGUGGCAUACGGCGGUCACACAACACGCCGGAUGCACUCUUCCACUUCAUCCAUCUAGCUUGUAUUCUAUGGUUGAGAUCUCCAUCUAAUUCUCCGUUCUUUUGCAAGAUAGAUUCUAAGUAGCGAAAACGAUCGCUCUUUGGUAUUUCCUGAUCUCCGAUCCUCACCCCUAACUCAUUUUGGCCUCCAUUUGCACUAAACUUGCACUUCAUAUAUUCUGUCUUUGAUCGGCUUAGGCGAAGACCUUUAGAUUCCAACAGUUGUCUCCAAAGGUUAAGCUUCGCAUUUACCCCUUCCUGAGUUUCAUCUAUCAAUACUAUAUCGUCUGCGAAAAGCAUACACCAAGGAAUAUCAUCUUGAAUAUGUCAUGUUAACUCAUCCAUUACCAACGCAAAAAGGUAAGGACUUAAGGAUGAGCCUUGAUGUAAUCCUACAAUUAUGGAGAAGCUUUCGGUUUGUCAUUCAUGAGUUCUUACGGCAGUCUUUGCUCCUUCAUACAUAUCCUUUAUAGCUUGGAUAUAUGCUACUCGUACUCCUUCAUUCUCUAAAAUCCUCAAAAGAAUGUCUCUUGGGACCCUAUCAUAAGCUUUUUCCAAAUCUAUAAAGACCAUGUGUAAAUCCUUUUUCCCAUCUCUAUAUCUUUCCAUCAAUCUUCGUAAGAGAUAGAUUGCCUCCAUGGUUGAGCGCCCUGGCAUGAACCCGAAUUGGUUGUCCGAAACCCGUGUCACUUACCUCAAUCUAUGCUCAAUGACUCUCUCCCAAAGCUUCAUUGUAUGACUCAUUAGCUUAAUACCCCUAUAGUUCAUGCAAUUUUGUACGUUGCCCUUAUUCUUGUAGAUAGGCACCAAAGUGCUCUUUCGCCACUCAUUUGGCAUCUUCUUCGUUUUCAAAAUCCUAUUGAAAAGGUCAGUGAGCCAUGCUAUACCUGUCUCUCCCAAGACUUUCCACACUUCGAUCGGUAUAUUGUCUAGGCCCACUGCUUUAUAAUGCUUCAUCUUCUUCAAAGCUACAACCACUUCUUCUUUCCUGAUUCGACGAUAAAAUGAGUAGUUUCUACACUCUUCUGAGUUACUCAACUCCCCUAAAGAAGUACUCCUUUCAUGUCCUUCAUUAAAAAGAUUAUGAAAAUAACCUCUCCAUCUGUCUUUGACCGCGUUCUCUGUAGCAAGAACCUUUCCAUCCUCAUCCUUGAUGCACCUCACUUGGUUUAGGUCCCUUGUCUUCUUUUCCCUUGCUCUAGCUAGUUUAUAGAUAUCUAACUCUCCUUCUUUGGUAUCUAGUCGCUUAUACAUAUCGUCAUAAGCCGCUAACUUAGCUUCUCUCACAACUUUCUUCGCCUCUUGCUUCGCUCUUCUAUACCUUUCACCAUUUUCAUCGGUCAUGUCCUUGUAUAAGGCUUUACAACAUUCCUUCUUAGCCUUCACCUUUGUUUGUACCUCCUCAUUCCACCACCAAGAUUCCUUUUGGUAUGGAGCAAAGCCCUUAGACUCUCCUAAUACCUCUUUUGCUACUUUUCGGAUACAACUAGCCAUGGAAUCCCACCUUUGGCUAGCUUCCCCCUCUCUAUCCCACCCAUACUGGGUGAUUACUUUCUCUUUGAAAAUGACUUGUUUUUCUCCUUUUAGAUUCCACCAUCUAGUCCUUGGGCACUUCCAAGUCUUGUUCUUUUUUUCUCACUCUUUUGAUAUGUACAUCCAUCACCAACAAGCGAUGUUAAUUAGCCAAGCUCUCUCCCGGUAUAACUUUGCAAUCCUUACAAGUUAUACGAUCCCCUUUCCUCAUUAGAAGAAAAUCUAUUUGUGUUUUUGACGACCCACUCUUGUAAGUGAUCACAUGUUCUUCUCUCUUCUUAAAGAAGGUGUUGGCUAAGAAGAGAUCAUAUGCCAUUGCAAAAUCCAAGAUAGCUUCCCCAUCCUCGUUUCUCUCCCCAAAACCAUGGCCACCAUGAAAACCUCCAUAGUUGCCUGUCUCCCUGCCCACGUGUCCAUUUAAAUCUCCUUCUAUAAAUAACUUCUCCGUCUGGGCAAUUCCUUGCACCAAGUCUCCAAGGUCUUCCCAAAAUUUCUCCUUCGAACUCGUAUCAAACCCUACUUGAGGUGCAUACGCACUAAUCACAUUGAUGAGUUCUUGUCCUAUUACAAUCUUGAUUGCCAUGAUUCUAUCUCCUACCCUCUUGACAUUUACAACAUCUUGUGUCAAGGUCUUGUCCACGAUGAUGCCAACACCGUUUCUCGUUCUAUUUGUGCCCGAAUACCAAAGUUUAAACCCUGAGUUUUCUAGAUCCUUUGCCUUAAGACCAACCCACUUAGUUUCUUGUAGGAACAUAAUAUUUAUCCUUCUCUUCACCAUAACUUCCACUACUUCCUUAGAUUUUCCGGUUAAGGUUCCUAUAUUCCACGUUCCUAAAUGCAUUCUGCUAUCUUGAACUCUACCUUUCUGUCCUAGCUUCUUCACCCUCCCCCGUCCAAUAGAAUCAAAGUACUUCUUUUGUGUGUCCUGUGUAAAGUUGAUAGGAGCAUAUGCUCCCAAACAACUUUGAGUGGAGUCGUUCGAAAAGAAGUUUAUAUGGCCCCCUUGCUCAUUUAACACUGCAUCUAGGUGCUGAUGGAGAUACGGCAACCCUUGCUCACUUAUCACUAUGCUCGGGCCACACAACGCGCCAUUUACGGGUGACGCCCUAGCUUUAGCGCGAUUUCGUGCGAUGAAAAAAAAAAGGUGAGUAAUUUUAACUCUAGUUUGAGGUAAUAACAUGUGAAUUUUUCGUAUUACUGGUUUUUCCCUUUCUAUUAAAAACAACCUUUGAUUUCUUUGAUAGUGCGUUUUUCUAUCUGUGCUAUUGUUGAACUCCCCCAGUUAUCAGUUUUGACUCAAAAAAAAUAUUCGAUGAUAACAUGCAUUGAAUAUUGGCUAAAAUUAUAUUGAAAUUUGCUGGCCGAAGCAGAUAUCGUUAAAAGAGCUCUAAGUCACCCUCUGAAAUUAAUUGCCAAAAGUGAUGUUGUAAAUGGAAGAGUUGUUAGUGAGAAGGCAUUUUUUUUCGUUUCACUUUAUAGACUAUGCUCACUAUCUGUUUAAUAUGUUUCAUCGUAUUAAUUAAAGUCUCAUUUCUCAGGUGCUUUCAAGUGACAACCCCAACUAUGGAUGCAUGCUGCCACUGGAAACUAUGAAAAUUUCAUGGUUGCUGGGAUCACUGAUCCAACUAAAGUGGGUUUCUUUAUCAAGUACUUCAUGAAUAGAAUAUUUUGGAGAUCCUAUCGCUGGGACAGAUUGAAGAAGAUGAAGAUCACAAGGGUGGGAUACUGGGGAGGGUGGUAGGGUUAUGAGGAGUGGGCUCUGGUUGGUUUCGAUUUGACCAAUGUCAUGGUUCGAUGGAAUCGAGGUGAUGGGGAUGAUUCAUGAGGUCACAACCACAAGAUGUAGGGCCUACGCGUGGGGUUUAGGGGUUUCACAUAGAGGCUUACAGAGGGAGGGGGUGCACACGUGAAUUGCAGAGGGAGAGGGAGAAAGAGGGGGAGUAGGGUUGCUAUAUUCAAGUUCUCUUUUUUAUUUUUACUUGAAUUUGAUUUGAUUCUUUUUUUUUUUUGCGACAGGUUGAGAAUGCGAAAGCUCAGCUGGAGGUGGAGGUGAGAAUUUUAAUUUAAUUCAUGGUAUAUCUUUUUUUUUUUGUGGGAUUGUGCUGUUUUUGGGAAAACAAUAUUAAAUUGAAGUUUAGAUAUUUCUGUAAUUGGGAUUUAGAGUAAGAGAUGAAGAACUAUAUGUGAUUGCAAAUUUAAAAGUUUAGAACUUUUUUGGUUUGGAAGCUAAUUUUAAAUUCAGCUAGCUGAUUAAUUAAUAGAGAAAUUAUAACGAAUGUGUGAUACGUUUUUCAAUGCGUAUGAGCAGACAUGGGUACUGCUUCAGCGGCAGCAGCUGCUAUAUGAUGGUAGAUGAGGAAUUCUGAGAUGCUGAGUGCUCUUAGUGUCAGAGAUGAAGACUUGAUAAUGAUCGUUCCAAUUCUGCCUCAAGGUAUACUUGAUAAUGUUGUCCUUUAUGUGCAAUUCACUGUAUGAUGCUCGUUCCUUUAAUGAGCCUGUCAAUAUAUUUCAAUGCACCCACCAAUUGGUUUUAUCAUCAUACAUCAUUCGUGAGAAAUGGGAUGGUGAGUUUCUCAAUACAGUUUUAAUUUUUGUGCGAAUAAUGUUUGUAAAAAGUCUGUUUUUAUUUAGUUCAUUGCAGAUUCUUAUUCUUUUAUUUAGUUCACGAUUCAUGCUUUUAAAGAUAAGAAGUGCAAGGCUCUCUCGGAUGUUAGUUUUGGGUGGCAAUUGAAAGAUACGAGGACAAACAAAAAUACCUACCAAUUGAAAGGAUAAAUUCAAUUGAAAAUAUUUGGUUCAUCAAUUAUUAUAGUUUGAGCUUUCUGCAUUAAAUGUCCAGUUUUCGGGAAGAGUGAUUCAUGUAAUUGGGUUUUAUUAAAAUUUUCAUGAUUUUAUACAGUUUUUCGUUUAAAUUUGUGGAUUCAUAAACACUUUUAUGAGUGUUAAUUUCUGUUCGUAUGUCUAAAAUUUGUUUGGAAUUUGGCUGUUUCUUCAAUUUCAUCACCACCUAUUCUCACAACUUCAUUUAAAGUGUUUUGCAUGUAUAAGAUUCAUAUUCAUGGAGGUCAUUUCAAACGGAUUUCAAGCUGAGCUGCAGAAAUUUGAUUCAAAUUGGUGGAUUUGGGUAAGAAACUAAGAAACCAUUAUCUUUUGUUUCGGUUUUAAGAACUGAAUUUAAUGGUUAAGUUUAUGUUUCAAGAUUAUCUUCCUUUCUCCUAAAUACUGAGUUUUAUGAGAUUACAUUUGGCAAGUCUGAAAACGGAUUAGAAAUACAGAGUUUUAUGAGAUCUAUUUGGCAAGAUUAUCUUCCUUUGUCCUAAAUACUGAGUUUUAUGAGAUCUAUUUGGCAAGUCUGAAAGUGGAUUGCGUAUGUUUAUAUCUCCCUUUCUUCUAAAUACUGAGUUUUAUGAGAUCACACCAUCUUAUGUUUAUUGUAUAAUCUUAUGCAGUCAGAAGAAUUAUCAUCUUUUUCCUUUUAGAUUUCAACAUAUUUGGAAAUACUUCAAAUUUUUUGUAGUGUAGUUUGUACUUGUAGUUUACAUGAUUACGUAAGUUCUAUUUCUUUAGUAAAUUUUUAUGCAGGAAAGAAAGUCAUUUCUCAGUUUAUAGUUAACAUGAUUACAUAAGUUAUGCUUAUCUUAUCAACCUCAUUCACUCGUAUGUUGCUCUGUUCAUUCAUGAUUGUGUUAAAUUUAUUCAGGUUAAAAGUGUCUUAUUCAUGCAGUUACGCAUGAAACAGUUGUUCCCGCGGCAACACGUGGGCUUAUUUUCUAGUUCCAAUGUAAACCUAGAGACGAAACGAGGUCAUAUAUUACAAAGACAUAUUCUAAAACAGCCUUAGCUCAGAGAAUAAAAAAAGGAAAACUAAUGAAAAUGGCUUGAAAACUUUGAGUUUUAACGAUAUGGACAAAAUAAAGGGUAAAGUGAACAGUAUCAGGUUUGACUUUUUAGUGUAAAAAUGUGAUUUUUCGUUAAAGUAAACAGUACAGCAGACUUUUCGUUAAAACUCCCAAUAAAAAAAACCAUGCAGUGAAAACAUCUAAGGGAAACGAGUUGAUCCUCAAUAAACGCCUCAAUAGAAUGACAUCUUUGUUAAAGCAUCUGUUAUAAAAUUAGCUUCAUCUAAAACAUGAUAGAAGCUGAUAUGAUCAAGCAUACCAUGUUUGCCAACAUAAAAGAAGGAUCUUUCCAAGUUUAGGAAGGUGGGAGUUGCCAAAGAGAAACCGAUUUGAGCCGCAUUUUCUUCAAAUAUCUCAGGCAAACGGUCGGCUGACAAAAUGCAGUCAAUGGCUUCAACAUCUUGAGAAUAAAAGGCACAACUAGGAUCAAUUGGUUGUACUUCAUAUAGGGAUAAGACUUGAGUCUCGUCUUUCACAUAUGUUUACUUGUUCAUUCCGGCCAUUAUAUGGUACAACACUGAACAUAGAGUACAACUUUUCCGGCCUCUAAGUCCGGAACCCUCCCAAACAUUGGACACUACAAUACCAAAAUAAAGCAAUAAAAUACAACAGUACAAUACAAUAUAGUUAAAAGCAAUCCAUCUUAGUACAGACUCAAUCGGAUGAAUCAACGGAGCCCUAGUGUUCAAGCUUCCAUCCUUGCGGUAAACUUAAGUGGUGGCUUCAAGAAAUGGAUAAUCAGUGUAACCAAUGACGGGAUCAGUGUGUAAAAUGUCUCUCUGUUGUACUUGUUUAGAGGAGCAUUAAGUUCAAAUCUCUUUGGCAAAUCCGGAUUCGCCAAGAAAAUACGGCCAUAAGCAAUAAGAUCUGCACGGCCCUCGCCCACAGCUCUGUUUCCAUCUUCCCUGUGAUAACUGUAAAUCAUUGUGUAUGUUGAUGAAGAAAGAAUAUGCAGGAAGAAAGACAGAGAGAAAUGUAGAAGAAUAAGAGAGUAAGAGAGUUUAGAGAGUAGAGAGAGAAUCAAGAAUUGUAUUUUCUUUCUAGUUAGUUACAACUGACUAUUACAACAUGUAUUUAUUUGUAUUGGUAGCUUACACUCUAAGCCACACAAUAACCACCUUAACUAACUCUUAUAUCACAGCUAUAGAAUCUUAGUACACCUAUCAUCCCCCCUCAAGCUCAGGGGCAGAGAAAUUGAGCCUGAGAUUGGCACAAUGAGUCUGAAAGAGUGGUGUAGAAAGACCCUUGGUGAGGAUAUCUGCAAACUGCUCAGUAGACGAUACAAACUGAACAUGUAGUUGCUGUUUUGCAACCCUUUCUCGAACAAAAUGGACAUCAACCUCAAUAUGUUUCGUACGUUGAUGUUGAAUUGGAUUGCAAGUCAGUGCAAUUGCAGACAGGUUGUCACAGAAAAGUAAUGGGGGCUCGGCCAAAGGAAUCUGCAAGAACGACAACAGAGAUUUAAUCCAAUCCAAUUCAGCCGCUGUAGUAGAGAGAGCUCGAUAUUCAGCCUCAGUUGAUGAGCGAGAGACAGUGUGUUGUUUCUUAUACAUCCAUGAAAUGGGAUUAGACCCCAAGAACACCACCAUUCCAGUUGUGGACCGUCUAUCGUUCGGAUCACCCGCCCAGUCUGCAUCACUAUAGGCAGUAAGAUCAAGGGAACCUCGAAUAUACUGAAUACCACAGCCUCGAGUAGCCUUUAAGUACCUAAGAAUCCGUUUGACAGCCAUAAAGUGGGAGUCCAUUGGUCGCUGCAUAAACUGGCAGACCUGAUGCACUGCGAAAACAAUGUCAGGCCGCGUAAAAGUCAAGUACUGGAGAGCACCAACCAAGCUCCUGUACAUUGUAGGAUUAUUAUAAGGCUUGCCAUCAUUGCUGAGAAGACGGUUGUAAGGCAAACAUGGAGUAUCACACGGUUUGGACAAUAGCAUAUCAGAUUUAGUAAGCAGAUCCGUAACAUACUUGUCUUGAGAGAGAAACAAACCAUUCUUGUUCUGUACAAUUUGAAUGCCUAGAAAAUAAUGAAGAGGUCCCAAGUCUUUCAUAUCAAACUCAUGAGUAAGAGCUUGAAUAACCUCAGUGAUAGCUUGUGGAUGGCUGCCUGUGAUGAUAAUAUCAUCAACAUACAACAACAGAAUCACCACAUAUGUGUCAACAGUUUUUACAAAUAAAGAUGAAUCUGCAAAUGUAGACUUGAACCCUAAGGAAGGUAGAAAAGUAGUGAACCUUUCAUUCCACCUGUGGUGCCUGUUUCAACCCAUAAAGCGAUUUAUGUAAUCGACAAACAUAAUCUUCAUGUUUAAGAUCAACAAACCCAGGUGGCUGUGUCAUGUAGACCUCUUUCUUGUAAAUAUGCCAUGGAGGAAGGCAUUUUUCACAUCUAAUUGUCUCAAUGUCCAACCAAAGUUUGCUGAUAAAGCUAGAACGAUUCUCACUGUUGUAGGUUUAACAACAGGGCUAAAAGUCUCUCCAUAAUCGAUUCCUUCUUCUUGAUUAAAGCCUUUUGCCACCAGCCGUGCCUUAUACCUCCCAAUUGAGCCAUCAGCAUUCUUUUUUAUCUUAUAUACCCAUUUACACCCGAUUAAAUUCUUGUGACGGGGCAAUGGAACCAAUGACCAUGUUCCCUGAUUAUGCAAAGCCAAUAUCUCAUCUUGCAUAGCAUUAAACCAAACUGGGGAUUUCAACGCAGACUUAUAUGUUGCAGGUUCCACUUAUGUCAAAUCAACCCCCCCAUGUUCAUGAACCUGAGCAAGUAAAGCAAGCUUCUUAAUAAUACCACUUUUGGAUCGUGUCUGCAUAGGAUGGAAGUUCACUGGGGGAACAGAGAGAACCACUUGGAGCUGCUCAGGUUGGAAUUCAGGUACCACAGGAGGUGCAGGGGAGAAGGGUUGUGUAGUUGGAGAAGUAAUGGAAUGAGUAGCAGUUGAAUUUCCUGCACUGUCAGGUGAACCUGUAAUUGGAACCGUAGUGGAGGCUGCUGAAAGUUGCUGGAGUACCAGAUUUGGCAUGCCACUAGAGAUAGAAUCUGAGCUUAAUGAUGCAGGACACUCAGUGUAGGGAUUAAGUGACUCGUGUAACACAAGUACAUUACUAUGAUUAGGAACUGGAAUUGGUGUUUGAGAAUGUGAUGGAGGUGGUGAAAUAGUGGUACAGUGAGAUUUAGAGACCAAAGAACGAUAAGGAAACUCUGUCUCAUCAAAUAAAACAUGUCUAGAAAUAUACAUUUUGUUUUUAGAAGCAUCAUAACAAAGAUAGCCUUUAUAGUUAGAUGCAUAUCCCAAAAAGAUACAUUUUGCAGUGCGGGGAUCUAACUUGGUAUGAGUAUAAGGCCUUAACCAAGGAUAACAAGAACAGCCAAAUAUUUUCAAAUGUGUUAUUACUGGUAUGGAAUUGUGCAGCAAUUGAAACGGAGAUAAAUUUCCCAAGGAAGAAGAUGGCAUUCUAUUAAUGAGGUACACUGAGGUUUUGCAGGCAAAAGACCAAAACACUGAGGGUAAGGAAGCAGACUGUAGCAAAGCAAUGGAAAUUUCAAUAAUAUGCCUGUGUUUUUGUUUAGCUAUUCCAUUCUGUUCGGGUGUGUAAGGACAGGAAAGUUGGUGCUUAAUUCUUUUAUCAGACAAAAAUUGUUGAAAUGCUUUGUUUAUGUAUUCACCACCACCAUCACUGUGAAGAGUUUUAAUGGCUACUUGAAACUGAUUUAAGAUGAAAUUGUAUAAAGAAACAAAUAUACCCGAAACAUCACUUUUAUUGCACAUGGGAAAAAUCCAGCAAUAUUUUGUACAAUGGUCAAUGAAAGUGACAUAAUAUCUAAAUCCAUCUAGAGACACACAAGGAGCAGGACCCCACACAUCACUGUGAACAAGAUCAAAAGGUUUUACAGAUUUAUCUACGGAGGAAGGAAAUGGGAGUUUACUGAAUUUGCCCUCUAAACAUGGGUGACACAGUGAAGGUGUUUGAUCAGCAACACAAAGAACAUGUGAGGAUUCUAAAAUGCGGGAAACAAUUGAAUUAGAGGGAUGACCUAAUCUCUUAUGCCAAAUACUGGUAGUAACUUGUUGUCCCAGAAAAGCUGCAAGGUUCCUUUUGUGGAUGACUGCAGGAGAACUUGGUGAGAUGAUCGGAUACAAACCAUUGUUACACAGCCCUUUGUAAAGCACCCUCCCUGUGGCUUUGUCGUGAGAGAUAGCUAAACCUUCACCAUUUGCAGUCUGAAUAGUCUCAUUAGACGGAUAUGGAGUGGACAAGGAAAGAUUUCCCAAGUCUGAAGUCAUAUGAUUAUUUGCACCUGAAUCAGUAAGCGAAAUUUGCUGCUGUGGAGGAGGAGAUGGCACUGAGAAAGAAGGAUUAGGACCAUUGAGUGUUGCAGCAUGCAUAGCACUCAUUUGAGGAUUGGCAUUCUUUUGAAAACAUGUUUCUGCAGUAUGAUUGGAGUUCCCACAAAUAAAGCAGCCUGAGGGACCACUUGUAUUUCGAAAUCUACAGGUAUCAGCCAUAUGGUUGUGCUUCCCACAAAUUUGGCAACCUUGUGAAACAUUCAUGUUUCGAAAACGACAUGUAGAAGCCAAAUGAUUUGACUUCCCACAUAUUUGACAAAGUUAAGGCUGAAACCCAUAAAUCUGUGUUCUUGGCGGAGAAGCACCAAGAAUGCCAGGUGCAGGAUUUGAAGAGAAGUUCUUUUUAUUACCAUAUCUCGGAUUGAAUUAGAACCAAAACGAUUUCUGCCUUUACCAUUGUGAUUAAAAGACCUGUAUGCAUUUGUAUUGGAACUAGGAUAAUUUCCACCAGAACCUGAAAAAGACUGAUUCUUGGACACCAAGUCAUUGUUCUGUGCCAUUAGUGCAGACAAAACAGGUGAUGCAGAAAUGGUUUCAAUCAAUGCUUCUUCAGCCAACAAUUGAGAACGAAGAUCUUUCAACGAUAUCACAGUUUCACGACCCCGAAUCACAGAUCUUAUAGUAUUAAAUUCAGCAGGCAGACCAUUCAAUGUAAGAAUCACCAUAUCAUCAUCAUCAAAGAAAACACCAGCAGCAAAUAGUAAAUCCCGUGCUUCUUUAAUCUUCUGCAAAUACACAGUGAUAGAAUCAUUACCCUUCUUUAUAUUUUGCAGUUCAGAUUUGAGUUGAAAGAUACUGGUUCUUGUGAUAGUUGAGAACUGUUCUUUAAGCCUAGUCCACAAUUCUUUGGAACUGGUACUACCAAUCGCACAAGAAAUCCCAGCAGGGGACAAGGUUGCAGUGAUCAACUGCAUUAAUGCUUUAUCAUGCAUCUUCCAUACUCUGUAAUCAUCCGAUUGAACUUGGGUAGUAGAACCCCCAGAUAAUUCUUGGCAAAAUUGGUCAGGACAAGGAAUCGAGCCAUCAACAAACCCAAUUAUACUAUGGCCUUCAAGCAGGAGCUCCAUCUGAAAAUGCCAAGCCAAAUAAUUUGUUUCAUCCAACUUCACAUUAACUGAACUUGAAACCGACGAGAUCAAAGAAGCAAUCGGAGACUGAAGAAUAUGUAACUGAGUAGCAGUCACCAUUGUUACCAAUUAGGAGAAAAAUCCCAAGAAAUCUUGACAGAGGAAUAACCACAAACACUUGGUGGGUGUACUUUGAUCGAGAACGAAUCAAAGGAAGAAGAAGACUAAACCAGCCCAAAUUUUAACACAAGAAAUCACAGCAAGGAGAAGUAAUAGGGUAGAAGCGGAAGCAACCAUAACCAAGAUCGAAAUCCGUCAAGCUUUCAUGCUUGUUCCGGCGAUGAUACCAUGUAAACCAUUGUGUAUGUUGAUGAAGAAAGAAUAUGCAGGAAGAAAGGCAGAGAGAAAUGUAGAAGAAUAAGAGAGUAAGAAAGUUUAGAGAGUAGAGAGAGAAUCAAGAAUUGUAUUUUCUUUCUAGUUAGUUACAACUGACUAUUACAACAUGUAUUUAUUUGUAUUGGCAGCUUACACUCUAAGCCACACAAUAACCACCUUAACUAACUCUUAUAUCACAGCUAUAGAAUCUUAGUACACCUAUCAAUAACCACCACCAGCAAUGAAGGUACCAUGGAAAGCCUUUCUCAUGGGAAGAAGACUCUGGUGGGUUUCAGCUUUUUCUCCUAAUGUCUUCAUCCUCGGCUCAACCAUGUGGCAGUACACGAUUCCAUAUUUGUUCAAGGCAUUGGCCAUAUAGAGGCCUAAUUCUUUUGGAUUUGAAUCCCCUGAGUCCAUAUAGUCAGCAAAUGGAGAUAAUCUAAUUCCAACUUUAUCUGCUCCUAUUUCGUUAGCGACAGCUUCAACAACUUCCAGAGGAAGGCGGCAACGAUUCUCUAGAGAUCCACCAUAUUGGUCUGUUCGAUCAUUCACAUGAUCUUUCAGAAACUGAUCAAGAAGGUAGCCAUGCGCCCCAUGAAUUUCAACUCCAUCGAAGCCUAUAUAGCAGAUUAACAAUUUCAACAUACUGACGGUAUUAGAACCCUAAGCAUUGUCGCUGAAUUACCAAACAAAUAAUAUAAAGACAAACUACCGGCUUCAAUAGAAUUCCUUGCAUAAGCUUUGAAGCAAAUUGAGUUGUUGUAAAUUAUGUUUCAUAUGUAACGUAAAGACAAAUUACCAGCUUCAAUAGAAUUCCUUGCAGUAAGUCUAAAAUCAUUGACAAUUUGCGGAAUUUCAUCCGUCCUUAAUCGUCUUGGAGGCGUGAAUUCAGAAGCAUCGAUGCCAUUUAAUCGUAUCGGCUUGUCAGUAGAAGAUAUGGGAGCUUGCCCAUUUGGUUGAUAACCUGUAAGCAAGGAGAGAGAAUUACAACCUGAAGUCUAACGACAGUAACUAACAUCCACAGCAGCACUCUUUUAAGUGGGAAUCCUUUGUUACAAAUUACUAUAACCACACGUGCUAUAUACUAGUUCUGAAUUCUGAGUUAUGUUAACAUCAAGCUUCUUCCCAUCCAAUAAUAAUAAUAACAAUGCUUCCGAAGCAGCAAAGUCAUAACAAGUCCAACUCGGAACUUAACAAGUCCAAGUUUUAUCGUCAUUUUGAGCAACAAUGUUGUCAAUUAUAAUCACUAGCUCGUUCUGAUGCAUACACCAUUAUGUUAUACAUCAAACUUCUUAAUCGGUCUAAUUAUUCACUCAUGUUAACAAAGCAUACUAUGGUAAAAGUGUUGUGCCUUGGCCCGUUUAUCAGUGCGGAAACGAGAUUCAGAUUACAACCUCACCAUAAUCACACUCAGUUGAACAGAAUAAAAUACAAGAAAUAAAGACACCGAGAAAUUUACGAGGUUCGGCAAAAAUCCUGCCUACGUCCCCGGAGAGAUAUUGCUCUUCACUAUGAGAAUAACAGUACAAGUACACAUGAGUUAAAUCAACAUAACCCAAUCCCGAAUCCCUUGCACACCCACUCAUAGAAUUUUCCCAAGAGCCUCACUCUAUCCCAAGAGUUCUUUCACCAGAGACCUUUCACUCUAGCUCUCUUGAUUUCUCUCUCACCCGUGUUCAACCCUUCCCAUGGGAGAGCUGAAUGCUCUCCCCUUUUGGAUGCUCACUCCAUCCUCACAAUCGGCAAGCUCUCUUCAUUUUGUGUGUGAAAAAUGCCUUCACUUAUAGACAUGCACCAUCAAUUAUGUCAACCACAAAACAUGCUUCCACAAAACAUGCUUCCUCAAAACAUGCUUCCACAAAACAUGCUUCCACAAAACAUGCUUCCAAAGUCCACAAAGUUGAGAGGAAAUGGUUGCCAACUCAUAAUUAUAUGAGCCAAACACAACAAUCUCCACCUUGGCGAAUAUACUGUGCAAAAAUCCUUGCACCCAUCACCAAUGUCCAUUGGCCUUACGUACCAGCAUACACAUUCUGAAUCAACCUUGUUGGUCCUGUUCCUGAUUCAGUCACUGCCAAUGCAUGUGCAGCUGCUGCAAGCUAAAAAUCACCAUUUAGCUUCAGACAGGAUCUCGACACAUCCUCGUCUCCUCCAGCAGGUUUUCCUUCUCUUCAUUGUCUGCAACUAGGAAACUCGUCAGCGCGCCCGUUUCCAGUAACAACCCAUCGAGCCAGACAAAAUUCCCACACUUCCUCCUACCUCAUGAUCAUCUCAUCACCUGUGAAUCCCAUAGCUCCACCUGCUGCAAAACCCCUGCAACACUUGAGACUAAACAUCACCAGGAGAAGUGUUGCUUCGAGUACCUAGAGGACAUACUCAAAGUCUUCCGCCACAAACUUGCUACAACCCGGCCUUGCACCGUAGCACUGUGGACCCUUGCCUCCGGAACCGGAUCUGAACCUGCUGUCUCUCUCUGAUCCUCUUUCCAAUUUUCUUCCACGAUUCCAACCUUGAAUAACUUAAGCAGUCUUGUGCCCACCAUCAUCCAUGGUCUCCUUUGUGUAUCAUUCCACACCAAAGAAGCUUGCACCUGCUCCAAACUUACUGUAUCUUUCCAUGCAGUAAAGUUUCACAAGGUUCUAAGACAAAUCUGAAAGUGAGGUAAGAAGAAAGAGGCCUUUGUUUUCUUCCUCAACAUCAACUUUCGCAGUUGAUCCAAGCAUCCCUGAACACGGCUUCCAUUACUCUCCUUUGCCAAGAGUAAAACCGCCUCUUCCUUUAAACUGCUCAACUGAAAAUUCCAUGGUGAACAACAAAUCUGGACCUCCAACGAACCAAAGACUCCAACGAUGCUCUGAUACCAAUUGUUAUGCCUUGGCCCGUUUAUCAGUGCGGAAACGAGAUUCAAAUUACAACCUCACCAUAAUCACACUCAGUUGAACAGAAUAAAAUACAAGAAAUAAAGACACCGAGAAAUUUACGAGGUUCGGCAAAAAUCCUGCCUACGUCCCCGGAGAGAUAUUGCUCUUCACUAUGAGAAUAACAGUACAAGUACACAUGAGUUAAAUCAACAUAACCCAAUCCCGAAUCCCUUGCACACCCACUCAUAGAAUUUUCCCAAGAGCCUCACUCUACCCCAAGAGUUCUUUCACUAGAGACCUUUCACUCUAGCUCUCUUGAUUUCUCUCUCACCCGUGUUCAACCCUUCCCAUGGGAGAGCCGAAUGCUCUCCCCUUUUGGAUGCUCACUCCAUCCUCACAAUCGGCAAGCUCUCUUCAUUUUGUGUGUGAAAAAUGCCUUCACUUAUAGACAUGCACCAUCAAUUAUGUCAACCACAAAACAUGCUUCCACAAAACAUGCUUCCUCAAAACAUGCUUCCACAAAACAUGCUUCCACAAAACAUGCUUCCUCAAAACAUGCUUCCACAAAACAUGCUUCCACAAAACAUGCUUCCAAAGUCCACAAAGUUGAGAGGAAAUGGUUGCCAACUCAUAAUUAUAUGAGCCAAACACAACAAAAAGGGAGGUCAUAAAGGUGUAAGUCAGAAACGCACCGCUAUUAGAAACCCUUCCAGCAUGCCAAAUCUGACAGAAGAAGACGCCACCUUUAGCAUGAACAGCAUUAACAAUGGGUUUCCAGGCUUCAACUUGCUCCUUUGUCCAUAUACCAGGUGUGUUUGGGUACCUUCGUAUAUUAAAGAACCAAAAAUUUCAUCAAACUUUGAAACGAAAGAAGCACCCUCAAAUGCUUGUUAGUCUAUGAAUCUACUGUUGUUGAAAUUACCCUUGAGCUGUGUUGGAAACUCCAGCGGCUUCAGCUAUGAGAAGACCCCCGUUCGAAGUUCUCUGAGAGUAAUAUAAGAUAGCAUGUGGUUGAGGAACAUUGUUGUAUGAUCUCUGUCUGGUCAAUGGUGCUAAAACAAUUCUGGAAAGGAAAAAGCAAUUGUAAAUUAUAAAUACAGAGUGAUCAAGACGGAAUGUGGCUGAGGAACAUUAUCGAAUGAUCUGUUUCUAGUCAUCAACGGUGAAAAUACAAUUCUAAAGAGGAAAAACAUAUAACAAACCAUAAAUACAACCUUCAGACUUUGUAGGAAGCAUUAGUUUGCUAAGGCUCUUUGAUAACAAAUUCGCUUUUAGUUUUCUUGUUUUAGUUAAAAAGGAGAAACGAGGGAGGAAGAAGGAAUUUGGGACGAAAAUGUAUGAAAUAAAAACUCGAAUUGUAGAUUAUCUGAAUUUGCUAAGGCUCCUUCAUAACAAAUUCGCUUUUAGUUUUCUUGUUUUACUUAAAAAGGAGAAACGAGGGAGGAAUAAGGAAUUUGGGACGAAAAUGUGUGAAAUAAAAACUCUAAUUGUAGACAAUCUGAAUUUGCUUUAUGUUCUUCAUUUUCGGUAUCAUUCCAUGAACAUUUGGUCCCUCAUCCAUCCCUUCCCCUUCCCCUUCCUCCUCCUCCUCCUCUUCUAUCAUGCAUUUUCUCUUUUACUUAAAAUUAAAAACUAAAAAUCAAAUACGAAAUCGUUACCAAACACAACCUAAACAAAGCAAUGUCUUACGAAGUGACCAUGGCCGAAAGGGCACAUACUUUUAACAAUCUAUUGCAUCUAUUUUCAACAAUUAAUCAAUGAAAUAACUCAAGUGUACUGUUGUUUUGAUUUAAUUUGUAACAUCUGUACUAUUUUAUAGACAAAGAUACAGUUACUCUUUUUUUUUUUUUAGGUAAACUAGAAUUACACCAGGGCAAAGCCAGAGUACAACAGGAAAGCCCACACAGAGGACUAACAUAGCUAAAACCAUUGAGACGACAAACAACAAAAUGAUCCAGGGCCAAGGACCAACACUAGUCCCGACAUUAUGUCACCCUUAAUCAUUCCAACAUAGACUCAACUUAGUGUGGGCAAGGUAGACCAUCCUUGUUCAACUUCUUGUCUCCUUCCCAACAUCUGUACUAUUUUAUACCAACAUGAUUCUCUCUGGAUUCUUUUGGUGAGAAUCUUGUCCGUUCAUCGUACAUCGUGCGAUCAGUUUUUGUCAAAUAAUUUUGUGUUUAAUUUUAAAUAAAAAUAUUUAAAAUAAUUUUUUACUGCACGAUAUACGAUGAACGGACAAAAUAACGGAUUUUCAGGAUUCUCACAAAGAGAAUUCGACGAGUAUCCGGAUUCUAUUUUAUAGACAAAGAUACAGUUACAAACACUCCUUGUCUCCUUCCCCAAAUCAUUCUUCGUUUUUGUAAAAUAGGAACAAUGUAUGAAAGUUUUAAUUACCUAUGAGAAAGAUUGAAGUUUCCAAUUUGUAGGGAGUGAGGAGAGGAACUGUGGGAGGUUGAGCAGCAGCAGACAUCUCAGAAUUCGAGUCGGUCGUCUACCACCUGAUCUUGCACUUGGCCUUUUAUACUGGAUUCUGGGAUGAAGGAAGGAAGGAAUGAAUGAAAACAGGACCCAAUUGGGUCUUUAUACGUUCGGUAGGAGCUUAAAAGUCCGCCCUGCAGCUUUCCUCCACAAAAGUCAGAGAAGGCCGGGUCCCACAUCUCCCCUCCCUUGUGUGGUGGUGGCGGCGGCGGACGUCGGUGGGUGGACGAUGGAUCUCUCCAAAGCAUUAAUUAAACCGAUUAGGUGAAGACAGGUAGGAAGGUUUGAUGAGGUCUGUAAUUACGUUUACGUGGGUUGAAAAUUCACCAGUUUUAUGAGGUCUGUAAUUACGUUUGCGUGGGUUGAAAGUUCACCAGUUUUCCCCAUGAAAAAGGACGUCUACGCACGUUCAUUUCGAUUUUGCUUUUUCAUCCUGCAUUAUUAGGCCAUGGUUAGAAAAAUAUAUUAUUUAGGUCCUUAAGGCCACCUCCAAUCAGAAGGGUUAAAACAUAAUCUCAUAUAGAAUUAUAAUUUUGUAAAAAAAUUAAUUUUAAAUUAAUAGUGUCAGAUCAUAUUCAUAUACUAUCUAUAACCAAAUGAGCUAAACAUAGCCUCAUCAAUUUCCGAUGGAUAGCUAGACUAAAAUUCUAUGGAGCUCAUCAAGCCAUCAUUUGGCUAAAGGGGCAUUGGGUUGGCCAAAUGUAGCCCCCCUUCUUAGCCCUUUUUGGAGCUCAGCUCCUCUACUGCACUAUUUGAGUCAAAUUCAACAACUAUGUUUGAAAACAUUUAAUGGAAGUUUAAUUAAAUUAAUCGAUAAAUUUAAUAUAUAAACUUAAAACUAAGUAAUUAUUGAGAAGGUUAUGUUUAGCCACUUCAGUGACGGUAUAUAAGUAUGACGCGAUAUUGUUCAGUCAUUUCGGUUGAAGAUGGCCUAAGGUAAGAAUUUUGAGGAUAUGUGAGACUAAUGUAUGUUAGUUACAAAAUUAUGUUUGUAUAGAUCACUUGAAAUAUUUGACAACUUAAUAAAGAAAAACCAACUUAAAAUCCAUGAACCAUUAGAAAACUCAUUUUCUUUUUUGGUUUUAUUAAGUUGUCAAAUAUUUAAGCUUUUGAAUACAAACUAAUAUAAUCUUGUGGCUAAUAUACAUUUGGUCCUCACAAAUCUUUAAAAUGAAGACCUUACUUGAUCAAUGAAUUUAUGACAAAUUAAAUAGUCUAAAAAUAAAAGGCUCGAAUUAGGGCUAGGUUCGGUUCAAAUCGGUUCAAUUUUUUUUUUCGGUUUUGGUUUUUUUUUGGUUCCGGUUCGGUUUUUUCCGUGAUUUUUUUAAAUCUUUUUUAUUUUUGUCAAAAAUAUAAAGAAGAGUAAUUUUACUUUUUGUUUCCGAUGAACUAAGAAAUUAAAGAAGGAACUUGAAUUAAAACUAGGGCAACUCGCAAUGAUGGCUGCAUCAAACAAAUCAUCCAUAUCUACAAUAUGAACAGAAACCUUUGUAAAUCAUAAAGUCCUUAAUGCUAAAUCCUUUAAGAACCAAGACUUGAAAACCCUAAAUCUGCAAUACAAACCCACAAGUAAGAAACAAACCCACAACACAAAAAUCGAACAAAUCUGCAAUACAAACCAAACUCCCUCCAUGGCGCCAUGUCACUGCCUCCGUUUUCCGGCCAAACCAAGGCGAUUUAGCCCAAAAAAAAGGUACAUCUUCGUCUCAUCUAGAAGUAUGAUUUUUGUUUUUGAAUCACUUGAUUUCGUUGAGUAUUCAAGAAGUUAUGAACGUUUAAAGUUUACCCAGUUUCUGGCGAGUUUCCAAGUUUUCCCUCGUACCAAUCAACUUUGAGGCUAUUUUCCCGCCAUCUCCAGCAACCAUUGGGCUUCCAAAUAGGUUUAAUCUUAUUAUAUAUUUUCCUAUCUUCAUUUUGAUAUUUUAUGGGUCGAAUUUGGUUAAGAAACGAUUAAGUUACAAAGCUUUGAAAAUUGCCCAAGAACUCCGGGACACUUAACGGAGUUUUUAACGGAAGGACCAAAAUGAUGGAUGGUGGACAAUCUCAAGGACCACUUUUAUCGAUUUGAAAUGUUAGGGACCAAAGUGAAGAGUUAUGCAAAUCUCAGGGACUAUUUUGACUAUUUAGCCUUUUUUUUUCCUAAACGAAAAAUAUUUUUUUUAAAUGAAGAUAGAAAAGUGUAGAAUAAGAUUAUACCUAUUUGGAAGCCCCAAUGGCUGCCGGAGAUAGCCGGAAAAUAGCCUCAAAGUUGACUGGUCUGAGGGAAAAUUGGAAAACUCGCCGGAAACUGGGUAAACUUUAAACGUUCAUAACUUCUUUAAUACUAAACUAAAUCAAGUGAUUCAAAAACAAAAAUCAUACUUCUCGAUGAGACGAAGAGAAUGGUACCUUUUUAGACAGUUUAAAUUGCGGUGGUUUGGCCAUAAAAGGCUAAAUAGUGUCUAACUCGAGACUAAGACAGCAUUUAUAGAACCGUUUUCUGCCAAACCACAGUGAAUUUACCCUUCAAAUAGGUACCAUUCUCUUAUUAUCGUCGAGAAGUAUGAUUUAGUUUUGAAUAACUUGAUUCGUUUAGUAUUGAAGAAGUUAUGAAUUUAAAGUUACUCAGUUUCUGGUGAGUUUUCCAGUUUUCCUUCGGACCAGUCAACUUGAGGCUAUUUUCCGGGCUAUCUCGGCAGCCAUUGGGCUCAAUAGGUAUAAUCUUAUUCUACACUUCUAUCCAAUUAUUAAGGCUAAAUAGUCAAAGCUUUGGAAAACCCACACAGAAAAAGUUCGCAACACUAACUUAACCAAAUUCGCCAAUAUCAAAGCCCCUGGAAGGGAGCCUCCCUCCAUGGUGGAAUGUCACUGCCUCCUUUUACCGAUUUGCGAAGCCCAAAAAGGGAGUUAUGCAAAUAGAAGAGAUUUUGUUUUUUUUCUUUUUUUUUCCCUAAACGAAAAUAAUUUUUUUUAGGUUUUACCCAAUAAGAUGGGAAGCCCUGGCUGCCGCGAAUAGACGAAAAUAGCCUUCAAAGUUGACUGGUCUGAUGGGGAAAAUUGGAAAACUUGACUACUGGGUUAAACUUUUAAACGUUUCAUAAGAUUAAUAAUAAAACUAAUUUUGGUGAUUCAAAACAAAAAUCAGGGACUUCUCAUGAGACGAAUAUAAAGAAUUGGUCACCCUUUUUAGACAGUUAAAAUUGCCCAUAAAGGCUAAUAAGUGUUCUAACUCGAGACUAAGACAGCCAUUUUAGAACCGUUUUGGGCCAAACCACAGUGAUAGCCUUCAAAAUAGGUACCAUUCUCUUAUUAUCGUCGAGAAGUAUGAUUUAGUUUUGAUAAACUUGAUUUCGUGAGUAUUGAGAAGUUAUGAACAUUUUAAAGUUACUCAGUUUCUGGUGAGUUUUCAGUUUUCCUUCGGACCAGUCAACUUUGAGCUAUUUUUCGGGCUAUCCCGGCAGCAUUGGGCUUCCAAAUAGGUAUAAUUCUUAUUCUACACUUUCCUAUCUUCAUUUGUUUAUUAAUUUGGUUUAAGAAAAGAGUUAUGUUAUGAAGCUUCUAAAGAACUCCGGGUCCAAAAACUUCUAAAGGCCAAACUCCGGGACACUUCUCAGGGAGUUUUUCGAUUUGAAAAGACCGACCAAAUCUUAAGGACAUUUUUGGCUAUUUAGCCAAUCUUAAUGUACUCCCCAAAUAUGAAUGCAAGUUAGGACCAAGAAGUUGGGUUUUUAGCCAAAAAUUACAAACUUUAAAUGAUUAAUAGAACCAAAGUCAAUACUAAUUAUAGCCAUAGAAGUAUUGGGUUGACCGUUUAGAAACGUGAGAUUUCAAAAGGAUGUUACUAAUAAUAUGGUAAUUGUGGUGAUUGAAAUAUUUACUGCAAAUUCACCUUUUCAAGAUUCUGAUUCUCUUGAUUUAAAAAAUUGAUAUCCACUUCCUGAAAAAUCUUUACAAAACUUGUCUUCUGGUUGAGCUUCAAAUGCCCGUAUGCUAUUCUUUUGAUUGUAUAUUACAAAAGAUGUUAAACAUGAAACUUCAAAAGGGGAUUUAAUCCAUUCUAUAUUUGAAAAUUUCCUAAAAUGGAUGUUAAAACUGAAAUUCAAAUGUUUUUAUCCAUUUCUGUCCUUACUUCCAAAAUGACUGGGAUCGUGACCGAUAAUUUUACAAUUCCAAUCCCCUUUGAAUUUUAAGAGUUAUGCUAUUACUUUAGUCUAACUAGGGUUAUGUGGCAUUAUGCAAUUUUGGACAUUUCAGUUCUACUUACGAUAAUUCAUUGAGUUUUCUGUUUCCUUCAUUUAAUUUAUUUGCAAAUUUGCCAUUGGGCUUAGAAAGGUUUUUGUCUUUACGGUUAUUUCCGUUCAUUGGAAUUUUUUCGAUUAUUCGAUCCACGCGUUGAUCAUCGCUGGAUCGCCGGCUGUGUGGGAUCUGGUGAGGGGAUGGGUUACGUGUCCAUCAUUGUCGAAAGGUUUGCUUCGACUGCAACCUCUCGACUUUUCGUUUCGUUUCAACUUCUAUCUCACAAGCCUCUGCUUCAGUCGCUCUUGAUCUUCGCCUUUUCUAAGGCGUUCGAGGGACAAAAACCGAAAGCCAAACCUCCACCACAAACGAAGUCACAAAUAGGGAUGGGCAACGGCGGACGGGUAACCGCGGUUAUUUACCCAUAACCAUUUAUACUUAUACCCGCAUAAUUGUUUACCCAUUGGGUAAUUGCCCAAGCAGUUAUACUCAUACUCAUAACCAUUUAUAAACGGUUAACCAUAUCCAUAACAGCAUACCCAUUUAACCAUAAUCGUUUAAUACCAGUUUACUCAUUUACUCUUUUUAACCCGUUUAUUUUUUAUUUAUUUUUUACCAUUACCUCUUUUUUCACCCUUAUACAUGGUUUUUAACAACUUGAAAAUUAAAAAAAAAAUGUCAUAAUUUUUUUUGGCAAUUAAACACCGUUAUAAGCACAUUCAUCAUACAUUUCUGUAUUUUAAUUUUUUAAAUCCUUAUCUCAUUCCAAUAAUUGAAAUAAUUUCCGGCAAAGACACAACGGCGUGCACUCGUACGUGGGUUAUUUAUAUGCUCAGCAAGCACCCUUAUAUGCAAGAAAAGGUUGUAACAGAAGUUUGAGAAGCAGCAAAUCUGAAAGAUGACUCAAGCAUUGUUGAACUUGCAGACAAUCUUAAUGAAGAUGCCCUUAAUAAAAUGCAGUAUGUCUUAGUAGCUUUGACUGAGACACAGAGGCUCUACCCUGUAAUUCCACCGUAAAUUUGACUAACAUCUUAACUAAAUCUAAUGCAUGCAUACCGCAAGGGAAAUGAUUUCAGUGCGCUCCCGUUUAGUUUUCUCACUUAAAUUUCUUUUGAUUUAUUCAAUUUAAGAAUAGAAAUACUCCAUGGAUCAUCGUUGAUUACUUUUUAAUUAAUUAAAACACUACUAUAUAAACCACAUUAUAGUCAAUAGUAUUGAUCUAAGUUUUGUCUGAUAGAGAACAUGAUUUGUAUUAAUUUUACAUAUAUAAAAUAAAUAGGUAAACAGUUAUUCGUUUAUAAUCGUGAUUAAUACUCAUAACCAACCAUUUAAAUUUUACAGAUGAACGAUUAUACCUAUAACCAUUUAUUUAUUUAAACAGUUACCCAAAUGAGCAUGUAACCGCGGGCCAUCCCUAGUCACGAACGCCACUCUCACUCACCCUCCACCGUUACACACGAACCCAAUCAUAAUUCUGAAAUCCAAACACAACCCAGAUGUUAAUCCUUCAGAGAAUGGCAAUGGCCACUUCUUCUUCCUUCCUCUUAAUCCCUCUCCUCAAUAAUCUUCUUUGCUUUCCCCAGUUAAACACCAAGCUCCGAGUUCAGGUCUCUGUCCUUCUACGGCGGUAGAACUGGAGUCUCCACCUCCUCGGCGAUGGCCACGGAGGCUCAGGUCUCGACCCAAGACGACAAAUUGAAGGAUGCCCAGAUGGAGGUAGCUGAUAAGCCUGAGACAGUCGUGCUUCCAACCAACGAGUCCUCCGAAAGCCUCAUCAUAAUUCGACACACGGUAUUUAUUGAAAUUUCAUUGCUUUGGAUUGGAUUUAUGAUUGUUUUAUGUUAAAUUGAAGUAGGGUGCUUUCCUGUUGAAUUUUUUGAAUUUUUAGAUUCUUAGGAGCUUCCCUUUUUGAAAGUUUGAUGCUUUUAAUUAACUAUUUUCAAUUCUGCGUUACUAAUGGUCACCUGAUUCUAUUGUGAAGAAUGAGAAAGUGAGGAUGAAGAAAAUAAGAACCUAACUUUUCGGUAAUUUGAAAUUUGAUCGCAUAGGACAUGGAAAAAUGGGUGUACAGCGGUAGAUAAGUUGGGAAAAAUUUCAUCCUGUUUUUGGGAAUGUGAGAAGAUACAUGGGUUUCUGUAUUUUGAUAAAGUGUUGAGGUCGAGCCAUGUUCAUUUUUUUCUGAAUUUUCUUGUAGUUUGGUAUUAAUGGCGCCUUUUCCGCUGUUAUGGUGAUGAACCAUUUAUAUGUGUUUGACUGCAGUGUGCACACGUGAUGGCCAUGGCUGUUCAAAAGCUCUUCCCGGAUGCAAAAGUGACAAUUGGUCCAUGGAUAGAAAAUGGGUUCUAUUAUGAUUUUGAUAUGGAGCCUUUGACGGACAAAGAGUUGAAGAGAAUCAAGAAGGAGAUGGUAAGUGGAAUUUCUGUAUAAGUUAUCAUGUUUGUAUCAAAGUUUUGGAACCAUGAAACUAUUGAAAACUAUUCAUGCACAUUUCUUUUGUGAUUUGUAGGAUAGCAUCAUUGGUAGAAACUUACUAUUAGUAAAGAGUCCUCCACGUCUAUACCCUUGUCAUAAUCUCCAUAAUUAUCUUAUGUAUAUUAUCACGUUAUCUUAGAGAUUUGUAAUCCCGUUAGGAUUUGUAUUGGGAGCUACACAAUCCCUUUAGGACUCUUUGUAAACUGGUAUAUUUAUACCUGAUUAUGAGCAAUGGAAAGUUAAGUCUUCCACCAAUAUUACUGCUUCGUGUUUACUGUGCUCUUUCUCUGAAUAUAUAUAUUUCUACAUGGUAUCAUCCCUUUCUCCGGCUUAACCACCCUUCUCGAUCCGCUUCCCAUCAUGUCCUCUACCUCCCCACUUCCUGGCCCUGCUAUUGCCCAGUUUCUCAAACUCAAUGACUCCAAUUACCUCACAUGGCUUCGUCAGAUCAAGCCCUUUCUUGUUGGUCAUGAUCUGUGGAAGGUCGUUAAUGGCUUCUACCCACCCCCUCCGGCCACCUUCACCGUCACUGCCACCCCUUCCUCUGCCGCUACUAACUCCGACAGUUCUUUCGUGACUACUACCUUUACUCUUCCCAACCCCACUUUCGCUCAUUUGUACCAACACGAUCAGUUGGUCGUAAGCUACAUAGCCGCCACCUUAACAGAACCUGUCCUUGCUCUCACUGUGGGCCAUGACUCCGCCCAAGCCGUUUGGGCAUGUCUUCAACGGCGCUUCGCCUACGACCCUGUCCUCAACUCCGUCGCCUUGCGUUACCAACUGCUUGAUAUUUCCAACAGAUCUUGCUCUAUUGCUGACUAUCUUCAACAUGCUAAAUCUCUUGCUGACAAACUCGCUACUAUCGGCCGUCCUGUUGAUCUUGAAGACUUCAUCACCGUUGUUCUCCGUGGUCUUGGAUCUGACUACCUUACCCUUACCACUGCUAUCAUCAACGUCACCAUUCUUCUAACCUUUGAGGAGUUGACCUCCAAGAUUGAAGCUUUUGAUCUCCAGAACCUUCGCACCUCCACCACGUCUGCCGCUUUGUAAAUUGCCCUCAUCACUACCCACCAACCCCGUGCUUCUUCUCAGUCCUCAGGCAGUCACGAUGGAAAUUAGAACGGUCGUUUCCAACGGAACAAUGGUCCGCAGUGUAAUACCUCCGGCUGGCAUCCUAGCAAGAAUACCAAUUCCCGCAACCAACAACAACAAUGGAAUGGGCCUCCUCCAUUCAAUUAUCAACAACCUUGGCAUGGACCCUCUGCUCCCAUUUAUUGGCCAGGCCCACGUGGUUUUUCUGGGCCAGGCCCACUUGUUCCACCUCGCAACAUAGUGCUACACACUGUCCACACCGCUAUGGCGGCCCCGAACCUUUCCCCCCCUUUGAGGGCUCUCAGGUGAUUUCUUAUUAGGAUCCCAACAUUUGGUUUCCCGAUACUGGCGCUACCUACCACAUGACGGGCGAUCCCAAUGCCCUCCCCCACCCACAACCUUAUCGUGGUCCUAAUUCCGUUCAAUUGGGUAAUGGUGAUUCUCUAAACAUUACAUCCACUGGUACAAUUCCUAUCUCUCUUAACUCUAUUCCGUUUAGUCUUUGUAAUGUCUUUCUUGUUUCGGCCUUACGUAAAAACCUCUUGUCUGUUACAUACUUUACACAUGAUAACAAUGUCGUUAUUUGUUUCUUUCCAUCCUUUUAUCGUAUCUAUGAUUUACACUCUGGUGUUUUAUUGUUUCAAGUCCCAUGUAGAGAUGGCCUUUAUCCAUUAUCCUUCUCCUCACCACAGGCCCUUGCCGCUUCAUCCUUUACCCUUUGGCAUCAACGUCUCGGUCACCCUUCAUCUUCGGUUUUGUCCCGUCUUAGCUCUAGUUUCGGUUCUACGUCAUUUUCUUCAAAGCAUUUUUGUAAAAGUUGUGCUUUAGGCAAGUCCACACAACUUCCUUUUUCAAUUAAAUAAUGCAAGGGCUACUACUCCAUUUUAUAUUAUACAUUCUGAUGUUUGGAUGUCCACUUCUACCUCUGUUUCUGGCUUUCGUUAUUACGUAUUAUUCACUGACGAUUAUUCUUGUUAUUCUUGGAUUUACCCCAUGAAAAAGAAGUAUGAGGUCUUUACACAUUUUCAAACCUUUGUUGCAAUGACUCAUAACCUAUUUAACGCAUUUAUUUAAUAUUUUCAAAGUGAUGGCGGCACCGAAUAUGUUAAUCACUCAUUUUCUGCAUUUUGUCGUCAAUUAGGUAUCCAACACCGUCUUUCGUAUCCACACACACCCCAACAAAAUGGACUUGCUGAACGUAAGCACCGUCAUAUUGCUGAUAUGACUCGCACACUGCUUACUACAGCUCAUACCCCACUCACCUUGUGGGUGGAAGCUACGCUUGAUGCGAAAAUUAACUUAACACACAAAUUAAACCCUCUUGUUGUCAAUUGUAGUAAAGAAUGUAAGUAGGGAUCGUUCUAGGCCGGAGAUUAGAAGGGAUUGCUAAAACACUUGAAACUGACUUAAAUAUGUGAAAACAAACUUAAAAGCAUGAAAUUAAACUUACAAGACUCAAAACAAAGCCACAAGACUCAAAACAGAUUAUAGAGACUCAAAACUGCCUAAAAACAACUCUAAGGCAGUUUCUGCCACUAACACAAAGUUUGGACGAAAAUUGAUUUUAUUUUAACUUAAAACACUUAAAAACACAAUCUAAAACAAGUACUGACUAAUAGACACUCUAAAGUAAAGGGGGAUUUGGUUUUGGAUGAAUUUAAGUAAAAACAAGUAAUUAAAGACUUAAAACAGAUUUUGGACGAAUUUGGUGAUUGGAAUGGAUGAUGGGCUAGCUAGAAGGUCUUUCUCCACACAUGACACACUUGCAUAUAAAACGAUUUCCAGUUGCUUUUCAAUAAACCAUGAACCUCAACACCCCAGAUUAAUUAGGUACGCUUAAAUUAAUCCUCAGAUUUUCCUAAUUUCAUUGAAUUGGAUGAUUGCAUACAACAACCCAAAGCAUUCCCCACAAGUUCCCUACAUGAAUUGCAUAAUAGAGAUACAAGUAAGAAUCAUUAAGUUCUAGGAAAAUCAUAAGCAUUGACGAAACACUUGUAACUAUGAAUUGCAUGAAACUUAUGCCAAGAAUUUACUUAACACGGUUGUGACGAACAACCUUUAGUACUUGUAAAUAUAAGUUCAUAACGAUUAGGUGAAACUCCCUUAAUCCUAGCAUCAUAUUUAUGCAUGAAAAUUAAGCGUGCACUCUCAACCAACAUACACAAAUCAGUUUUAAUUCAAAUGGAUAAGUAAAUUGAAUUCACAACUUAUGAAUCACAACUGAAAGUAACCAAAUCAUAUUGCAAGCAUGAACAUGGUUUCGAAUUCCCCCCUAGCUAAGGAGGUUUAGUUUCUCAUACUUACAAAGUAAAGAUAAACAAAUUUAGACAUUGAGAACAAAAGAAAGAAAACACCUAAAAACGCUCCAACAAUCCAACUUGAAUGGCAAGCACGUCGAAGGGUCUUCCUUCUUCUCUUUGUUGCAGCACAAGGUGUGGUUUGAUGGAUGAGUGGUAAAUUAUAGUAGUGGAUGGAUAUGCACGGCUGAGAGAUGAAAGUGUAUGGAUUGGUGAGAUGUAGUAUGGCUAAAUGAAUGGAUGGAGGUCACGACAAGGAAAUUGUGUUUGCGAAUGAAGUUGUGAGAUGUGAAAUGUAGUGUCUUUGUAUGAUGGCCCCCAAAUUAUGGUGAAGGGUGGAUGUAUUUAUAGGCUAGGGAGAGGAGUGUAUGGAGUUGUAAUGAGUGGAUGUAAUGGGUGUAGUGGGUGAGUGUUGUGAUAAUGAGUCGAUGUAAUGGGUGUAGUGGGUGGAUGUUUGGUAAUGAGUAGAUGUAAUGGGUGUAGUGGAUGAGUUUUUAGUAAUGAGUAGUGUUUGGUAAUGAGUGAAUGUAAUGGGUGUAGUUGAUGAGUGUUUGGUAAUGAGUGGAUGUAAUGGGUGUAAUGGGUGAGUGUUGUGGUAAUGAAUGGAUGUAAUGGGUGUAGUGGGUAGAUGUUUGGUAAUGAGUGGAUGUAAUGGGUGUAGUGGAUAAGUGUUUGGUAAUGAGUGGAUGUAAUGAGUGUAGUGGGUGGAUGUUUAGUAAUGAGUGGAUGUAAUGGGUGUAGUGGAUGAGUGUUUGGUAAUGAGUGGAUGUAAUGGGUGUAGUGGAUGGAUGUUUGGAGUUGUAGGUCAACACACUUGCACACACACAUGCUGAUUUCUAGCCUUCAAAUCUUCAAAAAUGUCCAUCCUCAUGUCCUCAUGCUUGCACUAUCCAAUCUUGGCUAAAAAAUGCUCUAAAAUGCUCCAAAAUGCACUUUCUUGCCAACUUUGUUAUUAUGACCUACAAACACAUGAAAAUAGCUUAAAAUUCAUAAUUAACUAAGAAAUAACAACACAAAUGCACAAGAACAAGCUAACUAAGUCGCAUAAAUAUGCUCCUAUCAGCGCUCACUUCUGUCCACCUCAUCAAUCUUCUCCCCACCUCUACCCUCAAUUGGUCAACUCCCUAUACACUUCUAUUUGGUUAGACACCCACUUACUCUCACCUACGUACCUUUGGAUGUAUGUGCUUUCCAUACCUUCGGGAUUAUGUUCACGAUAAACUAAGCCACGUUCUAUUGAGUGUGUUUUUGUGGGUUACAGUGCCUCUCAUAAAGGUUACAGGUGCCUUGAUCAGACCACUGGACGUAUUUAUAUCUCUCACCAUGUGGUGUUCAAUGAGGCUACUUUUCCUUUUGCAACCUCUCUCGGCCAGCCACCAACCACAUAUGUGGAGCUGGAAAUUCAUCCUACUGCCAUCCCACAAUUUGCUUGCUCAUUGCCCAUCCCUACCUCUCUUGGUCUCGUGGGCUCCUCCUCUAAUGAUGGCCAGUCAAUGCCACAUGACAAUGACCUACCUACUUCUGCUGCUUCUCCACCGCAGCCUGCCGCUACCCAGUCACGGUCACCACCACUUAUGCUUCCAUCUCAUCCCAUGGUCACCCGAACUAAAGACGGCACGCGUAAACCCAAGUCCUGGACUGAUGGCUCUAUCCGGUAUCCUCUCCAUCAUGCUCUUUCAGUUUUGCUUACCACUGACGAACCCACAUGCUUUACACAGGCUGUUCGCAAACCCGAAUGGCGGGCUGCCAUGACCGAGGAAAUUAAUGCCCUUUUUUUAAAUAAUACUUGGGUUCUUGUUCCGCCAUCACCCACCCAAAACAAAGUCGGCUGCAAGUGGGUUUAUCGCAUAAAAUGGAAAUCUGAUGGAAGCAUCGAUAGAUACAAAGCACGUCUGGUGGCAAAGAGCUUUCACCAACAACCAGGAAUUGACUACGAUGAAACUUUCAGCCCUGUGGUCAAACUUGCAACUAUACGUACAGUUCUCAGCCUUGCUAUUUCAAAUCAUUGGUCCGUUCGUCAGCUCGACGUGAAAAAUGCUUUUCUGCAUGGUCAUUUGAAGGAGGAAGUCUACAUGUCACAACCCCCUGGUUUUGUUGAUCCCCAACAUCCCAAUCAUGUUUGUUGUCUCACCAAGGCACUUUAUGGUCUUAAGCAGGCUCCUCGGGCCUAGUUUCACCGCUUUAGCUCAGUCAUCAAGAGAUGAAGCUCCCAAAAGAAUAACCGCUCUCAGUGAACCAUACAAAUUGGAAAUUUUGGAUAGUAUUAAAGAAGAUCCCAUUACCAUAUAUCAUAUUGGUAAGGGUUUCACUAUUUUCAAGCUCAAUAUAGUGUAUGGAAGGUGAUGAUUUAAUGUGUAGGAACUGUGCGUAAAUGAUAUUUUUAUUAGCUACACAAGUGAAAUGUACAGUGUUUGUGUUGAGUCUUAAGAUGGAAAUUUAAAGGAAUAAAAAAGAGAGGGCGGGGUGUGCUCAGGGAAAACAAUGUUGUUGGUGCUCUUUAAAAAUGAGUUAUUGAUAUGCAGAUUGAAAAUAAGACUAAUUUGGAGGUGGGAGGAACCUUUUGGUCAAGCUAACCAAAUUAUACUUAUGUUUAUACAUAUGCAUGCUUGUACUAGGAUUUGAUUGUGUUUUGAACUAGCAUCCUGUCAUAUUAGACUGUCUUGAUGUCAUAAUUCCUCAUAGUAUGCCGAAUUCUUCAUAGGUGAUGAAUGGUGGAACCUAUGUGCGGGGCCCCAUGUUGAAAAAAUUGGGAAUAUUAACAGAAAACUUGUCGAACUUGAGUCUAUGUUGGUGCCUACUGGAGAGGACAUGAAAUGAAACCAAUGCUGCAGUGGAUCUAUGACACUGCAUGGGAGAGUGAAGAUCAAUUGAAGGCAUAACUUCAAUUGAAAGAGGAAGCUAAACGUAGAGAUCACAGGCGCCUUGGUCAAGUCAAAUCAAAGAUGAAAUUAAGGGUGUCAUAGAUCUUACAGAAGAACUUUCGUUGCAAUUCGGCUUCAGCAAAUAUGAGGUCAAUCUCUUUACAAGGCUAGAGAAAGCUGUUGGAGAUGAUAUAUGGGUGAAAGCAACAUAUGCCCUUAAAGAUGCUUUGGAUGAUAAAGGCUGGAGCUAUCAAAUUGAUGAAGGCGAUGGUGCCUUUUAUGGUCCAAAAAUUGAUCUUAAGAUUAAGGAUGCCCUUGGAAGGAAGUGGCAGUGCUCAACUAUGUAGGUUAAUCCAGUGCUCAACUAUGCAGGUUAAUCCUGAACUCAUGACGGGAUAAUUCUAAGGAAAACUAAUGAAAAGGGUUUGAAAACUUUGAGUUUUAACGAUAAAGACAAAAUAAAGGGUAAAGUAAAUAGUACCAAGUUUGACUUUUUAGUAUAAAAAUGUGGUUUUUCAUUAAAAUGAACAGUACCACAGACUUUUCGUUAAAAUUCCCAUAAUUCUAAUAUAUGCUUUGUUUUUUAAUUGGUAAUCUCUCAGUCUAUCUCUGUAUCACUUUGUAAAAUGUUCAUUGGAGAUUUGAGCAUCUUUUUUGAAUUGAGCGAAUUACAUGGAUUUGUUUGAUAGACUAAAGCCACUUAUUACUGUUAUUUUAAAUUUUUGAUCUUUUGUAUUUCCCAAAUUGUACAGGUUUGUAAAGCAGUUGCACGUUUAAUGUUUCAAUUAACUCAAGAACCCUCAACACACCUGCACGACGGUUACCUAGGCUACGACCCCUGGCUUUCCUCCCAGCGAUUCGACUCCGAGUCCCUCAAGGACCUCGCCAUGGAUUCCCCAAUCUUCCACGGCUCCGCCGUAGAUGACGCUUUCGCCACUCAGCCGGCGUCGGAGGCCUUCUCUCCUCCGUCGAUCUACGCCGAAUCGAACGGCCAGGGCUUUGAUGGAGGGUUUGGCAGGUCCGUGUUAGAUACCAAUUCCAGCCACUAGUUCAUCCUUAACUGGAAGCAAGAAUUGUAGGAAAUGGCGAGAGGGAAAAGAUGGAGUAUUUUUUGCAAAAUGAUUUUUUAUAUUUGAUUUCAUCUAUCCCCGUUCAACAAGAAAGGGAGAGCUUUAAUAGCACUAGCAACCUCCCCAAUGAAAGAUUGUGACAUGGCAUACAUAGCCUAAACUCUUAAACAACAGCACAAAGGAAAGGCAAAUUACACAACGACCCUAAAACAUUACAUUUCGACCCAAAACUUUGUUGCUUGUGAUCAAGGCAAUCACAGUACAUAACAAUGCUUCGUCUUUGAAAAAUAACCUUGUCCACAAGGUUUACACUGGAAAAUCGGGGUGUCGGGUCUUAAAUGCAUCGAAAUCUUCCCAUGAAGCUUUAGCUGCUUCCUGUCCAUUCCAUUGCACUAAUAGCUGCACCAUAGUUGCAUUUCCCUUCUUAUACAUCCUCCUAGCCAAGAUUGCCUGUGGUAAGUUCUGCAUCAACCCAUCAUCUGCAGCAAUGGGCAGAUUCACAUGUGAAACUACUUUUUCCCCCAAUUGCUUUUUGAGGCAGCUUACAUGGAACACAGGAUGUAUCUUUGAUCCUUCAGGUAAUUUUAGUUUAUAAGCCACCAUACCAAUAUUUUCCAACACUUCAUAAGGACCAUAGAACCUAGGCUGCAGUUUAUGGUAACUGUGCUGCCAAUGCUUGCAACUGAUAAGGAACUAGCUUCAAGUAUACCUUAUCCCCCACAUUGAAAUGCCUUUUAGUUCUUCUUUUAUCAACUUGAACUUUCAUCUUGUUUUGUGCUAAUUCCAAAUUGUGUUUGAGAACAGUAAGCAUGUUAUCCCUUUCGAGAAGACUUUGUGCCACAUAGUCCAUUUUUGCAGUUCCCACUUCAUAUGGAGCUAUAUGAGGUGGAGCAUGACCAUACACCAAUUCAAAAGGUGUAAAACCUGCAGAGGUGUGAUGUGAUGUAUUGAAGCACCACUCAGCCCAUGGCAACCAAUUCACCCAUUUUUUAGGCUGCCCUCCAAUAAAACAUCUUAAGUAGGUCUCCAAACACCUAUUCAUAACCUCAGUUUGUCCAUCACUCUAGGGGUGAUAACCUGAACUCAUGCACAGUUUUGAGCCUUGCAACUUAAAAAACUCCCUCCAAAAUGCACUGAUAAACAUAGGAUCUCUAUCACUCACAAUGGAACUUGGCAUACCAUGCAAUUUGAAGACAAACUCAAUGAAUAUUUGAGCCACACUCACUGCAAUAUAUGGAUGGGAAAGAGCAAUGAAAUGUGCAUACUUAGAAAGUUUGUCCACCAUCACCAUGAUCACAGUUUUGCCCCUACAAUUUGGCAAACCAAGUAUGAAAUCCAUGCUAAUGUCCGACCAAUUCUUCUGUGGAAUUGGUAGUGCUUGUAACAAUCCAGGUGGAGCUAUUGUUUCCACUUUGUUUUGUUGACAAAUGCUACAUUCAACCACAAAAUUUCAAAUAUCCUUCUUCAUUCCCUGCCAAUAGAACCUCUUUUUGAUCCUGUGAUAUGUUUUAACCACCCCUUGGUGACCUCAUCCAGAAGUAGAGUGAUACUCUUCAAUGAUUUUGUGUCUCCAAGGUGAUGUGGGACUCAAAACUACCCUCUUUUUAUAGCAUAAGAACCCAUUAUCAACAGUAUACUUGGAAACUGCAGCUUUAUCAGUAACUGUCUUAGAACUAUCAAGCACAAAUUUAAUCCUUUCCAAAACCCACUUAUCACUUUCAAAACUCCUCCUUAAAUCAUCCAUCCAGCCAAAAUAAGGGUAGAUGAUGGCAGUGAGUUCCAUGUCAAGGUGAACAGGUUUCUCUACCAACUCAGAAUUGACAUUUGGUACCUUAGAGAGUGCAUCAGCCACUGUGUUUUCAACUCCACUCCUAUACUGGAUCUCAUAAUCAAAACCCAAGAGUUUUGAAACCCAUUUUUGUUGAAAAUGAGUAUUAGCUCUCUGACUUAAGAAGUACUUGAGACUAUUGUGAUCAGUCUUAAUUAUGAAGUGUUUACCUUGCAAAUAGUUAUGCCAUUUUUUUACAGCAUGAACUAUUGCAAUCAGUUCUCUUUCAUAAGUAGAAAGAGCUUGAUUCUUAGGUCCUAAUGCCUGACUGGUGAAUGCAAUUAGUCUAAGGUUUUGCUGCAUAACUGCUCCAAUUCCAUUGUCUGAAGCAUCACAUUCCAAGACAAAGGGUUGAUUGAAAUUUGGCAAUGCCAAUACUUGUGGUGAGGACAUAAUCUUUUUGAGUUUUUUAAAUGCUUCCAAAGCUUCCACUCCUCAAUAGAAUCCAUCCUUCUUAGUGAGAUUAUACAAAGGCUGGCAUAUUUUCCCAUAUCCAGGCACAAAUUUUCUGUAGUACCCAGUGAGGCCUAGAAAUCCUCUCAAUUCCUUCACAUUCCUUGGUACAAGCCAGUCAGUGAUUGCUUGGAGUUUGCUAGGAUCUGCCAUAACACCAUCCUUUGACACAAUAUGGCCAAGGUACUCUACUUUACUUUGACCAAAGGAACAUUUAGAUUUUUUCAAAAACAACCGAUUGUCUUGCAAUAUCUGAAAAACUUGUUGUAGAUGUGUCAAGUGAUCUUCCCAAGACUUGCUAUAUAUUAAAAUGUCAUCAAAGAAUACCAGUACAAACUUCCUGAGAAGUGGUUUGAAAAGAUCAUUCAUCAAGUUCUGAAAAGUUGCAGGUGCAUUGAUAAGCCCAAAGGGUAUCACUAAAAACUCAUGAUGUCCUCUAUGGGUCCUAAAUGCAGUCUUAGCAAUGUCUUCUUUGUGCAUCAAUAUCUGGUGAUAACCUGACCUUAAGUCAAAUUUUGAGAAGAAAACAGCACCAUGUAGUUCAUCCAGCAAGUCAUCAAUUAGAGGGGUUGGAUACUUAUCCUUGAUGGUCAAAGCAUUAAGCUCCCUAUAAUCGACACACAUCUUCCAUGUACCCUCUUUCUUCUUCACUAGUAACACUGGAAAUGAGAAAGAACUAUGACUUGGUCUUAUAAACCCAGCUUCCAAAAGUUCUUGAACUGCUUUCUCAAUUUCUGUUUUCUGCAAGGGACCAUAGUGAUAGGGUCUGAUAUUUUGUGGUUUUGCUCUUAGAACCAAUGGUAUAUGAUGAUCAUGGACUAUGGAGGGUGGGGGUUUAGAUAGUAGAACAAAAAUAGACUCAAACUGUCCCAACAGAGUCUGUAAUUCCUGUAGUUGUGACUGAGUGAGAUCACUAGCUUCAAGUUUUUCCCCUUCCAUAGAGUAUAAGAACAACCCCAAGUUGGAAUUAUAAAUGUCCUUGUCAAGGUGCUGCAAAAAGACUUCCUGAAUAACUGGCAAUGUCAUAGGGCUAUGAUGCAACUUGUAUUGCUGAUUAUUUUUAACAAACUCUAUAGUCAGCAACUGGAAAUCCCAGAGCAUAGGACUAAUGGAAGAAAGCCAUUGAACCCCAAGCACAAUGUCAUAACCCCCUAAAGGUAAAGUGUAGAGAUCCACUGCACAUUUAUACCCUCCUGUAGUGAGAGAGGUUGACUUACAACACCCUGAACUCCUCACCUUCCCUCCAUCAGCUAUCAUCACCCAAAUUGCUUGGUGUGAUGAACUUGCUGCCCCCACUGCUUCAAUAGUCGAGCAUCAAUAAAAUUAUGCGUGCUACCGGAAUCCAAAAGGAUUUUCACAGGAUGACCAUUAAUAACAUCAUCCACUUUCUUUGUUUGAAUAGUUUGCCUAGCCUUAGUCCCAUAAAAUGCACAUUCACUAAGCUCCACAUGAAGAAGCUCAGGUUGUAUCCCCACAGAUUCAUCAUCAGAUAAUUCAUCAUUGACCACAUCAAGCAUCAACAAUUGUUUUAGACCACAUUUAUGUCCCGGAGUCCACUUAUCAGUACAAAACCAAGACUCCCCAUUUUCUCUCUUCUUUUGAAUCUCAACAGGGAUGAGUUUUAUAAUGGCUAAAUUUCCAACUCUAGGCACUUGGAUAUGUGGGAAUGACAGCUGAGAACUUAACUGGUGGUGUGGAUUUAGGAGGGAAAACUUUCAACUCAAAGUGUUUGGUAUCUAAUUGGAUUGCAAGAGCAAUUGCUUCAUGAACAUUUGUAGGUUUCAACAAUGACAUCAAAUUUGAGUUCACGUUUAAGGCCACCAAAAAACAACUCCUAAGCAGAAUCAGACCAAUAACAGUCGCUCUAGUAGCCAAACGACGAAAUUCAUAAUGUAUUCACGGAGAGUACCUGUUUAGCGGAGCUUGAAUAAGGACUCAGCAUUAUCCUCGAAUUUGGAAGGCCCAAACUCUUGACAAAAGGCGCGAGUGAAUUCCUCCCAACUCGGAGUAGUCUGAACACAAUCCAGCCAACGAAACCACUGUAAAACCUCACCCUCCAAAUGAAAAGAAGCAGUGAAAACACAAUGAUCGGACGAAGUGUUAUAAAAGGAGAAAUACUGUUCAGCUUUGAAAUUGCCCACUUUAAGCAGUUCGUGAGUUAUGGCUAAUUUCAUUUGUCCCACAAGUUUGUCCUCUCUCAGCUUAGGAAGCCUUCACAAAGGUUGCUUAGGAAAAGUCUCAGCAGUCGGUAGAGCCCCAGAAAGAGAAGGUACCGGAGGGGGAUCAUUCGGAGCCUCAGUACUGGACAGAACCCUAAAAGGAGGAGGCAUCGGAGGUUGAUCAUUUGGAGCUUCAUUACGCGGUACAGCCCUAGAAGACGAAGGUAAUAAAUGUCUUUGGAACAAACCCACAAACCUCUGAUGAUCAAGUAAAACCUGACCAUCAGAUUUCUUCAUCUGGUCAAGCUUCAUCUUUAUGUUUGUAGCAUGGUUAUGUGCUAGCCGGUGCAACUGUUUAUUCUCAUGCUUGAGUCCUCUAAUCUCCUGUUUGAGACUCAUCACUUCAGCCGCCAAUGAUUUAACUUGGCGGGUUCAUACAAAUAGGCGUUGGGCCAUAUUAGACACAGAACCUGCACACUGAACACUGAGAGCCAGAGAAUCCUUAACAGCCAACUCAUCACACUGUUUGAAAAGUAGUCUGUUAUCUUUGGGAGUGAGAAGGUUCUUGGCCACUACCGAAGCGGUCAUAUCAUUCUUCAUCACGGAAUCCCCAACGGUAAGAGGACCAGUAGGGGAUAAGAAGGAUGGGUGCCAUAUGUUGUCUGGAGAAGACAUGGCUGCCUCUUCAACAAGUGGUAGCUAGAUCUUCAAAAUUUAUGUGUCUAAACUUUGUUAGUGCUGUUUCUUUGCUAUUCUUUUACCCUUCUUGGUCAUAGCGAUGUAGUGGGAGUUGCAAGCUUCACGUGUCUUCCAGGCAGUCAGUUCCUGACUGGAAGCUUAAUUCCAAGUGCUGACUGAUUACUCUCUUUCUCCCUCUCUUGCAGGUAAGAACAAGGCCAAAGGAAAAGACAGGGAAAAAGCAUGAUAUGGGAUACUCUUGCUUUUAACCCUGAUAAUAUGAGAUAUUCUUACUCUGAUGUAGCUUGUUUGCAGAGGUAUUAUCGGGGGGGGGGAAAGAAAGCUGAGUAUUUCGAGAGGCUUCGUUGGGAGUGCCCUCUCAGAUAUGAGGAAGGGUUGAACAUUUUUGCAGGUCUGCCUGUCCAUUGAGGAUGAAGGUCGACAUAUAUAGGAGUCUCCCCAACAACAAGUGGUAAUGCUAUUCCUUUACCCUGCUUGGUCAUAGCACGGUAGUGGGAGAUGCCAGCUUCAAGUGUUUUAACUCUGUCAGAGCACUUUGAAAAAAUGGUAUGUGGUAUCUGGAAAGCUGAUGUCGCGUGUGAAGAUUACAGACAAGCUUUAUCCAAUGAGAUCUGACUCUCAAAGUUGAGAAAAUUGUGACUCUUCGAUUUUCGAACAAGCAAUCCUGUCGGGGAUCUGGCUCUCGAGAUUCGGAGAACGGUGCCUCUUCGAUUUUUGAGAAACCAAUCAUACUGGGAGUCUGGCUCUCGAGAUUUGGAUAGCGGUGUCUCUUCGAUUUUUGAGAAAGUAAUCAUGUUGGGAGUCUGGCUCUCGAGAUUCGGAGGGCGGUGCUUCUUCGAUUUUGGAGCAAGUAAUCUUGUUGGGAGUGUUUUCUCGAAUGUGAGUAAAGGUUGGGCAUGUUUGUUAGUCUACCUUGCCACGGAGCACAGAAGUUGACACACAGGGACUUUCCAAUUAUCCAACAGUAGUGAUGUUCCUUUACCUUUGUGGGUAAUAAUAUGGUAGCUAGACCUUCAAAAUUUAUGUGUUUAAACUUUGUUAAUGCUGUUUCUUUGCUAUUCUUUUACCCUUCUUGGUCAUAGCGAUGUAGUGGGAGCUGCAAGCUUCACGUGUCUAAACUUUGUCAGAGAUCUUUGGCAAAGUUAUUUGUGGUACCCAUGAGCUAAUGUUGCACGUGUGGAAAGUAGAUGAUUGAACAGUAAGAUUCACGUGCUUUCUACUUCACCAGUAAUCUUCGACAGAAUGCCCGUAAUUUUGGCAAAGCUGAGUGUGCAUGUGAAGGUGUUGACAAGGCUGAAAAAGCAGGUGCCUCUUCGAUUUCUGAGAACGGCCCUCGUGGUCUCUGAGCAGCCCAACUUUUGAGAAAGCAAGCGCCUCUUCGAUUUCUGAGAUCGGCUUUCGUGGUCUUUGAGCAGCCCAGCUUUUAAGAAAGCAAACGCCUCUUCGAUUUCUGAGAUUGGCCAUCGUGGUCUCUGAGCAGCCCAGCUUUUGAGAAAGCAAACGCCUCUUCGAUUUCUAAGCAGGCGCCUCUUCGAUUUCUGAAGCUCCGUCGAGUGCAGAUUUUUAUAGAGGUUGGCAUUAAGUUCCAAAGCACACUUGAAUCUCCACCAGUAGAAGCUCCCUUUUUACACUUCUAAGACCUUGAUUUGUCUGACCUCUUCUCUCUUCAACACCUUUGAAAAUGUCUGGCCCCUCCGACCGUCGUUUUGACUUGAACCUUGUUGAAGAGGCAGCCAUGUCUUCUCCAGACAACAUAUGGCACCCAUCAUUCUUAUCCCCUACUGGUCCUCUUACGUUGGGGAUUCCAUGAUGAAGAAUGAUAUGACCGCUGCGGUGGUGGCCAAGAACCUUCUCACUCCCAAAGAUAACAGACUACUUUUCAAACAGUGUGAUGAGUUGGUUGUUAAGGAUUCUCUGGCUCUUAGUGUUCAGUGUGCAGGUUCUGUGUCUAAUAUGGCCCAACGCCUAUUUGCAUAAACCCGCCAAGUUGAAUCAUUGGCGGCUGAAGUGAUGAGUCUCAAACAGAAGAUUAGAGGACUCAAGCAUGAGAAUAAACAGUUGCACCGGCUCGCACAUGACCAUGCUACAAACAUGAAGAUGAAGCUUGACCAGAUGAAGAAAUCUGAUGGUCAGGUUUUACUUGAUCAUCAGAGGUUUGUGGGUUUGUUCCAAAGACAUUUAUUACCUUCGUCUUCUAGGGCUGUACCGCGUAAUGAAGCUCCAAAUGAUUAACCUCCUAUGCCUCAUCCUUUUAGGGUUCUGUCCAGUACUGAGGCUCCGAAUGAUCCCCCUCCGGUACCUUCUCUUUCUGAGGCUCUACCGACUACUGAGAGUUUUCCUAAGCAACCUUUGUGAAGGCUUCCUAAGCUGAGAGAGGACAAACUUGUGGGACAAAUGAAAUUGGCCAUAACUCACGAACUGCUUAAAGUGGGCAAACACAAGCAAUGGUGUGCUCAUUGGAAACUUUGGUAUUUUAAAUUUUAAUCUUGUAUUUAUAGACGGAUGUAUGUGUAACUCUUUUAUUGAUCAUUUUGUGGCAUGCCACUGGAGGAAAUAUGUGGCCCCUCCAACUUUUGAGCAGCCCAGAUUUUGAGAAAGCAAACGCCUCUUUGAUUUCUAAGUAGGCGCCUCUUCGAUUUCUGAAGCUCCGUCGAGUGCAGAUUUUUAUAGAGGCUGGCAUUAAGUUCCAAAGCACACUUGAAUCUCCACCAGUAGAAGCUCCCUUCUUACACUUCUAAGAUUUUGAUUUGUCCGACCUCUUCUCUCUUCAACACCUUUGAAAAUGUCUGGCCCAUCCGACCGUCGUUUUGACUUGAACCUUGUUGAAGAGGCAGCCACGUCUUCUCCAGACAACAUAUGGCACCCAUCCUUCUUAUCCUCUACUCGUCCUCUUACUGUUGGGAAUUCUGUGAUGAAGAAUGAUAUGACCGCUGUGGUGGUGGCCAGGAACCUUCUCACUCCCAAAGAUAACAGACUACUUUUCAAACGAUGUGAUGAGUUAGCUGUUAAGGAUUCUCUGGCUCUCAGUGUUCAGUGUGCAGGUUCUGUGUCUAAUAUGGCCCAACGCCUAUUUGCAUGAACCCGCCAAGUUGAAUCAUUGGCGGCUGAAGUGAUGAGUCUCAAAUAGGAGAUUAGAGGACUCAAGCAUGAGAAUAAACAGUUGCACCGGCUCGCACAUGACCAUGCUACAAACAUGAAGAGGAAGCUUGACCAGAUGAAGGAAUCUGAUGGUCAGGUUUUACUUGAUCAUCAGAGGUUUGUGGGUUUGUUCCAAAGACAUUUAUUACCUUCGUCUUCUAGGGCUGUACCACGUAAUGAAACUCCAAAUGAUCAACCUCCGAUGCCUCCUCCUUUUAGGGUUCUGUCCAGUACUGAGGCUCCGAAUGACCCCCCUCCGGUACCUUCUCUUUCUGGGGCUCUACCGACUGCUGAGACUUUUCCUAAGCAACCUUUGUGAAGGCUUCCUAAGCUGAGAGAGGACAAACUUGUGGGACAAAUGAAAUUGGCCAUAACUCACGAACUGCUUAAAGUGGGCAAACACAAGCAAUGGUGUGCUCAUUGGAAACUUUGGUAUUUUAAAUUUUAAUCUUGUAUUUAUAGACGAAUGUAUGUGUAACUCUUUUAUUGAUCAUUUUGUAGCAUGCCACUGGAGGAAAUAUUUGGCCCCUUCAGCUUUUGAGCAGCCCAACUUUUAACAAAAGCAAACGCCUCUUCGAUUUCUAAGCAGGCGCUUCUUCGAUUUCUGAAGCUCCGUUGAGUGCAGAUUUUUAUAGAGGCUGGCAUUAAGUUCCAAAGCACACUUGAAUCUCCACCAGUAGAAGCUCCAUUCUUACACUUCUAAGAUCUUGAUUUGUCCGACCUCUUCUCUCUUCAACACCUUUGAAAAUGUCUGGCCCCUCCGACCGUCAUUUUGACUUGAACAUUGUUGAAGAGGCAGCCACGUCUUCUCCAAACAAUAUAAGGCACCCAUCCUUCUUAUCCCCUACUAGUCCUCUUACCGUGGGGGAUUCCGUGAUGAAUAAUGAUAUGACCGCUGCGGUGGUGGCCAGGAACCUUCUCACUCCCAAAGAUAACAGACUACUUUUCAAACGGUGUGAUGAGUUGACUGUUAAGGAUUCUCUGGCUCUCAGUGUUCAGUGUGCAGGUUCUGUGUCUAAUAUGGUCCAACGCCUAUUUGCAUGAAUCCGCCAAGUUGAAUCAUUGGCGGUUGAAGUGAUGAGUCUUAAACAGGAGAUUAGAGGACUCAAGCAUGAGAAUAAACAGUUGCACCGGCUCGCACAUGACUAUGCUACAAACAUGAAGAGGAAGCUUGACCAGAUGAAGGAAUCUGAUGGUCAGGUUUUACUUGAUCAUCAGAGGUUUGUGGGUUUGUUCCAAAGACAUUUAUUACCUUCGUCUUCUAGGGCUGUACCGCGCAAUGAAGCUCCAAAUGAUCAACCUCCGAUACUUCCUCAUUCUAGGGUUCUGUCAAGUACUGAGGCUCCGAAUGAUCCUCCUCCGGUACCUUCUCUUUCUGGGGCUCUACCGACUGCUGAGACUUUUCCUAAGCAACCUUUGUGAAGGCUUCCUAAGUUGAGAGAGGACAAACUUGUGGGACAAAUGAAAUUGGCCAUAACUCACGAACUGCUUAAAGUGGGCAAACACAAGCAAUGGUGUGCUCAUUGGAAACUUUGGUAUUUUAAAUUUUAAUCUUGUAUUUAUAGACGGAUGUAUGUGUAACUCUUUUAUUGAUCAUUUUGUAGCAUGCCACUGGAGGAAAUAUGGGACGUGAAACUCAACCAAAUCAGGGACAAGAAUAAUCUGCAUCUAAUGCAAGUUUUGACCUAUGUCUUUGUCCCUUUCUCGUGUGCGCUUUUAUAACCCAAUGCCAUUUGUUAAUUUUUCAGGUUUUUUUUUUAUUGUUUAUAGGUUUCGAAAAGGGGUAGAGUGAAACAAAAUGCAAGAGGCAGGUCAAUGCACAAUUCAAGGAAGCCACCUAAAAACCGUAGAAUCUGAAGGAAAUCAUUUGAAAAUUUAGACUUUUUGUUAAUGUCAAUUUUUUUCUUGGAUGAAGACAAUGUUGUGAACUUUAAGCCCCCAGGAUUUGGUGUUUUUUAUUUUGAGCAUAACCAAGCAAUGAAACAAUAUUUUUGAUAUGGUAGCAAUGAAAUGAUCAGGCAUUGCAUUCUCUUAUGGUUGCUCAAAAUAUCUUUAAGAUACAAAAGUGGGUGUGUUCAGUUUAGCAUGUCACGAAAUCAAAUUUUAUAUAGGUUUUGUAAUAUGAGAAACGGGUUGAGGUUUGGUGCCAUAAAUGGAGUUGUAGAUGCAUAUGCACUACUCAAACACAACUAUCUACAUGAAUACUUUCUAACACAAAUUUUAAAGGUUUUACUAAGAAAAGUAAAAACUUGUUAAAAGAUCUUAAAAUGACAGAAAUAACCUUGAACACAAGCCAUGUGCGAGGCACAUGACUUAUUUUGGAUGAAAAACGUAACGGAGUUAGGGUGGAAUGACAAAUUGAUGAUUUCGGCAAGUUGGUAUGACAAAUUACUUAAAAUUAUAGUUUGUGUAUAUGAUAUUUCAAAAAAAAAUUCCUUGGGAAAAUUAUGGUCCCUAUGUCCCAACCAAAUAAUAAGGUUUUUGAUGAGAUAAUCCAUGCAAACUUGAGCAUUAUAAUGUUCAUGAUUUUGUUUGAGUCUAUUCAUAUAUUUACUCUGUAAAUAUAGAUUAGAUCGGUUGGUAAGGCAUUGUAUCUGUCUCGUUUUUAUAUUUAAGUUUAAAUUCUUCUCUCUUAAGUUAUAGCUUAUAAUAUCGUCUUAACAAAACUAAAUAUACAUAUUUUUAGUGGGAUAUAUUUUGCUUAAGUAUGCAUGUUUGCAAGAUUAAAUGAAAACCUCCAAAAUGUAUGGGGUUUUAAAUUGAAUUCUAACCACCACCACCACCCUCAUAUAAUUAGGGCAAAAGGCGAAUUUAGGAAGGUUCGUGUUACAACCCGUUUAUAAUUUUAUUUUUGAAAAAAAAUGUGAAACGAUCAAAAUGCUCUUAGAGGGUAUGUGUCGACUUUCAUUGACUUACUGGUCAGGUCACGUGUGACAUAUUAAUUAGUAUAUUCUGUCAGCACUCGUUAUUAUGAAAGACUGAUCAUAAGCGUAGCGAAAAUUAGAACUAGAAUAAAGAUUUUACGAAACACGUAUAAAUCAUUUUAUUUUAAAGUAAUGGAAAAGAUAAUAACACUAGAUAUAAAAUAAUAAUGAUAGAAUAAAAUAAUAAAAAAAAGAGAGAAGAAAAGAUGAGAGGUGGAGAAGGAUCGGGAAGAAACGAAAAGAAGGGGAAAGGGGAGAAGGGGGGAAAGAAACUUUUCUUCUUCCUCCUUCACUCACGGGAUCCCUUUCAAACUAUUUUCAUCAUAAUUUCCUCCUACGAUAACGAAAUCACAUGAGGUCGUAAGCUAUAGUUUCGUAGCGAGGCCGUCUUCAAUCUUACCAUACCCACCCUUAGAAAACCGUUGUAUAAAGAAAACGAGGUCCAAACAUAUUGACUUGUUCCGGCGACUUUUCUCUGAUUUCGGGCAAUCCCGCUGGAAUCUGGCUCGACCCAAGUGAAAAUAAUGAUUCUCCCCUCGUGGGCUCUCCUCUAGCGUAAGUAUUUUCCCAAGGUUUUAACUUUUAGUUUUGGGGUCAAUUCAUGGUUUCGAAUUUCAAUUCGAUAUUUUGUAUGUAUAUUUGAGAUGAUGCUUGUUGUAUUGUUUAGGAGUUGAAUCGGAACCGGGUAGUCAUGAUUGGUUACAUAUAUAGGGAAGAACAUUGAAAUCCUAACCUCAAUUCGGUUCUCUUCAGAAAUUUAAGGGUUGGGUUUGUGUUAUAAGCAUUAAUGUUAUUCCAUAAUGGAGGCCAGAUACGUUGGAAUAUUUUGUGUGCCAUAUUUGUCCUACCCUUUAUGCACUGAAAAGAACAUUGCUGAAAUUGUAUGUGUUGCAGCCUAGGUUUGUGCAGUUAAUUAGAGUUCUAAAACUACUGAAUGGUUCUUUAUUCUUCCCAUGGCAUCGCCAGAUGCUGAUGCUGAAUAUUUGAUUGGACAAUGCUAUUAUUAGAGUAUUAUAUGACUCUUGUUUUGGCCGUGAAUUUAUUGGUGGUUCUUUAUUUCAUUCUUUCAGCGGAUGAAGAGCUUAAGACUGCUAGGAAUUUACAUUUUUAUUUUGAAGCACUUGAAUAAACAGUUUGGUUUUUCUAUAAUAAUAAUAAUUAAGGAUCAUUGAUAUGGUUAGGCUAGUGUACUAGUUACGAAUAAUUACAUGAAUGUUAUAGUUUAGGGAUUGCAUGUUAUUCUAUGGCCUGAGAACUAGUUCCUUGGUAAGAUUAAUGGAUUAUCAAACAUUAUACAUAUUCUCUAAUUGAAUACAUUACUAUGUUUAUGAGUUCAAGAUCAACUUAUUAUGGCUGGUAUGGAUAUCAAUAGUUGACAGAUCCAAUUUGGUGUGGUUACUUUUCCAUUAAGUAUUUCACGUUUAUACAUAUCAUGUUGUUUGCUUAAAUAAUACAAUGGAUGUCCUAUUAAGUGUAAAUGUCUAUAUGCGUAUACUGAAACCAAAAUCAAGUUGAUGAUUCACGUUUUGAAGUUAUAUAUAUAUAUAUAUAUAUAUAUAUAUAUAUUUCUCAUAUGCCUAGACAAGCUAUACAAAGAAAGUAUACCGUUUCUAUUAGUUAUUUUGAUUACAUGUAUGUAGUAAUGACUUGCAGUGGUGAUAGGAGUUUAUUGAAAUGGUGAACUACGAAUGGUUUGAUCCCUUUAGGGUAGUCUAACAAGGAGGUUAGAUGCAGCCAUAAAGUAUACUGAAAUUACUACGCAGUUCGAAUCUUGAGUUAUGCUUUGUACAUAUCCCGGAGCGCGGGGUAUGUUAGAUAUACGGAUGCGGGGUAUGUUAGAUAUAUGGAUACUUGGUGACGUCACGUGUCGAUCCUGGACGUAUGUCGGGAUUGGGGCCGUUAAAUGAAUUGCACCAAAUAGGGGAGGCCUUCGCCGGAUCUCUGUGUCCGAAGCCGACAAACACAGAGAUCCAAACCACUCAUUUUAAAUCAUAUGGUUCUCAUUAGCUCAUUCUAUUGGCCUUCCUCACACAAACCACGAGUUCAGAUCUCCCUCUCUUUAACUACCUGGAUAUUCGAGUUCUUGAACUUCGAAAACAAAAAUCCAGAGAGGAUCUCGACUCCAAAUAAGGUAGUUUUUCUACUGUGCAUGUAGAUAGCCCCAAAAAUAAGGGAAACCGCACCCCCCCCCCUCCGAAAAAAAAAAACCCCACCCAUAACAACAGUACAACUAUAAGUAAAGCUUUAUGAGGGGUCGCUCUAAACAAUGUUGCAUUAAAAUUAUCUGACAAUAUAACAUUAUUUCGAAUAAAACUUUUGUAUAAAUUAUAAGUUCAAACAAAAGACACUAUACAACUUCUUCUUGACUAUUUUAGGUGUAUAUAUACUCCAUUGCUGAAAAUUCUACUAUGCUCAUCAUAAUUCUUGCCAAUCCAUCAGGCAAUUGGGUUAAAUUGCCCUUGACCAAAAAAAUGAUGGUCCAUUGGUGCCAAAUUGGGCAGGCAAUUGGUGGGCUCCAAUAAGCUCGUUGAACUACCCUUGUAGCCCGUUGGCAAUAAGUAACGAUGGGCCUGACGUCAAGUAGCAAAAGGCUGACCUUAACCCUGUGCACCACACUUUGUGGCGCAUUUGAUAUUAAAAUUUUGAAAAAUUCAACGGUCAAGAUUAAUCCCAUGGUAAAAAAUCCAAAAAAAAUUUACAACAAAAAGUAUUUAAAAAACUUACAAAGUUCCUGCUUAAACAAAAAUUUGAGCUGAUAUUACUAAUAGAUAAUGACACGUGGUGCAAUGAAAGUGGUGAAAAUGGAAAAGUAUCCUCCCCAGCUCCCUUCCACCAAAUCCAUCAAGUUCAAAGAUCCGGAUCUUUGAAAUUUAAUCCAACGGCUACAAACAAGGUCUACUAUAAAAGCUAUAAUAGAUUGGAUCAAAUUUCAAGGGCCGGAUCCGAGCUUGUGAAUUUGGUGGAAGGGAUCCGGAGUCCUUUCCAUUGAAAAUCUCAUCGCCUCUCCUUUCAGCCCUUCAAGGGAAACCCACUUCUUGGGCCGUCUUCAACCACGUAAAGCUUCACUCUUUUAUUAGUUUCUGUGUUUAAAUUUGUUGGGGUUUGCAGUUUUGGAUUGAAAUUGGUGUUUUGGGAUUUGUUGGGUGCUCACAUGUGGAAAUUUGGAAAAUUUUAGUUGUGGAUUGUGGGGAACUGACGCAGUGGCGGUCCUAUUUCAUGUAAAUUGCUUUCGUUUGUGUGUUUUUGGUGAAAUUAUGAUGAGGGUUGGAUAGUUGGACUGGUUAGAUUUGUUUUGUGAAAUUAGAGUGGGAUCAAUCAAGGUUGAGACCUUUUUAGGUAAAGUAAUUGUGAAAGUUAUGUUUUUACAAUUUUUUUUUUGCAAAUUUUGUGACUUGGUGGAUUUGGAAUUUUGGUUAUAUUAGAUAUAUGUGUAAAGAAAAUAGUUGAACUGCAUGAAGCUUGAGGGGUAAUGAGGGUUUUAGGUAUUUAGUGACAUUCAGGCCAUGCUUGAUGUCUAUUUGAUGUCGGCGUAUCAGAAAUGCUUGAACAAAGAAGAAAGGUGCUCGAAGAGCUGUAGUAGUUAACUACUUGGUUUGAUUAGAUUGCUAUGUUAAUCAAAAUGUCCCCUAUAGUAUGUUAUAGGGUCAAAGUUUUACAUUAGUGUUCUUUAGCGACUUGGUUUCAAAAUUUUCGUUUUCGUUCGACUUUCCUUGGUCUGUGAGGCCAAUGGUAGAAUGAUCAUGGAAAUAUUUUUGUCUUAAUAUCUCUGGUAACAGCGGGUGUGCAUUCUUAAAGGACUUGUUUGUCACUCUUUUAAGCUGUUUAAUGUGCUCAUUUUAGUAUGCAUCAUCCAAAGUCUAUAACUGGUAAAAGUAGCACUACAAGGGCGAGGGAGCUAUCAUCUGUUUGGAAAUAAGAGCUAUAGACAUGCCCCAUAAGGGUCAAUAGGUCUCAGUUGCAUAUCUAACUUGUUUCUCAUGUGUUUUCAUCCUGAAGGUUAGAAAAGGUGGGCACUCUAGACGCGCAGAGAGUGGUUCAUCAACACCAAGGAUGGCGGGUGAUCUCAUGUAUGUGGUUACAUGCUGGAGUUUUCCAUGUGCUUGCCAAUAUGCUGAGUCUUGUAUUCAUUGGAAUUCGGCUUGAGCAAGAAUUUGGAUUUGGUAUGCAUCUGGAUUUUUAGCUUUAUGUAUGUUAUCAUGCAUGUAUGGCCACAUCCAUAAGUGUUUGUAGUAAAAGAUAAAGCUCACGAUGUAAGUUGUAGAAUAAUAAAUUAGUUACCAAGUGCAAAACUUCUUUCAUAAAUCUAGAAGAGAAACACUUUCCGGAUGGCUUUAGCUACCUUGCGAUUAAUCUACAGAGGAUUUCUAUGCAUUUGUUUAUUGAAUUGUAAUCCUAGAGUAGUGGUCAUGUAGUGCUGGUUGCAUUAUAACUUACAUCGGUAUGUUGUUUGGUUUGAUGGAAACAAGAGGACGUUUUGUUCAGCGGUGAGCAACGAAAAGAGUUUAUACACUGAAGAUGGGGUUCAAACUUUAGUUUUAGAUAUAGUAUUCCAUUUUACAGAAUAAAAUUGCUUGAAACAGAAGCUGAGAGAUUAUUUCAAUUUCCAUCACAUCUAUGGGAACAAUGAUUGUUUUGGAUAUCCUGUACAUGUAGACAUGGCGCCUCAUUUUGAAAUGUUUCAAGAUGCCGUCUAUUUGAAAAGAUUGAAAAAAUAAUAGUUUGAUGCGGAUCUACAUCAUGUACAGUUGUUUUGAUGAACUGUUUUAACUAAUUGGUUUGAAAUUCUAAUGUUUUUCUGAUUUGUUCUUCGGCAGUUCGAAUUGGUUUCCUAUAUCUCAUGUCUGGUUUUGGUGGGAGUUUGCUUUCAGCUCUUUUAUUCAAUAUGGUAUUUCUGUUGGUGCUUCUGGUGCACUUUUUGGUUUACUAGGAAGCAUGCUUUCAGAGCUCACAUCAAAUUGGACAAUGUAUGUAAAUAAGGCAAAUAAAAUUCUGUAUACUCAAUGAUGGACCUCUUUAUAGUAUGUGCACGACCCUUUGAUCUUACAGUUUCAGAUUUCGAUCCGCAGUUAGCAGCAUUGCUUACUCUCCUUUUCAUCAUCAUAAUAACUUAGCAGUGGGAAUUCUACCACACGUGGACAACUUUGCUCAUAUUGGAGGAUUUGUCUCUGGAUUUCUUCUUGGAUUUUUGUUUUUGAUCUGCCCCCAGUUUAAAUGGCUUACCCAACGGAAUGCUCCCCCUGGACGUGUUACUACUCCAGUGAAAUCUAAACACAAGACGUAUCAAUAUGUAUUGUGGGUCCUCUCUUUGAUACUAUUGAUUGUUGGGUAAGCUCCUCCUCGAUCUCUGAUUUAAUUGUUUGACUUCAUGAACCUAAUCAACUCCCUGCAUGAAAAUCUGGUAGCCACAGUUGACAUAUGCACAUUUUUUUUUUUAUCAAAUCAGAGAACUGGAUUUUGUAUAGAUAUGUAGAUCUCGUGUGUCCUGUAAUAUUUUCAUUGCAAAUAGGCUCUGUAUCUGCUUGUUUCUCAUCAGAAUGGUUAGGAGAAGGCAUUGUGUUAUAGCUAUUCUCUGUGUAAUACUAAUUGAUCACUUUGUUGAUAGCGGCUUCUACUUUGCUGUUUUGGAUUGCAUGUAUUGGAAAUAAAGGUUCAUUUUCCUCGUAUUUGUGUAGUAUCAGUAUAUGCAGGCAUUUUCUGACAGAAGUCAUGUUUUUGACAGGUAUACUCUUGGCUUGGUUGCUCUUUUUCGAGGGGUCAAUCUAAACAACCACUGUUCCUAGUGUCAUUACUUGAGCUAUGUCCCUACAUCAAAAUGGAAUUGCGAGUCGCAAAUAUUUAUUGUCUGAUAAUAUGCUGUACUUUUCUACUCAUAUUAACUUCCACCUUAAUAUUUGAUUGACAGAAGUGCUUGCUUAUUAAUAUGAUCAUGGUUGCAUUCAGUCGUUCUAGUUUGGCAUGCCGUUUAGUCUAAUGCCUUAAAGAAAUGUAAUUUAAGAAAUGACUUCUGAAAUUCUGUGUCAGGAAAUUGCUUUUGCAACGUACUUUGUUAGUACUAUAAGUUGGUUUUGUACUGACAUAUUGUUCUUUAUAUGCAUAUAUGCACCAAUCUUGCAGUUGAGCCAGAUAGGGAAUCAGCUGAACUUAACGUGCGUAAGCAAUGGUAGAAAUGGGACAUAAUCAUUGUCAGAUCCCAGCCCCUCCCGGACUUAGCAGCUAUAUGCUGAGCUUUGCAGUUGACCAUACAUGUACAGAUUUCAGAGUUGAUAGAAUGUUGAUUGAUAUGCUUCAUUCUUGUAGUAAGUAUUCUUUCUCUUACUUCUAUUUUUUGUUGGGUGAAAUAGUCAUGUGUAUUCACCAAGCAAUGGUUCUCAUUGUCAUUAUUCUUUUCAUUCUUUUACUGCCUUUGUACCUCUUUUCUACUAUUCAUAACAGUUGAAACCCAUACCGAUAACUAUGAAAUUUAUUUGCCAUGUAAAACUACUCAAUCACGCAAUUUACCCAUACCUAAGUUUGUUGAAUGUGGAAUGUUAUGGAUCCUCUCAAGCGGACCCUCUCGGCUCUCUCAUUCUGCAAUGUUGCAAGAUGAUCGGACAUAUGUAUACUUUGUAGUUCAUCCUCUAGAGACCAACUUUGAAAAAAAAAUCAACUAAAUAAAAAAUCAUUUAACCAUUUAAUUAACAUUGUCAAACUUUCAGUAUUUAAUUGAAAAACAUAGUUCAUUUAUUUAUUGGAUAACAAUUAGAUGACAAAACAAGUAUGAAUUACUUUGGUUUUUGGCGAAGUUGGACUUUAAAGUGAGGCGUUAAUAACUGGAUAUGUCUACAGUGGUGGAAUUCUCUUGCUAAAGACUUGAGCCCCCAUGAAGUUUAAAAAUUAAGAAAGCUUGAUCUCACUAGUAACUGGUACAAUUUUUAGAAAGGUUGCAUCCACAACAAGCUUUCUUGCAAUGGUACUUUAGGGGAACUAUGAGAAAAUCAGCAAUCUCACAGUCCAGCCCCUUAUAAAACAUAGAGACUUCAAAAUUUCCAUUCAUAGCUAGGGUCGCUGAUCACUCAUAUAUUUCAUGCAUUUAUACCAUCCAUUCUAAAGUCUUUGUGAUGUUUUGUGUUAAAAUUGUGGCAUUUUACCUUACCUUGUGUUAGUGUGCAGUUAAAUUUGUUUUAGGAUCAAUUUCAAGCAAAAAGGAGAAAAUGAAAUAAUAAAAAAACAAACAAAAGAAUUGGAGUCAAUUAUUCAAUGGCCUUGCACGAUGAUAGCAAUGUUUGAGCAUUUACACUUUGGUUAUGUUCAACAGUUAUAUGGAGCCUUAAACAUUGACAAAAGAAAGGGAAUAUGUGGCCAGGGAACACACGGAAGUGGAACAAAAAAAGGAAAGAAAAGGUGGUGGAAAAGAAAGGAAAUGGGAUUAUUGGGUUUUGGUAGGCAACUUUACAGUUAGUAGUCAAAAUACUUCCCCGAGGAGGACCACUUCUCUCAAAGGAUAGGAGCAGCGACAAGAUAUUGAUCAUCAUGAAGUGGUUAGUCCUCCUACUGCAACUAAGAAGCACGGCAGGAGAGAAAAGAAUAAUGGAGCAGAAAGACAGCGCAGAGGAGAGAGACUGACAGACACGGGACAGAGUGGAGAGACCGACAGAGUGGAGAGAAGACAGAGAGGGCAGACUGACAGAAAAAAAGAAAAGAAAAGAAAAAAAAAAGGGAAAUAGAGAAGAGAGGGCACGGCAGAAGGGAUGGCACACGGACAGAAAGAAUAAAAGCAAAGAGAGUAGAGAGAGCCAGGGGAGAAAAAGAAAAAGGAUAGCAGAAAAAUAUAGAGAGAAGCCGUGGAGGGCAGAGAUGGAGCAACAUACAGCAGAGCAGAAAGAAGCAUGCUCAUCUCUUUGAGGAGAAGAUCGGAGAGCUUCCUUGUAAAAAAGGUUGUCUCUUUCUUUGAUUCUUCAUGAAUUUCUUAUAUAUUCAAAUAAUUAUGUGCAACUAAUUUCCUUUUGCUAGAGUGAGGUCAUGAGCCGCAACAUGAUUACGUAGAUUUCUCUUUCAAUUGCUUAAGUGUUGUUAAAUGCUUGCUUUGAUAUUUUCAAUCUCUAAAUUAAACUAUCUAUGUGUCUAGAAGCUUGAUCACCAUUAGGAUGCUUAGAAAAGUUAUCGGAUGCAAUUUUGAACGAAUGUCACGUUAAAAUUGGUUAUGCUUCUUGUGAUUGAGGAUUGUACUCUCCUAAGGUAAAUAUCAUGCUCUUAGGGAUUACAUGGUUUGAAGAAAAGAAAAAAGGAUUUUUCACUAAGAUUAAUGAAUCACUCAUGUUUAUAUUUAGUACAAAUGUUAUGGAUAAGUUGCAUGUAGUGGUAUGCGUUUUAGCUUGAAUGUUACAAGUAAAACAUACACAAGGAAAAUCCAACCUUCAAAGAAUGUGUUUUCAAUUAUUUAAGCAAUUGGAAUAGCUACAUAGGAGUGUUGUUGUAAAGGUUGAACUCUAGGAUAUUGUCAAUCUAUUUUUCUUCAAUCAUUUAUUUUAUCUUGAAUUUCCUCAUUUACUUGUUUUGUUUAGUUGAAUCACUAUUCCUAUAAGCCAAUUCCUAUUUUAGAUAUUUGUUUAAGUCACAUCGAGGAGUAUUUAGUUUCGUCAAAUUAGUGUAGUUCUUAGAGUUAAAUAAGUUAAAUACACAAAAACUCGUAAAUUGUUUAUAUCAGUCUCUGAGGAGAUCGACCUUGCUUGAGCCAUUCUAUACUACAACACUUAUUCUCUUACAAGAAUUUUCUAUGGUUUAACCCUUUGUUUUACAAGUGGUAAAAUCGCUAUCAAUCGCCUAGCAAGGUAACUUUCAUAUUAAAAGACACCAGCGUGACGUCUGAUGUGACCAAAAUAUAGGGUUCCAUGUAUUUAUUUUUUCAUUUUGGAUGGUUGCCAAAUGUUUCGAGUCAGCUUCUGGAAUCAAGGUGCUUUAAUGGUCUUCGUCCUUGGCGUACCGAAAGUGCCGGACAAUAGGUGGUUGCCAAAUGUUUCGAGUCAGCUUCUGGAAUCAAGGUGCUUUAAUGGUCUUUCCAGUCAGCUUCUGGAAUCAAGGUGCUUUAAUGGUCUUCGUCCUUGGCGUACCGAAAGUGCCAGACAAUAGGUGGUUGCCAAAUGUUUCCAGUUAGCUUUUGGAAUCAAGGUGCUUUAAUGGUCUUGGUCCUUGGCGUUCACCGAAAAUGCCAAACAACAGUUCCCAGUAGUGGAAGUAAGCUAGUGAAGUCGUCUAAAAAAACAAGCCAAAGUGGUUAUCAUUUACUUGGACUUAUUCCUUCUCAUAUUUGAAUUUUCAAGAAACAGAAACUGUGGUGUAAGUUCCUCCUAUGAUCCUAUCCUUCUAUAAAUUUCCUUGUCAUGUAACAAAUGGAACUCACCAAAAACUCAACACCCAUCUCUUUAUUUCUUUCUGCUUCUCUCACUAGUUAUAUAGUUAACCAGAUUAGAAAUGGGGGUUUUGGUUGUGAAAUUGAUCUUAAUAUACUUGCUUUUCAGUGCAAUGUUCGUUUGCUGUUGGAGCUCCCUGCAAUCGGGACUCGGAGGGAAUGCGACGGAUAGGCUGGCUCUGCUUGCCAUCAAAGCUCAAAUAAAGCAAGAUCUCCAUAAUUACAAUGUGAUGAGCUCCUGGAAUGAAUCCACGCACUUUUGCAUGUGGCAUGGUGUGACGUGCAGUCGACGACAUCGCCAAAGGGUCACUAACCUGGACCUGCAAUCUCAAAAUCUGGUAGGGAAACUAUCCCCAAACAUAGGAAAUCUAAGUUUUCUAAGGGAGCUAUGGCUGCGAAAUAACAGCUUCAGUCAUGAAAUUCCUCCACAAAUUGGGAAUUUGCGUAGAUUGCAGGUAUUGCGAUUAGACUUAAACUCAUUUAGUGGCAGUAUUCCACCCAAUAUAUCACAUUGCUUCAACCUUAUCCUAAUGCGUUUCUCUCGCAACAAGUUGGUGGGUAAAAUUCCUUCAGAAAUUGGAUUGCUGUCAAAACUGCAAAAAUUUUCAUUAAAUUUUAAUAAUGCAACGGGACAGGUCCCUCCUUCCUUAGGGAACCUUUCGUCUCUCCAGCGACUAAGUCUUGUUGAUAAUAACUUGAUGGGAAACAUCCCCGGUUCUCUUGGCCAAUUGAAAAAAUUAACCUUCUUGGGAUUGGGGUUAAAUCAGUUGUCUGGUAGCAUCCCUUCCUCAUUUUAUAACCUCUCUUCUCUUGAUACAUUUUCCAUAGAAAUUAACCAAAUUCAAGGGAGUAUUGCAUCAGAUAUUGGCCAAAGUCUUCCCAAUCUCGGAGUCUUCAACGUCGGCGCAAACCAACUUACUGGGUCCAUACCUCCCUCAAUAUCCAAUUUCACAAGUAUUCGGAAAUUUGAAGUUGGGAGUAACAACCUAAUCGGACAGGUACCGAAUCUCCAAAAGUUUCACAACCUCCUGAAGUUCAACAUUCAAUUUAAUAAUAUUGGAAGCGGUAAAGAUGGUGACUUAAGUUUUCUCUCGGACUUGACCAAUGCCACCUAGUUACAAUCGCUGGUUAUUAACACCAACAAUUUUGGAGGGACAUUGCCCAUUUCAAUAUCCAAUCUUUCAACCAAACUUGAAUUGUUUUGGGUUGACGAUAACCAAUUAUAUGGAAGCAUCCCAUCUGGGAUAGGGAACCUGGUGAGCUUGGCAUCGUUGCGUUGGGGGAAUAAUAGCUUCACAGGUAACAUCCCCUCUGACAUGGGUAAGCUUUCAAACCUUGGAGUAUUAUAUAUUUCCAAUAACAACUUAUCAGGAAAUAUCCCGUCUUCCUUAAGAAAUUUAACCAAGUUAUACCAUCUUCGGUUGGAUGAAAAUUAUCUUGAGGGCAGCAUUCCUUCAGGUCUGGGGGAAUGCCUUUGGUUGCAAUUGUUGAAUCUUUCUUAUAACCUUCUUAAUGGCACAAUACCCAAACAAGUUUUUAGACUCUCCUCCUUAUCAAUUUAUUUGGGCCUGUCUAAUAACCUCUUCACAGGUUCCCUUCCUCCGGAGGUUGGGAAUUUAAAUAGUCUAAGUGAACUGGAUCUUUCUGAUAACAUGUUAUCUGGAGAACUCCCCAGUAGCCUUGGUGGUUGUGAGAGUUUAGAAGUCCUGCAUUUGCAAGGAAACUUCUUCAAUGGGUCCCUUCCUUUGUCUAUGAGUUCAGUGAGAGGGAUUCAAGAUCUAGACCUUUCUCGCAAUAAUUUUUCAGGUGAAAUUCCACAUUUUUUAGAAGGCUUUAGAAUCCUGAAUAAUCUGAACUUAUCAUUCAAUCAAUUUUGGGGAGUGGUACCAACUGGAGGUGUUUUCAAAAAUGCAAGUGUUAUUUCAGUUGUUGGCAACACUAAUCUGUGCAGCCCUGUUGCUAAUUUAAAGCUUCCCAAGUGCAAGUCUAAAGAGACCAAGAAACAAAGAUUGUCUCGUAGCUUGAAACUAAUACUCCCUUUAGUAUUUGGACUUACUCUUCUAGGAAUAGCCAUGGUGUUCUCCUAUUUCUUUCUUUGUUCGUCAAGGAAGAAAAGGACAGAAAUUUCAUUGAGCACUUUGGAGAACACUAUUUUGCAAGUGUCAUAUGCUACUCUACUCAAAGCUACUAACGGGUUCUCAAAGGCUAAUUUAAUUGGUGCUGGUAGUUUUGGGUAUGUAUACAAAGGAGUUCUUGAUGAUGAUGAUAAAGCUCAACUUGUUGCAGUGAAGGUGUUUAACUUGUUAUGUUGUGGAGCUUCGAAGAGUUUCAUAGCCGAAUGUGAAGCUUUGAGAAAUAUUAGGCAUCGAAAUCUCGUCAAGAUUAUAACCGUGUGUUCAAGUGUUGAUUUUCAUGGUAAUGAUUUCAAGGCUCUAGUUUAUAAGUUCAUGGACAACGGGGAGCUUAGAGGAGUGGCUGCAUCCACCCGCUGGAACUGAAGAGUUAAGAGAUCAUGUACCCGUGAAGUUAAGUCUUCUUUAGAGGCUAGAAAUUGUCAUUGGUGUUGCUUGUGCACUGGAUUAUCUUCAUAAUUAUUGUGAAGCGCCAAUAGUUCAUUGUGAUCUCAAGCCAAGCAACGUUCUCUUGGACAACGAAUUGACUGGCCAUGUUUCUGACUUUGGAUUAGUAAGGUUUCUCUCACAAGUAACGAGUAAUGUUUCAACAAUUCAGAGUCAGACAAGUUCCGUUGGAAUAAGAGGAACCAUUGGUUAUGUAGCUCCAGGUAUAUAUAUGUUAGAUAUAUACUUCAUUAUAUUUCCUUUUUUAUUCUGCAGUAUUUAAUUUACAAAAUUCAAACUGAACUAUUUAUACACAAAUGUGAUGUUUGAAUUGUAGAGUAUGGCAUGGGGAGUGAGGUGUCAACGAAUGUUGAUAUCUACAGCUUUGGCAUUCUCUUGUUGGAGAUGUUUACAGGGAAGAGACCCAUUGACAACAUGUUUGGUGAUAGCUUGAACCUUCAUAAUUUUGUCAAGAUGGCUCUCCCCGGGCGAGUUACUGAGAUUGCAGAUGCACCACUUCUUCAAGGAGGCCCGAAUGAGAAUCCCAAUCAAUGCAGUGCGAGAAUUCAUAGAGUUGAGGUGUGCUUGAGUUCAAUAUUUAGAAUUGGAAUUGCUUGUUCUGCUGAAUCCGCAACAGAUCGACUAAAGAAUAUCAAUGAUGUUGCAUCUAAACUUCAUUCCAUUAGGAAUACUUUUCUUGGAUAGAAACUCCUUUUUAUGUGCUUUUGUGAUAGAGAAAUUUCGUGUACUGCUUGUGAAGUCUAGCUUUUAUGUUACCACAGUAGAUGUGGAAGUUUGCAAUGUAAAUAAUCAUCAAUGAAGUUCAUUGUGUGAAAAGUGUGUUACUACUACUUGUACUUGGUAGUUUUGUGUAAUAUUCACAUCGAUUAAAGUCUAGUUCGUGCCACAAAAUUGUUGAAUAUUCACAUUGACAGAUUCCAAAUUUUUGAAAGAUUCGUAACCUCAAGACCCUCAACAUUCAAUAAAAUCAUCUUGGAAGCUGUAAAGAUGGUGAGUUGAGUUUCCUAUCAUACUUGACCACCAUCUGUGUAAGGUGUUUUCGAAAAUCAAAGUGCUAUUUCAAUUGUUGACAACACUAGAUUCUGCGAGGGAAUUCCUAAUCUCAAGCUGCCCAAUUGCAAUCUAAAGAGCUCCAAGAAAAGAAGAUUAGCUUAUAGAUUGAAAUUAAUAAUCCCUUUAGUAUUCAGACUUGCUCUACUUGCAAGUGUCAUAUGCUACUUUCUCAAAAGCCACUGAUCGUUUUCUUCAACUAAUUUGACUGGUGUUGGCAGUAUCCUCCAUAUAAGUGAAGGGAAUUGGGUUCAAGUUGGUUGGUAUGGUUAAUAGGGUUUGCAAAUAGUCAUUUUUUUGUAGAAUUUUAACCCCAACUUUAAAGCCCAUGGCCUAUGACAAAUCAGUGUUUUCUAGCAUUGUUGCUAUCAAUAUUCUCCCAUGUGCAUUCUGAAUUCUAAUCCAAUGGUUUUAGCAUUCAUUCUACUAAUCUUGACAAUGAAAGAGUUUUUUUUUUUUUUUUUGGUUCGAAUAAAUGAUAUUAUCUACACAAAGAGGAAGGGGAUAGACUUAGCUUAAGUGGCAUGAAAGAAUUUCUAUUAAACCUGCAAAAAUGAAAAUUCUCAGCCGGUCAUUAAUGGAUUUGAAUUUAGAUUUAUUACAAUUGAUAAAGAUUUUUUUUUUUUCGGCAAUCAAUAGGAUACUAACAAAUUUGUUUUUAGUACAAAGAUGUCACGAUAAUGUGACUUAUAGUUGUGUCACUGACCUUUUAACUUAUUGCCCUAUCUUUAACACACUUCAAUUAAUAUCAUCCUCUAAUUGUUAGUAUUUAAUGAAUCUCAUCAUAAAUUGUUAGCCAAAAUAUUAAUUAUCAAAGCAAACAAACUUGAUUGAGUUAUAAAUUUAACAUGACCCAGUUGGCAUGGCUAGGAGAAAAAUCAAUUUUGUUCAUAAUUUUCAUGUCUUCCAAGUGAACAUGGGGCUAUAAGUGAAGUUCCAAAGGGUACGGUGGUGUAAUUUGGUCCAUGAAUUGUCUCCUCCAAUUUGCAUGCAUGCGGUAGGUGACUGACUCCCAAAUAAUUCUCGUUGCCAAGCAAAUUAAAUACCAUUAAUUAAGAGCUUAAAAACACUUUAAUUAUUACCUCUAUUUUGCUUUUGCAAUUAGGAAAUUUUCCCCCUUUUGCGUACAAUAUUAUAAGAAUAUUUUUGUUCUCUACACUUAAAUGAUGGUGAUGCUCACUACCUUAUUUAUCACCGUUAUAUGAGUUUAAUACAUGUUAAAACUCAUAGUGAUGGUGCUAGCUACCUGCUUCUUGUGUUUUUUUAAAGAAAGAAAGGGGCAUUUGAUGUUUGGACAGACAUAGUGAUGGUGCUAGCUACAUGCUUCUUGUGUUUUCAAAAAGAAAAUAAAAAAAUGAGAAAAGGCUAAUUUGCACCCUUUUGGAUAUUAUGAUGCCAAUUUGCCUCGUUGAGAAACUUGUGGCUUUUCUAAUGGAGAUUGCGUAAAGGUGCAAACAAUUUGUUAAUGGUUGUGCAAAAUAGGUUUCAUACUGCACUCCGCCGCGGGAUUUGAAAUCAUAACCCACAAUUUAACAUACCCAUUUCUAAAUUAUUCAGAAAUCAAUCAGAGAAACUUCAAGCAGAAGAAAAUUGAGUUCUCAAUUAGAGAAAACUUCAAUUUCAUGCAAGUUUUUUUGUUCAAAUUUCAGGGCUUAACAAUGCAAGAUUUGAAUUUGCAUUUGGUUCAAAGAAGUAAGAUAAACUGAUAAGAAAAAUGAACUAAAAAAAUAGUGUUUUUUUUACAAUAUAUAAAGAGACAAUCUCAGAAGUUUGCAUAUGUGCUGGAAAUUUACAAUAUAUAAAGAGACAAUAUCAGAAUAAAACACAUUUGAAGAAAAAGUAAUAAGAAAAGAAAAUAGUGUUUUUUACCUAUGAUCCAUGUGAGGAGUAGAAUUUUCAGUCAUAAUUGACAACCCAAGAGCUCUGUAAAUCAAAUAUAUAGGAAAAGAUCAAUAAAAAGUGAAUUACAGUUUCUCAAAUCAGAAAGUAACAUUUAUUUGAAAAGAUUCAGACUCAUUUUGGAUAUAGAUAAACAAUGGCAUGUUAAAAACCAAAAUGAUAAGGCAUUCAACAUUCAACAUUCACGUAAAAAAAAUGAAAUACAUGUUAUCCAUCAAUGUUUUGGUAACAAAUUCCCAAAUUGCUCUAUCUACCAAACAUUUGCAAAUCUAUAGUUACAGAUGUUUAGUUCUAUGAUAUUCAACCCAAUACCCACAUUAUUGGCAAAACGACAUUGUAUAGAUCGUUUGAGCACCCGAGCCAAUGACAAUAACAUUGAAGGCAACUACAAAAUUGUACAUUAUAUAAAGAGGCAAUCUCACAAUCAAAAUUGUCAAAAUCAAUAUUUUAUGGCUACAUUUUUUUCAUCAGUCAAUCAAUACACACUGAACACAGAAUCACAUACUCGACAAAAAUUCAAACCCAUAAAUCUGAAAUUAGCAAUGUUAUUUCUUACCCCCCAAAAACAAUCCAAAUCUUAGUGGUUACAUUCAUUAGUCAAGCACUCAACCACUUAGGCACAUCAACUACAACUUGGGAAUUGUGGAGCAAAAAAUAAUCACAAGGCGACACGUGGACUUUUUAGUAUAAGAGGACCAAACUACCCUUGAGGCACACCGAGAUUCCUACACGCGAGCAGCUCAAAAAUGCUCCAAAAAGGUAACAAUUCAAUAUUCAUCUCAUCAAAUCCCGUAACCUCUAAAAUAUUUAUUCCAAAAUUAUAUUAAUUGGUUAAUUAAUGGAUUAAUUACCCAAUUACUCCAUUAAACAUCAAUUAAAAAAUCCAAAUAACCACAACAUAUAUUCCCCUCAAUCCCAAAACUAGUGAUUGACCGGCCACCCCCUUUCUCCCCAACUUUUCACACUUUUCUCCAUUUUAUUACCCUAUUUACACAACUAUUCAAUUUUGUAACCUCCUAUUUAUUUCUUUAUACUUAAUUAGCCAAUAAAUUGGCUAAUUAAGCUAAAACUAUAACCACCAAAACCCAUUAGUGGCCGGCCACACCUUGGGAAAAUUGGGCAAAGCCUAACCCUAUAAAUAGGCACCCAUUCUCACAAAAAAGCUAGGCCAACACUCUUGCAAAAAUCUCUAAAUUCUCUAAACACUCUUUCUCUCUAAAUUCUAACUUUGGCAUCGGAGGUUCUUCGGCCAAAGCCUCCCCCCAUUCAUCGUGGGCGCGUGAGGCUUGUGGCCAUAACCAAAUGUGUUAUUUAUUUUGUAGGUGCAAUUUUGUUUAAAAUCAAGGAGGAAGAAAUUUGCAUCCACAAAUUGGUGCUUUCAUUGAGAGUUGAGAUUCACACUCGUAGAAGACUCUUGCGCAAAAAGGUUUUUUCUCUAUUUCCUCUAUUUUCUAGUCCACUUGUAUUUUUCAUACGUUUUUAUUAUGAGAAUUUUUUAUUUGCCAAGAUUCUUUGAUAAAACGUAAAAGAGAAAUACAAUGGCUAGAAAUUUAGAAAAUUCCACAAGUGAAAAUUCCAAUAUUCAAGAAAUGGGACUGCGGUGAUCCACGAGACUAAACGUGAUCUUAAAGGGAGCGGCACCACCACCACAAGGCUCCACCAUGGCAACCACCGAGGUGGCCACCAUGGCAAUCACCCGCGGCGAGGUCCAUGGCUCCACCACUACGGCCCAAGCCGUGUUAUCCAGGGCCCACGCCACCAAAGCCACGGCUCGAGCCAUGUUACUCCAUGCCCAACGUGAGCCCAAUGCGUUUCCAAUUCGAGCUCAAGCCUCGCAUUCGCAUGCACCACGCAUUAAGCAGCCUGCUCCCGUGACCUAGCCUGCUCCCGUAAUCCAACCUACUCCUGCAGCCUUGCCUGCUCCCGCGACCCAGCCUGCUCCUGUAAUCCAGCCUGCUCCUGCAGCCUUGCCUCCCAUGGUUUCCCAAGCAGCUCAAGUUGGCCCGAGAAUAUCUUAACUAUCCGGAGCAACCAUCAAGCUGGGGGCAUUUUCACCAAAUUUCUCCGCGGAUUUGACAUUUCCCAAUUCAAAUCUUGCACCCGGAGUCUACCACACUUCCAUUGCUCAAGGAGGCACAUUCCUUCCAAGCUCUUCCAAUCCAAAUGGCGAACAACACUUGUCUCGACAAGUCAUAGAGUUGACGAGCGCCCUUGCACAACAGACGACCUUGGUGAAUCAACUCUUGCAACGCACCGAGAUCCAACGUGCCCCGGACGAGGUGUCCCGAAGUAGGACAAGGGUAAAUGAACCUCUCCGCCAGCAUCCCGGCAAACAUUAACCAGCCAUGUUCCAAGCGUUCGUGCAUUCCCAAUCAAGCCCACAGACGAGCAUACGUUCACGGUUGAGGUCAUACUCCGAUUAUCAACAUGGACAACCUUCCAGGUGAAAUGUUCAUUCACAACUAGGCUCACAAGGAGCAUUCUCCACCUCACAUCUGAGUAGGCAGCACAGCAGAUGGAGAGAAACAGUCACUCAAUCCGACUCAAGUUCAAGCAGCAGCCUGCGAACGGCCCGUUCGCUUGCUGGAUACAUGCCACAUGCACCGCAGUCGCAACAUAGACGAGUUAAACAUAGGGAAGAGCGGCCCAAACCCAUAGGUCACGACCGGAGGCAGUCGAAAAUUCCAUUGCCCCAGCAGAGGUAAAUUCAAGAAGAAGUUGAUAGGCUUUUAACUGAACGACUGCGCAAUUUCCAACGAAACGAGGCUGCUGACGUACGCUUCGACGAGACAUGACCAACAUAAGCAUGUCAUCAUUCACGAAUGAGAUCGAGUUGAUAGAUCCACCUCGCGGGUUCACUAUGCCUCAUUUCAUUCCGUACAAGGGAGACGAAGAUCCGGAUCGACAUCUCAAGUAUUACUGCAGUACCAUGAUCCUCUACAGGAACAAUGAUUCACUUAUGUGCAAAAUUUUUGCCACAACUCUACAAGGCGAGGCGUAAGACUGGUUUCACACUCUACCGCCGCAGUCGAUCCGAAGUUUUAACGAACUUUCCUUUGUUUUCACUAAGGAGUAUUCGUUUAAUCGCUCAAUCAAAAGGACAUCCGACCAUCUCUUCAGCAUCGUAAAAGACCCUCGGGAGACAAUUCGCGACUAUGUCAAGAAGUUCAAAAUGGAGAAGGCGAAGAUUGUUGGCUACAACGAAGACAUAGCAACGACAACAUUCAGAAAUGGGCUUUCCACGGAACAUCCUUUAUUCGGAAAAUUGAUCAUGGGAGAAGAAUUGACCCUAGCAGCUUCAUAUGCUUUGGCAGAAAAGCAUGCAUUAUGGGACGAGGCCAAGCAGUCUAACAAAAACGAGUCAAAAAAGAAGCACAUGGAACGUUCCCCGACCAAAGAAAACUCAGCGCUUGAAACAUUCACCAAGUUCACAGUUCCAAUCAGCCAAAUUCUUCGCAAGCUCAAGAAUGAACCUUGGUUUGAACUACCACCACCCAUGAAAAGCGAUCUUACUAGGCUGGAUCAUACAAAAUAUUGCGCAUUCCAUCAAGGACCAGGCCACACUACCAACGGCUGCCUGAAGUGGAAGCAGUACCUUGAGAAGCUGACAAAUGAGGGCCGAUGCGAUGAGUAUCUUAACAGGUCAACAAAACGGCCUACAUAAGCAGGGGAAGUUCCCAUCACCCCCUGAACCACGUUUGGAUUUUUUCCAAAUAAGUUCGAAGAUUCAAGCAGCUCGACGAACAAGGCUUCAUAAGCCGAAGAAUAUCCAGUUUGUUAUGCAGUUUCUACUUUCCAGCACAGUUGAUUUAUUUCUUUAUUCUCAAUAAAGAUUCAAGAAGUUAUUCAUAAGUCUGCUCCAAACCCUUUCUGGGUCUGCUCUCCAGUGCGAGAGGUUAAACUAAUUGCUCUCCAGUGCGAUAGGGUAAACUAAUUCCCCGACACCCUAAAGGGUCUGCUCUCUAGUGUGAUAGGUUAAACUAAUUGCUCUACAGUGUGAGAGGGUAAACCAAUUCCCCGACACCCAUAUGGGUCUGCUCUCCAGCGCGAAAGGUUAAACUAAUUGCUCUCCAGUGCGAGAAGGUAAACCAAUUGCUCUCCAGUGUGAAAGGGUAAACUAAAUCCCUGACACCCAUCUGGGAAAGCUUCCAAUGUAAGAAGGCCACAUAGUUUAAAAGAUCGAAUGCUUAAAUAUCAGUUAAGUAACAAAUGGUUAGGGAGCAGCAACCACUUUUACACUUAAUAGUUCGCUCAUCCUACACUUCAUCUUUAGCAACUCCGAUCUUGGCAGCUUCAUCCUUGACUGCUCCAUCUACGGCAACUGAGAAAUCAAACUCAAGCAGUUUCCUCAUUUUUGGCAAGCAGCCCAGACGUGGUAGCCCAAACUGUUGUCCAUGCCACGCCAUUUCCUCGGCCCAUGCCGAGCCAAUCCUUGGCUUCAAUCAAGCUGACAACAUAAACAAUGGCCCUUGCCACAUCACCUCAUUGGCCCAUGCCAAGCCGACUCCUGGCCCCUGCCAGCCGACGUGCCACACCACCCCCGACGGCUGCCCCGUGGUAGCACCUCCCAAGAAGAAGAUAAGGAGAAUUAAGUUUUCCUUACAUCGGUGCGGCGGAGAAAACAAAGAAAGCAACGAAAGACAGUCCUUCGCACGAACAAGAUGUAGAAGAUUGAAGCUUUCUCUCUCUUGUAGGGUAGAAUAAAUUGCUCUCCAAAGUUGAUUUAACAACCCACUUAAGGUGGACUUAAAUAGGCUUUGAGAAAAAUUUAUUUCCCUUUCCUAGAAGGAUCUAAUUUCACAUUAAAGAGGGAAUCAAGCAGUCCUAAGUUUCCUAGAGCAAGAAGAUCUCUACACCUGCUGCCCUUUCCUACGAGCAGCCCAGCAGGUGUGGGGGCAUUUGUGGAGCCAAAAAUAAUCACAAGGCGGCACGUGGAUUUUUUAGUAUAAGAGGACCAAACUACCCUUGAGGCGCACCGGGAUUGCUACAUGCGAGCAGCUAAAAAAUGCUCCAAAUAUUUAUUCCAAAAUUAUAUUAAUUGGUUAAUUAAUGGAUUAAUUACCCAAUUAAUCCAUUAAACAUCAAUUAAAACAUCCAAAUAACCACAACAUAUAUCCCACUCAAUCCCAAAACUAGUGAUUGACCGGCCACCCCCUUUCUCCCUAGCUUUUCACACUUUUCUCCAUUUUAUUACCCUAUUUACACAACUAUUCAAUUUUGUAACCUCCUAUUUAUUUCUUUUAUACUUAAUUAGCCAAUAAAUUGGCUAAUUAAGCUAAAACUAUAACCACCAAAACUCAUUAGUGGCCGGCCACACCUUGGGAAAAUUGGGCAAAGCCUAACCCUAUAAAUAGGCACCCAUUCUCACCAAAAAGCUAGGCCAACACUCUUGCAAAAAUCCCAAAAUUCUCUAAACACUCUUUCUCUCUCAAUUCUAACUUUGGCAUCGGAGGUUCUUUGGCCAAAGCCCCCCAUUCAUCGUGGGCGCGUGAGGCUUGUGGCCAUAACCAAAGGUGUUAUUUAUUUUGUAGGUGCAAUUUUGUCUAAGAUCAAGGAGGAAGAAAUUUGCAUCCACAUUCCACAGGAAUGUUAUGCAAAUCUUAGGCAGCUUGAAUCAUUAAGUUUGAGUUGGAAGAAGCUCCGUUGCCUGCUCUGCUAGUUGAGGAGUGUCACCAAAUUCGGCACUAUCAGCAACAUCAACACAUUUCACACACUCCCGCUUCCAAAACAUAUCACAAAAUCAAAAACCAAAUGAGAUUAUGUAGCAGAAAAGACAGAAAAAUAGAUUAAGAAAAGCAAUUAAUAUUAAAUAUAGAGGGUGAAUGAUGUUGUCCAAUAAAUAAGAUAGCUGUAUAUAUUUCUCGACCAUGAGAAAACAUCAAAUUAAUAGAGGCAUUAAUCCUAAGUUUGCCAUUCGUUAUUGCCGGAAUCAGGAGCUUUCUUUCAGAACCUUUUGACCAACGGGUCCUUGGUCUAAACUUGAUGACAUAUUGUAAAGUCCUCUUACAUACAAAUUAAUGAAAUAUUAAUUUAUUUCCAUGAGUUAUUUGAUUUUGCAAAUUCAAAAUAAUUGAAGAAUACUGAAAAUUACUAAACCCCAUCACAACAUCCCAUUAGUGAAAAAUCAAAGACAAAAGUAAAUUACUAUCUUUCUAAGCAUCCAAAGAUAGCAUACUCAAAAUACCAAAUUCAACUCCAAUGUCUUAAAAAAUUAAAAAACAAAUUAGCCAAAUUGGAAUAGUUAGAUCAAAUAAAGAUUUAAGUCAACCAAUUACACAAAAUAAUUCAUGCAAAGUAGGCUCCUAAGAAAAUAUACCACAAUGGUGGUGGAGGAGGCCAAGGCUUAAAUAGUGGAGGACAGCAACAUUUAAAUAUACCGCAGCAGCACGGAAUCCACAAACUGCAUAAUCAAAACCAAGGCAUACACAGAAGGGAAACCAGGAUCGGAAGUUGAUACCGAUGUUAGAUACCAAUUCCAGCCACUAGUUCAUCCUUAACUGGAAGCAAGAAUUGUAGGAAAUGGCGAGAAGGAGAAGAUGGAGUAUUUUUUGUAAAAUGAUUUUUUAUAUUUGAUUUCAUCUAUCCCCGUUCAACAAGAAAGAGAGAGCUUUAAUAGCACUAGCAACCUCCCCAAUGAAAGACCGUCACAUGGCAUACACAGCCUAAACUCUUAAACAACAGCACAAAAGAAAGGCAAAUUACACAACGACCCCAAAACAUUACAUUUCGACCCAAAACUUUGUUGCUUGUGAUCAAGGCAAUCACAGUACAUAACAGUCUAUGAUCCGAUUUUGCCGGCUCCGUCAGAGAUGCUGCCUGAGGAGGGCUUCGCUCUCAGAGAAUGAAGGAGGUAGGGUCUCGAAUUCUAAUUGUUUUCGAUUGAACCGAUAGUUCUGUAUAUCAAUUAAAUUUUGACUCUUUUGUGCAAUUUAGUUGAAAGUUGUUGGUUUUGAUUUGGCUUGAUCUUUCUGUUGCUGAGAAAUUGGGUGGAAAUUGUUGUUUUGAUUUUGUAGUUUUCAAGAAUUGCAUGCUUAGUGAUCAGUAAUCGUCUGGCUUUAUCGGAUAAGGAGAUAAAGCAAUUAGAUUUCAAAAUUUGGAUUUACAGUUCGUAUUUUGAGCCUGAAUUCAUGAAAACAAACGUAACCCAUUAUUUAUUAGCGAUUAAUGAUUUGAUCUUGCACCCAUGUUGUCUGCUUUCCAUUUCUCAUCUCUCUUGCCAUCUUCUCUGUAUUUUGGCUGCUUCUCUCUCCCGCACUCCUUUUUUUUUUUUUUUUUUUGAAUCUAGUGUCUCCUGGUCUUUAACCCGACUACUCACUAGGCCACCCGCCUGACCCCACAACAUUUGGUAGGCAAGAAACUCUAGCAAUUGCUAGGUCUAGGUGGGUACCUUGUGAGGUGUCGAACCCCAGACCUCUUGGUAACAAACCAAGGGCCUGACCAUUAGACUAAACACUCUUAGGUAAGAGACACUAAAGUAUAAAGUGAGAUAUCAGGGCACACGCCUUUAUAGAAACACUUGGUUUCAUUAAUCCAGAAUUUACUUUCUUCAUAGGUUUCAAAUGGAACUACUUAAUAUGUUGUUUUCGUAAUUCUUUUUGCUUUCAAAGUUUAUUGCUCAGUUGUGUUCGUAACCUCUGGGUUCUUACAGUUCUUUGUCUCUCUUACUUCAGAUUCUUUGCGUUUUUUAUCAUUCGUUUGUGAAGAAAUGGGUCGUACGAAGUGGUAGGGCUUUGAGGAAGGCACUUGCCACCAAGGUGCGUUUUGUUUGGGUUUCUGAUGUCAAGAAAAUUAGAAUUGAUAAUUGCAAGCGAUUUUUUCCAAGAAACAAUCAGAUUAUUGAAUCUAAGUUGCUAAUUGUUUAAUUUUGUAUAUGCUGCAAUUAAAUCAGCACCCGCAACUGGAGGAGUCAAGAAGCCUGACUGCUACCGCCCUGGAAUCGUCACUUCGGUAAGUUUUCAACACAAUAUAGUUCAAAUCCUCUGAAUCAUGUUCUUGAAUUCUAUAUGUAUCGUGUUCUUUGCAUUUCGUUAUCUGAAAUCUGUUCUUUGAAUUUGGUUACCGGAAUCAUGCCUAAUGUUUGAUGUGGCCAGUGGCUUUGUAUGGCUGGUUGGUGUGCAUUGGGAGUGUUUUUAGUUAAUGGCAGACAUAGGACAAAGGUGUGGGGCAGCGAAGUCAAGUGGGAAUAGGAAUUUAGGAUGGUACAGUUUUUGCUAAUUUAUGGGACUAGAAGUCUUCCUUUAUUUUUUGUCUUCGUGCGAUGAAAAAAAAUGGGUGAGUAAUUUGAACUCCAGUUUAAGAUAAUAACAUGUGAAUUUUUCGUAUUACUGUUUUUUCCCUUUCUAUUAAAAACAACCUUUGAUUUCUUUGAUAGUGCUUUUUUCUAUCUGUACUAUUGUUGAACUCCCCCAGUUAUCAGUUUUGGCUCAAAAAAAUUAUUUGAUGAUGACAUGCUGAAUUGAAUAUUGGCUAAAAUUAUAUUGAAAUUUGUAGCCCGAAGCAGAUAUCGUUAAAAGAGCUCUAAGUCACCCUCUGAAAUUAAUUGCCAUAAGUGAUGUUGUAAAUGGAAGCGUUGUCGAUGAGAAGGCAUUUUUUUUCGUUUCACUUUAUAUACUACGCUCACUAUCUGUUUAAUAUGUCUCAUCGUAUAAAUUAAAGUCUCAUUUCUCAGGUGCUUUCAAGUGACAACCCCAACUAUGGAUGCAUGCUGCCACUGGAAACUAUGAAAAUUUAAUAGUUGCUGGGAUCACUGAUGCAACUAAAGUGGGUUUCUUCAUCAAGUACUUCAUGAAUAGAAUAUUUCGGAGAUCCAAUUGCUGGGACAGAUUGAAGAAGGUGAAAAUCACAGGGGUGGAAUACUGGGGAGGGUGGUAGGGUUAUGGGGAGUGGGCUCUGGUUGGUUUCGGUUUGACCGAGGCCAUGGUUCGAUGGAAUCGAGGUGAUGAGGACGAUUCAUGAGGUCACAUCCACAAGAUAUAGGGCUUACACGUGGGGUUUAGGGGUUUCACGGGGAGGGUUACAGAGGGAGGGGGUGCACGCGUGAAUUGCAGAAGGGGAGGGAGAGAGGGAGAAAGAGGGGGAGUAGGGUUGCUAUAUUCAAGUUCUCUUUUUUAUUUUUACUUGAAUUUAAUUUGAUUUGAUUUGAUUUUUUUUUUUUUUUUUUUUUUUUUUUUGCUACAGGUUGAGAAUGCAAAAGCUCAGCUGGAGGUGGAGGUGAGAAUUUUAAUUUAAUUCAUGGUAUAUUGUUGUUUUUUUUUUUUUACUUUAUUUUUGUGGGAUUGUGCUGUUUUUGGGGAAAACAAUAUUAAAUUGAAGUAAAGUUUAGAUAUUUCUGUAAUUGGGAUUUAGAGUAAGAGAUGAAGAACUAAAUGUGAUUUCAAAAUUAAAAGUUUAGAACUUUUUUGGUUUGGAAGCUAAUUUUAAAUUCAGUUAGCUGAUUAAUUAAUGGAGAAAUGUAUAACGAAUGCGUGAUAUGUUUUUCGAUGCGUAUGAGCAGACAUGGGUACUGCUUCAGCGGCAACAGCUGCUACAUGAUGGUAGAUGAGGAAUUCUGAGAUGCUGAGUGCUCUUAGUUUAAGAGAUGAAGACUUGAUAAUGAUCGUUCCAAUUCUGCCUCAAGGUAUACUUGAUAAUGAUGUCGUUUAUGUGCAAUUCACUGUAUGAUGUUCGUGCCUUUAAUGGGCCUAUCGACAUAAUUCAAUGCACCCACCAAUUGGUUUUAUGAUCAUACAUCAUUCGUGAGAAAUGGGAUGGUGAGUUUCUCGAUACAGUUUUAAUUUUUGUGCGAAUAAUGUUUGUAAAAUGUCUGUUUUUAUUUAGUUCAUUGCAGAUUCUUAUUCCUUUAUUUAGUUCACCAUAUUCUUACUCUUUUAUUUAGUUCACCAUUCAUGCUUUUAAAGAUAACAAGUGCAUGGCUCUCUCAGAUGUUAGUUUUGGGUGGCAAUUGAAAGAUACAAGGAUAAACAAAAAUACUUACCAAUUGAAAGGAUAAAUUCAAUUGAAAAUAUUUGGUUCAUCAAUUAUUAUAGUAUGAGCUUUUUGCAUUAAAUGUCCUGUUUUCGGGGAGAGUGAUUCAUGUAAUUGGGUUUUAUUAAUUUUUUCAUGAUUUUAUGCAGUUUUUCGUUUAAAUUUGUGGAUUCUGAAGCACUUUUAUGAGUGUUAAUUUCUGUUUGUAUGUCUAAAAUCUGUUUGGAAUUUGGCUGUUUCUUCAAUUUCAUCACCACCCAUUCUCACAACUUCAUCUAAAGUGUUUUGCAUGUAUAAGAUUCGUGUUCAUGGAGGUCAUUUCAAACGGAUUUCAAGCUGAGCUGCAGAAAUUUGAUUCAAAUUGAUGGAUUUGGGUAAGAAACUAAGAAACCAUAAUCUUUUCUUUCGGUUUUAAGAGCUGAAUUUGAUGGUUAAGUUUAUGUUUUAAGAUUAUCUUCCUUUCUCCUAAAUACUGAGUUUUAUGAGAUUACAUUUGGCAAGUCUGAAAACGGAUUAGAAAUACUGAGUUUUAUGAGAUCUAUUUGGCAAGAUUAUCUUCCUUUCUCCUAAAUACUGAGUUUUAUGAGAUCUAUUUGGCAAGUUUGAAAGUGGAUUGCGUAUGUUUAUAUCUUCCUUUCUUCUAAAUACUGAGUUUUAUGAGAUCACACCAUCUUAUGUUUAUUAUAUAAUCUUAUGCAAUCAGAAGAAUUAUCAUAUUUUUCUUUUUAGAUUUCAACAUAUUUGGAAAUACUUCAAAUUUUUUGUAGUGCAGUUUGUAGUUAACAUGAUUACGUGAGUUCUGUUUCUUUAGUAAAUUUUUAUGCAGGAAAGAAAGUCAUUUCUCAGUUUGUAGUUAACAUGAUUACAUAAGUUCUGCUUAUCUUAUUGGCCUUAUUCACUCAUGUGUUGUUCUGUUCAUUCAUGAUUGUGUUAAAUUUAUUUAGGUUAAAUGUGUCUUAUUCAUGCAGUUACGCAUGAAACAGUUGUUCCCGCCGCAAUGUGCGGGUUUAUUUUCUAGUUCCAAUCUAAACCUAGAGACGAAACGAGGCCAUGUAUUACAAAGACAAAAAUUCUAAAACAGCCUUUGCUCAGAGAAUAAAAAAAGCCAUGCAGUGAGAACAUCUAAGGGAAACGAGUUGAUCCUCAAUAAACACCUCAAUAGAAUGACAUAUCUUUGUUAAAGCAUCUGCCACAAAAUUAGCUUUAUCUAAAACAUGAUAGAAGCUGAUAUGAUCAAGCAUCCCAUGUUUGCCCAAGAGAAACCGAUUUGAGCCGCAUCUGCUCCAAAUAUCUCAGGCAAACAGUCAGCUGACAAAAUGCGGUCAAUGGCUUCAACAUCUUGAGAAUAAAAGGCACAACUAGGAUCAAUUGGUUGUACUUUAUAUAGGGAUAAGAAUUGAGUUACCUCUUUUACAAAUGUUACUUAUUCAUUCCGGCCGUUAUAUGGUACAACACUGAACAGAGAGUACAACUUUUCCGGCCUCUAAGUCCGGAACCCUUCCAAACAUUGGACACUAGAAUACCAAAAUAAUGCAAUAAGAUACAACAGUACAAUACAAUAUAGUUGAAAACAAUCCAUCUAAGAUAGUACAGGCUCAAUCAGAUGAAUCAAAGGAGCCCUAGUGUUCAAGCUUCCAUCUUUGCGGUAAACUUAAGUGGUGGCUUCAAGAAAUGGAUAAUCAGUGUAACCAAUGACGGGAUCAGGUGUGUAGAAUGUCUCUCUGUUGUAUUUGUUUAGAGGAGCAUUAAGUUCAAAUCUCUUUGGCAAAUCCGGAUUCGCCAAGAAAAUACGGCCAUAAGCAAUAAGAUCUGCACGGCCCUCGGCCACAGCUCUGUUUCCAUCUUCCCUGUCAUAACCACCAGCAGCAAUGAAGGUACCAUGGAAAGCCUUUCUCAUGGGAAGAAGACUCUGGUGGGUUUCAGCUAUUUCUCCAACUGCCUUCAUCCUCGGCUCAACCAUCAUGUGGCAGUACACGAUUCCAUAUUUGUUCAAGGCAUUGGCCAUAUAGAGUCCUAAUUCUUUUGGAUUUGAAUCCCCUGCGUCCAUAAAGUCAGCAAAUGGACCUAAUCUAAUUCCAACUUUAUCUGCUCCUAUUUCGUUAACGACAGCUUCAACAACUUCCAGAGGAAGGCGGCAACGAUUCUCUAGAGAUCCACCAUAUUGGUCUGUUCGAUCAUUCACAUGAUCUUUCAGAAAUUGAUCAAGAAGGUAGCCAUGCGCCCCAUGAAUUUCAACUCCAUCGAAGCCUAUAUUAACAGAUUAACAAUUUCAACAUACUGACGGUAUUAGAACCUUAAGCAUUGUCGCUGAAUUACCAAAAAAUUCAAUAACGAGAUGUGAGGGGGCUUGCAGCUUUUUACUCCACCCCACCAGCACCACCCACCACCCACACCCACCCCCCUUCCCCUCUUCCUCCUCCUCCUCCCCCAAGGCCAGAGUUUGAAGAAUCCCCCUCCCAUCUCUAACUACAUUUCGCUGAUCAAACACAAUUUAUUUUGCAUAAGAUUUGAAGCAAAUUGAGUUGUUGUAAAUUAUGUUUCAUAUGUAACGUAAAGACAAAUUACCAGCUUCAAUAGAAUUCCUUGCAGCAAGUCUAAAAUCAUUGACAAUUUGUGGAAUUUCAUCUGUCCUUAAUCGUCUUGGAGGCGUGAAUUCAGAAGCAUCGAUGCCAUUUAAUCGUAUCGGCUUGUCAGUAGAAGAUAUUGGAGCUUGCCCAUUUGGUUGAUAACCUGUAAGCAAGGAGGGAAAGAAUUACAAACUGAAGUCUAACAACAGUAACUAACAUCCACAGCAGCACUCUUUUAAGUGGGAAUCCUUUGUUACAAAUUACUAUAAAAUUUGUUAACAUCAAACUUCUUCCCAUCCAAUAAUAAUAAUAACAAUGCUUCUGAAACAGCAAGGUCAUAAAAGUGGUGUCUUCUUAUGAGUUAUGUUAAAAACACCAACUCGGAACUUAGCAAGUCCAAGUUUUAUCGUCAUUUGAGCAACAAACAAUGUUGUCAAUUAUAAUCACUCGCUCGUUCUGAUGCAUACACCAUUAUGUUAUACAUCAAACUUCUUAAUCGGUCUAAUUAUUCACUCAUGUUAACACAGCAUUCUAUGGUAAAAGUGAGGUCAUAAAGGUGUAAGUCAGAAACGCACCGCUAUUAGAAACCCUUCCAACAUGCCAAAUCUGACAGAAGAAGACGCCACCUUCAGCAUGAACAGCAUCAACAAUGGGUUUCCAGGCUUCAACUUGCUCCUUUGUCCAUAUACCAGGUGUGUUCGGGUACCUUCGUUUAUUAAAGAACCAAAAAUUUCAUCAAACUUUGAAACGAAAGAAGCACCCUCAAAUGUUUGUUAGUCUAUAAAUCUACUGUUGUUGAAAAUACCCUUGAGCUGUGUCGGAAACUCCGGUGGCUUCGGCUAUGAGAAGACCCCCGUUCGACGUUCUCUGAGAGUAAUAUAAGAUAGCAUGUGGUUGAGGAACAUUGUUGUAUGAUCUCUGUCUGGUCAAUGGUGCUAAAAUAAUUCUGGAAAGGAAAAAGAACUUGUAAUUAUAAAUACAGAGUGAUCAAGACGGAAUGUGGCUGAGGAACAUUAUCGAAUGAUCUGUAUCUAGUCAUCAACGGUGAAAAUACAAUUCUAAAGAGGAAAAACAUACAAUAAACCAUAAAUACAACCUUCAGACUUUGUAGGAAGGAUUAGUUUGCUAAGGCUCCUUUGAUAACAAAUUCGCUUAUAGUUUUCUUGUUUUAGUUAAAAAGGAUAAACGACGGAGGAAGAAGGAAUUUGGGACGAAAAUGUGUGAAAUAAAAACUCGAAUUGUAGAUUAUCUGAAUAUGCUUUUUGUCCUUCGUUUUCGGUAUCAUUCCAUGCACGUUUAGUCCCUCAUCCAUCCCUUUCCCUUCCUCCUCCUCCUCCUCCUCUUCUAUCAUGCAUUUUCUCUAUCUAUCACUUAAAAUUAAAAACUAAAAAUCAAAUACGAAAUCGUUACCAAACACAACUUGAACAAAGCAAUGUCUUACGAAGUGACCAUGGCCGAAAGGACACAUACUUUUAACGAUCAGUUGCAUCUAUUUUCAACAAUUAAUCAAUGAAAUAACUCAAGUGUGCUAGUGUUUUGAUUUAAUUUGUAACAUCUGUACUAUUUUAUAGACAAAGAUAGAGUUACAAGGACACUUCUUGUCUCCUUCCCAACAUUUGUACUAUUUUAUAGACAAAGAUAUAGUUACAAAAACUACUUGUCUCCUUCCCCAAAUCAUUCUUCGGGAAGAGAUUGUCAAAGAUCAACACCAGCCCAUUAAGAUCAGUCGGUACAAAGGAACUAGAUUGGUCUAGUUCAAACAUGCAUGGUUUUCUCUAGAAGAUUCUAUAAUGGGAAUAUGCUAGAAAACUCUAGCAAAGAAGGUUGUUCCUUAAGUUGGUGGAAGAUUCUAGAAGAAUGGUGAGGUUUCCACCAACAUGCAAGAUUAGUGUAGAUAAUUCUAGCUUGGGAAGUUAGUAGAAUUAUCUAGAUAACUCUAGCAUGAUAUUUCCAUGCUUCUCCAAGGUUCCAUCCAUGCCUAUAAAAUGAGAAGGCAUCCACACCAUUUGUAUCAACCAAGUAACCAAGUAACCAACCAAGCAAUCAAGAAUGCAACCAAGUGAGAGUGAGAAGCAAGAAUAGUCUUGUAGGAGUGUGAGUGAUCUAGAGUUUGUCUCUAGAAAGUGAGUGAGUGUCAUUGCUUCUAAAGUUGUGUCUUUGAGUGUUUUGAGUGUUGUAAUAUUUUGUGUGUGUAGUACAAGUAAUUUGUUUACUUGUGUUGUCUCUCCAACACUUGUGUUAGACUUGUGUACUCUAAGUUCUUAUCAACAAUUGGUAUCAGAGCGGUACGAUCAGGGACCGUCUCUAGUGAAGUUUUUUUAGAAUCGUUAGAAGUUUACUACUUCACAAGAUUAUUCGUUAAGCUUGUUCGGUUUAUCGAAGUUCUGCCGACACGAUGGGAGAUCUUCAAGUUGUUGAAGGAAUCAAGAAGUUGAACAACAAAAAUUACAACACAUGGGCGACAUGUAUGGAGUCUUACCUACAAGGCCAAGAUCUUUGGGAUGCUGUCGGCGGUAAUGAAGUUAUGCAGCCGGAAGAAGACUCUAGUGGCAUUUUGAGGAAGUGGAAGAUCAAGGCAGGUAAGGCCAUGUUUGCCUUAAAAACCACAGUUGAAGAUGACAUGUUAGAGCACAUACGGAAGGCUAAGACACCAAAAGAAGCGUGGGACACCUUCGCCACACUCUUUUCAAAGAAGAAUGAUACAAGACUGCAACUUCUCGAGAAUGAGCUACUAUCGAUGGCCCAACGAGACAUGACGAUUGCUGAAUAUUUCCACAAGGUAAAGGCUAUUUGUCGUGAAAUUUCUGAGUUAGAUCCUAGUGCUGCCAUUGUACAAUCCAGGAUAAAAAGAAUAAUUAUCGAUGGAUUGAGACCCGAAUAUUGAGGCUUCGUUGCCGCUGUACAAGGAUGGCCGACCCAACCAUCACUUGUUGAGUUCGAGAAUUUGCUUGCCGAUCAAGAAGCUUUGGCAAAGCAAAUGGGAGGGGUCUCGUUAAAAGGUGAAGAGGAAGCGCUCUACACCAAAAGUAAAGGCAGUUUUAAGCAGCGUGCUCGUGGUGGAUCUAAAAUAAAUGGUGACAAGGCGAAAUGUCAUCAAGGAGGAGGGAGUUCUCGACCAGGGGGAGCUCCGAAGUAUCACGGCAACCAUGGUCAGUCCCAGAAUAAUAAAAGGUUUGAGGGCAAGUCUACAAUUGUGGAAAGAAGGGCCACAUGGCAAAGGAUUGCUGGUUCAAAAAACCCGCAGAAAGUAACGUCACCAACUCAGAGAAGAAAAGUGAAGAUGAUUGGGACGCCGUAGCAUAUCUAGCUAUGGAGGAAGAAUGGGACGCUGAAGCAUCUUCUUGGUGGUGCUCAGAAAAUGAGGUGUUCCCUGACUCAAGAGAGAUUGAGGAUACGUUGCAGGAGGAAAUGGGAGACCGAGCUGCCCAAACCCAAACGAGUCUAGAUGAGCUCGAGGAAUUGCUUGAUGGUGACGAUGUCAAGCAAGAAGUACCUAAGAGUCAUUGGCAAACUGAAGAAGUUAGACCUAGUGAAGUGGAAGUAUCAUUUCCACGAUCAUAACUAAGUAGGUCAACGGGAAUAACGAAGUCAAAUCCCAAAUGCGCCAACGCAACCAUAGUAGAAGAAGCAGUUGAAGCUAAGAUGCGUAUAGAAGCAUCACAAAAUUCUAAAUGGCGUAAAGCUAGAAGAAGAGGUCGCUGCGUUAAAGAAAUAUCAAACUCGGGAUCCAGUGGUAAGGCCAAGAGAUGUGAAACCCAUAUCAUGCAAAUAGGUGUUCAAGAUAAAGUGUCGACUGAGCGAGAAGAAAAGAAUGAGCUGGUGUUGAGGGGGAGUGUUAAAGAUCAACACCAGCCUAUUAAGAUCAGUCGGUACAAAGGAACUAGAUUGGUCUAGUUCAAACAUGCAUGGUUUUCUCUAGAAGAUUCUAUAAUGGGAAUAUGCUAGAAAACUCUAGCAAAGAAGGUUGUUCCUUAAGUUGGUGGAAGAUUCUAGAAGAAUUGUGAGGUUUCCACCAACAUGCAAGAUUAGUGUAGAUAAUUCUAGCUUGGGAAGUUAGUAGAAUUAUCUAGAUAACUCUAGCAUGAUAUUUCCAUGCUUCUCCAAGGUUCCAUCCAUGCCUAUAAAAUGAGAAGGCAUCCACACCAUUUGUAUCAACCAAGUAACCAAGUAACCAACCAAGCAAUCAAGAAUGCAACCAAGUGAGAGUGAGAAGCAAGAAUAGUCUUGUAGGAGUGUGAGUGAUCUAGAGUUUGUCUCUAGAAAGUGAGUGAGUGUCAUUGCUUCUAAAGUUGUGUCUUUGAGUGUUUUGAGUGUUGUAAUAUUUUGUGUGUGUAAUACAAGUAAUUUGUUUACUUGUGUUGUCUCUCCAACACUUGUGUUAGAGUUGUGUACUCUAAGUUCUUAUCAACAGAGAUUUGGUCCUUCCCAACAUUUGGACUAUUUUAUAGACAAAGAUACAGUUACAAACACUCCUUGUCCCCUUCCCCAAAUCAUUCUUCAGGAAGAGAUUCGAUCCGAAUCUCUCCAAUUAAGUGAUCUAGGCCGUUGAAAUUCAAUCAAACGACUACAAUUAUUAUAACUUUUAGAGAGGCUUCCUGUUUGUAGUCGUUAAAUCAAAUUUCAACGGUCCGAAUCACUUGAUCUUGGGCCUUUGAUGGGAGAGAUCCGGACCGAAUCUCUUUCCUUUUUUGUAUAGCUAUAUUUCACACGCACACAUGAAUAAACUACACAGUACGCUAAACUUGAAUAUAGACAAGCAGUAAUUUCAUCUUCUAUUUUUCCUGUUAACCAAAAGCUAUCUGCAGACCUAGCUACUCUUUGAAUCCAAGUUCGGAUCUCCUCUCAUAGUUUUUACCAAGGUUCUAAAAGACGCUAGGCGCUAGUCGGGUGGCGGGCUGGGGCCUAGCGCAUAGGCGGACUAGGCGGAUUUAAGUAAAUCUAUUAUAUUUUGUGUAAAUAAGUGUCUGUUUAUACUUAAAAUAUAUAUAAUUUUAUCAUAAACUACAAAAUAGAAUGACAUAUAUAUUAUGAAGUAUUGGACAUAAUGAAAACAUGAGGAACAAGUAUAUAAUGUGUGUUCAUUUAAGUAUUCAACAAGUCUUUACAAUUUAUUGAAAAAAUAAAUAAAAUACAAAAUGCAAGUUAUCUAAUUUUUGUCUAAGUGAGUUGCAACCUAGUCGGUGCUUAGGUGGGUCUGGACAGGCUACGCGGGUGCCUUAGCAGAUCUAGGCGACAUUUUUUAAUUUUCAAACGCCUAAGCAUUAAUUGGGGGCAGUGGUCAGCGGGGCUUGGCGGAAAUUUUUAGAACAAUGAUUUUUACAACAUCAUAUUAAAAUAACGCCCGAAUCAAAAUAAAUUAAACAAUUACAUGACAGAGAAAUUUAGAAAAGUAAACAAAUAGGAACAAUGUAUGAAAGUUUUAAGUACCUAUGAGAAAGAUUGAAGUUUCCCAAUUUGUAGGGAGUGAGGAGAGGAAUUGUGGGAGGUUGAGCAGCAGCAGACAUCUCAGAAUUCGAGUUGGUCGUCUGCCACCUGAUUUUGUACUUGGCCUUUUAUACUGGAUUCUGGGAUGAAGGAAGGAACGAAGGAACGAAGGAAUGAAUACAGGACCCGAUUGGGUCUUUGUACGUUCAGUAGACGCUUAAAAGUCCGCCCUGCAGCUUUCCUCCACAAAAGUUAGAGAUGGCUGGGUCCCACAUCUCCCCUCCCUUGUAUGGAAUGGAAGGCUGAAAGCUGUGGUGGUGGUGGCGGCGGCGGCGGACGUCGAUGGCUGGGUCUGUAAUUACGUUUACGUGUGUCGAAAAUUCACCAGUUUUCCCCAUGAAAAAGGACGUCCACGGAAUGCGGGUGUAAUGCUAGCCGCAUGUUCAUUUCGAUUUAGCUUUUUCAUGCUGCAUUAUUAGGCCAUGGUUUGAAUAGUAUAUUGUUUAGGUCCUUAAGGCCCUCUCAAACUAGAAGGGUUAAAAACAUAAUCCCAUCUAGAAUUAUAACUUUUAAAAAAAAAAUAGUUUUAAAUUAACAAUAUCAAAUUAUAUUCAUAUAUUAUCUUCAAUCAAAUGAGCUAAACAUAACCCAUCAAUUUUCGAUGGAUAGCAAGGUUAUAAUUCCAUGGAGCUCAUCAAGUCAUCAUUUGGCUAAAUGAGCAUUAGGCUGGCCAAAUGUAGCCACCCUCUUAGCCCUUUUUUGGGGCUCAGCUCCUGCAUUAUUUGAGUCAAAUUCAACAGCUAUGUUUGAAAACAUCCAAUGAAAAUUUAAUUAAAUUAACCAAUAAAUUUAAUAUAUAAACUUAAAACUAAAUAAUUGUUGAGAGGGUUAUGUUUAGCCACUUUAAUGACGACAUAUAUGUAUACCUGAUACUGUUCAGUCAUUUUGGUUAGAGAUGCCCUAAGGUCAUAAUUUUGAGGAUGUGUGAGACUAAAUGCAUAUUAGUUUAGAUUGCUUGAAAUAUUUGACAACUUAAUAAAGAAAAACCAACUUAAAAUUCAUGAACCAUCACAAAACUCUUUUUUUUUUUUAUCAAGUUGUCAAAUAUUUAAGAUUUUGGAUACAAACUAAAAUAAUCUUAUGGUUAAUAUGCAUCUGAUGCCCACAAAUCUUCAAAAUGAGGGCCAUAAUUAAUCAAUGAAUUUGUGACAAAUUAAAUAGUCUAGAAAUAAAAGGCUCCAAUCAAGUAGCAUUGCACAAUUAAAAAGGAAAAUGACAAGGUUGCUAGCUUUUUGCAAAAAAUAUGUUAUGUAGGUUCUCUAAUGAGUGCUUUUAACACAAUGGACAUACCCACUAUCGUGUAAAACUUUUCUCGAGAAAUAAAGUUAAGAUUUAUUUAGAUCUGUUACAUAGAAGUUUCUCUUUUGGAUCACUGUUUUUCUAUAAUCGUAAUUUUUUAGGCAUAUAGAUUCAUUGUAAGGAUGAAUUACGUUUUUUUUUUAGUUUGACAGGUUUCAAUUUUGAUCCAUGUCAUUUUCAAUUGGUCAAAUUUAAACUUUGUCAUACAUAACAUAAUUUUAUACCGACACCCCUUUUUGACCAAAAUAGGUUGCGUGGAAUAUUCUAACAAAAAAAAAUCACGUUUGUAAGUAGUGUAUUCUUCUAGUGGUUCAAACCAUUUUCCUUUCCUUAUUGUAAUUUUUAAAGUAAGAAUAACGUUGUAUUCAACAAACAAUAAAGUCCUUGUGCACAUCAAGUAGAAUCAUGAAAGAAAAAAAGGAAGAGAAAAAUUUGCCUACAACGGACACUACUACAAUAACAUUUUUACCAGGGGUUAAUUGGAGCCCAAUAUAACAUUCUAGCAUUAACAAGAGAUGAUCAGGAAUAGAGAUUUAUAUCAUCCUUGAAUCUCAAACGUAGAAUUAUCAUAACUUACAACUUUUAUUGUAUGGAUAAUACUUGCAUUCAUUUCUUAAAAGGAUGAACUUAUUUCCUCCAUGUAAGUAAUGUACAUUUAUCGUCCAAAGUUCAUAAUCAAAACCGUUCAAAUUAUUAAUCUGCAUACCCUUACAAAAGAAUUGGAGAUCAUUUAGUUAUUCAAAUGUAUAGAACAAAUCAAAGAUGUAGGUAUCAAUGACACACCCCGACCCGGAAGGUCCAUAAGGACUCUGAAUCGAGUUAUGCUGACCGACACCUGGAAGGUGAUAAAGCUAUAAAGUGUGAUGAUGUGGAAAAAUAUGAAUAAAUUUGAACUUAAGAGUGCCUAAAUACCAAAGUGCGCUGGUGAGCGGGAAUGAAUCCACUUCACACGUGACCUUAGAGCAUAAGUAAGUAUAGUAGAGUGGAUAAGGAUUAUAACCUCAGAAGUAGCCACCUAUAUUGAGAUUUGCCCAGAAUCCUCGUCGAUACGAACAUUCAGCAAUUAAAACCUGGAGGGGCGCAAAAUAGAAAGUGUGAGUGGGCAAAAACAAAGCUUUACAAAACCAUUUCACUUAUCAAAAGUAAUAAUCUCUCGCCGUAAAGCCUGAAUAAUUUCCCAGAAAAUAGAAUAUUCUAUAUCGAAACCAUACUCGGAAUAGCAAAAUCCACACGUAUGCCAUGCCUAAAAUCUCAACAUAAUGAAAUAAGUAAACCAGGUGAAAUAAAUCCAUGAAAAGUAAUAUGUCAGCCGGAUCCACCUAUUGUGGCAUGUACGACUGAACCUAUAGCUCAACCAAUAUCCAAGUAACAUGUCAACAUGAUCCACCUCUUGUGGCCUAUACGGCUGAACCCAGAGCUCAUCACACAUCCAAGUAAUAUGUCAACCGGAUCCACCUCUUGUGGCCGAAUCCACCUCUUGUGGCCUGUACGACUGAACCUAUAACUCAACCAAUAUCCAAGUAAUAUGUCAACCGGAUCCACCUCUUGUGGCCUGUACGGCUGAACCCAUAGCUCAUCACAUAUCCAAGUACUAUGUCAGCCAGAUCCACUUCUAGUGGCAUGUACGGCUAUGUCAGUCGGAUCAACCUCUUAUGGCAUGUACAACUGAACCCAUAGCUCAUCACAUAUCCAAGUAAUAUGUCAGUCGGAUCCACCUCUUGUGGCUUGUACGGCUGAACCCAUAGCUCAUCACAUAUCCAAGUAAUAUGUCAGUCGGAUCCACCUCUUGUGGCCUGUACGAUAGGACUGGGUGUAAAUAAAUACGCUCAAGUGCUACGAUCACGUGAAGACUGUGCGAAUAAUCGCAGGUCAACUACAAGUCGGAACCACCUAUAGUGGUCUGUAUGACAGGAUUGUGUAACUACCUUGGAUCCAAAGUGAGCGUAAGGUGCGGGAGGUGAACAUCACGCAAAGGACUGUGCCUUAGCCACGGUCGGGAGCACUAACACCGGGGUGCAGGUUUAUUAGCUCUAAUUGCAUCUAUUAUAACAUGUACGACUCAUGGACAACAUGUACAACAGUGUUGGAGUUGCCUAUCAUUGCAACUUGUACGAUAAGGUCGGAGUUGCCUAAAACAUACAUGUAGUCAUGCCAUAACUUCAUCAUUUCAACUAAUACCAUAAACUCACCUGAACUUACCUAGGUCUUCUGCGUUCACCUUUGCACUUCAAAGCGUUCACAAUAAUUAUGUGCAAGUAAUAUACAUAUGGAUAUACCAUGAUAUAAUCUAAUACUCAACCAUGUCAUAGCAUUUUCAAUUAUAUACAUAUAUAUAAUAUGGCAUAAAAUGCAUAAGCUGUAACACCCUACUCACAAACUAUUUAUUUUCGGGAAUAAUUAUCGGUGAUAAGCCCAAUUAGACACUAGUUUAAUUAACUAUCAUUACUUACGUUUCCUUACUUCAAUUUCUUGAUUCUUCACACAUUGAUUUAUGAACAACAUUUAACCACCAAAUCAUAAGGUUAAAUCUAAAAUUUUCCACCAAUCUCCUUCACAUUGCUCAAUUCCCCAAAUAAGGCUAUUGUCACAAUUAUUUAGUCUCAUUUAUUGUAUGGUUGCAUCUAACGUCUCGUUAGAUUGCCUAUGUAUCCUAAAUAGGGAUCAAGCCAUUUGUAGUUCACACUAGUACUUCAAAGCAUUCACAGUAAUUAUAUGUAGGUAAUAUGCAUCAAUCAAUUUAAAAACGUUUAUGAUAAUUUACUGAAAAAAGACAUCCCUACGUAAUUCACUCCGGAAGAUCUGCAUCACGGAUUUCUGAUCCGUUACUUCCAAAUAUUCACAUUAUGUUCCUAGAACCACGUCCUAAUAUUUCAUUAUGAUCCAACGGUCGGAUCUCCGCCAAUUGCCAAAACCAAGUGGCGGUCAACAUUUUAUUUUAUGAACUUACAAAUCCAAUUCGGGAAGAUCUGUACUUCGGAUUCCCAAUCCGUAAGUUUCUAUGGUCCUCAUAUAUUACGUACUAUAAUGUGUUAAAGUUUGGUGACGAUCAAACAGUUGGAUCGUCGAUUCACACUUUUACCAAGUAACCUGACAUAGAGAAUUUAGGUUCCAACCAUCAACCUAAGUCAUACAGUUACCAAGAAUAAACUCAAGGUAUCUAAUUUAUCCUAAGAAUGACAUCGACGGCCCCCUGGCCACACGCCGCCGUGGGUGGCGGUCGGUCGCCCCAACUCGCUGGAAAAUCCAACUAUUUCUAAAAAUUACCAAAUUUUACAUAAAUGAAUAUUUCAAUGAGUAGAAUAAGUUUUAUACCUAUGACUAAGUCCAAUUUAACCGGGAAAGGCUCCAAUUUCACUCAAACCGCCGAAAACCCUAAGAUAGGUAUUCUUCGAUUCGACUUCCUCCAUGUUCCAACACCCCUACAACUUCUUGGGUCUUGUUCCUGGGUCCAAGAGGAGUUGAUUAAGGGUGGUGGUGGGUGGCGAAACUCGUCAGAUCGAAGGAAUCACCGCCGAACACCUCCGGUUCUCCGGUGAUGUUCUUUGCGUUUUUUGGCCUAAAACUCUUCAAUCUUGAGCGAAGAUGGAAGAAGAAAGUUUGGGGAAGAUGUUGCAGGUGGUGAAUAUGGUGUUCCACGAAACAAAAUGGCAGAAAUUGGCUGGAUUUUGACCGGUUUGGUUGUGCGGGUGCACUGCCCGACGGGAAGAUUUCUUCUUUUUUUUUUUUCCUUCUCCCUUCCUGAUUGGUUCUCAUUUUCCUCUCUUAAAAUUGAUUGGUUACCACUCCCACACGGUGGGAGUUUGAAUUAAUUUAUAACUAAACUUUAAAUAACCAAUUUCAAAUGUCUAUAACUAUACCGAUAUAAUCCGAACUCGCAAACGGCUUUCGCCUAUGCAUUCGUACCAACGAGUACUACACAAAUGCGCUAAGUGAAUAAGUCAUACGUUUCUCUACACGUUGGUCAAUGAAAGUCAAAACCUUCACCUCUAGGGUAUUUUCGUAAAUUCAUUAUUUUAAAACUUAUAAAAUCGUAGAACUAGGGACGAGUUGUCACAAUAUACCCACCUUAAAAAAAUUUCGUCCCCGAAAUUUGAAAUCAUUAGCUAAAGAUAAUGUACUUCAGAAGAUAGGAAAAAGUAUAUAUAUAUAUACACACACACAUAUAUACACACAUAUAUGGACGGAGGAAAUCAAGAUAGAGCGGUUGCAUAACAGAGAAUGUCAUUCUGUCGCGAUUAGAGUGCAGUAAUUCCUCUUUCGUGCCUCCAAACUUAAACUUCCUUCUCCUUUAGUACAGUACUAAAAUAUACAGUCCUUUAUAAAACAUAAGGUAGAAAACUAGAUGAAUAACAACGUAAUGUCGAAGCACGUAUAUAAUAAAGUGAAGUUAAAAUAGUUGUACUGAAAACCACACCAAAAGUAGAAAACUUCACCUACACACCCACAUGGGUCACGUGCCUCAAAGAUGAGUGUGUGCUAUCUUUGGGUCAAGCCCAAACAAUAAUUAAAUAACUAAACGUAGACGGACCUAGAUGUCUACUUGUUCAACAAAUUCAACACUUAAGUUUUCAAUAUUACGGUCAGUAGCUCGUAAUACCAACAAUUCACUAUUGUCCUGAUAAGUAAGUAACAGAUUCCUGAGGGUGCAAUAUUACCAUCAUGCCCCCCAAUGGGAAAAUACGCAUAAAUCAUCUGAUCCAAGUCUUGAUCGUGUUCACAUACUACCCUUACGGGUAACAUCAACAAAUAUCAUAAUUUUCUAUAUCAUAUUCUCGAUCAUUCAACUAUGGAUAAAAUUUUCGGUCAUGUGCCAUAGAUAAAAUUUUCAUAGUACGCUUUAACAAUGCCAUACUCGAAACCAAAAAUUGUAACCGUAGUUACAACCAACUAAAAAAAAAACUAUUUAUUACAACAUACAUACCACAUAACUCAACAAUGCAAUUCAUAACACCAUAAUGAGCAGAUUCCUAUUGAAUUUCUUUCGAAUUUAGCGAAAAUUAUGUCAAGAAGGCUAACAUAAUACUCGAGAAUUUGAGGGUCAAAUAAGUCCAUCAAAUUUUAAAUACAAGGUAAUUGAAAUUAAUGUAUAACAUCUCGUUACAACGGUAACUUCUGGAACAUUUAAUCACCAAUGGUUAAGAUUCAUUUAGUAGAGUGUUUGUUGGGUGAUUGAGAAUUUAAUGUUCACGACUAAAUGUCAAUGUCCUAUCAAUCCUCUAGACAAUUUGCUUAAUUCAAAAAUAAUACCAAGUGGUCAAAAUUGUAGUCCCUCUGGACCAAUGAAAAAAAAAAGUUGACUUGUCAAGUCGAUUUGACUUGUCAAGUCGAUCUAUAAACAUCGAAACAUCAUCAUCAUCAUCACUACAUGUACAAGAUACCUCGUUCCAAAGGUGUAUGAUGAUAUUUCUCAACUCCCUUCAUAUACAAGAAGUGAUUAUGACCAUUCAAACCCUUUCUUGAUAUUUCGCAAGUAACAUCAAAACAAUACAUGUGAAUUCCAACUGAGGCAGAAUAGGACAGGCCGAAAGUGUUCAAGUAUACAUAAAUCUUUUGCUGCAUUUAAUAGUAAUACAUUUGCAUAAUCGUGAUAAUCAUAAAAUUUGAUUUAGUUCUUCCACUACCGUUGUUUGAAUUUAACUUAUUUCAAAUGAGAAUAUAUUUGAGAAGUCCAAGAUUGAUAAAGGUCUCUAACACAUUUCUCCACCAGGAAGUAUCAUUCAGUUUUUCAAAUAAAGAUAAUAACACCUUACUCUAGUCAUGAAUAAGAUGGUUCAUUUCGAACGAUUUUAACCGUUGGAAAGUCUAAGCGAUUCAUUGUCAUGUUACCUCCCCCACAAUUAAAAUACCUAAAGAACACGUCAUUAUGGAUUUCCAAAUGAUCAAUGUCAUCAAAAGAUGUAAAGAAAAGGUAUGGUGAGACAACAGUUCUUUGUUAGAAACUUUAUUAAUAUUCAACAUCUCAACUAAAUUGACCUUCCUCGGUUGGUAUGUGAAGAAAAACACCACAGCUGAGAAAUUGCUAACAAUUUGUCGAUAAAAUCGACAAGACGAAAGAUAUCUUGAAAUUCACAAUACCUUAUGAGAAUUCCAACUUUCUUCCGCAACUACCCUUGGAGAAAAGAAAAGAAUAUCAUUGAGAAUCACAUCUCCUAAGAGAAGUACCAAUUUACACAAAGGUAAUAUUUGAGGAAUAUUAUGUGAAGCUAACUGUUGAUAAUUGGAGAAUUUAAUCUCGUUAAUAGAAUAUGUAAGAUAGUCAUCUACAAGACUAUUAUGAAUUUAUCAAACUACACAAGGAAACUUGAGUUACAAAGAUUGGUUGAUAAGAAAUAAGGAGAAUAAAUGUGAUGUUAACAAGGUGGAUCAAUGGUGUAUUCUACUUCUCGCAUUUGGUAGAAUUCCAAAUAAAAAUUUGAGAAUUGAUGCCAAAGGUAAACCUCCUCCAAAUGUACUAGGAACUGAUUCCAUAAUUCUAGGGAAAAAAAACCUUACCACUUCGGGAAUUUCUACUGACCUUAGAUAUAACGAUUCUUACUCAUGUGCCAAUGCUCAUCAAAAUGACGAGUAUAGCACCAAAAGUAAUGUGGAAUUUAACAUUGGUUGGAGUGUUCUAAAGUCAAAAAAAUAAAAUUUUCUAGUAAUCUACUUUAGAACGGACUUAAACAAAAGUCGAUCUUCCCCCUGAAGAUCCAGAAUGAUCACUUGCGUGUUUGGAAAAAAUUGUGCUAUCAUAGACCAAAGUGAUUAUCCCAAAAUUGUGCUAACCACAACAACAACAACAACAACAAAGCCUUUUCCCACUAAGUGGGGUCGGCUAUAUGAAUCCUAGAACGCCAUUGCGCUCGGUUUUGUGUCAUGUCCUCCGUUAGAUCCAAGUACUCUAAGUCUUUUCUUAGAGUCUCUUCCAAAGUUUUCCUAGGUCUUCCUCUACCCCUUCGGCCCUGAACCUCUGUCCCGUAGUCACAUCUUCGAACCGGAGCGUCAGUAGGCCUUCUUUGCACAUGUCCAAAUCACCGGAACCGAUUUUCUCUCAUCUUUCCUUCAAUUUCGGCUACUCCUACUUUACCUCGGAUAUCCUCAUUCCCAAUCUUAUCCUUUCUCGUGUGCCCACACAUCCCACGAAGCAUCCUCCUCUCCGCUACACCCAUUUUGUGUACGUGUUGAUGCUUCACCGCCCAACAUUCUGUGCCAUACAACAUCGCUGGCCUUAUUGCUGUCCUAUAAAAUUUUCCCUUGAGCUUCAGUGGCCUACGACGGUCACACAACACGCCGGAUGCACUCUUACACUUCAUCCAUCCAGCUCGUAUUCUAUGGUUGAGAUCUCCUUCUAAUUCUCCGUUCUCUUGCAAGAUAGAUCCUAGGUAGCGAAAACGGUCGCUUUUUAUGAUCUUCGCUAGAUUGCUCCAGUCAUUAGUGUGGAUAAGUAUAUAAAUGGAUAGAGAUAGGAAAGCAAACACAAGAUGUACGUGGUUCACCCAUAUUGGCUACGUCCACGGAAUAGAGGAGUUCUCAUUAAUUGUGAAGGGUUUACACAAGUACAUAGGUUCAAGCUCUCCUUUAGUAAGUACAAGUGAAUGAUUUAGCACAAAUGACAUUAGGAAAUAUUGUGGGAGAAUGAUCUCGUAAUCACGAAACUUCUAAGUAUCGGAGUGUGGUAUCGUCUUGACUUGCCUUAUCUGUCUCAUAGGUAGAUGUGGCAUCUUCUCUGGAAGUACUCUUCCUCCAUCCAGGGGGUGGUAUCUUUAACUGGUGGAGAUGCACAAGGUAAUGUAUCAAUUUCACUUGAAGCUUACUUGUAGUUUCAGGCUUGGUCAAGCGCGAUACAAACCAUGUAGUAGGAGUCCCCCAAGUCGUCGAGCUAGGGGAUCUGCUGAAAGAGGUGACAGACAAGGUAAGCAAUCAGAGCUCCGGCUGAUUGUUCACCUCUCCCCCAUCUUGCAGCAGCAUGAAGGAUAAAGAGAAGAAAAAUGAGAAGAGAUGAUAUGGGAUACUUUUGCUUUUGAAGAAGUAACUUUCCACAGGCUUAUUCUUGAACUGAGCUGGAGGGUUUUCUGGUUUCCUCCAGAGUAUAAGACCUGCUGAUAUGGGAUACUUUUGCUUUUGACAGAGUAAUGGAUGUAUCGGCACGUGUGCUGUUACGCUUGUCUCCACAUGCUUCCUUGUAUCCUUCGCACUUGCCCUAUCUGUUCCUCAAGCAAAUGCGGUAUCUUCCCUGGAAGCAUAAGAUGUUGAAGAUGAGUACUCGAGAGCAAUGCCAGGUAAGUAAUCAGGUAAGGGGUUCCAGGCAGUCAGUUCCUGGUUGGAAGCUUGAUUCCAAGUGCUGACUGAUUGCUCUCUUUCUCCUUGUCUUGCAGGUAAGAACAAGGCCAAAUGAAAAGACAGGGAAAAAGCAUGAUAUGGGAUACUCUUGCUUUUAACCCUGAUGAUAUGAGAUAUUCUUGCUCUAGUAUAGCUUGUUUGCAGAGGUAUUAUCGGGGGGAAAGAAAGCUGAAUAUUUCGAAAGGCUUCGUUGGGAGUGCCCUCUCAGAUAUGAGGAAGGGUUGAGCAUUUUUGCAGGUCUGCCUGUCCGUUGGGGAUGAAGGUCAACAUAUAUAGGAGUCUCCCUAACAACAAGUAGUAAUGCUAUUCCUUUACCCUGCUUGGUCAUAGCACGGUAGUGGGAGCUACCAGCUUCACAUGUUUUAACUCUGUCAGAGCACUUUGAAAAAGUGGUCUGUGGUAUCUGGCUCUCGAGAUUCGGAGAACGAUGCCUCUUCGAUUUUUGAGAAAGCAAUCAUGCUGGGGGUCUGGCUCUCGAGAUUCGGAGAGCAGUGUCUCUUCGAUUUUUGAGAGAGUAAUCAUGUUGGGAGUCUGGCUCUCGAGAUUCGGAAGGCGGUGCCUCUUCGAUUUUGGAGCAAGCAAUCUUGUUGGGAGUGUUUUUUCGAAUGUGAGUAAAGGUUGGGCAUGUUUGCUAGUCUACCUUGCCACGAAGCACAGAGGUUGACACACAGGGACUUUCCAAUUAUCCAGCAAUGGUACUGUUCCUUUACCCUCUCUUCGAUUUUGAGAAACUAGUCAUGUUGGAAGUCUGGCUCUCGAGAUUUGGAGGACGGUGCCUCUUCGAUUUUGGAGCAAGCAAUCUUGUUGGGAGUGUUUUCUCGAAUGUGAGUAAAGGUUGGGCAUGUUUGCUAGUCUACCUUGCCACGAAGCACAUAGGUUGACACACAGGGACUUUCCAAUUAUCCAACAGUGGUACUGUUCCUUUACCCUUGUGGGUAAUAAUAUGGUAGCUAGACCUUCAAAAUUUAUGUGUCUAAACUUUGUUAGUGCUGUUUCUUUACUAUUCUUUUACCUUUCUUGGUCAGAGCGAUGUAGUGGGAGCUGCAGCUUCACGUGCUCAACUUUGGCAGAGAACUUUGGCAAAGUUAUCUGUGGUACCCAUGAGCUAUUGUUGCGUGUGGGAAGUGGGUGAUUGAACAGUAAGAUUUAUGUGCUUUCUACUUCACCAGAAGUCUUCGACAGAAUGCCCAUAAUUUCCGCAAAGCUGAGUGUGCAUGUGACAGGUGCUGACAAGGCUAGAAAAGUAAGGGCCUCUUCGAUUUCUGAGAUCGGCCCUCGUGGUCUCUGAGCAGCCCAGCUUUUGAGAAAGCGAGCGUCUCUUCGAUUGAUUCGGAGAACGAUGCCUCUUCGAUUUUUGAGAAAGCAAUCAUGCUGGGGGUCUGGCUCUCGAGAUUCGGGGAGCGGUGUCUCUUUGAUUUUUGAGAAAGUAAUCAUGUUGGGAGUCUGGCUCUCGAGAUUCGGAGGGCGGUGCCUUUUCGAUUUUAGAGCAAGCAAUCUUGUUGGGAGUGUUUUCUCGAAUGUGAGUAAAGGUUGGGCAUGUUUGCUAGUCUACCUUGCCACGAAGCACAGAGGUUGACACACAGGGACUUUCCAAUUAUCCAGCAAUGGUACUAUUCCUUUACCCUCUCUUUGAUUUUUGAGAAAGUAGUCAUGUUGGGAGUCUGGCUCUCGAGAUUCGGAGGACGGUGCCUCUUCGAUUUUGGAGCAAGCAAUCUGAUUGGGAGUGUUUUCUCGAAUGUGAGUAAAGGUUGGGCAUGUUUGCUAGUCUACCUUGCCACGAAGCACAGAGAUUGACACACAGGGACUUUCCAAUUAUCCAGCAGUGGUACUGUUCCUUUACCCUUGUGGGUAAUAAUAUGGUAGCUAGACCUUCAAAAUUUAUGGGUCUAAACUUUGUUAGUGCUGUUUCUUUGCUAUUCUUUUACCCUUCUUGGUCAGAGCGAUGUAGUGGGAGCUGCAAGCUUCACGUGCUCAACAUUGGUAGAGAACUUUGGCAAAGUUAUCUGUGGUAACAAUGAGCUAUUGUUGCGUGUGGGAAGUGGGUGAUUGAACAGUAAGAUUCAUGUGUUUUCUACUUCCCCAGAAGUCUUCGACAGAAUGCCCAUAAUUUCCGCAAAGCUGAGUGUGCGUGUGACAGGUGCUGACAAGGCUGGAAAAGUAGGUGCCUCUUCGAUUUCUGAGAUCGGCCCUCAUGUUCUCUGAGGAGCCCAGCUUUUGAGAAAGCGAGCGCCUCUCUAAGCAGCCCAGCUUUUAAGAAAGCAAACGCCUCUUCGAUUUCUGAGCAGGCGCCUCUUCGAUUUCUGAAGCUUCGUCGAGUGCAGAUUUUUAUAGGGGCUGGCAUUAAGUUCCAAAGCACACUUGAAUCUCCACCAGUAGAAGCUUCAUUCUUGCACUUCUAAGAUCUUGAUUUGUCCGACCUCUUCUCUCUUCAACACCUUUGAAAAUGUCUGGCCCCUCCGACCGUCGUUUUGACUUGAACCUUGUUGAAGAGGCAGCCCCGCCUUCUCCAGACAACAUAUGGCGCCCAUCUUUCGUCUCCCCUACUGGUCCUCUUACCGUUGGGGAUUCCGUAAUGAAGAAUGAUAUGACCGCUGCGGUGGUGGCCAGGAACCUUCUCACUCCCAAAGAUAACAGACUACUUUCCAAACGGUCUGAUGAGUUAGCUGUUAAGGAUUCGCUGGCUCUCAGUGUUCAGUGUGCAGGUUCUGUGUCUAAUAUGGCCCAACGCCUAUUUGCUCGAACCCGCCAAGUUGAAUCAUUGGCGGCUGAAGUGAUGAGUCUGAAACAGGAGAUUAGAGGGCUCAAGCAUGAGAAUAAACAGUUGCACCGGCUCGCACAUGACUAUGCUACAAACAUGAAGAGGAAGCUUGACCAGAUGAAGGAAACUGAUGGUCAGGUUUUACUUGAUCAUCAGAGAUUUGUGGGUUUGUUCCAAAGGCAUUUAUUGCCUUCGUCUUCUAGGGCUGUACCGCGUAAUAAAGCUCCAAAUGAUCAACCUCUGAUGCCUCAUCCUUCUAGGGUUCUGUCCAGUACUGGGGCUCCGAAUGAUCCCCCUCCGGUGCCUUCUCUUUCUGGGGCUCUACCGACUGCUGAGACUUCUCCUAAGCAACCUUUGUGAAGGCUCCUUCUAGUUUGUUUAUUUUGACUCAUGUAUAUGUACAUAUUUGUAGCUUAUCGGGGAUAUCAAUAAAUAAGCUUUCCUGCAUUUCAACAUAUUGUGUUAAAUACACCAAAGCCUUCUUCGCUAAGUUCUUUGAAUUUUCUUUUGUUGAAGCUUGUAUGUUGAAGCUUUCUGAGUGGAGCAUGUAGGUUGGGGCAAUGUUCCCUUAAUUUCCCGAGUGAGGAAAACUUCUCGGUUGGAGACUUGGAAAAUCCAAGUCACUGAGUGGGAUCGGCUAUAUGAAUCUUAGAACGCCAUUGUGCUCGGUCCUGUGUCAUGUCCUUUGUUAGAUCCAAGUACUCUAAGUCUUUUCUUAGAGUCUCUUCCAAAGUUUUCCUAGGUCUUCCUCUACCCCUUCGGCCCUGAACCUCUGUCCCAUAGUCGCAUCUUCUAAUCGGAGCGUCAGUAGGCCUUCUUUGCACAUGUCCAAACCACCGUAACCGAUUUUCUCUCAUCUUUUCGUCAAUUUCGGCUACUCCUACUUUACCCCGGAUAUCCUCAUUCCUAAUCUUAUCCUUUCUCGUGUGCCCACACAUCCAACGAAGCAUCCUCAUCUCCGCUACACCCAUUUUGUGUACGUGUUGAUGCUUCACCGCCCAACAUUCUGUGCCAUACAGCAUCGCCGGCCUUAUUGUCGUCCUAUAAAAUUUUCCCUUGAGCUUCAGUGGCAUACGGCGAUCACACAACACGCCGGAUGCACUCUUCCACUUCAUCCAUCCAGCUUGUAUUCUAUGGUUGAGAUCUCCAUCUAAUUCUCCGUUCUUUUGCAAGAUAGAUCAUAGGUAACGAAAACGAUCGCUCUUUGGUAGUUCUUGAUCUCCGAUCCUCACCCCUAACUCGUUUUGGCCUCCAUUUGCACUGAACUUGCACUCCAUAUAUUCUGUCUUUGAUCGGCUUAGGCGAAGACCUUUAGAUUCCAACACUUCUCUCCAAAGGUUAAGCUUUGCAUUUACCCCUUCCUGAGUUUCAUCUAUCAACACUAUAUCGUCUGCGAAAAGCAUACACCAAGGAAUAUCAUCUUGAAUAUGUCAUGUUAACUCAUCCAUUACCAACGCAAAAAGGUAAGGACUUAAGGAUGAGCCUUGAUGUAAUCCUACAGUUAUGGGAAAGCUUUCGGUUUGUCCUUCAUGAGUUCUUACGGCAGUCUUUGCUCCUUCAUACAUAUCCUUUAUAGCUUGGAUAUAUGCUACUCGUACUCCUUUCUUCUCUAAAAUCCUCCAAAGAAUGUCUCUUGGGAUCCUAUCAUACGUUUUUUCCAAAUCUAUAAAGACCAUGUGUAAAUCCUUUUUCCCAUCUUUAUAUCUUUCCAUCAAUCUUCGUAAGAGAUAGAUUGCCUCCAUGGUUGAGCGUCCUGGCAUGAACCCGAAUUGGUUGUCCGAAACCCGUGUCUCUUGCCUCAAUCUAUGCUCAAUGACUCUCUCCCAGAGCUUCAUUGUAUGACUCAUUAGCUUAAUACCCCUAUAGUUCAUGCAAUUUUGUACGUCGCCCUUAUUCUUGUAGAUAGGCACACCAAAGUGCUCGUUCGCCACUCAUUUGGCAUCUUCUUCGUUUUCAAAAUCCUAUUGAAAAGGUCAGUGAGCCAUGUUAUACCUGUCUCUCUCCCAAAACUUUCCACACUUCGAUUGGUAUAUCGUCUGGGCCUAUUGCUUUUCUAUGCUUCAUCUUCUUCAAAGCUACAACCACUUCUUCCUUCCGGAUUCGACGAUAAAAAGAGUAGUUUCUACACUCUUCUGAGUUACUCAACUCCCCUAAAGAAGCACUCCUUUCAUGUCCUUCAUUGAAAAGAUUAUGAAAAUAACCUCUCCAUCUGUCUUUAACUGCGUUCUCUGUAGCAAGAACCUUUCCAUCCUCAUCCUUGAUGCACCUCACUUGGUUUAGGUCUCUUGUCUUCUUUUCCCUUGCUCUAGCUAGUUUAUAGAUAUCCAACUCUCCUUCUUUGGUAUCUAGUCGUUUAUACAUAUCGUCGUAAGCCGCUAACUUAGCUUCUCUGACAGCUUUCUUCGCCUCUUGCUUCGCUUUUCUAUAUCUUUCACCAUUUUCAUCGGUCAUCUCCUUGUAUAGGCUUUACAACAUUCCUUCUUAGCCUUCACCUUUGUUUGUACCUCCUCAUUCCACCACCAAGAUUCCUUUUGGUGUGGGGCAAAGCCCUUGGACUCUCCCUAAUACCUCUUUUGCUACUUUUCGGAUACAACUAGCCAUGGAAUCCCACAUUUGGCUAGCUUCCCCCUCUCUAUCCCACACACAUUGGGUGAUUACCUUCUCUUUGAAAAUGGCUUGUUUUUCUUCUUUUAGAUUCCACCAUCUAGUCCUUGGGCACUUCCAAGUCUUGUUCUUUUGUCUCACUCUUUUGAUAUGUACAUCCAUCACCAACAAGCGAUGUUGAUUAGCCACGCUCUCUCCUGGUAUAAAGUUUGCAAUCCUUACAAGUUAUACGAUCCCCUUUCCUCAUUAGAAGAAAAUCUAUUUGUGUUUUUGACGACCCACUCUUGUAGGUGAUCACAUGUUCUUCUCUCUUCUUAAAGAAGGUGUUAGCUAAGAAAGAGAUCAUAUGCCAUUGCAAAAAUCCAAGAUAGCUUCCCCAUCCUCGUUUCUCUCCCCAAAACCAUGGCCACCAUGAAAACCUCCAUAGUUGCCUGUCUCCCUGCCCACGUGUCCAUUUAAAUCUCCUCCUAUAAAUAACUUCUCCGUCUGAGCAAUUCCUUGCACCAAGUCUCCAAGGUCUUCCCAAAAUUUCUCCUUCGAACUCGUAUCCAACCCUACUUGAGGUGCGUACGCACUAAUCACAUUGAUAAGUUCUUGUCCUAUUACAAUCUUGAUUGCCAUGAUUCUAUCUCCUACCUUCUUGACAUCUACAACAUCUUGUGUCAAGGUCUUGUCCACGAUGAUGCCAACACCGUUUCUCGUUCUAUUUGUGCCCGAAUACCAAAGUUUAAACCCUGAGUUUUCUAGAUCCUUCGCCUUACGACCAACCCACUUAGUUUCUUGUAGGCACAUAAUAUUUAUCCUUCUCCUCACCAUAACUUCCACUACUUCCAUAGAUUUUCCCGUUAAGGUUCCUAUAUUCCACGUUCCUAAACGUAUUUUGCUCUCUUGAACUCUACCCUUCUGUCCUAGCUUCUUCACCCUUACAUUAGAAUAUGAUACUUCGGACUGCUGCUUUCGUAGGACUUGUUUGCUUUCCAAUUCAAAUUGUCUUCUCAGCUUCUCUAUCUACAACAAAAAUUAGAACUUAUACCAUUACAUGCAAUAUUUCUAGUUUAUAUCAUUAAGUGCAACACAUAUAUAAGAACACAUAUCUCAAUUGCACUGCAGUUGAUUAGGGAAAGCAGACAACGUAUAAAAGUCUCAUGAGUUUAUUAAACACUACGAGAUCAAAAAUAAAAUUCAAACUUUCUCACCUAUGACCAAGUAUAGUAGCUUCUGUGGCCUAACAAUUUUGAAAAGUAUAUCAAUAUAUUCAAAAAUAUUGAUGAACACCUCUUCAAAAUUUGCUGGUGGUAGAAGCUGAACACAGAAUGUAGAAAUUAUAUUAUGUAACCACAUAUAUGGAUAAAAAAAAUUCGGAUCAUAAAGAUAAAGAAAAUAUCAAAAAUUGUUACCUAGACAAUAAUCAAAAUAAAUAGUAUAUUAUAGAAUGUUUAUCUUAUUGCGAGUGAAGAAUACAUGUAUAUAUAUAUAUAUAUAGAGAGAGAGAGAGAGAGAGCGAGAGAGAGAGAGAGAGAGAGAGAGAUUAAGAGAAAGAGAUGAAUGAAUAAGGUCGUACUCCAUCAUCAUCGUCUAAAAAGAAAUCUAUUUACAGUUAAACUUUAAACCCAAAAUAUUUAAAAAAAAACCUUUAUGUUAUAAUUCUAGUUGAACUUUAAAUGUUUAUUUUCAUUAUCUUUAAGUCUAGUUGGAAUAUUUAUGUUAUGAUUGUGUUGGAUAUGUUAAAAUUUAAGAUUUCAAAUUUUUUCAUUUUUUGAAAAAAAAACCGAAACCGAACCGAAACCGAACCGAAAAAAAACUGAACCGAAAAAAACCGAAAAAAAUUGAACCGAACCAAAAUUUCGGUUUAGUUUCGGUUUUGGCAAAAAACCGAACCGAUUUGAACCGAACCCACCCCUACCUGGGAUACACAACUAUCAAUAUAGUAGUCUUGCUUCAAGGCCAUCAACUUAUCCCCAAAUCUACAUCCUUCCUUGGCAGGAAAAUUUUUCCCUUAUAAUUUAGAGGCGUUCACCAAAAUGAUCUUCUAAAACGUCGACAAGUCGACAAAACUGCCCAAAACUUAGGAAAAACUAACACAUUUUUCUUAUUCGACGAGGUGGACGAGGUGGCAAGAUUCGGAAAUUAGGUUCAAGAAUAAAAAAUGCUCACAUCACGCGUGUGAUGAAUGCAAUACUGCCCAACUUAUGCUCUCAUACCAGAUUGUCACAUCCCGGCCUGGGCCCCCACCACAUCCCCGGCUCGACUCCGCCAUAGCACGAUAUUGUCUGCUUUAAGCCCCGAUCACGCCCUCACAGUUUUUUUCUAGGAACUGACACGAGAACUUCCCAGUGGGUCACCCAUCAUGGGAAUGCUCUCGCCCGAACUCGCUUAAUUUUGGAGUUCCAAUGGAAUCUGAAGCCAGUGAGCUUCCAAAAGGCCUCAUGCUAAGUAGAGAUAGGAAUACACAUAUAAGGCUUAAAGGAUCCAUUCCCCUAGGCGAUGUGGAUGUAACAAUUCACCCCCUUAGGGGCCCGAUGUAUUUAUCGGCACACCUCCAGCCAGGGAUUGGCUCUGAUACCCAACUAACACACCCUAACCCGGAAUGUCCACCAGGACUUCGAAUCGAGUUGUGCUGGCCGACACCUGGAAGGUGACGAAGCCAUAAAGUGUGAUGAUGUGGAAAAAUAUGAAUAAAUUUGAACCUAAGAGUGCCUAAAUACCAGAGUGCGCUGGUGAGCGAGAAUGAACCCACUUCACACGUGACGUUAGAGCAUAAGUAAGUAUAGUAGAGUAGAUAAGGAUUAUACCCUCAAAAGUAGCCACAGAUCCUGAGAUUUGUCAAGAAUCUUUGUCGAUAUGGACAUUCAGCAAUUAAAACCUAGAGGGGCGAAAAACCAUUUCACUAUCAAAAGUAAUAAUCCCUCGCCGUAAAGCCUGAAUAAUUUCCUAGAAAAUAGAAUACAUAUCUAUAUCCAAACCAUACUCAUGAAAUAAGUAAUCCAGGUGAAAUAAAUCCAUGAAAAGUAAUAUGUCAGCCGGAUCCACCUAUCGUGGCAUGUACGAUUAAACCUUUAGCUCAACUAAUAUCCAAGUAAUAUGUCAGCAUGCUCCACCUUUUGUGGCAUGUACGACUGAACCCAUAGCUCAUCACAUAUCCAAGUAAUAUGCCAGCCGGAUCCACCUUUUGUGGCCUAUACGACUAAACCUAUAACUCAACCAAUAUCCAAGUAAUAUGUCAGCCAGAUCCACCUUUUGUGGCCUAUACGACUAAACCUAUAGCUUAACCAAUAUCCAAGUAAUAUGUCAGCCAGAUCCACCUCUUACGGCCUGUACGGCUGAACCCAUAACUCAUCACAUAUCCAAGUAAUAUGUCAGCCGGAUCCACCUCUUGUGGAAUGUACGACUGGACCUAUAACUCAACCAAUAUCCAAGUAAUAUGUCAUCCAAAUCCACCUCUUGUGACCUGUAUGGCUGAACCCAUAGCUCAUCAUAUAUCCAAGAAAUAUGUCAGCCGGAUCCACCUCUUGUAGCCUGUACGGCUGAACCCAUAGCUCAUCACAUAUCCAAGUAAUAUGUCAGUCGGAUCCACCUCUUGUGGCCUGUACAACAGGACUGGGUGUAAAUAAGUACACUCAAGUGCUACGAUCACAUGAAGAUUGUACGAAUAAUCGCGGGUCACCUACGAGUCGGAACCACCUAUAAUGGUCUGUACGACAGGACUGUGCACCUACAUUGGAUCCAAGGUGAGCGUAAUGUGCGGGAGGUGAACAUCACGUGAAGGACUGUGCCCUGGCCAUGGGCGGGGGCACUAACAUCAGGGUGCAGGUUUAUGAGCUCUAACUGCAUCUAUUAUAACCUGUACGACUCAUGGACAGCCAGUACGACAGUGUCGAAGUUGCCUAUUAAUGCAACCUCUACGACAAGGUCGGAGUUGCCUAAAACAUACAUGUGGUCAUGCCAAAACUUCAUUAUUUCAACUAAUACCAUAAACUCACCUGAAGUUACUUGGGUCUCCUGCGUUCUCCUUUGCACUUCAAAGUGUUCACAAUAAUUAUGUGCAAGUAAUAUACAUAUGGAUAUACCAUGAUGUAAUCUAAUACUCAACCAUGUCAUAGCAUUUUCAAUUAUAUACAUAUAUAUUAGACUUGGCAAUUUUUGACACGACACGGUGACACGACACGAAAACGACACGAAAAUAACGGGUUUCGGGUCAACACGAUAACUUAUCGGGUCACUAUCGGGUGACCCGUUAAGAACCCAUUAAUAACGGGUUCUUAAAAGGUAUACACGCGGGUAACACGUGGGUAACCCGUUUCGACCCGUUAAGAAAAAAAAUAUUUUAAUAAUUUUAAAGUUUAAUUACUAAAAGAUUUAUUAUAAAAUACAAUAGUCAUAUUAAUAUAUACAAUAUAUUCUAUAUUAAAUAUAUAGUUUUGUAUUAUCGUUCUAUAUAAAUUAUAAAAAAAAUUAAAAAAAAAGUUUUUGUCAUUAUUUAUUUUUAUUAUGAGAGUUCCCUAUUAUCAUUACUAGGAUAAAUUUUACAUAACAUAUUCUUGUCCAAAAUGAAAAUAUACUAGUAUAGUAUUUGUAUAUGCAAGAACUAAGAAGACAUACAUACAAGUAUGAAAAAUGUGAAAGAAUAUAUAAACACUUGUGAUUUAUCAUUAUUCCUCUACGAAUAGAUAAUUGUUACACUUAUAUUAUUGUUUAGAUUUUUAAAAUCCUUCAAACCCUCAUGAAUAAUGUUUUUUAUUUGAGGGAAAAAUUAAUAAAAUUAAUAAUAAUUAUUGUAGAAGUGUAAAAAAUGUAAAAAUAUAUAUAUACAAUCACUCAUAUAUAUAAAAAAUGUAAAUGCUUUAAAUUAAAGAUCAAAUUUAUUCAUUACAUUCUUAUAGGGUCGAAGAGUGUAUAUGUACAAAAUCAUCAAAAUCGAAGCUAAAAUAACCGUUAAAUUGUAAUUUUUCGUUUAUAACCGUCGAAAACUUUUGUUCCGUUACGUAAUAUCUGAAUGUUUGUUUUUUACAAUUUUUUAAGUUUGCAAUCUCGGAAUGUGUACAAAUAAGUUUGACAGUUGGAUCGUUGAAAAAAGUUUCGUAGAAUGCAUAUUGCAUCAAAACGGUAUAUUAAACAAACACUUAGAGUUAAUAUUAUACUUCUAUUAAGUAUAAAAUAAGUUUUUGUGGUAUCCACUAGUGUAAAUACUUUAAAUUAAAGAUCAAAUUUAUUCAUUACAUUCUUAUAGGGUCGAGGAGUGUAUCUGUAAAAAAUCAUCAAAAUCGGAGUUAAAAUAACCGUUAAAUUGUGAUUUUUCGUUUAUAACCGUCGAAAACUUUUGUUCCAUGAGGUAAUCUCUGAAUGUUUGUUUUUUACGAUUUUUUACAUAUGCGAUCUUCGAAUGUGUACAAAUAAGUUUGACGGUUGGAUCGUUGAAAAGUUUUUUGUAGAAUCCAUAUUGCGUCAAAACGAUACAUUAAACAAACACUUGGAGUUAAUAUUAUACUUUUAUUAAGUAUAAAAUACGUUUUUGUGGUAUCCACUAGUGUAAAUACUUUAAAUUAAAGAUCAAAUUUAUUCAUUACAUUCUUAUAGGGUCGAGGAGUGUAUCUGUAAAAAAUCAUCAAAAUCGGAGCUAAAAUAAUAGUUAAAUUGUGAUUUUUCGUUUAUAAUCGUUCAAAAGUUUUGUUCCAUUACGUAAUCUCUGAAUGUUUGUUUUUUAUGAAUUUUUACAUAUGCGAUCUCGGAAUGUGUACAAAUAAGUUUGACGGUUGAAUCAUUGAAAAAAGUUUUGUAGAAUGCAUAUUGCGUCAAAAUAGUAGAUUAAACAAACACUUAGAGUUAAUAUUAUACUUCUAUUAAGUAUAAAAUAAGUUUUUGUGGUAUCCACUAGUGUAAAUACUUUAAAUUAAAUAUCAAAUUUAUUCAUUACAUUCUUAUAGGUCAAGGAGUCUAUCUGUAAAAAAUCAUCAAAAUCAGAGAUAAAAUAAUCGUUAAAUUGUGAUUUUUCGUUUAUAACCAUCGAAAACUUUUGUUCCAUUACGCAAUCUCUGAAUGUUUUUUUUUUUAAGAUUUUUUACGUAUGCGAUCUUGGAAUGUGUACAAAUAAGUUUGACGGUUUGAUCGUUGAAAAAAGUUUCAUAGAAUGCAUAAUGCGUCAAAACGGUAGAUUAAACAAACACUUAGAGUUAAUAUUAUACUUCUAUUAAGUAUAAAAUAAGUUUUUGUAGUAUCCACUAGUGUAAAUACUUUAAAUUAAAGAUCAAAUUUAUUCAUUACAUUCUUAUAGGAUCGAGGAGUGUAUCUAUAAAAAAUCAUCAAAAUCGGAGAUAAAAUAACCGUUAAAUUGUGAUUUUUCGUUUAUAACCGUCGAAAUGUUUUGUUCCAUUUCGUAAUCUCUGAAUGUUUGUUUUUUAUGAUUUUUUACGUAUGCGAUCUCAGAAUGUGUACAAAUAAGUUUGAUGGUUUGAUCAUUGAAAAACGUUUUGUAGAAUGCAUAUUGCGUCAAAACAGUAGAUUAAACGAACACUUAGAGUUAAUAUUAUACUUCUAUUAAGUAUAAAAUAUGUUUUUGUGGUAUCCACUAGUGUAAAUACUUUAAAUUAAAGAUCAAAUUUAUUCAUUACAUUCUUAUAGGGUCGAGGAGUGUAUCUGUAAAAAAAUCAUCAAAAUCGAAGAUAAAACAACUGUUAAAUUGUGAUUUUUCGUUUAUAACCGUCGAAAACUUUUGUUCCAUUACGUAAUCUCUGAAUGUUUGUUUUUUUACGAUUUUUUACAUAUGCGAUCUUGGAAUGUGUACAAAUAAGUUUGACGGUUGGAUCGUUGAAAAAGGUUUCGUAGAAUGCAUAUUGCGUCAAAACGGUAGAUUAAACAAACAUUUGGAGUUAAUAUUAUACUUUUAUUAAGUAUAAAAUAAGUUUUUGUGGUAUCCACUAAUGUAAAUACUUUAAAUUAAGGAUCAAAUUUAUUCAUUACAUUCUUAUAGGGUCGAGGAGUGUAUUUGUAAAAAAUCAUCAAAAUCGGAGAUAAAAUAACCAUUAAAUUGUGAUUUUUCAUUUAUAACCGUUGAAAACUUUUGUUCAGUUACGUAAUCUCUGAAUGUUUGUUUUUUAUGAUUUUUUACGUAUGCGAUCUCGGAAUGUGUACAAAUAAGUUUGACGGUUGGAUCAUUGAAAAACAUUUUGUAGAAUGCAUAUUGCGUCAAAACAGUAGAUUAAACAAACACUUAGAGUUAAUAUUAUACUUCUAUUAAGUAUAAAAUAAGUUUUUGUGGUAUCCACUAGUGUAAAUACUUUAAAUUAAAGAUCAAAUUUAUUCAUUACAUUCUUAUAGGUCGAGGAGUCUAUCUGUAAAAAAUCAUCAAAAUUGGAGAUAAAAUAACCGUUAAAUUGUGAUUUUUCGUUUAUAACCGUCGAAAACUUUUGUUCCAUUACGUAAUCUCUGAAUGUUUUUUUUUUACAAUUUUUUACGUAUGCGAUCUCGGAAUUUGUACAAAUAAGUUUUACGGUUGGAUCGUUGAAAAAAGUUUCGUAGAAUGCAUAUUGCGUCAAAACGGUAGAUUAAACAAACACUUAGAGUUAAUAUUAUACUUCUAUUAAGUAUAAAAUAAGUUUUUGUAGUAUCCACUAGUGUAAAUACUUUAAAUUAAAGAUCAAAUUUAUUCAUUACAUUCUUAUAGGCUCGAGGGGUGUAUUUGUAAAAAAUCAUCAAAAUUGGAGAUAAAAUAACCGUUAAAUUGUGAUUUUUCGUUUAUAACCGUCAAAAAGUUUUGUUCCAUUACGUAAUCUCUGAAUGUUUGUUUUUUAUGUUUUUUUACGUAUGCGAUCUCAGAAUGUGUACAAAUAAGUUUGAUGAUUGGAUCGUUGAAAAAAGUUUUGUAGAAUGCAUAUUGCGUCAAAACAGUAGAUUAAACAAACAUUUAGAGUUAAUAUUAUACUUCUAUUAAGUAUAAAAUAAGUUUUUGUGGUAUCCACUUGUGAAAAUACUUUAAAUUAAAGAUCAAAUUUAUUCAUUACAUUCUUAUAGGGUCGAGGAGUGUAUCUGUAAAAAAGCAUCAAAAUCGGAGAUAAAAUAACCGUUAAAUUGUGAUUUUUCGUUUAUAACCGUCAAAAACUUUUGUUCCAUUACGUAAUCUCUGAAUGUUUGUUGUUUACGAUUUUUUACGUAUGCGAUCUCGGAAUGUGUAAAAAUAUGUUUGACGCUUGGAUCGUUGAAAAAAGUUUCGUAUAAUGCAUAUUGCGUCAAAACGGUAGAUGAAACAAACACUUAGAGUUAAUAUUAUACUUCUAUUAAGUAUAAAAUAAGUUUUUGUGGUAUCUACUAUUGUAAAUACUUUAAAUUAAAGAUCAAAUUUAUUCAUUACAUUCUUAUAGGGUCGAGGAGUGUAUAUGUAAAAAUUCAUCAAAAUCGGAGCUAAAAUAACCGUUAAAUUGUGAUUUUUUGUUUAUAAUCGUCGAAAACUUUUGUUCCAUUACAUUAUCUCUGAAUGUUUGUUUUUUACGAUUUUUUACGUAUGCAAUCUUGGAAUGUGUACAAAUAAGUUUGACAGUUGGAUCAUUGAAAAAAGUUUUUGGACCGCCAGCAAUAGAUAAUUUUGUAGUAGUGAAACCUUAAUUUUAUUUAACCGUCGAUUGUUAUUUACACUUUAUUCUUCUUACUGAAUUUCAUUUUUAAAAUUUUAUUUUUUGAAAACAUGAUCAUCUGGCGGAUGUAAGAAGAUGAUAUCACGUUUCGAUAUUUACGGUUAACUGAAAUAUGAGUCAAUGUCAUAUAAUUUGAAAAAACUUUAUAAACAUCAAGGAAUAUUUUCACUAACCGUAAAACUCUAAAUAUAAUAUCAACGAUCCAAACCGUUCAUCUACCUGCACCUUCUAAUAGAUCAUGUUUUCAAAAAAGAAAAUAUAAAAAAACGAAAUUUGAUGAGAACAAUGAAGCAUAAAUGUAAACAACAAUCAACGGUUAAAUUUUGAUAUAUGAAUUAUAUGAUUAUAGUGGCGAAUUUCAAAGUUAAGCUCUUUAUGAAAGUUAUAAAACUUGUCAUUACGAGUGUUUAUAUAUUUUUUUCUAUAUUUUUUUACACUUCUACAUUAAUUAAAAAACUAUUAAAGACUUUAGGUAAGCAAAAAUAUACUUAAAACAAAAUUGUGUUUUUAUGUUUUGUAUGUGAUAAUAUGGAAUGUAUAUACUUAUUUAGUAUUAUGUUUUUCAUUUGAUUAUUUAUUGGUUUAAAAUAUAAUUUCCUUAGUGGGUAACGGGUCGGGUCAUAUUACCUGUUAAUAUUAUCGGGUCGAUUUCGGGUCGGGUCAUUUUACCCGUUUAUUUUAACGGGUGUUACACGACACGACCCAUUAAGAUAUCAGGUAUAACACGAAAACGACACGAACACGGAAAACACAACACGAAUGCCAAGUCUAAUAUAUAUGUAUAAUAUGGCAUAAAAUGCAUAAGCUGUAACGCCCUACUCUCGAACUAUUUAUUUUCGGGAAUAAUUAUCGGUAAUAAGCCCAGUUAGACACUAGUUUAAUUAACUAUCAUUACUUACGUUUCCUUACUUCAAUUUCUUGAUUCUUCACACAUUGAUUUAUGAACAACAUUUAACCACCAAAUCAUAAGGUUAAAUCUAUCAUUUUCCACCAAUCUCCUUCACAUUGCUCAAUUCCCCAAACAAGGCUAUUGUCUCAAUUAUUUAGUCUCAUUUAUUGUACGGCUGCAUCUAACAUCUCGUUAGAUUGCCUACGUACCCUAAACAAGGAUCAAGCCAUUCGUAGUUCACACUAGUACUUCAAAGCAUUCACAGUAAUUAUAUGUAGGUAAUAUGCAUAAAUCAAUUUAAAAACGCUUGUGGAAUUAUCAAUCAUAUAUAUAUAAUAUACACGAUAGAAAGAAAAAGACCCACUCACCUGAGGUCCGCACUACGACUCCCUAGCAUGCAUAUCGAGACAUCACGAACCAAUGUCGCCUAGAACAAUUAUCAAAUCAUGUCUCAGAGUUCUUACUGAUAGAAUACAUAAUUUACUGAAAAAACACAUCCCUACGUAAUUCACUCCGGAAGAUCUGCAUCACAGAUUUCUGAUCCGUUACUUCCAAAGAUUCACAUUAUGUUCCUAGAACCACCUCCUAAUAUUUCAUUAUGAUCCAAUGGUCGGAUCUCUGCCAAUUGCCAAAACUAAGUGGCGGUCAACAUUUUAUUUUAUGAACUUACAAAUCCAAUUCGGGAAGAUCCGUACUUCGGAUUCCCGAUUCGUAAGUUUCUAUGGUCCUCAAAUAUUAUGUACUAUAAUGUAUUAAAGUUUGGUGGCAAUCCAACGGUCGGAUCGUCGAUUCACACUUUUACCAAAUAACGUGACAUUGAGAAUUUAGGUUCCAACCAUCAACCUAAGUCAUACAGUUACCAAGAUUGAAAUCAAGGCAUCUAAUUUAUCCUAAGAAUGACAUCGAUGGCCCCCUAGCCACGCGCCGCCAUGGGUGGCGAUCGGCCACCCUAACUCGCUGGAAAAUCCAACUAUUUCUAAAAAUUACCAAAUUUUACAGAAAUGAAGAUCUCAAUAAGUAGAACAAGUUUUAUACCUGUGGCUAAGUCCAAUUUAGUCGGGAAAUGCUCCAAUUUCACUCAAACCCGCCGGAAACCCUAAGAUGGGUGUUCUUCGAUUCGACUUCCUCAAUGUUCCAACACCCCUACAACUGCUUGGGUCUUGUUCCUAAGUCCAAGAGGAGUUGAUUAAGGGUGGUGGUGGGUGGUGAAACUCGUUGGAUCGAAGGAAUCACCGUCGAACACCUUUGGUGCUCCGGUGAUGUUCUCUGCAUUUUUGGGCCUAAAACUCUUCAAUCUUGAGCAAAGAUGGAAGAAGAAAGAUUGGGGAAGAUGUUGCAGGUGGUGGAUAUGGUGUUCCACGAAACAAAAUGGCAGAAAUUGGCCAGAUUUUGACCGGUUUGGGUGUGUGGGUGCACUGCCCUACGGCAAGGUUUCUUUUUUUUUUUUUCCUUCUCCUUCCUGAUUGGUUCUCCUUUUCCUCUCUUAAAAUUGAUUGAUUACCACUCCCACAUGGUGGGAGUUUGAUUAAUUUAUAACUAAACUUUUAAUAACCAAUUUCAAAUGUCUGUAACUAUACCGAUAUAAUCCGGACUCACAAACGGCUUUCGCCUAUGCGUUCGUACCAACGAGUACUACACAAAUGCGCUAAGUGAAUAAGUCAUACGUUUCUCUACACGUUGGUCAAUGAAAGUCAAAACCUUCACCUCUAGGGUAUUUUUAUAAAUUCAUUCUUUUAAAAUUUAUAAAAUCGUAGAACUAGGGACGAGUUGUCACAAUCAAGUACCAUAUUCAAGAUGAACCGUUCAUUUAUUUGAUAUGUUUGAAUGGAUUAAACAAUUUUUUAUUCGAUUGAUUUUUGCACGAAUGAUCUUCAAAUGAUAUUAAGAAAUUGAACGCUGUUGAUCAUUGAGUUUAUAUACUUAAGACACGUCAUUUGCAAAUGGGGAAGACGAAUCAAAGAUCUAUCCAAAAGCCAGUUGAACAGAUGUACAGUCAAACGUCUAGAGGUUAAUUAUACUGUUAAUUUCCAAUAAUCAUAAUAUAAGAUCAUCACAAACUAUCUUUAUUAAACUCAUUGGCAUGGCAUGCAAUCAGUUAGCAUGUUAAGGUAACCACCAGCUAUGACACUACACUUGAACUUGAUACAGAUCGAACAAUCCAGAAACUUACUAUACAAAUGAGAAUUUUACAAUCUUGUCGGCCAACUUCUGUCCCUCGAUUCGUUAUUUUCUUUAGUUAUCCAAACCGUGCAAGAAAAGCAAUACGAAAACACGUACGCAGACUAAUGCGGGGAUUUCAGAAAUAUAAGAGUGUACAAGCUUCCAUAUGCUGCACGAAACCUAUGCAGUGGUGUCAAGGAACGGAUAAUCAGCGUAGCCAAUAACCAAUUCAGGCACGUAGAAUGUGUUUCUGUUGUACUUGUGCAGAGGAGAAUUUAGCUCAAACCUCUUCCGCAAGUCUGGCUUAGCCAGGAACCAUCAACCAUAAGCAAUAAGAUCUGCACGGCCCUCAGCCACAGCAUUGUUCCCAUCUUCCCUGUCAUAACCACUAGCAGCAAUGAAGGUACCAUUAAAAGCCUUUCUCAUGGGUACAAAGACUCUGGGGGCUAUCACAUUUUUCUCCAGCUGUCUUCAUCCUAGGCUCAACCAUAUGGCAGUACGGGAUCCCAUAUUUGUUCAACAAAUUGGCCAGAUAAAGGCCCAACGCUUUCGGAUCUGAAUCCCCUGAUUCCAUAUAGCUGGCAAAUGGAGAUAAUCUAAUUCCAACUUUAUCCGCUCCUAUCUCAUUAACAACAGCUUCAACGACUUCCAGAGCAAAUCGACAACGAUUAUCCAAUGAUCCCCCAUAUUAGUCUGAUCGAUCAUUCACUUGAUCUUUUAGAAACUGAUCAAUAAGGUGUCCAUGGGCCCCAUGAAUUUAUACUCCAUCAAAGCCUUUAUAUCAGACAAAUAAUUUCAGUGCACCAAAUAUUAUUUGUAAUCUAGCAUGAAUCACACAUCUAGUUAAACUGCAAUUAACGCCCUUAACUACAUUUAUAAGAUUAGAGAUGGUUUGUUUACUUCUGUUGAAAGUAAUUUUGAGUUCUCGCCAAUGUUUUAAAAGGCUCACCUCAGGGCGGGUAUAGACGCCCUAUGAGGCUGGACUUGAGGAUUGCCGCCUAGGUGGCAGAAGGCGUGCCUCAGGGCUUUUUUUUUUUUUUAAUAAGUCCCAAACCUUUUGGAUAGGGUAUUAACUGUCUCAUACCUCUUCCUUGCACUAUCGUCUCUCUGCCUUUUUUUCUGAUUUUUAUUUUUUAUAUAAUGGAUGUAUGUGUUGUCUACAUGCAUUGUUAUAUGUGUGCUCAUUGUGUUUUUUAUCCUCAAUUAUUGUUCGAGCCCAAAAAUAUUGGUUUGGGCCGAGUUUAGAAUUGUUCUCGGCCCAGUAUUGGUUGGGCUGAGUUUAGAAUUGUUCUCGGCCCAGAGGUCGUGUUUAGGUGUCGUUGGGGGUUAUCCAACUCAUGGGCCGCGCAGUCGAAGCUGGCCAUAUCUCGUCAAGAACCUGUGGGAUAUGGGUGAGUUCUAUUACGAGAAGGAGUUUCGACAUGAUAAGGAUGUUAGAGUUUGAGAUUGAAUGCGGCCUGAUAACGAGUAAGUUCAAAGUCCUAGUAGGAGUAGGACUGGCUGAGAUAAGGUUGGAUCGGGGAAAGGAAUUCUAAUCCAAGAAUGAUUGGGAUUCAAUACAGGUUGGCUACUAUAAAUAAGGAGGGAGGACAUCGAACAAAGCCCCUCCAAUUCAACACACAAAUUGCCCUACGCAAACCCUUACUCUACUCAAAACCUCUCAACAAUCUUGAGAUUUUUGUUUUCCUUUUUCGCCAACACAUCUUCAGUUUGGAUAAACAGCACUGUGAAGGCAACCGACGAACAUCUUCAGUUUGGAUAAACAGCACUGUUGCCGUAGAAUCAGCCGACUGUGAAACACCUUCAGUUUGGAUAAAUAGCACUGCGACCUGGCCAACUGGUUAUCUAUCCAAGUCUCGGUCGAGAAAGAUUUUUGAAUCCUUAUUGGCAGAGGUUAUCUCGUUAGCCUUCUCGGCGAAGUGAGGUGUUACAAGUUACCAUACUCAGCAUACUGAACGUCGAGUUGUUUAUGAUUGGGUAUUUACAAGUAGGUUUUAGAGUUCGGCAUUCUGACGGCCAAACCACUUUCACAAUCAAGACGUACAUUUGUUUUGAGUACUUGUGCCCAUAUAGUCUGGUGUCGAUUCGGCGUGUUUAUACUUUAACAAAUAUAAUCACCAUGACCGAAUCCGGCACCGAUGAUUUAUGAACUUCGCAGAACUAGUAGCCUUGUCUUCAGGCUCUAGAACCCGAAGGCCGAGAGUGGUCCUUCCUCAGCCACAGUUGCAAGAUCAAAAAGUCAGUCGCGCGCUCAAUGCAACAUCACCAUAUUUUACUCCUCGACCAAGCUCGGCCGACAAGUUGGCAUGCCCUGCAUACAAUUGAAGGACGUAGUUAGCUUGUUAAUUACUCGGCCUGCAUGCCACGUAGGCAUAGUAGUUUUUUGGGUCAACAUUUUGGCAAAACCGGUGGGACCCAGUGCUAAAACUACGAAGUUCAUGACCAUCGAGACACGAUCGGUAAAAAAGAAAACAACCAUGGGAAAAUCAGCGACCAAUCUGCCGAUUCAGAGUCCUGGACAAGAGGUGUCACAUGCGUGAAAUCCUAUUGUCGCUGUGACCCCUGAGGCUGCAAGUGUAACACACCAAGAAAAGGAAGUGUGCCUCGGUACCUAGCCUCGAAAUGCAUAAGUACCCAACCGAACCGCAGGCGUUUUCAUUGAAAGAAUAGUGGAUGACUGCGACGAAGAAGAUGGCGAAGGCUUUGACCCUCCGACUAGGUCGUUUCUUCGAAGAUGACUUGAUAAGCAAUCUCGACAAGUUGAACAGACAGUUGGUCAAAAAAUGAACAGUUUGCUCGAAGUGAUAUGAAGCAAUAGUGAGACCCACACCAGAUUACUCGAACUAUUAGUUAGCAAAGUCUUCGAAUGAGGAUCGGUUGAUCAGGCUCAGCCCAAAAGUAGUGUCUACUCGGUCCAAAACGAUUGACUUAGAAAAAAAUGGAGGAUCAAGUAGUAGGUCAGAUGGAUCCGACCAGAGAGUGGAAGCAACAUCCGUCGAUGUGACCGAGAUCCAACGAAUGAUCGAUUCAGCCAUGAAAAAAAGGCCGAAGUUCCCGAAAUUCAUGCACCCAUAUCCAGCUUAUGUGGAAAAGUUCAAAUAUCCUAAAGGUUUCGAGAUUCCAGAUUUCAACCUUUUUGUUGGAGAAUCAUCCUUAUCCACGUUAUAACACGUGGCUCGUUUCACUGCGCAAUGUGGAGAUGUCAAUAGUGAUUUUCAUAAACUACCGUUGUUCAACUUUUCGUUGAUAGGCUCAACAUUCGCAUGGUAUAUCAACCUCCCAUCUAAUUCUAUCCAAAGCUGGAAGGAGUUGGUCGAGAAAUUUCACGAACAGUUUUAUCGCCCGGGGAUGGAAAUGUCAAUUUCUUCAUUGGCUAGGAUGGCUCAAGCAUCUGAUGAGUCACCAAUGGAUUAUCUUACAAGAUUUAAAUCGGCCAGGAAUUGGUGCCGAGUACCUCUUCCCGAAGUCGAAUUUGUUAAGCUUGCCCUGAAUGGGCUCAACGUUGAGUACAAAAAGAAAUUCUUGGGGGCAAACUUUCGGGAUAUGUAUGAAUUAGCCCAGCAUGUCGAGCAAUAUGAUUAUUUGCUCCAAGAAGAAAAGAUCUCGAAAUCCCCAUCCCAAGGAACGAUUUACAAAAAUCUUACGAUCAACUACGUAUCGACCGAAUGCGAAGAUUCCCAAUACGUCAGUGUGGAUGCGACCGAGAUAGUAAUAGAUAAACCAUAUGUUUGCAAGGCAUUGACUCAACUUAAUUCCAAGGAUGCCAAAACCCGCUCGGCCACUGAGGAGACGGCGAAAACAUCGAAAGUUUACACUUUUGAUAUCACAAAGGCAGAGGCAAUUUUCGAUCAAUUGUUAUUAGCAAAGAUCAUCAAACUUCGGCCAUGACAUAACAUUCCCAAAGCCAAAAAGCUUAAAGGAAAGACGUAUUGCAAGUAUCAUAAUUCGACCAAGCACAAACAACUGUGUCGUAUUCCGUGAUGAUAUCCAGAGCUGGAGUGAUGAAGGCAAGCUAAAGUUUCCCGAAAAACGGAUGACGGUCGACGUUGAUCCAUUCCCUUCGGCAACAGUCAACAUGGUAGACGCCCGUUUACCCAAGAGCAAAGGGAAAGGGAUGGCUAAGUUUGUCCCAGUACAACACGUCCCAAAGAAACAUUCCCAGUCACGACUCAAGAUCAACCUAUUUUCCAUUGAACCACCUACCAAGUUUUUAGGACCAGCUAUAGUUGAAUCCAUGUCAGAUUCCAGUGUAGAAGAAAGUGAUGGGCCGAUAAACAGUCAAGAGAGUGUCCUCAUUUUUUUUAAAAAACGGGGAUCCAUCUUGUUAAGGGAUUCCUUUGCGUAUGUACCUUGGUGUAGUUUCGAUCCUCGCAGAUUCGCUUCCUCCUAAACCCAAAACCACUUAGACUUUCUUAACUUUCUUAACUUUUGAAAUCUACUACAUAUGUUACCUUCCAUCUUUUUUUCUGUAAAAACAUGUUGCCACUCACGUGGAGGGAUAUUUUUCCGUCAAUCCACUUCCUAGAGCUCACUGCAAUCAAUUUGCACAAAGACAAAAUACAUUUUUUUUAGUAGCGUUAGAGUCGGGUCACGAAGAGACGGGUUUGAUUUUGACAAGGGUUGUUGAAGAAUUGAAGUGAAAAUGAUUGUUGGCAUCUACAUUUGUAGAAUUUGGUAGAUGGUGGCUGCUUGUGUUUUUAUUUGGGGGGGGGGGGGGGGGGUUUUGGUUCUUUAUUACUUAGACUGACUAAAAAUUCAAAUUAUUUAUUGUUUAACAUUGUAGUAUGUGUUUUGUGUCAGUUUUGUUGUGUUGGUGUAUAGGAUAAUUUGCUAAAGACAAUAGUCUUAGUCUAUUAGGUCCUUAUGCACAUUCAUUGUUUUAAAAAUCUCUGCCUAGCAUAGCACUGUCUAGGCGUUAGGAGGCUGACCACCAUUCUGAUUAAUUAAUAAAUAGCGCCUAGACUGCUUAGGCACCCGUCUAGGUCGCAACUCUUAUUUAGAUAGAAAAUAGAUAACUUUCAUUUUACAUUUUAUUUGUUUCAGUAUAUUGUAAGAGACUUAUUGGAUACUGAGAUGGACAUACAUUAUAUGUUUAUUCCUCAUGUUUUCAUUAUGUUCUAAUACUUUAUAAUUUAUGUCAUUCUAUUUUAUAAUUUAUGUAUUUCAGUGAAAUUAUCUAUUUUUUAAGUAUAAGCAGAUACUUAUUUAUACGAUAUAUCGUAGAUACUUAUUUAUACGAUAUAUCGUAAAUUUUAUUCACAUCCGCCUAGGCCCCCGCCUAGGUGCUAGACCACAGCCAUUGCCUGACUACUGCUAAACCUCAGCCCGCCAUCCGACUAACACCUGGCGUCUAUUAGAAUCUUGUGCAGAAUUUCAUGACCCCCAUUAUUUAGUUUAGCUUCACUCUUGGAGGUUAAAGUGAAAGCAUGCCUUAAAUAACCAAAAAGAGAUUUAUGCAAUUUCAACAUUGAUUGUAAUAGAGGAGCAGUUAGCAUCAUGCUAAUGUUGGAGUAGAAGAGAUUUGUAACAGAGAAAGCUCAACCAAAUAUCUUACAAAGUAAUUUGGUGGAUGUGGAUGUGCGAGAACAUGAAGCAUAGAAAAGAUUGACGAAGCUGAUGAUGUACGUAGAUUACGCGCAGAAUGUAGAAGAACCAGAGAGCCUGAUGGGUACAACUUGGAAGAACUUAGAAGCCUAUAUGGGAACUCAUCUAGUGAUGAAGAACCGGAUUCAAUGAGAAGGAAUAGGAGGAAGAAGAAACGACCUAAGUUUAAACAUCAUAGAAAAGAAACUGAUGUCAGUACCAUAGAGUUUGAUUUGGGGAUGUCUUUUCUUGUUAGACUAAACAUAAAAACCAAGUUCAUGUAACAUGAAUCACAGCCAUCCAAAAACAAACUGUAGUUCAUAACUAUUGUACAGAGUAGAAAUCUGCAGAUGCACCAGAAGAAGAAGCCAUAGUCAAUCUCAACAGCAAAACUAGUAAACCUUCUCCUCUUUCUAGAUUCAAAAUGCUCAAACUAAUAAUAGGUCUUAGUCCAAGACAGAGCGUAAUAUCUGACGAAUUACCAAUUCUCCAGACUCAUGCUCAUAUUCUUACAUUUCCAAGUUCCAAGGAAUUCAACGAAGCUGUAAAUAGACACUUUUAUAAUAUGCAGGUCUUACAAGUUAACCACAAAUGGUUGGUACAAGGUUAAGGCUCAAAUUCAUGCCCUUGGCAAGUUAUGCUUCUAAUGACCAAUCUGAUAGACAUUCUCCUUUAUAUGUAAAAACAUUUGUUCCAAAUCACACUUGUGGAAAAGAUGAAAACAAUACAAGUGUGACCAGUACUUGGUUGGCUGAUGAUAUGAAGAUCAAUCCCUUUUUCUUUUUUCUUUUUUUUUUUUUGAAUAAAGGACGGCAUAUAUAUAUGCAAAUCAAUCCUAAAAUGGAUGUUAAGACAAUGAAAGCUACAAUGAGGGAUUAUCCAUUCUAAUCCCUCUCCAAAUGAUAGGAUUGUGAGGGAUAAGUUUGUUUCAUUCCAAUCUAAACCUAGAGACGAAACGCGGCCAGAUAUUACAAAGACAAAGAUUCUAAAACAGCCUUCACUCAGAGAAUAAAAAAAGCCAUGCAGUGAGAACAUUUAAGGGAAACGAGUUGAUCCUCAAUAAAUGCCUCAAUAGAAUGACGUAUCUUUGUUAAAGCAUCUGCCACAAAAUUAGCUUCAUCUAAAACAUGAUAGAAGCUGAUAUGAUCAAGCAUCCCAUGUUUGCUGAAAAGAUGAAAGAAGGAUCUUUCCAAGUUUAGGAAGGUGGGAGUUGCCAAAGAGAAACCGAUUUGAGCCGCAUCUGCUCCAAAUAUCUCAGGCAAACGGUCAGCUGACAAAAUGCGGUCAAUGGCUUCAACAUCUUGAGAAUAAAAGGCACAACUAGGAUCAAUUGGUUGUACUUAGGGAUAAGAAUUGAGUUUCCUCUUUCACAAAUGUUACUUAUUCAUUCCGGCCAUUAUACGGUCAACAUUGAACAGAAAGUAUAACUUUUCCGGCCUCUAAGUCCGGAACCCUCCCAAACAUUGGACAUUACAAUACUAGAUAAUGCAAUAAGAUACAACAGUACAAUACAAUAUAGUUGAAAACAACCCAUCUAAGAUAGUACAGACUCAAUUGGAUGAAUCAAAGGAACCCUAGUGUUCAAGCUUCCAUCUUUGCGGUAAACUUAAGUGGUGGCUUCAAGAAAUGGAUAAUCAGUGUAGCCAAUCACGGGAUCAGGUAUGUAGAAUGUCUCUCUGUUGUACUUGUUUAGAGGAGCAUUAAGUUCAAAUCUCUUUGGCAAAUCCGGAUUCGCCAAGAAAAUACGGCCAUAAGCAAUAAGAUCUGCACGGCCCUCCGCCACAGCACUGUUUCCAUCUUCCCUGUCAUAACCACCACCAGCAAUGAAGGUACCAUGGAAAGCCUUUCUCAUGGGAAGAAGACUAUGGUGGGUUUCAGCUUUUUCUCCAACUGUCUUCAUCCUCGGCUCAACCAUGUGGCAGUACACAAUUCCAUAUUUGUUCAAGGCAUUGGCCAUAUAGAGGCCUAGUUCUUUUGGAUUUGAAUCCCCUGAGUCCAUAUAGUCAGCAAAUGGAGAUAAUCUAAUUCCAACUUUAUCUGCUCCUAUUUCGUUAGCGACAGCUUCAACAACUUCCAGAGGAAAGCGGCAACGAUUCUCUAGAGAUCCACCAUAUUGGUCUGUUCGAUCAUUCACAUGAUCUUUCAGAAACUGAUCAAGAAGGUAGCCAUGCGCCCCAUGAAUUUCAACUCCAUCGAAGCCUAUAUAGCAAAUUAACAAUUUCAACAUACUGACGGUAUUAGAACCUUAAGCAUUGUCGCUGAAUUACCAAACAAAUAAUGGUUAGUUAAUA